This 185899-nucleotide long non-coding RNA is filed under the name Prunus persica (peach). RNAcentral describes it as "long non-coding RNA (PPER_LNC001496)". Lineage: Eukaryota; Viridiplantae; Streptophyta; Magnoliopsida; Rosales; Rosaceae. The record is from RNAcentral.
UAGCAGCGGUUGCACAGGCAAACAAUGCUGCUCAACCAGCACCUCAACUUUACUGGAACUCCGUCCUGCCAAACACACAGAUGCCAAGAUCUAUCAGUGAACUUCUGCAUCCUGGUUUGUGUUGAGCUCUUUAGAAUCUUAGAUAUCUCUUCUACCUGCCAUUUUACUUAAAUAUGUUCGACCACAUAUUUAUCAGUUAACUACUGUCAUUACAUGAGUGACACAUAUUCACAAAUCGGCUGAUCACUUAUUUUCCAUUAUGACGUUGAUAUAUAAUUUGCAGACUCCACAAAUGAAGAAAAGAGCACAAAUGACGUUGGCAAACCUGAAACUUUCCCAUUGGGCAAUCAAAAUUACUCCAGUCAAAAAAAUUAUGGAACAGGCAAUAAACGUUACUGCAGUCAAAAAAGGUAUGGAAGAGGCAAGAAACGUUACUGCGAUCAAAAAAAGUAUGGAAGAGGUGCUUCUCCAUCUGACAAUCAACUACUCCAUUAUAAAGACUUAGCUAUUUUCUUCUUGGAGAAGGACAUGCGCCCUGGCACAACAAUGAAGUUCCAAUUCUCUAGAAAUUCAAACACGGCUACUUUCUUGCCACGAGAAAGCGCUCAAUCGAUCCCCUUCUCCUCUAACAAACUACCAGAAAUUUUCAACCAUUUUUCAGUGAAGCCAACAUCUGAGGAAGCCAAAACAAUUAAGCAAACAAUCGAAGAGUGUGAAGCUCCCGGCCUUAAGGGAGAGGAAAUAUAUUGCGCCACAUCUUUAGAAUCAAUGGUUGAUUUUAGCACUUCGAAGCUUGGAACAAGAAACGUUGAAGCAAUCUCGACGGAGGUAUUGGAAAAAGGAGCCACCAUGUCCAUGCACAACUAUACAACAAUGCCGGGACUGAAGAAGUUGGCCAGUGACAAAGUCGUUGUGUGUCAUAAGCAGAACUAUCCCUAUGCUGUGUUUUUCUGCCAUGCAAUAAAACAUACAGCAGCUUAUGUUCUCUUCCUGAAAGGCGAUGAUGGGGAGAAGGUUAAAGCAGUAACCAUCUGUCAUCUAGACACAUCAGAAUGGAACCCAGAGCAUAUGUCCUUCCAAAUCGUCAACGUUAAGCCCGGAACCAUUCCCAUCUGCCAUUUCAUUUCCACUGAUGCUAUUGCCUGGGUUCCGAACCACAAAUCUGCAUGAUCAUCACUUAGCACUGUACGUAUAAUUAUCUCCUUACUUAUUUCUGCCUCUUCAUCAUGUGGUGUAAGAUAUAUGAUGAGAUGAAGUUUUUGGGAUUAGUGGUUGGGUUGCCUGAAAAACACAGAUUACAGAAACUGCUUGAAAUUAACCCGAUCAUGUUUUCUCUUGUAACUAUAUAGACUUCAACUUGUACUCAUAAUAAAGCAUGCUAUAUUUAUGAAGAGAUAUUAAUCUAUAUAUAUUUUUUAUAUAUGCUUUGGCUUUGUGGUUCUACCCAAUGUUUGAGUGUUGAAUUGUUACGUUGGAAUAGGCUGCUAAUGCAUGUAGUUAGAGAAGCCUUCAUUUAUAUCAAAGUCCUCAAACUAUCAAGAACUAAUGUAUCCAGAAACAUAUACCAAGACGCAAAACAACAUAUUUUCCAUGCUCUGUCUGUAACACCAAAGCAAACUUCCUUGAUCACAAAAGGAUCAAAUUCCAGUACUAAUCUAAUCCAUCAUGUAAAGCAUACAAGUGCCUCCCUAAAUACUAUACUCUUUUUGUUAUUUCCUACUAUACUAUUUAAGAUUUAAAAUUCAGGUCAACCCAUAGAUUUCUCGCCUUUUUCUUCUUCAUCUCGUCGGGCUUGUCUUCUUCUUGAGGAUUGUAUAGGCCAAGGAAAUGCUUUGAGUUAGUUUUUGCGCUUUUGCGUUUUGGGCCUUGGAAGUUGGGACCCAAACCAACUUCACAAAAAGAAAACGCUCAGACUAUAAUGAGUGGAAAGUUAUAAGGGGUAAGUUAUAAGGAGUUCACUUUAUAGCCAUCAGAUCAAUCUAAGGGCUGGGGAGAAUUGAGAUAAAGUUUUAAAAUCGGGUAGGUGAGGAACCCAAACCCGAAUUGAAUAUCCAGCACGUCCGAAAAAGAAGAAGAAGAGGCAAGCACGUCCGAAAAAGAAGAAGAAGAGGCAAGGUCGAAGUUUGAACAGAAAAAACUCAUCUCUUUAAAACCCAUAGCUCUGAGAAACGGUUGAAGGCAACGGUUAACGACGGUUGUUGAAGCCACUCCGUUCUCCAGACCCUGAAAAAGUAUUUAUUUUGAGUAGAAGGGGCAAAUGUGUGGAUUCCGAAACAGUGAAGGGGCGAAGCAGUGGAAGGGGAAGGAGAGAAGCCGUAUUCGUUGGAAGUGGUAGGUUCCAUUUGUGGAGCAAAGCAACACAAAGACCCCGCACAGACACCUUGCGAUUGUUCAAUAACCAGCAUUUGGUGAGUAAUUUAUGGAAUUUGAGUUUAGGGUUAGAGUAAUGGUUUUCCCCAAUUUGUACCAUCAAUUUUGUUGGAUUUGGCAUCUCUUCUUUGUGCUUCAGUUGCAUGUUAAUUUUUGCUUGGGUAUAUGUUAAAAAAAGAAUGAAAAUCAAGUCAAUAACAAGUGAAUAACAUGUCAAUAAUGAUAUGAAUAAGAUAAUGGUGUUGAAUUGGAGGAGGCCCUCAAAACAUUCCACAUUUGAAGCAGUGCAUAGUGCAGAUUAUCUCUCUGGCGCUAGAAUAUAUAUAUAUUUUGAAAUAAAUAUGAUUUCCUUUGUUACUAAAUUUGCCUGAGAAACAUGAGAACAGAUAAUAAUAAACUCAUGAAUAGAAGUGCAAAGCAUUUGAUGAGUAAUUUAUGGAAUUUGAGUUUAGGCCCAGGAAAUUCCUUGACCCCAAAAAAAAAAAAAAAGUUGAUUUAAAAUUCAGGUCAACCCAUAGAUUUCUCGCCUUUUUCUUCUUCAUCUCGUCGGGCUUGUCUUCUUCUUGAGGAUUGUAUAGGCCCAGGAAAUGCUUUGAGUUAAUUUUUGCAUUUUUGCGUUUUGGGCCUUGGAAGUUGGGACCCAACCCAACUUCACAAAAAGAAAACAGAUUUGCCAAAAAUCAAAUUUCAAGUCUCUCCUCCGAUCGAAAUUUGGAUUUGAUGAACUAAAGUGGUUUUACUUUCUCCAUCAGUGUUUGAUAACUUAAUUUGUUAUUUACUUUUUUUUUAAAAAACUUUGGCUUAUAUAUAUUAGUUUUCUUUUUUCCUUCAUAUUCACCACCUUUAUGUUGCAUAAGUAUUUCAGUCUUAAUGGGUUUCCAUCUACCACUCAUCUUUGCUCUUCUCAGUGUAAGCCUUUUUUUUUUUUUAAAGCACAAGAUUAGAGGGGAGGGGGAUUUCUCAAUGUAAGCUUUGCAGUUUCAUAAUUAAUAUUUCCAAUAUCUCACUGUUAGUAAAAUACAGAAAAAGUACUAAUAACAUAUGCACAUGUUACUAAUUUAUUGAGAUAAAACACCAUUUUGCCCCUAGAAUAUUUUAUUAGGUUUAAAGUUGACUUUUUGACCAGGAAGGAAUUUGGGUAUUUAGACUAUAUCGUUGCGUAGAGCAUGGCGAGAUGAGUCCGUAGACACAUGAUUGGCUCGAAUCAGAGUUAUAAUGAGAGAGAUACGAUCAAAAUACCCUCAGUGGUAUAACCGUAAUUUUGGCUUAAAGGGUUUGAUAAAAUAUAAUUUUUCUUUCUUUCUUUCUCUCUCUCUCUCUCUCUCUCUCUCUCUCCUCUCUCUCACGACGGCAGUGAUAGCCGGCCACUUUUUGGCCAGCCAUGCUCUCGUCCGGCCACUAAAGUUGACGGGGCCGGUACCAAAAUGACCGGGCCACCAUCCUUUUCCAACCCCAGCCAGGCCCCACUGCCAGCAGUCGUGAUUUUGCUGAAAAAUGGAGAAGAAGCGGCCGAUUUCGUUCGAACUUCUCCGACUUCGUUCUCUCUCCUCCGGCCACCGAUUUCGAUGAAUGAGGUAUGGUUUCUCACCUACUUUUUAUGCUCUAGCUGCCUGUUGGGUAGGAUUCGAUCAAUUCCUUGCGUAGGUAGCUUGAUUUUCGAAUUGGAUUUCGGCCGGUUUUGGGAUCUCGAUUCCGGCCACUUCCGGUCAGUUUUUGGGGUACAUCCCAAAACAAAAGUGGUUCUAAAUAGGGUGUUAUACCUAGGGUAGGAACCUUGAACCGUAAUUUUGAGAAUUUUCGGUGAUGCCUAAUCGCUUUGGACACCUACGCUAUGCCUGCGUGUGGGCACUAUAGAAAAAGGGCAUUGUGUCCCGAUGCAAUCCCCUUGUUGUCUUGAGCGCGUAGGUGUGCUCGGAUUUCAAUUUGGAUACCGUUUGAAUCUCGAACGAAUAUCGCAUAUUGUGCGUUAUUCGGGGUCGAUAGGUUUGAACUGUUGGAUAGUCUUAGAUUUAUAAUAUGUUAAUCUAGACAUUCUUAGGAUCGAAUGGGAUUAAACGGAUCGUAAAACGGAGUCCCGGAUACUCCAAAAAUGCCAACCCUAGGGCUAGGUUCCUAGUAACCGUCCGAUCGUGCGAUCGUGAGCGAUCCGACCGUUUGAUCCGAACCAAACUUGCAGGACGUGUAUCCUAAACCUUGUAGAACCCAUAGGAACUUUCGGAUUAGAAUUUGGAGGUCGUGGGCCCCUUGGGCCGUUUGACUAAGUUUGGGUAGUUUGACCCUUGGCUGAUCGUGAGUCUUCAGAGGUCUUGAGCGUUGUUGAGCUAUGUUGACUAGGUUUAGACUUUUAGAGUGUUUAUUAUUAUCAUAGGAAACUAUUAGAUAUUAUUUUAAUAAUUGAAAUUAUCAAAUUUAUGUUUAUGUGCAUGAUUGUUGGUCUAAAAAUAACAUUGUUUUCUUGAUAAAAUUACGUUGCAGUCUACUAUAGACUGGUAUCACUAAAUGGAGAUUACCUCUAUUAUUAGUUUAGAUAAUUAAGAGUAUGUCAGUUUGAAGUGCUAUAUGCACUACCCUAAGUACCACCCUGUGAUUGUUAGGUCCCAUGUGGUGUAGAUUAUACAGCGUCAGGACAGACCCCAUACGUGGCUUUGGAUGUUCUGGCGCAUGGGGGAGAUUAUGUAAUGGUUAGGUCAUACGUGGCGUAGGUUAUUCAGCGUGUUGACAGACCCUAUACGUGGCGUUGGAUGUUCCAGUAUGGAAAGAUUUUGUGAUUGUUAGGUCCCACGUGGCGUAGAUUAUCCGGCGUGAGGACAAACCCCAUUCGUGGCUUUGGAUGUUCCUGCGUAUGGGGGAGAUUAUGUGAUGGUUAGGUCACACGUGGCGUAGGUUAUUCGGCGUGUUGGCUAACCCCAUAAGUGCCGUUGGAUGUAACGACCGGUCCUAAAUAAAUUAGUGAAUAUUAAUUUAUUCAGAGAAAAUACCAUUUUGCCCAUAGAGUAUUUUAUUAGGUUCAAAGUUGACUUUUUGAUCAGAAAGGAAUUUGAGAAUUUCGAUUAUACCGUUGCAUAGAGCACGGCGAGAUGAGUCCGUAGACACGUGGUAUGCUCGAAUCGAAGUUGUAACGAGAGAGAUACGAUCAAAAUACCCUCAGUGGCAUAACCGUAAUUUUGGCAAAAAGGGUCGAUAAAAUCAUAUAUAUAUAUUUUCUCUCUCUCUCUCUCUCUCUCUCUCUCUCUCUCUGCGAUAUUGUCCCUCUCUCUCUUUGAUUCACUGCCAUCUGCCCACGGCAGGACUUGAGACUGGUCACGUUUGAACCGGCUCGAUGUCCCGAUCACGUCGCACCCAAAAUGCAAAUGGAAACCUUGAAUUCCAGCCACGGCUUCGACUGGUUUGAACUGGGUUUUUCCCGGCGUUGCGCCACCGCCUCCGCCGCCCAAUUCCGGUGAAACAGGUAUAAUUCCUCACCUAUUUUUCGAGAUCCAGCUGUUGUUGUGUAGGAAUUAGACGAUUUUCAUGUUUAGGAACUCGAUUUAGAAUUUAGGUUUUGGUCGAAUUUUCAAAGUGAAAUUUCGGCCACUUCCGCUGGUUUUUCGGGGUAUGUCUAAGAACAAAAGUGGUUCCAAAUAGGGUGUUAUACCUAGGGUAGGAACCUUGAGCUGUGAUUUUGAGAAUUUCCGGCGAUGCGUAUUCGCUUUGGACACCCACGCGCCGACAGCGCGUGGGCACUGUAGAAAAGGGGCAUUGUGUCUCAAUGCGAUCUGCUUGUUGUCUUGAGCUCGUAGGUAUGCUCGAAUUUCAAUUUGGAUACUGUUUGAGUCUCGAACGGAUAUCGCAUAGUGUACGUUAUCCGGGUUUGAUAGGUUUGAACCAUUGGAUAGUUUUGAAUUUGAUAUAUGUUAAUCUAGGCAUUUCUAGGAUCAUGUAGGAAUUCAGGGAUCAUGAAUCAGAGCCCCGGAUGUUCCGAUUUAAUAACUUAAAGUUUAUGUUUAUAAUAACUAUCAGAUCGUGCGAUCGUGAGCGAUCCGACUGUCUGAUCUGGACCAAACUUGCAGCACGUAUAUCCUAAACCUUGUGGAACAUAAAAAAAUUUCGGAUUAGAAUUUGGAGGUCGUGGGCCCCGUGGGCCCAUUUAACCAAUUAUGGGUAGUUUGAUCCUUGGUUGACCGUGAGUCUUCCGAGAUAGUUUUACCUUCCUAGGAGGAUUAUAAUGACCCUAGUGAUAGGUCUUGACCGUUGUUCAGCUAUGUUGACUAGGUUGAGACUUCUAGAGUGUUUAUUAUAUUAUUGUAGGAAACUCUUAGAUAUUAUUUUAAUAAUUGAAAUUAUGAAAUUUAUGUUUAUGUGCAUGAUCGUUGGUCUAAAAAUAAUAUUAUUUUCCUGAUAAAAUUACGUUGCAGUCUACUAUAGACUAGUAUCACUAAAGUGGGAAUACCUCUAUUAUUAGUUGAGAUAAUUGGGAGUAUGUCAGUUUGAAAUGUUAUACCCUAAGUACUACUCUAUGAUUGUCAGGUCACCCGUGGCGUAGGAUUUUCCGGUGAGAUGACAGACCCCAUACGUGGCGUUGGAAUUUCCAACGUAUGGAGAGAUUAUAUGAUUGUUAGGUUUCACGUGGCGUAGGAUUUUUCAGCGGGAUGACAAACCCCAUACGUGGCAUUGGAAGUUUCAGCGUAUGGGGAGAUGAUAUGAUUGUUAAGUCACACGUGGCGUAGGUUAUUUGGAGUGCUGACAGACCCCAUACGUGGCGUUGAAAUUUCUGGCGUAUGGAGAGAUGAUAUGAUUGUUAGGUCACUUUGGAUGUUCUAGCGUAUUGGGAGAUUAUGUGAUUACCAGUGAGAUGAAUAAAGGAUUGUUAUGUUAUAUUGGGAAAAACAUGUUUGUAGAAAGAAUUACGUGUGGCUUGAUCCCUCAGUAAGGGUACGUAGGCAGCCUAGGGUAGUGCCUUGGUGCAGUCGCUGACUAAACAUUAUAAUGUUGUUUUUAGGUUUGAUUAUAUGGUAUUAUGGGGCAAGGCCCCUAGGACUAUUGGUGAUAAUUCAUAGAUGGUAGUGGAUGCAUGCUAGAAAUUUGUAGGAAGUUAUUUCAUGUGGAUUGCAGUGGUACUCGUAAAAUUUAUUUGAGUUCCUUAAUUGCAUUGUUAAUAUAUUAAUUUACUUAAGAGUACUGCUAGUAGUUCUGCCUUGAUUUAUUUGAAGGCUGGAGGCCUUGUCUGGAAACUGUGUGCAAUUAGAUUGUGUGUGCUGGCAGUUGACUUUUUAAAUUGUGAAUUUUGUGCAGGUUGAAAUUUGGGAAAUGUUCAAUUUACAGGGGAGACUCUGCUGAAAUUUCGGUAGAAAGUCUUGUGCCCUUAUUCCUUUUUGGGGAAAAGGAUAUAGUUUUAGAAGUGGCGAUGUCGGGAAUUUCCACAGGAUUCGUCUCGGGUUUCGGGAAAUUCGGGGCGGGUCUGAAAAAGUUGUUUCAGUUUUGGCAAGUAUCGGAAAAGACCAAAAUUUUCCGACUUUAUUAUUACUAGAAACAAGGUCGAAGUAUUUACCAAUCAUGUGGCCUUCCAAGUGCUCUAGGUUAAGCCAGGAACCGUUCCUAUCUGCCGUUUCCUUCCCAACUAUGAUCAUGUUGUCUGGGUUCCAACCCACAAAUCUACAUUGGGCUACGUAUUUGAAUUUGUACUAAAGCGUGAUCUAUAGUAUGCAUAUAUUGGAUAAGUUUGAGAUCAGUGGCUUGGGUGUCCGCUGAGCUUGAACAAGUUUGGGUGUGCUGAGUGUUUCCAUGGGUGUGUUGAUGAUCAUGGUUAUUAGAUUUGUGAUAGUUUGGGCUCAAUUUCAACAGAACUCAUCUCAAGCCUAGAUAGUUGAUUCUUAAGUUUAUCAGGAAAAAAAAUUAAAAAUUAAAAAAUCUAAAGUUAAGCCCAAGGCGCCGAACUUGGACUUCUCACCAAACUGUGCAUAAAUUGAAAUAUUUAAUAGAAGCCCAAGAUUUUUGAAGCACAUAAUAUCUACAAAAAUCUACAAAGUGUAAUACUUUACAAACUUCUUAUGUGUACCAAUUUCUGCUCAAAUUAAUUUCUCUGUGGUGCUGAGAUUCAUCAUAAUUUUAGUAGAAAUUGGAAGUUUUCAUCAUUUUUGCUUUAAGUCUCUCCUCCACUCACUAAUAAAGAUUACUCAAGUGAGUUUACAAAACAUUUUUUUUCUACUCUCUCCUGAAGACUACACAUCUUCUCAAAAGAUUAGAUCACUUCACAUCUUGUAUAUGUGAAAACUAAUGCAAAAAGUUGAAACUUUAUCAUAAAACCUCGACAAAAAUUAGCUCUACUUAGAACAUUAAAUUUGGAUUCGUUGAUUUAAAUGGCAAUUUGACACUUCAUAGAAAUUUUUACAUACAUGUGUUAGUGUUUGAUCACUUCACUUAUUACUUACUAUAUUUAUUCCAUGAUUCUCCCUCAAGUUAUGUAAAUAUUAUUAUCAAACAUUUCAAUUCAUUUGUGAUAUUUCUUGUCCAUCUUUCAAUGUACCCUGAAAUCCAUUAGCCACAUAUGAUGACCAAAAUCCACACUCUGUUGUUUGCAAACGUUCAAUAUACGACUUGCAUCCACAGUCCUGACCCAAAUGAAAUGCGGAAACUGUCAAGCUAACUGUAGGGAGGACUAUAUUUGAUUUUACCUUAAAGACUGAUCCGAAACCACCUUCUCCAAGUUUAUUGUUGUUUGAAUAGUUUUUGGUUGCACAAACAACAGCGGCCAAGUCAAAUAAUGGCAAUUCCAGAUCUUCCUUUUGGCCGGGCUUCAGUUCUCCUGUGAAGUACGUAGUGAAGUAAAUAAUGUAGCAUGGAACCUUAGCUUAGAAACCAGAGAGGCAACAGCAAAAAUUUUCUAUAGAACUGAACCUACCUAUCUUAGAAAAUGAAGGGGCAGAAGAGUAGAAAAUCAAAUAGCUUACCAUAUUUUUGUUGCUGGUUCUUCCUCACAUAUAAUAGCAGGGUAAGGCCCAGGGUCAGCAGUCCAGUAGACAACACAGUACUGGUUACUAUGAUCUUUGUAUUGUGUCCUUGAUCUAGGAAUGAAGUAUUUGAAAGCAGAAGAUUGAGGAGUCAGAAAUUCAUAAAGAAAAAAUCUCUACUUUUUAUCAUCCAACGAACAAUUAAUGCUAGUUUCUGAGACAGUUCUAAAGAAAUAUUUUUCUAACAAUGUCAAAAGUUUUCUGGCUCUAUCUUGUUUCUAAUCAUGUCACUGUUGGAAGAUUUCUUUCUUCUUUUUUCCUUGGUGGCUUUUAUUUUUCUUUCAAACUUUGUUUUAAACAGCAAGAUGAUUCCAUACCUAGUUCUGACGAAGCCAUUCUUAUGUAAAUAUCUUGCCCAUUUAUAUUGGAAUAUCUUAUAUCAACCAGAUCGCUGAACCACAGCAAGGACCCCCUUCCUCCAUCUCGGAUAUCCAAAUUUGAAAAAGCGGCGCAGGAGCAGUUGUUCAUGCACAUCAUCUCACAUUCCUUGAGGUUCAUAAUUGUGUUAUACUAGGAUUGUUCUGUACUUUAUUUCACCCCAGUGUACUUCUUAAAGAUGUCUCCACUGCAAUUCAGUUGGCUCUUUCUCACAGAUCUAUAUGACCAAUCCACCAAGUCCCAGUCUUGUUGAAAGUCGGUAUAAAUCCUUUCAAGCAGCUACGUACUGGGGACUUGUCAAUACAACAUGCACCAUUCGGACCACAUAUUCCAUAUUUGUCGCAGAUAUCAGUCGUUGCUCUUAGAUAAACAACCCAACCUUGGUUUCCAUCACUCCCGAUGUAGCUCAGCCCAAAUCCAUCUUGAGUUAACGCCAGCCUGAAAAGAGUUGAGCUGUUGAGAAGCUUAUAACCAUAAUAUACUUCAUCAUCAUUAUCCAACACAAAAUCAUAUGUUGGAUUUAAAUUAUGCAUCCCACUAAAUUGGAUUCCAUUCCAUGGUGCAGUCCGAUAUUUUAUAACAGAACCCUCCCUCAGAAUUAAUUCAUGGUACCCAUAAGGACCAAGUUGAUAUGGGUAAUGUCCUUGAGAAGGAUCCUGGGGGCUUUUCCAGGGUGUAAGAUGCCAAUUAAAACCUGUGAUUUUGUUCCUAACAAGCUUCAUACCUGGUAUUAAUGUAUCUCCUGGGUAAUCAAAACUCUGCCAUAAAAUAUUAUCAGAGUCAUUACGACCAUUGCCAUCUAUCACAACAAGAUUUCCGGAAUCCAAAAUCUGUGCCACUGGAUUCUAUGAAGAACUUGAUGUGUUGGAAGACCUGUAGUGUUCUUUGUUGAAUAUUUGGAUUGCAAAGGGAGCAAGAAAUGUACUGAGAGAGAAAGAGAGAGAGAGAGAGAGAGAGAGAGAGAGAGAGAGAGCAGUGAGCCUUAGAUUGUUCUAACAGUUUUCUUACUCUGCAUGAACAUAGCAGCAGAGCUUAUAUUCCUUCAUGACUGUUACAUGUUCUCUCUUACAUCAGUAGAUUCAAAUCUAACGGUUUGUAAUAGUAAGCCAAUGUGAGUAUGACACAUGGCAAUACACAGCUGUCCUAACAGCUGGGAAUUCAAAACAGACUCUAGCAUUGCACCUGGCAUAUAAGCACAAGGCACUCAGCUAACACAAAGAUUAAAAACAGAUUGAAUAUAAACUGACAUAGAACUUACUAACUAAUCUGAAAUUAGCUAGACAGUUUACAUUUUAACACUCCCUUCUAAAGUGCUAGCUGAUUUCACUCCAAGCAUUCUCCUCAAAUAGUCAAACCUGUCUUUGGGAAGAGCUUUGGUGAAGAUAUCAGCAAUCUGCUCUUCUCCUUUGCAGUAGAGCAGUUCAAUCACUUCUUCUUGUAUUGCAUCUCUAAUAAAAUGAAACUUCCUUUUAAUAUGCUUGCUCCGUUGAUGAAAAACAGGAUUUUUAGCCAUUGCUAUGGCUGAAGUGUUGUCACAAAACACAGUUGUUGCAGUGGUCUGUUCUUCCCCAAAAUCUUCAAGAACAAACCUGAGCCAAAUGGCUUGUGAUGUAGCUUCUGCUGCACUCACAUACUCUGCCUCUGCAGUAGAGAGAGCCACACUGUGUUGUUUGACUGAUGCCCAUGAAAAAGCACCACUUCCAAAUGAAAAUGCAUAUCCAGAAGUGCUUUUCAUAUCUUCCUCAGAUCCACUCCAGUCACUGUCACAGUAACCAACUAAGAGUGCAGAUUUUCCUGUCACAUACUCAAUUCCAUAGUCAAUUGUGCCUUGUAUGUACCUUAGAACCCUUUUAGCUGCCCCAUAGUGCAUCUUAGAAGGGUUAUGCAUGAAUCUUGCAAGCAGGCAGGCAGAGAACAUGAUAUCUGGCCUGGUUGCAGUAAGGUACAGCAGGCUGCCUACAAUUUUUCUGAACAAACUUUCAUCUGCAGCAUCACUUCCAUCCUCUCUUUUCAAUUUAUCAGUAGCCACUAAUGGAGUGCUUACUGACUUGCAGUCUUUGAGUCCAAACUUAUCCAAGAGAGUGAGAGCAUACUUCUUUUGAUGAAUGAAGAUGCUCCCUUCAGUUUGUGUUACUCCCAUACCAAGAAAAUGGUGGAGUAAACCCAAAUCAGACAUCUCAUACUUGCACAUCAUUUCAGCUUUGAAUUCUUUCAUCAUUUCAUCUCUACUUCCUGUGUACACUACGUCAUCUACAUAGAUUGACACUAUUAGUGUUCCCACCUUCCUUUGUUCUCACAUAGAGAGUGGCUUCACUUGGACUUCUGUGAAAACCACACUGAUUCGAGUAGGUGUCAAUUUCACUAUACCAGGCCCUUGGAGCCUGCUUCAACCCAUAGAGGGCUUUUCUUAACCUAUACACCUUAUCCUCAUCAUCUUUAACCACAAAACCAUCCGGUUGAUCAAUAUAAACUUCUUCUUCAAGGACACCAUUUAGGAAGGCUGACUUGACAUCCAAUUGCCAUAGUUUCCAGCCUUUCUGAGCAGCAAGAGCUAUGAGAGUUCUAAUGGUGUCUAACCUUGCUACAGGAGCAAAGGUUUCAUUGAAAUCAAUCCCUGGUUUUUGUGUGUAUCCCUUGGCAACAAGUCUUGCUUUAUGUUUUUGAAUGGAGCCAUCAAGAUUAAGCUUAAUUUUGAAUAUCCACUUCACUCCCACAAUUGGUUUACUACUUGGCCUGUCAACCAAUUCCCAACUGGAGUUUUUCUCUAUCAUAAGUAUCUCCUCAGUCAUAGCCUUCCCCCAAGCUUCAUCUUUGACUGCUUCUUCAAAAUUUUCAGGUUCAAUGAUGCUCAUCUUGCAUUGAGCAUACACUUCACUCAAACUCUUCCAUUUCUUUGGGGUGUUAUCAUAAGUUUCUAAUGGAGCAGAGUCUUGAGUAGCAUGCACAUCAUUACUUGUUUGUGUUUCCAUAGGAGACUGUACAAUCUGUUGCUGUAACAGAUUUGGUUAUGAAUCCAAAUCUGAUACAAUUGAACUUACUCCAUCACCCCAAGACAUAGGGAUUUGCAAUGCCUCAUUGGUUUCCCAAUUCCACAUUGCUUCUUCAUCAAAAAUAACACUCCUAGACAGCUCAAUCUUUUGAGUUCUCAAGUUGAGCACUCUAUACCCCUUUUCACAUACACCAUAUCUUACAAAUACUCCCUUCUCACCUGUGUCUUCCAGCUUGUGCCUUUUCUGUGUGGGGAUGUGAAUAUAGCAUAGAGAACCAAAUAUUCUCAAAUGCUUGACACCUGGUUUUCUUCCACCGAACUUUUCAAAUGGAGUGGAAUUGUCCAGUGCACUUGUAGGACAUCUGUUCUGCAAAUAUACAGCUGUAUUGACAGCUUCUGCCCAAAACUUCAAAGGGAUUUUCUUCUCAUACAUCAUGGCUCUUGCCAUUUCCAUCACAGUACGAUUCUUUCUCUCUGUAACUCCAUUCUGUUGUGGAGAGUAGCCUACUGNNNNNNNNNNNNNNNNNNNNNNNNNNNNNNNNNNNNNNNNNNNNNNNNNNNNNNNNNNNNNNNNNNNNNNNNNNNNNNNNNNNNNNNNNNNNNNNNNNNNNNNNNNNNNNNNNNNNNNNNNNNNNNNNNNNNNNNNNNNNNNNNNNNNNNNNNNNNNNNNNNNNNNNNNNNNNNNNNNNNNNNNNNNGGUGUGGUCAUCAAUGAAGGUGAGGAAAUAUCUGUUCCCUCCAAGAGUGAUGGUCUGCAUUGGACCACAAAUGUCUGAGUGAAUCAGUUCUAGAGGUUGAGUGGCUCUCCAAGCUCCUUCCUUAUCAAAAGAGCUUCUGUGAUUCUUGCUUUCAGCACAACCUGAGCAGACCUUCUCAUGUUCUUGUAAAUUAGGCAUUCCCUGAACCAUAUCUCUCUCUUGUAACAACUUCAAACUAAUAUAGUUUAGGUGCCCAAAUCUUCUGUGCCACAGCCAGGAUGUUUCUCCAACUGUUGCUCUGUUUGCCAUAGGAGGAUUAACAUAGUCAAGAUUUAAAGGAAAACAUUUGUUUCCCUUCAUUGGCACUCUUGCAAUGCAAUCUUCCAACUGCCUAUCUCCAUAGAUAUCAACUGCAUUAUCACCAAAUACAAGCCAAUGCCCAUGUUCUAUCAUUUGACCUACACUUAGCAAAUUUUCAUCUAAACUUGGUACAAUCAUGAUUUCUUUGAUAUAUCUAGUCACACCCUUCAUUUCUAUAGCCAAAGUCCCUUUGCCUAUUAACUGCACUAGAUCACCAGUCCCCAUUUUGACUUUACUCUUCAUACUUUUAUCAACAUUUACAAGUAAUGACUCAUGGGAAGUCAUGUGAUUGCUGCAUGCACUAUCAACAUACCACAUAUUCACAUUCUUUCCAAUUGUUGCAGCAUGACAUGCAUAGAACAUAAUGGCAGGUUCAGUUACCUGAUUUGCAAUGUUAGCAAGUUUCCCUGCCUUGUUUGCUUGGUCACAGUCCUUAACAAAAUGACCAAAUCGAUUGCAGCCAUGACACUUUGGUUUUCCUUUAAACCAACACUCACCAUAGUGUAACUUCUCACAAUGUUUGCAUUUUCCAGAUUUGUCUCCUUGACUUGGUUUUCCCCCUUGAUUGGCACUGUUUUGGGGUUUAGAAUCCCAUUUCUUAUCCUUGGACUUCCAAUUCUUCUUUGAUUUAUUAGAGCCAGAACUAGAACUUGAUUGAGAUCCUUUUGAGUUUAUGCUCAUGCUGCUGAAAGCUUUCUCAGUGGUGCUUUCUGCAUGUCUGUCAAGGCGCUGAGCAAAACCUCUUAAUGCUGCAAUUACCUCCUGCACUUCAAUGGUUUCAAUGUCUCUAGUUUGCUCAAUCACAUAGCAGACUGGAUCAAAUUCCUUGGUUAAGCUUAUUAGCAGUUUUUGAACUAUCCUCCCUUUGGUCAGAUCUUCCCCAUAUCCCUUCAUCUGAUUUACAAGCUCAAGUAACCGAGUGAUGUAUCCAGACAAGAUCUCAUCAUCCUUCAUCCUGGUGUACUCAAAAUCUCGACGCAGACCCUGCAACAUGAUGGAUCUGACUUGCUUAUCACCAUGAAACUCCUGAUGCAAGAUAUCCCAAACACCUUUUGAGGUUUCUUCAUUUGAGAUUCUGGGAAAGAUGUCAUCUGAAACAGCACCUUGGAUAAUACCAAGAGCCUUAGCAUCUUUCAUCAACAAGGACACCAUCUCUGAAUCUGAUGACCCUUCUUUAUCAGCUUUUGAAUCUGGAACUUGAAGGCCUUUCUCAACCAAAUUCCAGAUUCCAUGAGAUUUGAAAAUUGUUCUCAUUCGAAUCUUCCAAAACUCAUAGUUCUCCCCAUUGAAUAUUGGAGCUCUAAGAUCACUCCCUCCUGACCCAGCCAUCUGAGACCAGACUCAAUGAGUUGAGAGUAGGAAAUUUCCCGUUGGAUUUCCAGACUCAGCUCCCACAGCUUCAACGCCCUCUAUCCAGAUCCAACCUGCGCACCUGAUACCAUGUUGAAUAUUUGGAUUGCAAAGGGAGCAAGAAAUGUACUGAGAGAGAGAGAGAGAGAGAGAGAGAGAGAGAGAGAGCAGUGAGCCUUAGAUUGUUCUAACAGUUUUCUUACUCUGCAUGAACAUAGCAGCAGAGCUUAUAUUCCUUCAUGACUGUUACAUGUUCUCUCUUACAUCAGUAGAUUCAAAUCUAACGGUUUGUAAUAGUAAGCCAAUGUGAGUAUGACACAUGGCAAUACACAGCUGUCCUAACAGCUGGGAAUUCAAAACAGACUCUAGCAUUGCACCUGGCAUAUAAGCACAAGGCACUCAGCUAACACAAAGAUUAAAAACAGAUUGAAUAUAAACUGACAUAGAACUUACUAACUAAUCUGAAAUUAGCUAGACAGUUCACAUUUUAACAUUCUUAUGGUCGGCAGGGACAAGAAUUCCAGGGCUGCUCAACUUGAAUACACCUGAUGAACCAGUGAGGGGUGUGUUUCUUUUAGUCUGCACUAUAUAUGCAGGGUCUGACUCUAAUUAGAAGAUAAUUGUAUUAAUUUGGUAAAGCUUUGUCUGUAACUGUCUCGCACCUUAAAAAAAUUUCACAAUUAGCAGCAUUGGCAAUACUUGAUUAGAAAGCAGAAACCCUACAGUAUAUAGUUAAGUUGAGUAGCUGGGAAGACAAUUAGUAAGCUUUCAAUACUAAAGUUGAAUAUUGGGGAGACAAAUUACUAGAGCUUCAAGUUCAGAUAAAUAGGAUGAAUUUCUCUUAAGGGAUCCCCUUUCACUGUAGCUUGGAGUAGAAUUCAUUUUGACACAAUAUCAAUUAUCAAUGUAAACACGUUACUGAUGCACUAUUGACAAUAUCGAUGCACGUCAUAUCAUAUUUGUGGGAGUAAAUUUCCUCACGAGAAUAUUUGGUUCAAAAGAUUCCCCUUUUUUUUUUUUUUGCCGCCUCUUUCUCCUUGCAAAAUAGAACAAAUAAGAGGACCACACCCGGGGGGUGUUGGCCAAAGGCCCUCCGAUGCUAAAUUAGUUCAAGUAUUUGUAAGAAAAAUACUAGCUAACUAGGGUACAGAGGUGUAUUUAAGGUGUAAACCGGGCAGCCGAAGUCUUAUGUAAAAGAGAGAGAGAAAGGAGGUGGCUAGCGUUUGAGAGGAAUUUUCUGCAGAGUUUUUAGUAGAGAUUUCAGACGUACCUCAACCAUUGUGUGUGGCCAUCUUUUUAUAGUGGUCUUGGAGGCUAGGGUUUCAGAGGAAUAAUUCCGUAGAUGGAAAGGAAUUAUUCCUCCCCUAUUUGGAAUUGAUUUGAUUAAUUAGGGAUUUGAUUUAUUAGGGUAAAUCAAAUCCCUAAUUGUGGUAGGUAUCAAAUCAAAUCCUUUUUUAAUUAGGUAACUCCUCAUUUAAUUGGGAAUUGUGGUAGGAAUCAAAUCAAUUCUCAACCUAAUUAGGUAACGUUCAAUUUAAUUGGGUAAUUCCCAAUUAAAUUGAGUAACUCCCAAUUAGGUUGAUUAAUUCCCAAUUAGAUCAAAUAAUCCCCUAAUUGAAGGAAUUAUUUGACCUAGGGUCUGAUUUAAUUCGAUUCCCACAAAUGCCCCCCAGCUUCUGCAUGGUGCAUGGUGGCACGUAGGAGAUGUAAAUUAUCUGUUGGGCUGUCCAGCUGUAACUGGGCUUCCUUCGUGGACCUGGGCUCCCGAGUAGAGGAGGUGUUUGACUUGCCAAUUUUAUGAACACCCAAUUGGAAAGGGUUUGAGAUUCCUUGUAGGUCAAGGAAUUUUGCUCCUUAUAAAUGUAGGGCUCCUCCAAAUUAUUCUCGACAUCAGAAAUCUACUCCUCCAAAUUUGUUAGUGAGAGAGAGAAGACUUUGGAGAAUUUUUCAGCGUGCUUGAGACUUCAUCUUUGCAGCCCAUCCAAGGUAAUUUGAUAGGAAGAAUUUUAUUUUGAGUUGCUAUGACUUUUGGCAGCAAGCUGUGAGACUAAGGGCAUGUCUUGAGGUGCGCGCUAGGGCUUUAGGCAUGGCAAGAGACUCGGAAAGGCUAGCAGGUUCGUUUCCACCUACGCUGGGCUCAAGGAGAAGGCAACAGGGCUUCAGGCCUUGUGGAUGAAGUGGGCUUUCGCUGGGAGCAAGAGGCCUGGAGCUGAGGCAAGGAGACAAUGGGCCUGGUACGAGGUGUGGGCUGAGCAUGCCAGCUUUGGAGCAAGGGGGCCAGGACGACUGCUGGGCAGGAGGUGCGCUGGGCUGCAUGCGCGAGCUGCGCCGAGUGCUGGCUGGAGGAGCGAGCUGGGCUGCGCGCUAGGCCAUUCAUGCUGGGCUACUUCCGUUUUUUUUUUGUUUUUUUUUAAAUUUUAUUUGCUGUUGCUGCUUUUUUUUUUGUUUUUUUGUUUUUUUUUUGUUUGGUAUUCUAACUCGUAAUUUUUUUUUUCUUCUUACAGCUACUUGUUGAUCAACCAUGUCUUCCGGAGAUGGUAGCAAGGCUCCAAGCUCUUAGGUCCUUUUGUAUUUAUGGGGAGGCUCCAUAGUGCAUGGCAAGAAGUUUGUGGUCAACUUGCAUCGCGUCACGACUUAUGCUCAGUUCCAGAAGUGGCGGGCCACUUAUGCGUCUGCCAUUCCAGAUGACGUGCUGGUCAAGCUAUUGAAAUCUCAAACUGAUAACGAGCCUUUGGUGGACGUGAGUGAUCAUGAUGCUAGGAUCAUUACCUUCCGUCCUUUUUACUUCUCUUUAGGCUUCAAAUUCCCGUUGUCAAAGCUCUUCAAGAAGGUGUUCUGUGCCAUGGGGUGUGCUCCGAGCCACUGUACUCAUGUGCUUCAAGAAUUUGAGUCGUUUCUUCAUGUUGGAGCUGACGAUGCGAGAGUUCUUUUAUUUUUUUCGAAGUGAGGCACUUUGAGCGGUACGCCCAAGUUCGUAUCUACAAGGCCAAGCUGUUCCACGGUCUCAGUCAAGGAGAUCACGCUUGACAUGAAGAUGUGUUGGAGGUCAGCAGACGGUGGGAGGGUGACGUCGGUGACGGCCCACCUGUUCCCAUCACCUAUUGUGAUGGUAUGUCUCUUUACGAUUUUUGAUAUGCUCCUUUUAUUUGAAUUUCUUGAAGUGUGGCAGACUAACUUCUAUCUUCUGCUCGUAGUGAGUGACAUUAGCAAGCAAUUGGAGCUCCGACCAGACAUGGCUAAGGUCCGUCGUGCUUUGAACAUCCCUCUAAGGUUUCACGAGUGGCGCUGGCUGUUGAGUGAGUACCGGGAGGAAGACGGUGGUUUUCUCCUUGCCGAGGAUGUCGAAAGGUGGAAGCAGAACGAUCCUGACCCUGAUGAUCUGCUUGGCAGACAGGAAGAAUGUUCUGCUUAAUCGCUCUUAAAGAGAAAGGCUGCUGCCAAAUCUUUGAGAUGUGAAGCUACUUCUUCGCAUGCAAAGGAUGGGUCUCCAUCGAGGAAGAAACCAAGGCUCCCUUCUGCUGAGAAGACUCAAGUGGGGUCUGCUCCCUCAUCAUCUGCCAGGGUUAAGCAUCUCGUGGGUGCAGAUAGCAAGAAGGUUGGUGGUAUGCAUGGUACUCGGGGUGUUCUGCCCAAGCUUCCUGCUGACACGCUCGAAAACCAUGAUAUACUUCGUGAAGUGGCUCGUGCCCAACCUAGUUCUGCCAAGCGUCAAAGAGAUGUAGACAUUCCUCCUAGAAGUUCGAGUUGUCUGCAUCGGUCAAAAGAUGGAGACCGAAGCGGGAGGUCUGCUUAUGAUCCAGCAUUAUUGACUCAUUUGGAGAUGAGGUUGGCGAAGGCUAAGAAGGUGAAAGAGUCAUCUGCCCGGGUUAAGGGUUCUUCCUCGGCGUUGGUAGUUGGUCCCAAGAUGAACAAGUCUAGCUCUGUAGGGGAUGCAUGCGUAUCUGAUCUGCUCAAGAUGAACUUCCUAUCAAACCCGUCCUCUUGUGUUGAGUUGGUUGAUCACAUCCCUCAAGCGGGCGAUCUAGGCACUUUCUCGUGCCUUUCCUUAGAAAAAUGAAGGAAAAUGACAUUCCAUCUGAUUCAAAAAGGACUGGUUUUUGCUACUGAGACUAUUUGGAACUCAUCUGCUAUUGCCCCUCUUCUGUCCAACUCAGCGAGUUGGAGAAGAAGAAUGCUGAUUGGCUAGACAGCUUUCCGCCGAGCAGGCCCGUUACGAGAAGAAGAUGUCUGAUUUGAGGGCGAUGAUAUCUGAGCUGAAAAGCUCCCUUACCGAGAAGGAUUUCGAGCUCAACUCUUCUGCUGCUGAUUUGGCUAGUCGAAAAGAUACCUUCUUUCGUCUUGAGCAUAAGAAUGCUGACAUCUUCCUUAGCUAUAACAAACUCCUGGCUAGAUUUCAUGCCUACCAUAAGUCUGCUAAAGAAUCCAAGACAGAUGGAGCUGCUGAAGGCGUAGCCGGUCAGGUGGAUGCCGAAGAGGCUGCAGCUUAAAAGUCUUCUGCUGGCGUCUCAGAGUAGAUGAAGACUCUUUUUUGUUUCUUUUCAGCUUUUGUAGUUUGCUUUAUUGUUUAGAAUAACUGGUCUUAUUUGACCAUCUUCUUUUUGUUGAACUUGGCUGGUUGGUCUGUUUGUUAGGGAAAUUUCAGUUACAUUUUCCAACUUCAAUUUGCAUAUUUGACUUGUGAACUGCUUAAGUAACCAGCCUGUGUUUUGAUUGCACAUCCCCCUUUAGAGAUUUGUGAGUACCAGGGUCCCCCUUGGAGGACUCCGGCCAUGCACAGUAUAUCUCGUAGGAUGGUUCCCCUUAGGAAGUUGGCGAGUACCAGGGUCCUCUUUGAGAGACUCCGGGUGUGUUCUGCACAUCCCGUAUGAUGCCUUAAUCGUCGCCUUGCUUCUCCCGUAGGACGCUGCUUAUAGGCAACUAUAUGACUAUCCUGCCUUUCUUAGGAAACGGAUAGGAACCUGGAUAUUUCCCGCAUGAAGCAUGGAGACCUCCUUUUAAGAAAUUUUUGGUGCACCAUGCUUCUCCCUUAGGACGCUUUUUUCGCAGGCUGGGUCUCCAAAUGGACGCUUUUAGUCGUUGCCCUGCGUCUCCCUUAGGACGCUCCUUAUGGGCAACUGUGUGACUAUCCUGCCUCCCUUAGGAAAUGGAUAAGACUUGAAUAUUUCCCGCAGUAAGCAUGGCGACCCCCUUUUAAGAAACUCCUGGCGUACCCUGCAUCUCCCUUAGGAUGCUUUUUAAGAGGGCUGCUUCUCCAAACGGACGCUUUUAGUCGUUGCCUAUGUCUCCCCUAGGAUGCUCCUUAUGGGCAACUGUGUGACUAUCCUGCCUCCCUUAGGAAACAGAUAGGAAACUAGAUAUCUCCCUUAGGAAAUUCCUAGCGCACCUUGCGUCUCCCGAAGGACGCUUUUUUAGCUGGCUACGUCCCGAAACGGACACUUUUAGUCGUCGCCCUGCGUCUCCCUUAGAAUGCGCCUUAUAGGCAACUGUGUGACUAUCCUGCCUCCCUUAGGAAACGGAUAGGAACCUGGAUAUCUCUCUUAGGAAAUUCCUGGGGCACCUUGCGUCUCCCGAAGGACGCUGCUUAUGGGAAAAUAUUGUGUUUCGUGGGCAGAUGAGACAUUUUGGAAUGAGAAACUGAACUUAUAUUGAUAUUCAUAAGAUUACAGUCCUUUAUUUGAAAAUGGAAAUAACUUGGUUCAAAAACUUAGAACUUCUAGCAGCUACGAGGAAGCACUAUGGAUAAUACUUUCGGAGAUGGUGAGCAUUCCAUUGUCGUGGUAUUUCCUUCCUAUCCAUGGUGUCCAGUGUGUUGCUUCCUCUGCCCCGGACCUGCUGAUCACAUAAACGCCCUCCCAGUUAGGAUUCACUUUUUUUGACCCGUGUCUUGGUGCAGUAAUGAAAGCCUUAGCACGAGGUCGCCUGGUUGAAACUGUUUGACCUUAGCUCUUUUGUCGUAGUAAGACUUCAACUGCUAGUGAUAGGAGGCGACCCGAAUAAUGGUCUUCUCACGCCUGCCCUCAAGUAAGUUGAGGUUGAGCCUCAUCUGCUCGGAGUUCUGAUCAACACUGCCUACCUUAAGACUUAUAGAGAGGACAGUGAUGUGAGGUGGUAUGAUCACUUCUGUUCCAUAGGCGAGAGAGAAUGGGGUUUCACCAGUCGAUCUUCGCUUGGUGGUGUGAUAAACCCAUGGUACUCUGGGGAGUUCAUCCACUCAUUUCCCUUCAGCGCCUUCCAGCCUUUUCUUUAAGCAGUCCAAUAUGACUUUGUUGGAUGCCUUGGCUUGUCCAUUUCCUUGUGGAUACCUCGGGGUGGACAAGUGUUGUUUGAUCUUGUAUUUCACAAAAAAAGCGGUGAUCUGCUUGCCAAUGAACUGUGAGCCAUUGUCGGUAACCAACGACUGUGGGCAGCCAAACCGGCAUAUGAUGUUUCUCCAGAUGAAUCACUCCACAUCGGCUUCUUUAGUAAAUGAUAGAGCUUCGGCCUCGAUUCAUUUAGUAAAGUAGUCGGUGGGGACGAUCAUCAUUUCUUUCUUGGCGGGCGCUAGUGGCAAGGGAUCCACUAGGUCGAUGGCCCAUUGCAUGAACAGCCAUGGACUGUUUUGCGGAUGAUAGACUUCGGCAGGCAAGUUAGGGAUCGGCUUGUAUUGCUGACAGCGUCACAUUUCUUGGCACAUUCAGCACAGUCGUGACGUAUGGUAGGCCAGAAGUAGCCUAUGUUUAGAACUUUCUGGGCGAGUGACCUGCCCCAGAAUGGUUGCCAUACUCGUCGUCGUGAAUUUUACAGAUAAUCUCAAGUGUUUGAUGGUACUUUAUGCAGGUGAGAUGAAGGCCGGAGUAUGAUCUGUGGAUGAGCUUGUUGCCGUGCAUGUAGUAUCUCUCGGCCUUUUGCUGGACUUUUCUAGCUUCGGACUUGUCCGUUGGCAGGUUUCCAUUCGUGAAAUAGUCGAUGAUGAGGUCUUGCUAGCUGGGGUCCUCGUCAAUCUGCAUGGUAUUAAUCGGCUCUAUUUCUUCAAUGCUUGGUCGGUCAAGGUGUUCGACCUAGAUGGAGUGUUUGAACUGGGUAUCCAGCGUUGAACCUUGGCUUGCCAGUGCGUCUGCAUGCGCGUUCUUUGCCCGGGACACUUGUUGGAUAGUGAAGGUAGGAAAUGCCUUCAACAGCUCUUGGACUCUAUCAAGGUAUAAGAUCAUCCUUGGGUGCUUUGCCAUAUAUUCACCUGAGGCUUGAUUCGUGAUCAACUGUGAGUUUGAGUAGAUGGCUAGCUUUUUGAUUGCGAGCUCCUUUGCCAAGCGUAAGUCGGCGAGUAAUGCCUCGUAUUCUACCUCGUUGUUCGAGACCGAGAAGCCAAGCGUAAUAGCUUGCUCUAACAGGGUUCUAUCCAGGGUGGUGAUAACGACCCCUGCUCCAGCUCCUUUUUGGUUCGACGCUCCGUCUACACGCAACUGCCACAUGUCUCUGGGAUGGCUUGGUUCUGCGGAGGUCCUGUCUGCUUUUGAACUUCCCUCCUUUUGGUUGACUAACUUCUCUUUUUUGGCUGAUGGGGUGAAUUCUGCGACGAAGUAUGCUAAAGCCUGGGCUUUUAUUGCAGUUUUUGGCCCGUAGAGGAGGUCAUAUUGGCUUAGCUCUAUAGCCCACUUCAUGAGUCGCUGAGAAGCAUCAGGGCUGUGGAGGAUUGAUCUCAAAAGAAAGUCAGUCAUGACUAUGACUCGAUGAGCUUAGUAGUAGGGUCGCAGCUUUCUCGCAGAAACUACAAGAGCCAAAAUAAGUUUCUCCAAUUUCGGGUAACGAGUCUCUGCAUCGAGGAGAGCUUUUGACGUGUAGAAUACCGGAUAUUGGGCCCCUAUCUCUUCUCGGAUGAGAGCUGAACUGACAGCUGAGUUGGACUUACCUCACUAGGGACUGGAUUUGAGAGCAUGGAAGGUGAGGUGAGGUAAGUCUUCAGAUUAUGGAAAGCUACUUUGCAGUCCUCAUCCCAUUUCUCUCUUUGUCCUUUCUUCAAAGCUUUGAAGAGUGGUCUGCACUUGUCGGUUGAUCUCGAGAGGAAUCGGUUGAGAACCGCUGCUUUGUCCGUCAGACUUUAUAUCUCUUUCACCGUGGAAGGCGACUUCAUCUCUAGAAUGGCUUUGAUUUGACGUGGAUGUGCCUCGACACCUCGUUGCGUGGCUAGGUAUCCCAAGAAUCGGCCGGAGGAUACACCAAACAGGCAUUUACUUGGAUUCAACUUCAUGCGAUACUGGCGGAGCAAGCUGAAUGAUUGGGUAAGACUUCCGAUGUGAUCUGCACGUUUUGGGGCUUUGACCAGCAUGUCAUCCACGUAGACCUUCAUAGUUUUGCCGAUCUGCUUAUUGAAGAUUUUAUUCCCGAGCCUUUGAUAGGUUGCUUUGGCGUUCUUCAGCCCAAAGGGCAUGACCUUAUAGCAGCAGGUCCCUCUCUCGAUGAUGAAAAAAGUUUUUGCCUUGUCAUCCUCGUGCAUCAGGAUUUGUUUAUAGCUGGACUAGGCGUCCAUGAAGCUAAGCAGUUGAUUGCCAGAAGUGGAAUCCACGAGUUGGUCGAUUCUCGGCAAUGAGAAGUUGUCUUUAGGGCAUGCUUUGUUGAGGUCUGUGUAAUCGACACAAACUCUCCAUUUGCCAUUUUCUUGUUUUGCCACCAAAACAACGUUGGCAAGCCACUCUGAGUAGGAGGCCUCUUCGAUGAAGCCGACAGCUAGGAGUUUGUCAAUCUCGGCCUCGAUGAUAGCAAGUCGCUGGGGUGCGAAGUUGCGUCUCUUCUGCGCCACUGGCUUGCAGGCAGGGUUGAAGUGGAGUCAGUGACAGAUGAUGUUCUUGUCGAUGCCAGACUUGUCUGACGGCAACCAUGCGAACAUGUCUCUGUUGCUCUGGAGGAAGGUGGUAAGCUCCACAUUCUCUUCUGGCCUUAGGCGCGAACCGAUCCACUCUUUCCUAUCUGGUUGGUCAGGAUCCAAGGGUAUUAACUCGACGUCCUCCUUGGGUUUCCAUCCUUCUUCAGGAAAGACCUAUGGACGGAUUUCCUCGACUUGGUCCUGACGCUUUAAUUGCUAUAAGAUAGCAAGAUCCAGUUGCUCAACCUCCUCCAGAUCUGCCUGGCUCACAGGGAGAAACUGCGCUUGUUUACCUUUCUUUAGCCCUUGGGCGGAGCAUUUCCUCGCCAUUGCCUAAUCGUUGUUGAUUUGGCCGACACCGCCCCCAAGGAUUGGGUACCGAAUUUUCUAAUGUGUGGCGGAGGUGAUUGCAUUAAUUUUGCCAAUCGAUGGUCUGCCCAGAAUGCCGUUGUAGGGUAAGACCUUAUUAAUGACCAUGAAGGUUAUGAGCUGAUUAUAAGUGGGGAGUAGACGUCGAGGUCUAUCAUGCCCACGGUAACCGUUGUUGCACCAUUAAAAUCGCUCAGCAACCUAGCUAAUUUGUAAAUCUUUGUCUCCAAUCCCAUCUGUUGAAUGACCUCCAGUUGCAGGAUAUUGGCUGCGCUGCCCUCGUCUGUGUGGAUUCAGUCUACCAUGACCUGAGCAAUUUGAAUGCUGAUGACAAGGGCUUCGUUAUGUGGCAUGUAGAGGCCGAUCAGAUCUUUCUUUUGGAAGCCGAUUACAGGAUCGUCUUCUGCUGGUGGAAGGUCGGUCGAGAUUUGGGAGAUCACAGUGGUCUGUUUGAUCUUCCUCUUUUUUUCCUUUCUGGUCAGCCCAGACUCCUCGGAGUCAGCUAGGAUUGUGUUAAUUCUUAUGACCUUCUGAGGCGGCUCCUUGGCGAUGUCACGAUCUUCUAUCCGCUGGAUGACCUUCUUUGCAAUGAAUUCUGUGCAGUGACCUUCUCUCACGAGUUCUUCAAGAUGUGCUUUCCAAGCGAAGCAGUUGUUCAUAGUGUGUCCGUGCAUUUCAUGGACGGCACAGUAUUUGCUAGUAUUCCUUUUGUCCGGAUCUUCUUUCAAGGGUGGUGGUCUUCUUACCCAAGGUUGUUCUUCACUUGGGCUAAGAUUUGAUGUAUGGAGAUGGUGAACUUGGUGUAGUUCUCUCCUGCCGUAGCAUCCCCUUAUGGGUGCGACCUGCGCUUGUCCUUGUCCCUGUUGCUAAAUCCGUCGCUUCUUUGGCCUGCCCCCUUAGUCGGCUGAUCUUCCUGCUUAGUAGAGUUCUUUGCGGCGAUUCGAUCGUCAUCCCAAAGCGCAUAGCUUUCCGCGGUCUCGUAGACCUCUGCCAAAGUUUGGCUGGGAGUGAUGGUCAGCUCGUGGUACAAGUCGUGCUCAGUCGAAAGGUCUUUCUUGAAAGCAGAGGACGCAAUUUGGUCAUCACAUCCUACAAUGUUGGCCUUUUCUACUUUGAAUCUCUUGAUGUAAUCUCUAAAGGAUUCGUCGAACUUCUUGCGCAGGUUAUACAGGUGGUCAGGGUUCUUCUUGAUUGUUCGGUAAGAGGUGUAUUCUUUGGUGAAUAAGUAAGUCAGCUCCUUGAAGCUGCUGAUCGACCUGGAUGGCAGAGUAUGGAACGAGUCUUGGGCUUCCUCACAAGGUCAUUGCAAACACCUUGCACAUCAGCGCGUCGUCAACCUUGUGGAGGAUCAUGACACUUUUGAAGUGUUUUAGAUGGCUCUCAGGAUCGGAAUCCCCCUUGAAGUGUGUGAAUGUGGGCGUUGAGAAUCGCUUCAGGAGAGCAGCCUGCUCGAUUUUGGCAGUGAAAGGUGUAGAGUAUGCCUGGUCUACCUCAUUUCGUACAUCUUCGAAAUUUCCACCGGUCUUCAAGUCUCGAAGUUGGUCAUUCACAAGCUUCUCUACGUCUUCCGCACACAUUGCUUGUCGGCCACAUUGGCGACCUUCACGAAUUGUUCGAUGCUGACUGACUUCCUCGUUGAUUUCCGAGGAUCGACCUUCUUGUCUGCAUUGCCUAGGUGGAGUGUUGGUGGAUUGCGCCUACGAAAGAUUCUCUGUGGCUUGUCAAUGAGAAUCGGUUCUUCGAGAGUGAGUAACGAAGUGCCUUUCCUCAUGGUCCUUAUUGUGAGGGUUAUCCAGCUGACCUCCCUGGGGCCUAGCCUUUCCUGAAUGCUUCUCUGCGAGUAGACAGUUGAAUGCUUUUCUUCACGAUCCUCGUUGUGAUGGUUGUUUGGCUGACCUCCUUAGGGUCUUAGCCUUUGAUGUACAUUUCCCUGCCUGCCCAAGUAGGUGCGGACGUCGAGUCGUGGGCCCAGCCUUUCGUGCACGUCGUUCCUUAAACUCAAUCUGCUCUGAGUGUGGCUUGCAGAUGCUUGCGACAUGUCGGCAGGUCGAUCACGUUGUUGUCCCUCGACUUGUCUGCCCACUCUUGCUUGACCUGCUUGGUACUCGUUGAGCUGUCUACCGGCCCGUUCAUCCUUCCUUCUUUCCUCGCCUGGUUGUCCAAGGCCAAGGUUUUGAGCAAAGCUUAUUUGGUUGAGGAGCUGCCUCAUUAGAUUGUUUUGGUCGUCCAUUCUUUAAGCUAGCUGGUCAACUCUCAGAUUAAGGUCUGCUUGAUUUCAUGGAUCAGGAGGAGAGAAGUGUGUGGAGCUCAACUGCACAUAGGCUAGGGUUUCAUUAGAGGUGUAUGCGGGAGCGUGUGUCGAGCGUGGAGGCAAUAGAGGGAAUGCUUGGAGUUGCUCCAAGACCGGCCCUAGGUCGGCGGUGGUAACGAGUCCACCUUGAUGGGAAGUUCCACCAUGUUUGGCGGCAGUGACCGAUGCAGUGGUGAGAGGUGGUGGUGCCACCAUGUCGAUCGCGGGAUCGUUGGUGGAGUGGCUUUGGGCCGUCGCAAAUCUAGCCAUCAUGGCGGCUUUGCCUCUCGUGUUCAUGCUUCCAACCAUGGUUGUUUGGAAGGCUUAGGUGGAUUGGAAAAUUAGAGGAACGGAUUCCUUGAGCACGCAUUGAGUAUAACUCGUGCUCUCAAUGAAAGCACCAAUUUGUGGGAGCAAAUUUCCCCACGAGAAUAUUCGGUUCGAAAGAUUCCCCUUUCUUAUUCGCCGCCUCUUUCUCCUCGCAAAAUAGAACAAAUAAGAGGACCACACCCGAGGGGUGUUGGCCAAAGGCCCUCCGAUGCCUAAAUUAGUUCAAGUAUUUGUAAGAAAAACACUAGCUAACUAGGGUAUGGAGAUGUGUUUAAGGUGUAAACCGGGCGGCCGGAACCUUAUGUAAAAGAGAGAGAGAAAUGAGGUGGCUAGGGUUUGAGAGGAAUUUUCUGCAGAGUUUUUAGUAGAGAUUUCAGACGUACCUCAACCAUUGUGUGUGGCCAUCUUUUUAUAGUGGUCUUGGAGGCUAGAGUUUCAGAGAAAUAAUUUCGUAGAUGGAAAGGAAUUAUUCCUCCCCUAUUUAGAAUUGAUUUGAUUAAUUACGGAUUUGAUUUAUUAGGGUAAAUCAAAUCCCUAAUUGUGGUAAGUAUCAAAUCAAAUCCUUUUUUAAUUAGGUAACUGCUCAUUUAAUUGACAAUUGUGGUAGGAAUCAAAUCAAUUCUCAACCUAAUUGGUAACGUUCAAUUUAAUUGGGUAAUUCCCAAUUAAAUUGAGUAACUCCCAAUUAGGUUGAUUAAUUCACACUUAGAUCAAAUAAUCCCCAAAUGGAAAGAAUUAUUUGACCUAAGGUAUGAUUUAAUUCGAUUCCCACAAUAUUUAGAUGCAUAAUUGAAUGCGAAUAAACAUCACUCUCUCCAGUGUGAAAUGGCGAAAAUUCUCUUCAAUCAAAAGUGGGCUUACUUCAAAUUUAGUUGAAGAAUGAUGGUGUGUCUUGCCUGACAAUUGACAAUUAGGUUUAGGAGCGUUCCUCUAGUAGAAAAAUCUAAAUCAUUUGUGGUCAUCCACUCACUUGGUUAGUCUUCCAGAAUCAAAUACCAAAUCAACCCAAAGGAAGCUGCAAUUUUCUGAAUUGUAUACUUGUUUUAAUUCUUCCUAUCUUUUUCUCUCUUUCAUUUUUUUUGUCUCCCUCAAGUUAAUACUUAAGUGAGUUGCCAAAUGGGGGUAAAAAAGAGAGUAGAAGAGAUGAACCCCACAUUUGACUUUAAUAGACAAAUGCCCAAGAGAAGUACCAGUAAGAGCAUCUCCAAUUGGGAGGUGCUAUCCUAUAAUUUGACACACAUUUCUUUUUUCUUUUUUUUCAAUUCUAACAACAUGUCAUCUAUAUCGCAAUAGGCCGUUGUAGUUAAAUUUUCAAAUAACCAAGUUGCUCUCUAUUUUCCAAAGAAGACUAGAAAACAACUUACCAUCUAUCUGGUGCUGCUUCUUCCAAACAUUAGAAAAAACAGAGCUACACCCAGGAGGAGCCCAGGAGAUGACACAAUACUGCCUACUAUGAUUCUUACUUUCUUCACAUUCAAUGAGACUAUAAAAUAUAACCCAAGUGGUCUAACCCCCCAGGGCGGAAAUUGGGUUUAGCAAGUUUAGCACUGAUUGUUGUAUAGUCUUAAACAGUCCUGAUCUCUUGGACCCCUGUAGUCCAAGAGAUUUAUGGUCACCCACCGUUGGAUGUAAAUUCAACGGUUGACUUGAAUCGGGUAAUAAUAAUUUAUGUCAUAUUGCAUUUAUAUAUAUCAUUUUGAACCAUUGGAUUAAUAUCCAACGGUGGGUGACCACAAUCUCUUGGACUCCUGUGGUCCAAGAGAUCGGGACUGUAGUCUUAAAAUAAGUAGUUUAGCGAGUGCAAACUUCGACUUAAAAAAACUCUCAUGUAUAGCCGCGCGGCUAUACUAUUUACAUAUAAAUAUAUAAAAAAGCACCCCCUAGUCACGUGUCACAAAUAGUAUAGUCGAAAACAGUAGAGCCGCGCGGCUAUACUGUUUUUAAAAUAAAAAAAACCAUAUUCGAUUCUCCUUAUAUUUAAAAGGGGUAUAGCCGCAUGGCGAUACUAAUUUUUUUUUUUCAAAAAAAGGGACCCCAGUACUCCUUUUAUAUAUUAUAAUAUAUUGUCUAAUAUUUGGAAUAUUUACUCUAAAAUAAACAAUAUAUUAGGUUCUUUUUGUCUACAAAUUGACCAUUAAACUUCUUAAUCACUCUUAUACUUUCAAUUAAAUCUACUAGGCUAGGUUAUGAUAUUUUCACUAAAAAACUCCUCCUUUUUUUCUUCUCUUUCUCUUCCUGUUUUGUUUAACUUAAGCUUAAGUUUUGUAAUUUUUUUUCCCGCCCUUUUUACAUGUUUGAGUAGGGUACUUUAAUAUUGGGAUUUAUGAACUUUUUUUGUAUUUCUUCUUUAUAUUGGAAUAUAAAUUAUUAACUUUUGAGUCUUUAAUAGUGUAGAUGAUGAGAUUAUUAUUCAACCAUUUUAUAAUAUGAAAUGAAGGACAAUCAUGAUUGUGAUGAAUGGAUUAUUAAUCAAUAUGAAAUGAUAUUAUGAAGUGGGCUAAAUCGAGUAGUUAGUAUCGUAUUGUUGAGACCCAAAAAAUCCAAGGCUAGGCCCAAAUAUAUUAUGAAGUGGGCUAAAUCGAGUAGUUAGUAUCGUAUUGUUGAGACCCAAAAAAUUCAAGGCUAGGCCCAAAUAUAUUUCCGGUCCAAUGCGAUACCUUACCGAGAAGAAACCUUAUUUGGGCACGCGAAAGUUCGUCAUAUGCUCUUGCACACAUGCCAUGCCAAGCAAAUAAGCAACAUGCCACGCUACAAGCUUAAGUGGGCCCAAGCCACGUGAAUGCCUAGGGCCUGCUGAGUGGGUUGUGGUAUGGAUGGUUAUGAGUAUUCACGAGGCCCAUUGAUGGUCUAAGGAGUGGAAGUUUUGGGCUACUUGGGAGCACCAAAACUCAAGCCCAUUCAUUGAGCCCAAACAUAUGGGUAAGCAUGAGAUAAAACCUAGUAGCCCAUCACCUUAAGAAAUCCUAAUAGCCCAUAACAUGUGAGAAAAUCCCACAUCAACCAAAGCUUCCAGCAGUCUGACGAAAUCAAAGGGAACUCACAAGCCGUUGGAAACAAAACAACCCAACACUGUAACACCCCGACCCCAAAUUUCCCCAAAUUUAACCCUUAUUUAAUUAUUUAAGGGUAUUUUAGUCAUAUUUUUAACCGGAGAGAGUUUGGGGCAAUGACUAGUAUUUUUGGAUAGGUCGUACUGAGACGAGUUUAUGGACACGCAGUGAGCUCGAAUCGGAGUUGUAACGAGAGAGAUAUGGUCAAAAGAAGCCCAGUGGCACAAUCGUAAAUAUUUUGAAAUGAGAUUUUUUAUAAAAAUCUGGUUUUCUCUCUCUCUCUCUCUCUCUCUCUCUCUCUCUCUCUCUCUCUCUCUCUCUCGCUAGCGACCUCUCUCUCUCUCCCCCGUCGGUCUCUCCCCUCUUUCUCCUCGUAACUCCGGCCACCGGCCCCGGCUGUGGACGGGGCCGGUACCAAAAUGACCGAGGCGUCGUCCUCUUCCUACCCCAGCCACCUCCCACCGCCAGCCGUCGCGGAUUCGCCGGAAUCUGGAGAUGAAGCGGCCUACGUCGUCCAAAUUUCAAAGCUGCCGAUCUCCCUCCUCCGGCCACCAAUUCCGUCGACCCAGGUAUGGAUUUUGAACUUCUCGAGCUGCUCUAGCUGAUGGUUGGGUAGGAUUAGAUCGAUUCUUAGCUUAGACAACUCGAUUUUCAAAUUGAAAAUCGGCCGAACUUCGGCUGCCGUGAUCGGCCAUUUCCGGCCACUUUUUGGGGUAGGUCCAAGAACAAAAGUGGCUCCAAAUAGGGUGUUAUACCUAGGGUAGGAGUUUGGAGCCGUGGUUUUGAGAUUUUCCGGCGAAGCGUUAUCGCUUUGGGCACCCACGCGCUGCCGGUGCGUGCGGCGGCGCGUGGGCACUGUAGAAAAAGUAGCACUGUGUUCCGAUGAGAUCCUUAGGUUGUCACGAGUGCGUAGGAUUUUGCGGAUCUCAAUUCGGACGUCGUUUGACUAUCGAACGGAUAUUCGCAUAUUGCGCGUUAUUCGGGUUCGAUAGGUUGGGACCGUUGGAUGGACCCAAAUUUAAUAUAUGUUAAUCUAAUUAAUUCUAGGAUCGUGUAGGAAUUCACGGAUUGUGAAUCGGAGCCCCGGAUGUUCCGAAUAAUAAUUUUAAAGUUUGUAUUUUAUAUUAAUUGUCAGAUCGUGCGAUCGUGAGCAAUCUGACCGUUCGAUCUGAACCAAACUUGCAGGACAAGUGUCCUAUACCUUGUAGAACCCAUAGGGACCUUCGGAUCGGAAAUUGGAGGUCGUGGGUUCCGCAAGUCGGUUUGACCAGGGUUAGAGAAGUUUGACCCUUGGUUGACCGUGAGUCUCCCGGAGUAAUCUCACCUUUCUAGGGGAGAUUAUCGGGUACUAGAUGAUUGUGGACACAAUAUUAGAAUUAAUUUAUAUAAUUAUAAUUAUAUAUGGUUGUACAAGGGUACAACAGAGUCUAGAAUGUCAGUUUGGAGUGCUAUACGCACUACUUUAGGUACCUCCCCGGAUGUUGGGAUUUACUACAAGUACCACCAAGUGAAAUUGAGGUCCCGCGUGGCGUAGGUUAUCCAGCGUUGGGAUAGGUCUCAUACGUGGGGUUGGUUGUACCGGCGUAUGGGGAGAUUUGUGAUAUUAUGUUCAGGUCUCACGUGGCGUAGGUUAUCCGGCGUUGAGACAGGCCCCAUACGUGGUGUUGGUUGUACCAGCGUAUGGGGAGCUAUGUGAUAUUGUGUUGAGGUCGCACGUGGCGUAGGUUAUCGGGCGUGUCGACAGACCCCAUACGUGGCGUUGGUUGUACCGGCGUAUGGGGAGAUUUGUGAUAUGAAAUUGAGGUCCCACGUGGCGUAGGUUAUCCGGCGUUGGGACAGGCCCCAUACGUGGCGUUGGUUGUACCGGCGUAUGGGGAAAUAUGUGAUAUGAUGGCAUGGUCGCACGUGGCAUAGGUUAUUCGGCUUGUUGACAGGCCCCAUACGUGGCGUUGGUUGUACCGGCGUAUGGGGAGAUUAUUUGAAAUGCAGAGAAACGAAAUAUGGUAUCGCCCAAAUGUGGAAUUGGGUUUUAGGGAAGAACUACGUGUGGCUUGAUCCCUCAAGGAGGGUACGUAGGCAGCCUAAGGUUAAUAGGUGCAGCCGCAGACUAAAUGUUAGUCAUAAUUGAUAUUUGAAUUGUUUGGUAGUUGGUUAAGAAUUAUUGGAAGGCCGAAGGCCAUUUGUGUGAAUUGCAUGAAAUUAUAUUGUGCAUGCUGCCAGUUGGGAAUAUUAAAUGCGUUUUUAUGCAGGUAUAAAUUUUAGGAAAUGUCCAAUUUAUAGGGGAGACUCUGCCGAAUUUUCGGCAGGAAGUCUCAGUUUUUAGUAUCUGGGCCUGGCAUCGGGAGGAUGUCGGGAAUUCCAAAGGGUCGUCUCGAGUUCUGAAAAAUUCGGUGCGGGUCCUUUCAAACACCUUAUAAAAUAUCCAACGCCGUGCAUCUCUGUUAAAACCAGAUCACAGCCAAACCACCAAAACCAUGCAAACCCAUAUGCUGAUCACCAUUUUUACUAGCACCCUUACCCAUUCUUUCCUCUUCAAGCUUUGGUGAGAAAACAAGAAACAAAAGUGGGCGGAUCUUCACCCACAUGGAGAAAUCCAGCUGCCUGAGGGCCCUGGAACUCCAAAAAACUUCUUACCUACAUGCUCAGGCUAGGGAAGUUUCACCAAAUAAGCAAGAAUGGAAGAAAGUGAAGGAAAAGGGGAAAGGGUGGCUUGACGAAAUUAAGGUUUUCAGCACUUAUAAAAGGAAACACUUUCUAUCCAGCAAAAACAACUCACCCUGGUUGCUGCAAGCCUCCUAGCAACCAUGAGAAUUCAUUGAAGGCAAGCAUCCCCUUUGGAACCCUUCAAUUUCAUGCUUUGUUCUUCCAUCUUCCUCCUUUCUCUCUCUCUCAAAACCCACAUCCAGAGAGAGCAAGCAUCAUCUCUCAUCUUUGGAACCCUUCGAUUUGAAGCCUUGUUCUUCCAUUGCUUCCCAUUUUCUCUUCUGUCAAAUCACCUAGGAGCUUGACGAAACUUUCGUCAAGCUGCUGGAAAUAUGGUAAAGCCACCCAUGCUUCCAUCUUCUUCCUCUCUUUCCAUAAACACACAUCCAAAGAGCAAGCUUCAUCUCUCAUCCUCUAAACCUCUGCAAUUUCAAGCCUCAUUCCUCUAUCUUCUCCCAUUUUCAGCGGUAGUGAGAAUGAUUUCUGCGUGUGCAUGGGAAGGAUUGUAACUCAGAUGAGGAGGAGAUGGUUUGGAGUGGGGUGAGGCAGUUGGAUAGAGCUCUUGGCCUUUUCAAGUUUGGAUGGGAAAGAGCAGGGAUGAAAGAAGCUUUACAACUGCAAGGGCAUAUAUGGUGCGUAGGGGCUGAAGGCAGAACACUUACAUAUAGAGGAAACACAUUUUUUGUCCAUGGGAUUCAUGUUUGACAAACACUUGUCUUAGACUAUGAGUUCAAAUUUCAAAACCUUUUUUUUUUCUUUCUGAAAUCAGGACCAGUGUGGAGAACUAGCAAGGAUUGGAGAAACAGAUUUUUGGGCGUCACUUGACCACAGAUUGUUGAUUGCUCAAAUGUGUAGAAUUGGCCAUCUUAAAUGUCAAAAUGAUUUAUCAAUUGGGGUUUUUUUAGAAACGUUUAUGUUUGUCAAUAGAGACAGAAGUCAGAGAACAUAAACCUUUCUCAGCAAAUUGAAAUUCUCAGUGCAUGCUCUGUUCUUCCAUGGCUUUCAAACCUUCUCUGCCACGGUGAAAUGGAUCGAUAGAGAUAGUUUAGGCCGUUCCAUUUGUUUGAUGAAGCAUUCGUUCUAGGGAUUCUGUAUAUUCAUAACAAAAUCACUAGAAUGAUUCUUAGAAAUUCAUCACUGCUAAAGGCAAUGGGUUCAGCAUAAUAACUUCUUAGUCUUGCUUCUUGGUCCUUUAUUUUCUUUGCAUAAUACUCCAAGUUUACCUGGGUUCUACAGAGAAAAUCUCGUAGAUACCUCUUUUUGUGGUCUUCCAUGGCAUUUAAGUGCUGCUUUCCAUGGUGAAGUGGGCCUAUAGAGACUACCUGAGGUGUGUAGGCUUUGUCAUUUCCACGCCGUAAUCGCUCAGGAACUCUGUAGAUACACCUUCAAGGGGGACAAGGGAGACAAACUAUCCAAUUCCUUGCGCCUUACAAAUAGAUCGCAUGGGUUUUCUAUUUCAUCUGCAGCUUCAUCAAUUCCUUCCAUUUUUCUCCUGAUCAUCAUGCGCGGUGAUUCAAAUAUUUCAUAAUGAACAUUGAAAUGAGAUGCUACAAGCAAACUUAUGAAAAGAAACAGAAAUACCAAAAAGACAAAUCAAUGUAGAUGGUUUAGAAAAUCUAAACAUUGCAAUUAUACUCCUUUGCCCAACUUCUAGGAGCAAACGUACACAAAGACCUUAUUGCUUCCAACUUUUCCAACAGAAUUUCAUAUGAAUUGCUCCAAGUGAAAUCCGUAUGAAAAAUCGGUAGUUGGAUUUUCAUCCUGCUUUAAUAUGAUUAUUUAACUUCUAACAAAAAAACUCUUAUUACUUGAGCAAGUAAAAUACUAUUCCAGGUUUCUCCUAGUUCUAUAUGCGCUUAUAAUUGGUAUACUCUAUAAAUACCAUAAUCUGAAUUUCUCUGUUUUGAUUACUUUAAUUUAUUACUUAUGUUUUAAUUAUUGUUUACUUAGUGAAUUAUUAGUAUUUAAGAGAAGGCCUUCCAUCGAUUAGGCACCACGUGUCUAUAAUAAGUAAAGCCGUCCGGCUAUACUUAAAAAAAAAAAAAAUUGUAGUAUAGCCGACCGGUAUAGCCGCGCGGCUAUACUAUUUAAUACAUUAUAUUUAAACGGUAUAGCCGCGCGGCUAUACUAUUUAAUAAAAUAAAAAACAAAAGAAAAAGAAAAAUUACCCUCCUAUUUCAUUAGUUUGUACUUUAUAGAUACUAGCCCCUUGACACAUGCUCACGCAUGUGCCAAUUGGUUUUCUUUUUCUUUUUUAUUUUUAUUUUUAGAAUUAAGAAAAAAUAACAGGAUAGUUAUGUUCCAUAAAAGUAGGACCUAUUAUCUUAUUUUGUUUUUAAUUUUAAUUUUUUUAAUAUUAAAAAAAUAUGAAUUUACGAUAUUAUCCUCAUUUAAUUAAUAAUUUCAAUUCUUAAUGUUUGAAUUAACAAAGGGCAUUUUCUGGUAUUUUGAAUGUUUCACCAUUCUCUGCCUUUUGCUUUAUAUAUAUAGAUUAAUUUGCCAGUUUCAAGAUAUCCAAAGUACAUAUUAGACUUUCACUAUAUAAAUUUCAAUAUAUAUUUUUUAUAACAUGUGUUGUUCUUAUUCAAUAAUAUGUGAGAAUUAUUUGUAUAAUACGUGAAUUUUGUGUGUCUUACUGAAUUUUUUUAAAUACGUGUAUUAAACGUUACAAAUACGUACAUAUAUGUACAACACGACUAUUGUAAGUUUGCUAUAUAAAAAAAAGUGAGAUGUAUCUAGAACACGAAUGUAUUAUCGAAAAAUAUAUAUGUAUGUAUAUAUAUAUAUAUAUAUGUAAAAGCCUAUAGCCUCUCACCUAUACUAUUUAUUAAAGACAAUUUAAAAAUUACAACAACAAAAAAACCAGUACAGCCACAAAGCUAUACUAUUUUAAAAAAAAAAAAUAGAAAAAAUAUCAAGUACUACACAGGGCAAAGGCCCAGUGUAAAAUAGUAUAGCCGUACGGCUAUACGUUUUUAAGAAGAAUUUAAAAAACUAAGUAUAGCUCACCGACUAUACUAUUUUUUAAUAUAAAAAAACAACCCCAUCCAUUAGGCGCCACGUGUCAACAGAAGUUUAUUUUUAAAAAAAAAAAUUAAAAGACAAGGAGUAUAGCCGGGUGGUUGUACUAUUUUUUUAUUUUAAAAAGAAGACAGUCCAUCGAUUAGGCGCCACGUGUCCAUAAUAAGUACAGCCGCUCGGCUAUAUGUUGGAUAUUUUGAAACUAGCAAAUUAAUAUCAAUAGCCGGUCGUAACCUAUGCUGUCCACGUCACUCAUGUUUUACCAGAGUUAAAGCAUCCACAAUGAGCUCCCCAAACCAUCUCUUUAGACAAAUUUUAGGGAGAAAUUGGAAAAGUACAACUCCAACCAUGCUCCCUAUCCACCAACUAAAAUAGGGAGACCUCUAGGAGCUCCUAAAUCUGAGGAGAGGGAAAGGACUCUUAGUGACUCCCUAUAAUUUAAUGUUGCUUUGUUUUAUGCAUAUUUUAAACUUUUAAUUAAAUCAAAUUAUUAUUUUAUAUUAUUUUGUAUACAGAUGGACCAAUUAUAUUAAAUUAAAAAAUAAUUAAAGUAUUUGUGACUCUCUAAACUAAGGAGUAUGAUUAGAGUUCAAAUUUUAUAAAAAGCUCUUAAAAUAGCUUUUGUGUGUUUUUAGCUAAAUUUUAACUAAAAAAUUUGAAGAUUCUUUAUUUGGGUUUCUUUCAAGACGAAAACCAUAUCCACAACAGACAUCUUUGGCUGUUCAUCACAAUUGAGAGACAAUGAAGAAGACAUAAGGGAGAGGCUGCCAAAUACUUAUCACCUUAGCCACCACCAACACCACAAGACCAAUAUGUGUAGGCCAGGAGGCUUUCCAAUUUUAAUAUAUAUAUAUAUAUAUAUUAAAAAAUAAAAUAAAAAUCAAUCUAUUAUCAUAUAUAUUAUAAAAUAAAGAUUAUUGCUCCAUCCUCCAUGCACUUGCGUGCCCUCUUACAAAGUAUGAAGUAGAUUUUGUUAGCUGGAUUUAUAAGAUCUUUUGUUUUUUGGAAAUUUUCUGAAAUAAGGAAAAUCAAGUAAAAUUAAUAAAGCAUAAAUUGGAAAGGGAAAAUAUCUAGAGGAUGCAUUGUAGGAUUGCUCAAGCCAAUAAUUGUACCCUCUAAAUAUAUAGGGACAUAUUUUUUUUGUUUUCAUGACAUGUCGUCCUAAAAUUAUUGUUCUUAGCGGGCUCUCCACCCCCUCUCGAUUGAAAACCUAUUGUGUAAAUCUUCAAUCCUGAAUUAGAAAAGUACAACUCCAACCAUGCUCCCUAUCCAUCUCCUAAAAUAGGGAUACCUCUAGGAGCUCCUAAAUCUGAGGCGAGAGAAAGGACUCUUAGUGUCUCUUUAUAAUUUAAUGUUGCUUUGUUUUAUGCAUAUUUAAACUUUUAAUUAAAUCAAAUUAUUUUUUUAUAUUAUUUUGUAUACAAAUGGACCAAUUAUAUUGAAUUAAAAAUAAAUUAAAGUAUUUAUGACUCUCUAAACUAGGGAGUAUGAUUGGAGUUCAAAUUUUAUAAAGAGCUCCUAAAAUAGCUUGUGUGUGUAGGGGUCUUUUUCUUCUGGCAACUACAGAUGGGUUGGGCUACCGUAAGGAGCAAACUGAAGAAAAUAUCCCCUGUGUCUGAGUUCAAAGAUUCGGCCCCAAAAUAUUUCGAAAAGGCAGUAAAGCCUUAGGAAACACCUUAGUUACCUUCACCAACGAAAAUGACGGCUGCUUACAGGUAGAUUCUUAGUGCUUACAGAUGAAUUCUUAGCUUAGCAUGAGGAGAUCGUGGCAUGGAAGCAAAGUUAGCAUGAGUUUAGCACUAAAGAGAAAAUUAUGUGUUCUUGGGAGGAAGAAGGGGUGUCCAGGUAAAUGGGAAAAGGUUUUGCAAGUAGAUUUGGCUAAGAGAGAAGGGAGAGAGAGAAGAGGGUGGCUAGAGUGCUUCUUCCGGCAGCUUGACAGUGACUCUGUCAAAUGUUAGAGCAAUCUGCCAUAAGAGGGAAAAUGGGGAAGAAGGAUGAACAGUGCACAAAAUUGCUAGGUUUUUGCAAGUAAGAGAGGAAGCUUGCUCUCUGGAUGUGGAUGAUCCGUUGGGUAGAAGAGGCCCCAUUUUAUAGCCGCUGGAAACUAUCAUUUCUCAAGAAACCCUAAUAGUUUCUACCCAAUUUGGUCAAGCUUUUCCCUUCCUUUCUCAUCUCCUCCCUUGACUUUUCCUAUCUUGGUGAAAUUUCCUCUGUCUAUUUGCACAAAAUCAGGAGCUCAAGGCCUCCCUUUCCCGCAACUGUUCAAUGGGAGACUCCAUUCUUAGCUAUUUUUCUUCUUCUUUCCUUCCUCCUUCCCUGACCAAAUCUGAUGAAGGAAAGCAAAUAGGUGCACACAUUGGUUUGAAGGGUGCUUCUCCUUCUAGCAGCUUACAUGCCAAUAUCCCUUGGGUCCUUGCAUGUUUUUUGCUUUGAAACUUGUUUCUUCCUUCCCGUCAACUCACGUGGUCUUCCAUGCUUCUUCAUGGCUUUAUCUUUCAGCCAAAAGAUGGAGUUUUUACUGCUUGCUACUUUUAAUUGUAUGGGUCUUCUAGGAUAGGAAGUCAACCUACCAAACAAAUGGGCCACCUUUAUCAAAUAUUGGGCUGUUGGGGUUAGUUUUAGUGGGCCAUUUUGACUGGGCUUUUUGGUUGGGUUAUUUAAGUUAUUUUCCCUUUUGUGCUCACCCAUGUAUUUAGGCCUAAGAAAUGGGCUUGGGCUCCGAGUCUCCCAAGCAACCCGGAACCUCCAUUUCUUGGCCCAUUAAUGGGCCUCAUGACAACCUAUUACCAUCCAUACCACAACCCACUCAAGCAAGCCCCGGGCAUUUGAAUGGCUUUGGCCCACUUUAGGCUUGUAGUGUGAUUGGGUGUGGCAUAACGAUUUCUCGCUUGGCAUGGCAUGUUGCUUGGCAUGUUUUUUCAUUACGAUGCUUGAUGGAUUUGUAGAGCUACCUAUUUUUAUGAUCUUAAUCUUGAUUCCUAGCAUGACAAAUUUAUUUAUUUGGCAUGGCAUGCGGAGCGUGACUUGUGCGUGGCGAGUUUUGUAUGCUCCAACUUGGGCCUUUCCUAAAUAAUGUAUCAUUUUGGGUUAUGAAUUCUUUCGGGCCCAACCGUGAAUUUUUUGGGUUUCAACAGUGUGUUUUUAGCUAAAUUUUAACUAAAAAAUAGGGAGCAUGAUUGUAGAUCAUCUUAUAUACCUUAAUUUGAAGAUUCUUUAUUUGGGUUUCUUUCAAGAUGAAAACCAUAUCCACAACUGGCAGACAUCUUUGGCUGUUCAUCACAAUUGAGAGACAAUGAAGAAGACAUAAGGGAGAGGCCGCCAAAUACUUAUCACCUCAGCCACCACCAACACCACAAGACCAAUAUGUGUAGGCCAGGGGGCUUUCCAAUUUUAAUAUAUAUAUAUGGAGUGAAAAAAAUAAAAUAAAGAUUAUUGCUCAUCCUCCAUGCACUUGCAUGCCCUCUUACAAAGUGUGAAGAAGAUUUUGUGUGCUUCAAGUCAUUGACUAGAGCUGAAACAUGGUUAGCUGGAUUUAUAAGAUCUUUUGUUUUCUGGGAAUUUUCAGAACCAAGGAAAAUCAAGUAAAAUUAAUAAAGCAAAAUGGAAAGGGAAAAGAUCUAGAGGAUGCAUUGUAGGAUUGCUCAUGCCAAUAAUUGUACCCUCUAAAUAUAUAGGGACAUAUUUUUUUUGUUUUCAUGACAUGUUGUCCUAAAAUAUUUGUUCCUAGCGGGCUCUCCACCCCCUCUCGAUUGAAAACCUAUUGUGUAAAUCUUCAAUCCUGAACGAUGCUCCUAAAACUCAAGUGUCCCAGGCCAAUUAUUGCUCUCAUACCACUUGUUGCAAUACACAUCCACUCAUUCUCAGGGAAAGAAACCCAUCGAUAUUAUCUCAAAUUUAACCACUUUAGUCUAUUAUGAUUAACUAUGUAUUUUAUGGAUCAAUGCAGUUGUGAGGUUUUAUACCCAAUUAGAUCGACCAAUACAGAGAUCACAUGUGGACUGAAAAGCGCCAUCGGUAGGGGAGUGUUUGGCACCCUUUACUGCCGAGUGCAACACAAGACCCCUUACCAGGAACUUAUCUACUAGGACACGUGAAGCCACCACAAGUAAUAUCAACAGUCCCACAUCGAAGUUUAACAUAACAUGUACACUCCCCAGGACUGAUAAAAGUGGGCACAAGUCCCAAAAAUGGGGGAACUUGGACUUUCAGCAAUUCAUCCAUUAUUAUGUCCAAAUUACUAUACACUCCGUACUUAUUCUUACUUAAGCAUUGGAGAGCCUUCGGCCGGUACCACACCAGUGCCUAAGGGCUUACCGAGCGUUCUCUAUCUUGCAUAUUGAUCGCUCUACUGAAGCCCAUAAAGAGUUAAAGGUCAAGACAUCACUAAGUUGAGCCCAAAAGUGCUGAACCACAUCAAAAAUAUGUAUAGAUUGAAAAAAUAAAAUAAAAAUCAAUCUAUUAUCAUAUAUAUUAUAAAAUAAAUAUUGGAUAAAUUACUCAAAUGGUCCUCAAACUUAUACUCGAUUUACAUUUUGGUCUCUCAAUUAAAUUAUUUGUUCAAAUGGUCCAUCAACUCUAUAUUAUUUCUGCAAAAUCUACAAAGUGGUGGGAGGCAGACCAACAAAAAAAAUUAGCGAAGGCUUAUAACUCUGGUAAAACAAGAGUUACUUGGAUAGAAUAAUGUUACGUCGUACUGAAGAUUUUUGGGUUUCUUUAAUUGGUUAAGUGAAGAUUCUUUAUUUGGGUUUCUUUCAAGAUGAAAGCCAUAUCCACAACCACAACCACAACUGGCAGACAAUCUUUGGCUGUUCAUCACAAUUGGGCGACAAUGAAGAAGACAGAAAUUGGAGUACUGUAUGUUAUCACCCACACCACAAGACCAAUAUAAGGAGGAUGGGGAGGCUGCGGAAUACUUAUCACCUUAGCCACCACCUACACCACAAGACCAAUAUGUUGUAGGCCAGGAGGCUUUCCAAUUUUAAAUUAGAUAAAUCGGAAACUGUUUCGAUAUCCAAUUGUAUUCUAUAAAAUCAAUGAACACGGUGCUUCAAGAAAGUAAUAAAAUUUCAAUAAUUCAAUUGAGUGGUCAAAUUCAAGUGAUUUUUUGUAGUGAUGAUCUUUGAAUGAGUAUCUAUAAAAGAGACGGUUUGGAUUAGUGAAAUACAAUAUGGAGUGGGCCCUACCAGCAAUCCACGACAAAAUGUCUGCAAGCUUUCGUAAUAUAAGGAGGAUGGGGAGGCUGCGCAAUACUUAUCACCUUAGCCACCACCUACACCACAAGACCAAUAUGUUGUAGGCCAGGAGGCUUUCCAAUUUUAAUAUAUAUAUAUAUAUAUAUAUAUAUAUAUAUAUAGGGAUGUGAUUUCUCUACUCCCCUUUUCUCUACUUAUACUCCCUUUUGCUUUUAAAUACUUUUUAAUCAAUUUUUUUUCCGCUUUCCUAUUAAUAUUCUACCAUUUCCCUACAUUAAUUUCUUUUUACUUCACUUUUAUAUUAGUUCUUUUUCUUUAUACUUAAUUUUUCAACUUGCACUCCAUUUUCAUUAUUUUUUUCCUAAUCGAGUAAGAAAUUAAGUUUUUUUUCCCCAUUUAAUACUGAAAAUGGAGUGUAAGUUAGAAAAUUAGGUAUAAAGAAAAAGAAAUAAUAUAAAAGUAAAGUAAAAAAGAAAUUAAUGUAGGGUAAAGGUAGAAUAGAAAAGAGAAUGAACAAAAUUGAUAAAUAAAUAAAAAAGGUUUAAAAAGCAAAAAGGAGUGUAAAUGGAGAAAAGGGGAAUGAGGAAAUCAGCUCCAUAUAUAUAUAGAUUGAAAAAAUUAAAAUUAAAAUCAAUCUAUUAUCAUAUAUAUUAUAAAAUAAAGAUUAUUGCUCCAAGGAAAUGACAUCUUUUGUUUUCUGGGAAUUUUCUGAACCAAGGAAAAUCAAAUAAAAUUAAUAAAGCAUAAAUUGGAAAGGGAAAAGAUCUAAAGGAUGCAUUGUAGGAUUGCUGAUGCCAAUAAUUGUACCCUCAAAUUAUACAUGGACAUAGGGGUGGGCAUUCAAAUAGGCAAACUAGAAAUCCGAGCUGAACCGCACCUAGGAAAACCGGAAAAAAAACCGAGUUGACCAAAAAGUCAACAACUGGUCAAAAAUCGAACCGGACCGAUUUGGACUGGUUUUGGAUUCAGUUUAUAUGCAAUGCUACAUUUUUAGUCUCAUAACUAAUAUUUAUCCAAGUUCAAUUUCAAAACAUCUUUCUUUUUUAGCUUUAAUAUUUAUUUUUAUAUGAAAUUAAAUAAUUUAUUAAUUUUCAAGUAAAUAAAAUAAAAUUUCAGUUGAAAUUUAUAUUAAAAAAAUAAUUUUAAUAAUCCAGUUCAAAACCAAACCGGACCAUCCAGCUGUGAGGUACAUUUCUCCCACAUGCCACAAUUGUAUAUUCACAAUUACGUCUGAUACAUCACAUCAUGCCACUUGCCUCAAAUGAAUUUAAGUGAGUGUGGCAGUGGAAAGUAAUUAAGCUCUAUAUUGGUGGGUGGACUGUUACUUCUGGGUUCCCCUCAUCAUUCGUCUAUAAAAUGGUGAAGGCAGUUGCUAUUGUUACCAUAAGAGCCAGCUCCGACUUCCUUUAAUUUCUUGCUUCAUAUCCACUAGCUACAUCUGUUACCAAGUUAAUUUCAGUCCUAAUGGGGUUUCAUCUCCCACUCAUCUUUGCUCUUCUCAGUGUAAGCUCUGCAAUUUGAUUAACUUUUCCAUUCUCUCUCAUUGUACUCUAUAUAAACGAAAGUUUUGUGUUCCUAUAAUUCUCUCCGAUUUUAUUUAGUACGUACUUAAGUGUCGUCCACUAAUUAAUUACACUUUGUGAUUUGAUUUUAAUUUGAGUUCGAAUUAAUGUUGCAGCUAGCAGCAGUGGCACUGGCAAACCAUGCUGCUCAACCAGCACCUCAACUUUACUGGAACUCCGUCCUGCCAAACACACAGAUGCCAAGAUCUAUCAGUGAACUUCUGCAUCCUGGUUUGUGUUGAGCUCUUUAGAAUCUUAGAUAUCUCUUCUACCUGCCAUUUUACUAAAAUAUGUUCCACCACAUAUUUAUCAGUUAACCACUGUUAUUACAUGAGUGACACAUAUUCACAAAUCGGCUGAUCACUUAUUUUCCAUUAUGACGUUGAUAUAUAAUUUGCAGACUCCACAAAUGAAGAAAAGAGCACAAAUGACGUUGGCAAACCUGAAACUUUCCCAUUGGGCAAUAAACAUUACUCCAGUCAAAAACAUUAUGGAAGAGGCAAACCUGAAACUUUCCCAUUGGGCAAUAAACAUUACUCCAGUCAAAGACAUUAUGGAAGAGGCAAACCUGAAACUUUCCCAUUGGGCAAUAAACAUUACUCCAGUCAAAGACAUUAUGGAAGAGGCAAACCUGAAACUUUCCCAUUGGGCAAUAAACAUUACUCCAGUCAAAAACAUUAUGGAAGAGGCAAACCUGAAACUUUCCCAUUGGGCAAUCAGCAUUACUCCAGUCAAAAAAAGUAUGGAAGAGGUGCUUCUCCAUCCGACAAUCAACCACCAAUUCCAUAGAAAUUCAAACACGGCUACUUUCUUGCCACGAGAAAGCGCUCAAUCGAUCCCCUUCUCCUCUAACAAACUACCAGAAAUUUUCAACCAUUUUUCAGUGAAGCCAACAUCUGAGGAAGCCAAAACAAUUAAGCAAACAAUCGAAGAGUGUGAAGCUCCAGACCUUAAGGGAGAGGAAAUAUAUUGCGCCACAUCUUUAGAAUCAAUGGUUGAUUUUAGCACUUCGAAGCUUGGAACAAGAAACGUUGAAGCAAUCUCGACGGAGGUAUUGGAAAAAGGAGCCACCAUGUCCAUCCAAAACUAUACAACAAUGCCGGGACUGAAGAAGUUGGCAGGUGACAAAGUCGUUGUGUGUCAUAAGCAGAACUAUCCCUAUGCUGUGUUUUUCUGCCAUGCAAUAAAACAUACAGCAGCUUAUGCUCUCUCCCUGAAAGGCGAUGAUGGGGAGAAGGUUAAAGCAGUAACCAUCUGCCAUCUAGACACAUCAGAAUGGGACCCAGAGCAUAUGUCCUUCAAAAUCGUCAACGUUAAGCCCGGAACCAUUCCCAUCUGCCAUUUCAUUUCCACUGAUGCUAUUGCCUGGGUUCCGAACCACAAAUCUGCAUGAUCAUCACUUAGCACUAGUACUGUGCGUAUAAUAUGCCUGUAUAAUUAUCUCCCUACUUAUUUCUGCCUGUUCAUCAUGUGGUGUAAGAUAUAUGUUGAGAUGAAGUUUUUGGGAUUAGUGGUCGAAAUUAACCCGAUCAUGUUUUCUCUUGUAACUAUAUAGACUUCAACUUGUACUCAUAAUAAAGCAUGCUAUAUUUAUGAAGAGAUAUUAAUCUUCAGGCAAAUAGAUAUUAUGAAAACAUAUAUAGCAAUUUAUCCAGAAGAAAUAUUAUGAAAUGAAAAGAAUAAAAAGUAAAAAAACAGAAGGAAAGGAAUUCGCACCUGCUAUGUAUGAAAGGACCAAGAUUGUUUUCCCUUUGGUUAAUGACUAGAAAAGCUCACUUGCAGAUUGCUUUCUCUGACCGUAGAUGCAACAGAAAUUUUCUCUUAAUAAUAGCACAAUGAUCGGGUAAUUGUAAGAACAAGUUGAUUUAAAAUUCCUUGACCCAAAAAAAAAAAAAAAAUCAUUUCAAAUUCAGGUCAACCCAUAGAUUUCUUGCCUUUUUCUUCUUCAUCACGUUGGGCUUGUCUUCUUCUUGAGGAUUGUAUAGGCCCAGGAAAUGCUUUGAGGUAGUUUUUGGCCUUGGAAGUUGGGACCCAACCCAACUUCACAAAAAGAAAACAGAUUUGCCAAAAAUCAAAUUUCAAGUCUCUCCUCAGAUCACUAAUACAGAUCAAAUUUUGGAUUUGAUGAACUAAAGUGGUUUUACUUUCUCUGUCAGUGUUUGAUGACUUAAUUUGUUAUUUACUUCUUUUUUUUUUUUUACUUGAUCUUUGUAGGGGUUUUUUUCUUCCGGUAACUUAAACGGGCUGGGCUGCCGUAAAGGGUAGAUUGAUGAAAUUGUCUCCUUUGUCUGAGUUCGAAAAUCAAGCCCCAAAAGCGCUUCGAAAGGGCAGUAGAGCCUUAGGAAGCGUUCUAGUCAUCUUCACCAACUAAAACAACAGCAACUUACAGAUGAUUUCUUAAGGCUUACAGAUAAAUUUUCUAGCUUGGCAUGAGAGGCUUGUGACAUGGAAGCAAAAUCAGCAUGAGUUUAGCACCAAAGAGGAAAAUAUGGCUUCCUAGGGAGAAAUGGGAGUGUUUAAGGUGAGGAAGAAGAGGUUUGCAGGCUGAUUUGGCUGAGGAGAGAGAAAGAAAGAACAAUGUUCUUCCAGUAGCUUGACAAAGCUUCUGACAGAUGUGAAAGUCGUCUGCCAUAAGAGGAAAAUGAAGAAGAAUGGUGAAUAGUGCAUGAAAUUGCUGGGUUUUUGCAGGUAAGAGAGAAAGCUUGCUCUCUGAAUUUGAGUUGGUUUUUGGUUGGGUAGAAGAGGCCCCCUUUUAUAGCUGCGGGAAACCAUCUUUUUUCAAGAAACCCUAAUGGUUUCUAUCCAUUUUGGCCAAGCUUUUCCCUUCAUUUCUCUUCUCCUCCCUUGACUUUUCCUAUCUUGGUGAAAUUUCCUCUGCCUAUUUGCACAAAAUUAGAGAUUUUGAGGAGCUCAAGACCCCUUUCCCGCAGCUGCCUCAGUGGAGAAUCCCCAUUUUCAGUCAUCUUUCUUCCUUCUUUUCUCCCAUCUUCCAAGGUUAGGUCUGAUGAGGGAAAGAAAUGGGUAUGCACACUGGUUUGAAGGGUAUUUUUGCUUGAAACUUGUUCUCUCCCAUGUGCUGGAGCUUCCCAGCAACUUACACACAUGGAUAUUUUGGCUUUCAUCGUGGCUUUUGUUUUCAGCUAGGUGCUGGAGAUUUCGCAGAUAUUUUCAUGAGUUGCUUGGGCCUUCUAGGACAAUAGGUUGGUUUAUCAAGUGAAUGGGCUAACUUCAUCAAUUGUUGGGCUAUUUUGGUUGAGUUAAUGGACUAUUUUGGUUGAAGUAAUGGGCUAUUUUGGUUGAAUUAAUGGGCUAUUUUUCUCUCUUUGUGCUCACCCACAUAUUUGGGCCUAAGAAAUGGGCUUGAGUUCCGGGGCUCCCAAGCAACCCCGGGACUUCCAUUUCUCGGCCCAUCAAUGGGCCUCAUAUCAACUUAUUACCAUCCAUAUCACAACCCACUCAAGCAAGCCCUGGGCAUCUUGCGUGGCUUGGGCCCACUUAAGCUUGUAGCGUGACGUGUUGCUUAUUUGCUUGGCAUGGCAUGUGUGCAAGCGCAUAUGACGAACUUUAGCGUGCCCAAAUUGGGUUUAUUCUCGGUAAGGUAUCGCAUUGGGCCGAGAAUUUAAUUGGGCAGAACUGUGGAUUUUUGGGCCUCAACAAUCUUAUAUAUAUUGGUUUUCUUUUUUUCCUUAAUAUUCACCACCUUUCUGUUGCAUAAGUAUUUCAGUCUUAACGGGUUUCCAUCUACCACUCAUCUUUGCUCUUUUAAGUGUAAGCUUUUUUUUUUUUUUUUUAAGCACAAGAUUAGAGGGGAGGGGGAUUUCUCAAUGUAAGCUUUGCAGUUUCAUAAUUAAUAUUUCCAAUAUCUCACUGUUAGUAAAAUAUGGAACAGGAAAAGUAUGAAUAAAAUACACACAUGUUUUAUUUAGCAAAAUUUUGACAAGAUACAACUGAAAAGUUUGGCCACUAUAUAAUAUUUUGAUAUAAUUUCUACACUUCUUCUCAAAAGAUUAGAUCACUUCACAUCUUGUGUAUGUGAAAACUAAUGUAAAAAGUUGAAACUUUAUCGUAAAACCUCGACAAAAAUGAGCUCUACUAGAAAAUGUUCAAUUUGGAUUCGUUGAUUUAAAUGGCAAUUUGACACUUGAUAGAAAUUUUUACAUACAUGUGUUAGUGUUUGAUCACUUCACAUGUUACUUACUAUAUUUAUUCCACUCAAGUUAGGUAAAUAUUAUUAUCAAACAUUUCAAUUAAUUUGUGAUUUUUUUAUUAUUUAAUCAAUUAUGAAUUAAUGGAUUCUUCUUGUUGUUUUGAAGACCAAUAAAAAAAAAAGGGUAAGGAUGGCUUAUAACUCUGAUAAAACAACAGUGACGUGGACAGCAGAUGUUACACCGUACUGAAGAUUUUUGAAGAUUCUUUAUUUGGGUUUCUUUCAAGAUGAAAACCAUAUUAUCCACAACCACAAUGAAGAAGACAGAAAAUGGAGUAAUUCAGAUGUUACCAGCCAUCCACGACAAACUGAAGUCUGCAAAGCAUUCGUAAUCUAAAGGGAGACUUUGGAAAAGCCCAAAGGAGAGAGAAAAUUUUUAAAAGAAGCAAAAAUGGACAAAAUUGCCCUUAUUUAUUUUUUGAUUUCCUAAGAAAUCCUUUACAUUUGCAUGUCUUUGGUUUGAAAGUUGAGAGGUUAUUCUGUCUUUUUUCAAAAAGCUUUGGCUUUUUCCAAAAGUGAAAGUUUUUUUAUGGGUAAAACCUAAAUUUACUUAAUCCCUAAAAAGGAUGGGGAGGCUGCGCAAUACUUAGCCACGUGUAGGCCAGGAGGCUUUCCAAUUUUAAUAUAUAUAUAAAUUGAAAAAAUAAAAUAAAAAUCAAUCUAUUAUCCUAUAUAAAAUAAAGAUUAUUGCUUCCAUGGGCAGUGCUAUGCACAGGACAGUGCCUGCCCAGCACAAAUUUUUUUUAAAUAAAAAAAAAAAAUCUACAUAUGUUAUAAGCUCAUCCAAAAAAAUAAAAUAAAAUAAAAGUAAAUUCUACAUAUAUGUUGCCCAUCUAGGUGGUUCCAUAUCUUCUCUCUCCUUCUCUUUUGGCUAUUAGACUUCUUGUUUCUCUCUCUCUCUUUGCUACCUCACAUCAGCAAGUUUCUCCCUCUCUUUUUUUGGGGUCAAAUUCUUCCUCUAUUGACAAAAUCUUCUAUUAUCUUGGGUGGGCAACUUGGCAACAACAUCUUCUCUUCUCCUUUUGUCAACAACAAGUAUUAUUCUCAUUCUCUCAUUUGCUAUAUAUCUUUAAUUAUAGUUUUAAUUUAAAAUUGAGUAUUCUAGGGUUUAAUUAGGGAUGAAUUAUAAUUUUAGAAUUUUGUUGAAAUUAAUUAAGGCUUCGAUUAGGGGUGAAUUAUUCUACUGCUUUGGUUUGGAAUUUUGUUAAAAUUGAGUAUUAUAGGGUUUAAUUAUGGAUGAAUUAUAAUUUUUGAUUUUGGUAUUAUUGAGAUGUUAUUAUGAGAAUUUGUUUCAUUUUUUUAUUGGUAUAUUUGAUUAAAAUUCUUUCUACAUAUUAUUCAUAGGCUAUCUUUUAUUAUGUCGGAUCACAAUCGGAAUCCCAAGAGAACAAAGAAUUUGAAUAGUGUUGUUUUGUAUUGCAUUGCAUUUACUUUUGGUUUUAGUUUUGCUUUUAGUGUAAAUUACUCAAAUGGUCCUCAAAUUUGUACCCGAUUUACAUUUUGGUCCAUAAACUAAAUUAUUCAUUCAAAUGGUGCACCAACUCUUUAUUAAUCAGUGCUUUGGUCCUACCGUUAUGUUUUCUAUUAAAUUUAGUCAUGUGAGCAGCACAUGCUACAUUUGUAGGGGUAAAUAAGACUUUUGACCACUUUAUCACCUAUGUAUCACCACUUUAUAACCUAUUUGGAGAACAUAGGUCAGUUAUGGACGGUUUUACAAUUAUAUUUGACGGCAACAUUAACAUAAUGUAACAGUGGGAUCAAUGGAGCGAUUAAUAUAGAGUUGAUGGACCGUUUGAACGAAUAAUUUAAUUGAGGGACCAAAACGUAAAUUGAGUAUAAGUUUGAGGACCAUUUGAGUAAUGUACCCUUCGCUUUUAUAUUUGUUGAACUUUUAUUUAUGGAUAGAUAUGCAUUUGAGGGUAAGACCCAUUAUGUUCCCCCUGACUUGGUGUAUCUUUUUAUGUUUAUUAAUGAAAUUCACUCGAACUGUUGAGUUUAGUAUGUAAGUUUUGCCUAACCGGCUUUUGAAUCCUAGAACCGCCACUGUUGCUCCAUCCUCCAUGCACUUGCAUGUGCUCUUACAAAGUGUGAAGUAGAUUUUGUGUGCUCCAAGUCAUUGACUAGAGCUGAAACAUGGUUAGCUAGAUUUAUAAGGACCCAUCUCUCUAUUUCCUAGACAUAUACCCAUCUCUCUAUAAAUCUAUAUGUAAAACUCAAUUUCAAACUUAAAUGACCAGUAAGAUAUAAGAGGUCAUAGUAUUCCUAUGUUUUUACAUCGUUGCCACCAGACUUCUUAUUUUAUUUAUAAUUUAUUUCAAGCAUUUCAUUAACUGCCAUAAUUGUAAUUAAUACUCCAUAUUAAUAGCAUAUCAAUCACCCCAUUUCUUUUGAUUGCCAUUCCCUCUAACAUAUCGCCCCUUAAAAUUGAAAACCAAAAAAAAAAAAAAUGUAAAUUACAUAUCCAAUAAUGUACCUAUGAAAAAUAUAAAUAUAAAUAUAUACGUAUAAAAAUAUAGGUUUAUUAUUUACCAAAUAAAAAAUAUAAAAAAACUAGGUCAGUUGCUUUGUAAUUGAAAUUUCUAUACAUUUUCCACAAAUUAAAAAUAGGUACACAAUAAUUUAUAGAAAAUAUAGGUGCAUUAUUUAUCCAUAGGUAAAAAUACCUAUAAAUGCACAUAGGUAAAUUAUUUACCCAUAUAUUAUUUUUUUGCUAAGGAUUUACCUUAGUUUUUAGUAGAUUAAUUUACCUACCUAGAGGCAUAGGUAGCUUAAAAAAAUUGUAGCACCUUAGUUGGUUGCAUACUAAUUUACCUACCUAGAGGCAUAGGUUGCUAAGAAAAAAUGUAGGUAAAUUCAUGUACCUAAACACAUAGGGGUCAAAUAGAGAAUAACAUGUUAUUUCCCUUCGAACAAAUUAAUUUCAAACCAUAACAAUAAUUGAAUUCGGAAAUUGGUAUAAAUAAAAGGAAAUAAAUAAGCUAUCAAUUUGAAAAUUAAAAUAAGAAAUGAUCAAGUAGUCAUAUUUGAAAAAAAAGAAAAGAAUAUAUUCUUGGUUUUUAUAGGAACAACGUGUAUAUUCAAACCAAAUGGCAGUAACUACACCAAGCUUUAAUUACUUUUUUUUAAGGCCAAAAGUCACUUUUGGUCUCUGUAGUUUGACACUUCUAUUACUUUUGACGCUGUAGUUUCAAUUCCGUCAAUUUUGCCAUUGUAGUUUCAUAUUUGUAGCAAUUCAAGGACAUGUUAAUAUUAAUGUCAAUUUGUUUAAUGAUGCAAGGGGUAAUUUCGUCAUCCCAAAAUCCUUGAGCAUAAAAGCUUGUCUGAAAUUCUCCCCAUUUCAUAUUAGGGCUCGAAAUUCAACCACUAAUCCCAAUUUUUGAAGAACCCUAUACCCAAAUGACCAAUUUCAAGCCCUAAUAACAAAUUAGGGAAGUUUUAGAUGAGCUUUUAUGCUCAAGGAUUUUGAGUUGAAGAAAUUGCCCCUUGCACUGUCAAAGAAAUUGAUAGGAAUACUGACUUGUCCUUGAAUUGCUACAAAUACAAAAAUACAGGGUCAAAAUUAACAGAAUUUAAACUAUAUGGUCAAAAGUGGUUAAAGUGCCAAACUACAAGGACCAAAAGUGACUUUUAGCCUUUUUGUUUAAAUAAGGAAAAAACUUACCUAUUAAAUCCUUGGAAUCUAUACAAAAUUGAAACACAGUUAAUCAGCAUUGAAUUGCAGCUAAUUUCUUAAACAAGGGUAUUAUAGGAAUUUAAAAAGUAUAACAUUUAAUCCAUUGAGCUUGAUUAGGAAUCUUGAUGAGUUGGAUCCUAGUUAUAUAGUUUCUCUUAUAAAAAUCGGGUUUUAUUUAUAGACAAAUAAAACAAUGGGUUGUAGGUAAGAAAAUAUUAAUUUGAAGGGAAAGUGUCACAUCCUGGGAUCGGCUCCGCCGUAGCACGAUAUUGUCCGCUUUGGGCCCCCCUCUCUGCCCGCACGGUUUUGUUUCUGGGAGCUCACGAGCAACUUCCCAGUGGGUCACCCAUCCUGGGAUUGCUCUGGCCCCCAACUCGCUUAACUUCGGAAUUCCUAUGACUCCGAAGCCAGUGAGCUCCCAAAAGGCCUCGUGCUAGAUGGAUGCGGGUGUGUACAUAUAAGACACAUCACCCCCUCUCCGUUGGUUGAUGUGGGAUCUUACAGAAAGAGUCAAAUUUACUAAAUUAAUAAAGCAUAAAUUGGAAAGGGAAAAGAUCUAGAGGAUGCAUUGUAGGAUUGCUCAUGCCAAUAAUUGCACCCUCUCGAUAUUGAAAAACCUAUUGUGUAUUAUUAUCUUCAAUCAUGAAUGAUGCACCUAAAACCCAAGUGUCCCAAGCCAACCAUUGCGCUCAUACCACUUGUUGCAGUACACAUUCACCCGUUUUUAAAGAAAGAAAUUCUACCAAUCGAUAUUGUCUCAAAUUUAAUCACAUAGGUCUAUUAUGGUUAACCAUAUGUACUUUUAUCGGCCAUAUAGAGGUACCUUUUUCCAACGUGCAACAAUUGUAUUUGAUUCACAAUUAUGUCUGAUAUACAUCACAUCAUGCCACUUGCCUCAAAUGAAUUUAAUUGAGUGAGGCAAUGGGAAGUAAUUAAGCUCUAUAUUGGUGGGUGGAGUGUUACUUCUGGAACCCUCAUCAUUCGUCCAUACAAGGGAACAAUUCCCUUCCUUCUAUAAAAUGGUGAAGCCAGUUGCUAUUGUUUGUUAGAGUUUUAGGAUCUGAGUGUUAGAUUUUGUGAGAAGAGAGAAGAGAAUUUAGUGAAAACUUCCAAUACUGCUCUGCUAUACGUGUAGCAGAGAGAACAUUCUGUUUUGUUAUAUAUUUUCAGUACAACAACACACACUUGGUGUGAGAAGAAAAAUGACUGUUAUGCACAGUACCAGCUGGAUGCUUUCCAUCAAAGUAAUCUCAGCCAUUCACUAUCUAACCAAUCAAGCUAUGACACCUGGACUAAGUAUAAAGAAAUACAACUAAGCAGAAAACAAGACUCUUAAUCCUGAAAUCAACUUAAGCACUUAUAAUUCAACACUCCCCUUUAAGUCUUGAGGUGAUUUCACUCCAAGCAUGCCUCUGAGAUAAUUGAAUCUGUCUUUGGCCAGAGGUUUGGUAAAAAUGUCAGCCAAUUGUUCAUUUGUAGGACAAUAUUCCAGAUUGAUUACCCCUUCUUGCAAUGCAUCCUUGAUGAAGUGAUACCUCCUGUCAAUAUGCUUUGUCUUCUGGUGGAAUACAGGGUUUUUAGUGAUUGCAAUUGCUGAGAUAUUAUCACAAUGCAAUGGAGUAGCUUCAGUUUGAAGCUCUCUAAAGUCUUCUAGCACAAAACGGAGCCAAAUAGCUUGAGUAGUAGCCUCAGCUGCACUGAUGUACUCAGCUUCUGCAGUAGACAGUGCAACACAGUUCUGUUUCACUGAGGCCCAAGAAAAUACUCCACUUCCAAAACUAAACGCAUACCCUGAUGUGCUCUUGCAAUCACCAACUGAUCCUCCCCAAUCACUGUCACAGUAACCAACUAGAAUUGAUCUUUUGCCUUUCACAUAUUCAAGACCAUAGUCCAGAGUUCCUUUGAUGUAUCUCAAAACCCUUUUAGCUGUUCCAUAGUGUCUAUUUGUAGGACAGUGCAUGAAUCUAGCUAGCAAGCUUGAGGCAUACAUGAUGUCUGGUCUUGUAGCAGUUAAGUACAGCAAGCUACCAACAAUGCUUCUGUAUUGUUCUUCAUUUGCAGCUCAACUCCCAUCAUCCUUAGCUAGUUUCUCAGUGGCAACAAGGGGUGUUGUCACAGGUUUGCACUCAGUCAAACCAAACUUGCUCAACAAGGUGCUAGCAUAUUUCUUUUGAUGUAGAAAUAUACUAGACUCAGUCUGAAUAACUCCCAUGCCAAGAAAGUGAUGAAGUAAGCCCAAAUCAGUCAUCUCAUACUUAGCCAUCAUGUCUUCUUUGAAUUCAGCCAACAAUGCUUGACUGCUCCCUGUAUACACAAUAUCGUCUACAUAGAUAGACACAAUUAGAAUCUCCUUAUCUCCCCUUACUUUGGUAUAUAAGGUUGUUUCACUUAAGCUUUUCACAAAACCACAUUGAGUGAAGUAGCUGUCUAUCUCUCCAUACCAAGCCCUUGGGGCUUGCUUCAGACCAUAAAGGGCUUUAUGCAAACGAUAAACCUUGUCUUCUUUACCUUUAAUUACAAAACCUUCAGGCUGACUGACAUAAACUUCCUCUUGCAGCACACCAUUAAGGAAAGCAGACUUCACAUCAAGCUGGAACAAUUUCCAAUCCUUUUGAGCAGCUAGAGCAAUAAGUGUUCUAAUGGUGUCCAAUCUGGCUAUAGGUGCAUAAGUCUCAUUAUAAUCCAGUCCAGGCUUCUGAGCAUACCCCUUAGCCACUAAUCUUGCUUUAUUCUUUUGCACUGAGCCAUCCAAAUUCAGCUUUGUCUUGUACACCCACUUAACUCCAAUCACUGGUUUUUCAGUUAGUCUAUCUACCAAUUCCCAUGUUUCAUUCUUUUCAAUCAUCUGCAGUUCAUCUUCCAUAGCCUUAAGCCAAGAUUCAUCCUGAGCAACAUCAGCAUAUUUUUCUGGUUCCAUGAUACACAAGUUACACUGAGCUAGAACAUCAUCUAGCCUUCUCCAUUUUAGAGGGGUGUGAUCAUAAGCUUGAGUUCUCCUUUCUUCACUGCUUAUAUCACCUGGAGUUGAUGAAAUGCUCUCUUGCAUAUCCAAAGUUUGAGGUGUACCAGUAGAAUUCUCAUUAGAACUGUCAGAUUUCAAGUCCAAAUCAACUUGGUUUUCAAUUGAGUAUGUUGUCAUAACUGAACCAUUUUUGUUUGUCCAAUGCCAAGCAUUUUCUUCAUCAAAUGUCACAUCCCUUGAUAGUAAAAGCUUGUUAGAAACAGGAUCAAAAACUCUAUAUCCUUUUUCACAAGUUGCAUAUCCCACAAACACUCCCUUUGUACUCUUAGGAUCCCGCUUGUGUCUCAAUUCAGUUGGCACAUGAACAUAACACAGAGAACCAAACACUUUCAGAUGUGCAAUUCCAGGCUUCCUUCCACUAUAUGCUUCGAAUGGAGUAAUGUUGUUGAGAGCUUUGGUAGGACAUCUGUUCAGCAAAUAGAUAGCUGUAUGCACAGCUUCUGCCCAUAGGAAAUAAGGCAUUCCCUUCUCAUGUAACAUUGAUUUUGCCAUCUCAAUGACAGUUCUAUUCUUCCUCUCAACUACUCCAUUCUGCUGAGGAGUAUAGGCCAUUGUAAGCUGCCUUUGAAUGCCAUUAGCUUCACAAAACUCCAAAAAAUCAGUAGACAUAAACUCUCCACCCCUGUCACUUCUUAUGCACUGAACCUUGUGUCCAGUUUGUAAUUCAGUCAUGGACUUGAACUUCUUGAAACAAAAGAAGGCUUUUGACUUGUUUCUCAAGAAGUAUACCCAAAUCAUUCUUGUGAAAUCAUCUAUAAUCAGCAUGAAAUAUCUGUUCCUUGCAACAGACUCAUUUCUCAUGGGACCACAGAGAUCCACAUGUAUUAGCACUAGUACUUUGCUUGCUCUUUGAGCUUGAUCUUUUGGAAAAACAUUUCUGUGCUGUUUUCCAAAUUGGCACCCGUCACACACACCACUUUGUUCUUCCAAUUUUGGUAAACCAUGUACCAUUUCUUUAUCACUUAGCUGCUUCAAUCCUCCAAAAUGCAGAUGACCAAAUCUCUUGUGCCAAAUCCAUGUGGAUUGAAGAAAACUAGUCUUCAUUAGUAACUGUUUUUCAGCUAGAAAAGAGACAGGAUAGCAUCUGUUACUCUUCAUUUGCACCUUUAUGAUGAGAUAAUCCAUGGAUGGGCUAUCAAAUACCCUGCACAUCCCUUCUCCAAACACUAGACAGUACCCAUGUUCAUCCAUCUGCCCAACACUUAGCAGAUUUUCUUUCAAUCCUGGCAGAUACAUUACUUCUCUGAUGUAUUUCCUGCCCUUUGCUGUAUCAAUACUCAGUGAGCCAAUACCAGCUACACUCACUAAUGCACCAGUUGGCAUUUGUACUCUCCCAGCUACAUUAGUUCUCACAUCAACCAGCAAAUCUAAAUUUCCUGUCAUAUGAUUGCUGCAGCCACUGUCAAUGUACCAUUCAUUGGUUUUGAUCUCAGUGGUUGAGCAAUUGGCAUAAAACAGGUUUCCUGUAACCUCCAUUUGAUUUACACAAUUAGCCUUCUGCACAUUUUUGCUCACUGUACAGUCUCUAGCAAGAUGUCCAACUCUGUCACAGUUAUAGCAUUUUGGUUUUCCCUUAUACCUGCACUCACCAAAAUGAUGCUUUGAACACACCUUGCAUUGAGGCUUUGUGUUUUCCUGAUUUGAGAACUGUGUUGAAGUGUGGUUCUGUGCAGAAUAAUUAUUCUGCUGUGUCUUGUCUUUUGCCUCCCAUGACUUCCCUUUAGAGUUCCAGCUUCUCUGUGACUUAGAUGAACCAGACUGAGAAGCAUUUUUGUUCUGACCCUUUGAAUUCACAGUGAAUGAGGCAAAUGCCUUCUCAGCUGUAUCAACACUAUGCAUUUCAAGCCUUUGCUCCCGACUCUUCAAAAUGGCAGUUACUUCCUGCAAAUCCACAGUUUCUAGUGUCUUUGUGUUUUCAAUCACAAUGCAUAUAGGGUCAUACUUCUUACUUAGACUAAUUAACACCUUCUGAACCUACCUCUCAUUUGACAGAACUUCACCAAAUGUUUUCAUUUGGUUAAUCAAUUCAGUUAGUCUAGUAAGAUAUUCAGAUAAGGUUUCACUAUCACGCAUCCUACUGUAUUCAAACUCACGUCUAAGGUUUUGAAGCUUUACCGAUCUAACAUGCUCUCCACCAUGAUAUUCUGAGUACAGCAGAUUCCAAGCCAUCUUUGCAGAGUCAGCAUUGGCAAUUCUGGGAAAAAUCUGAUCAGAAACAGCAUUUUGAAUGAUACCCAAGGCCUUCGCAUCCUUCAUGAGAAUCGCAGCUGUUUUCUCAUCAACUUCUUCUUCUGAACCAUCCUCAGAUUCCUGCUUCGUCUUUGAAUCUGGGAUUAAAAACCCCUUCUCUACCAAACCCCAUAAACCAUAUGAUCUGAAUAUGGUUACCAUCUUAAUCCUCCAAAAUUCAUAGUUCUCACCUGAGAAAAUGGGGAUUCUAGCCUCUGAACUUCCAGAUCCAGCCAUUACGAAUUUCAGAUUCGCCUGGAAACAAGAUGUUUUCAGAUUUGACCCUUGAUCGAGCUCAAUCAGCUUCGUGAGCUUAGAAUGAGCUCACCUCGAUCGAUUUUCUUCACAGAACAACGCCCAGCUUCAGAUAAUCAAACUUGGCUCUGAGGCCAUGUUAGAGUUUUAGGAUCUGAGUGUUAGAUAUUGUGAGAAGAGAGAAGAGAAUUUAGUGAAAAUUUCCAAUACUGCUCUGCUAUACGUGUAGCAGAGAGAACAUUCUCUUUUGCUAUAUAUUUUCAGUACAACAACACACACUUGGUGUGAGAAGAAAAAUGACUGUUAUGCACAGUACCAGCUGGAUGCUUUCCAUCAAAGUAAUCUCAGCCAUUCACUAUCUAACCAAUCAAGCUAUGACACCUGGACUAAGUAUAAAGAAAUACAACUAAGCAGAAAACAAGACUCUUAAUCCUGAAAUCAACUUAAGCACUUAUAAUUCAACAUUGUUACCAUAAGAGCCAGCUCCGACUUUCUUUAAUUUCAGUCCUAACGGGGUUUCAUCUUCCACUCAUCUUUGCUCUUCUCAGUGUAAGCUCUGCAAUUUGAUUAACUUUCCCAUUAUCUCUCACUGUACUCUAUAUAAAGGAAUAAGUGUCGUCCACUAAUUAAUUACACUUUGUGAGAUUUGAUUUUAAUUAGAGUUCGAAUUGAUGUUGCAGCUAGCAGCGGUGGCACUGGCAAACCAUGCUGCUCAACCAGCACCUCAACUUUACUGGAACUCCGUCCUGCCAAACACACAAAUGCCAAGAGCUAUCAGUGAACUUCUGCAUCCUGGUUUGUGUUGAAUAAAUAUAGUAUGUUACUGGAGUACGUAUGGCAACAUAUUCACAAAUGUGUCACGUAUUUUCCAAUAUGACGUUGAUAUAUAAUUGCAGACUCCACAAACGAAGAAAAGAGCACAAAUGUCAUGAAUGCUGUUGGGAAUGGAAAGCCAAUUGACCACAAGGGCAACCUGAAAAUACUGUACUACCACAGCUUGCACGACGCCCAUUUUCUUACAAGAGUGAUGAUCGUCCCACUGACAAUCAACUCCAUUAUAAAAACGUAGCUAUUUUCUUCUUGGAGAAGGACAUGCGCCCUGGCACAACAAUGAGCUUCCAAUUCCCUAGAAAUUCAAACACGGCUACUUUCCUGCCACCAGAAAGAGCUCAAUCGAUCCCCUUCUCCUCUAACAAACUACCAGAAAUUUUCAACCAUUUUUCAGUGAAGCCAACAUCUGUGGAAGCCAAAACAAUUAAGCAAACAAUCGAAGAGUGUGAGGCUCCAGGCAUUAAGGGAGAGGAAAUAUAUUGCGCCACAUCUUUAGAAUCAAUGGUUGAUUUUAGCACUUCGAAUUUUCGAACAAGAAACGUUCAAGCAAUCUCGACAGAGGUAUUGGAAAAAGGUGCCACCAUGUCCAUGCACAAGCAUACAACAAUGCCGGGACUGAAGAAGUUGGCAGGUGACAAAGUCGUUGUGUGUCAUAAGCAGAACUAUCCCUAUGCUGUGUUUUACUGCCAUGUAAUAAAACCAACAGCAGCUUAUGUUCUCUCCCUGAAAGGCGAUGAUGGGGUGAAGAUUAAAGCAGUAGCCAUCUGCCAUCUAGACACAUCAGAAUGGAACCCAAAGCAUUUGGCCUUCCAAAUCCUCAAAGUUAAGCCCGGAACAAUUCCCAUCUGCCAUUUCCUUCCCACUGAUCAUAGUGUCUGGGUUCCGAACCACAAAUCUGCAUGAUCAUCACUUAGCACUGUACGUAUAAUAAGCUUGCACCCCUGUAUAAUUAUCUCCCUACUCUACUUAUUUCUGCCUCUUCAUGUGGUGUAAGAUAUAUGAUGAGAUGAAGUUUUUGGGAUUAGUGGUCGGGUUGCCUUAAAAACACAGAUUACAGAAACUGCUUGAACUUAACCCGAUCAUGUUUUCUCUUGUACUCGUAAAGCAUGCUGUUGUGGUUCUACUUAAUUUCGUUCUCCCCAAUGUUUGAGUGUUUAAUUGUUACGUUGGAUAAUGCUUGUAGUUAGAGAAGCCUUCAUUUAUAUCAAAGUCCUCAACUUGUAAAGAUAUCAAUGGUCCUAGUGCUGCCACGUGUAAGAAGAUUGAAGAAUAAAGCUGUUGAGAUAUUGUUAGACCUGUUAUGCAGUUUAGGAAAACUGUUAGUAUUGAUAAGAGAAGGUUAGAGAUGUUAGAGAGGUUAGAAAACACGUGAACAAGGCUUUAACUCAGCUGAUAUAAAGUCUGUAGUUGUGCUCAGUUGAACUUAAUGAGAAAUACAACAAGUCUCUUCUCUAUCUCUGAAAUUCUCUCUGCUCUCUCUGCUUUACUUCUUUUGUCUCUGCUCUACAUUUUUUUUCAAUCUUCCUAUCUUAACAAAACUAUCAAGAAUUAAUGCAUCCAGAAACAUAUAUACCAAGACGCAAAACAACAUAUUUUUCAUGCUCUGUCUGUAACACCAAAGCAAACUUCCUUUAUCACAAAAGGAUCAAAUUCCAGUACUAAUCUAAUCCAUCAUGUAAAGCAUACAAUCUACAAGUGCCUCCCUUAAUUUGUCCAUUGGAUAUAUAUGUCACUUUUUGGUAAUUUGGUAUAGCAGCACCACGUAGUCUUGAAAUAGUAGUGCGGCUAUACCAAAUAUACCAUUUGCCCCUGCAUUUAACAGAAAAGUAAACAAAAUUGACGGUAGAACUAUUUGUCCUAACGAAACUGCAGUUGAAAGACCAUGAGAACGAUUUUGAAAAUUGAGGGACUCAAAUGAAAAUUGGGUCUAAGUUCAAGAACCAAUAAAACGAUUAACCCAUAGAUUUUGGAUCCAGUACCACAUCCCAAAGAGAAAACCACAAGUUUGCAAGCAAGUUUGUCCAUAAUAACACUACGUACAGUAUGGGCAGUGCGCUAGACUCAUCUCACUUUCUCAACCUAUCCUAUAGUUGUCUAAAAGAGUUUCUAAUUUAAUGUACUGAGAUUUACGAAAGAAAUAUCAGAGAAACAAUUUUCAGGCAAUAAAAAAAUGUCUUGGCAAGAAAAUGUACAAUUUGUUACAUAACUUAUUAAAUAUGAACAGUUGAAAGAAAAAAGAAUCUGGAUGAGGGAUUUGCAAAUUCCUAUGGCCCAAUUACCUUUUUUUCUUUGUUGUUUUUUUUUUUUUUUUUUUGGUUCUUUUGAUCCAGUAGCAUAUUCCAAAGAAUGAAAACCACAGGCAUGCAAUGCAAGCUCUUUUCCCACGUUUUCCUCUGUUUUUCUCCUAUCAUGGAAGUGAUUAAAACACACCUCUAAGCUUGUUUUGCGUUUGGUAGCCGAGUGUAAAAGCUCAAUGCAAGAUAGUUUGAGGUAGAAUUUUCUCCUAUUUUAUUAGGACAAUGAUAAUUAAAAAAAAGUGUGAUUCAUUGAAUAUUUGCGGGGUUUUGUUCAGACCUGACAAAGUUCUAAGUCAACACAUCAAAUUCCUUUUUCCAACAUGCAACAAUUGUAUUUGAUUCCCAAUUUUUUCUGAUAUACAUCACAUCAUGCCACUUGCAUCAAAUGAAUUUAAUUGAGUGAGGCAAUGGGAAGUAAUUAAGCUCUGUAUUCGUGGGUGGAGUGUUACUUCUGGAACCCUAAUAAUUCGUCCCUACAGGACUCUAGAACUCUCAAACUUCUUACAAGGACUACUUAACUCUAUAGCUUAAUGCAUAUAGCAUAUAUAUGCAAACACAAUUAGAAAUUCUACAACAGAAGCAAGAUCAAUCUCACUAUGCCUUCUAAACAAACAAACAAAUAAAACAAGCAUAUUAAUUGCUUUAAUCACUCUACUAACAUCAACACAGCACACUUAGUUUACUAACAGAUGAUAUAGAAAGGAAAAAAAAGGACCAAUAGGGAGAAAAUGGUGAACUAAGGAGAGACUAAUACUUCUGGUCCUUAGAAGGCAUAACAGAAAUAAUAGAGCACACUGCUUGAAUGCAAGUCAGUAUUAGGAGCAAAACAGCUGCAAUGAAAGAAAUAGUUGCCCAAGGUGUAUUGAAAUAAUGUUGCCUCAAAUUUGCCUUCCAUUUGUUCCAAGGCUUUCUGCAGUAGCUAUUAAGGCGCUCAGAAAGAAUAGCAAAGUAGAAGCUUUCACGAUACACUGCAAUUCCUUUUCCGAGGUUGUUAAUCAGAGUGCACACCUCAUUGUAGUCACCAAGCAUAUUUUUGACAAUCCCAUCCUUCAGAAGGAACUCCACAUCCUUUUCGGUGUUCACAAACUCAUCCAUGAGUGAAACAUAAUCACUUAUGUAAUUCUUACGGCAAUGGCACUAUUCAAAGGCAAUGAGGUUACGGAGUGUGAGCUCUGUGUAAUCGUGUAUUUUUAGUUUUGGAAUUUCUAGAAUCCCAUCGUUGAAUUGUGUUAACGCAGCUUUCCUUUCCUAGCCUACACGGAAGUCAACUUCACAAUCUCCUCCUAGCAAUUAGUCUUUCCUGCUGUAAAUCAGAUUUCCUACUGUAAAUCGGAUUGUAUUCAUGUCUAUAUUAUUUCCUACUUUAAGUAGAUAUCUUGUACUAGUAUAAAUAGGGACUUUGUGUAAUCUGUUAAAUACAAGGAAAUAUAUACUCUGCAUGGUAUCAGCCUAACCUAGGGUUCUCUCUCUCUCCCUUAUUCGAUCCUCUUCUCCUUUAGGUCCACCUCAUGGCUUUGUCUGAAUCCACCAUCUCCCUCCCAAGCCCCAACUCUUCUAUUUUAUCAAGCUUAUUGACUCCAACUAUCUUCUUUGGCUCCGCCAACUCAAACCCUUUUUAGUCGGCCAUGACCUCUGGAAAUUUAUCGAUGGCAUUCAUAAACAACCUUCUGCCCACACCUCCACCUCUACCACCGCAACACCCACAACCACCACCACUCUUACCCAAAUCAAUCAUGCCCAUGCUCAGUGGUACCAACAAGACCAACUCAUUGUUAGCUACAUCACCAAUACACUCUCUGAGUCCAUUCUCUUUCUCACUGUUGGUUGCACCUCUGCCCGGGAUCUCUGGGAGUGUCUCCAACGCCACUUCUCUCAAUCCAGUAUGGCCAGUGAAUCUACUCUUCGUUUUAAACUCAUGGAUUUGCAAAAAGGCUCUGAACCCACUUAUGCUUACAUUCGUCAUGCUAAGUCCUUUGCCGAUUCACUGGCUGCCAUCAAUGAACCUGUCUCCCCAAAAGAACUUGUCACUACUGUGCUUUGGGGUUUAAGACCCUAUUGCAACAUCCUCGUCACAGCAAUUCUCAAUUUCCCUCUGCUUCCUAACUUUGCUAAUCUUCGUGCUCGUUUGUUAGCAUUUGACGCACAGACUCCUUGAAUCUCUCCUGAUCAAAACACAGCGCAAAUGGCCACCCAAUCCUCUCCUCACACCACCGGUCAUACUUCCUUCCCUUCUCACCGUGGUGGUGGCUCUUCCAACAACAGGCGUGGUGGCCUCGGUGGCUGGCGCAAUAGCGGCCGGGGUGGCUGGCGCAGCUUCUCAUCUUCCUGGAGCAACCCGUGGAAUGGCUUCCAGCAGCUCCAAUGACCUAAUCAACCAUGGCCUCCUUUUGCUCCAAGUUCUGGAUCUCAAAGCAACUGGCCUUCCUUUCAGCCUCCUUGGGCCUAAUCUGCCGCUUCUAUCAAACACUUUGCCCGGCCCAACUCAGCUCCUGGUGUCUUGGGACCCGCUUGGUGCACUACCUGCAAUACCAAUCACAUACUACUACAAUAUGUCCUCAUCGCUACAAUGGCCCAGAAUCCUUUCUUUGCUAGGGCUCAAUUCAUGUAGCCACCUGACUCUACUUGGUACCCUGACACAAGUACCACUCAUCAUAUGAUUGGUAGUCCUUCUAAUCUCCAAAAUCAAUCCUUCUAAUCUCCAAAAUCAACAGCCAUAUCAGGUUCAUAAUUCUGUAUUUCUUGGUAAUGGAGAUUCUCUCCCUAUCUCUCAUACUAGCUCUCUCUUUUGUCUUCCAUCUCUUCGUACUAAUCUUCUUUUUGUUGCCCAUUUUACUUGUGAUAAUUUAGUUUUCUUUGUCUUUACUCUUGACUUUUAUCAAAUCUAUGACUUAUGUACUGGUUCGUUACUCUUUCAGGGCCCUUCUAAAGAUGGUCUUUACCCACUUUCCAUCUCCUCUCACUCAUCCAUAGUCCCCCAUGCCCUUACCACCGUGCACUCUCCUGCUUGGCAUCAUUGCCUUGGCCAUCCAUUCCAUCGUGUGCUCUCUCAUUUAGCGCCAUCUCUAGGCUUUAAAGUUUCUCAUGCUUUCUGUAAGGAUUGUGCACUUAGCAAAUCCACCAAACUGUCAUUUCUUAGUAAUAAAACCUUUGCCCCAUCUCCCUUUUAUUUAAUUCACUCUGAUGUAUGGAUGUCCUCGGUCAUUUCUGUCACUGGUUAUCGCUAUUAUGUCUUGUUUACAGAUGACUUUUCUCGUUACUCCUGGAUCUAUCAUAUGCACCGUAAAAAUGAGGUCUUUUCUCACUUUCAAACCUUUCUUGCUAUGGUUAAAAAUCAAUUUCACACCACUGUACAAAUUCUUUAAAGUGACAAUGGCACUGAAUAUGUUAAUAAUGCUUUCUCUGAUCUUUGCAGUCAACUAGGCAUCCACCAACGUUUCACAUGUCCCCACACUCCCCAACAAAAUGGCCUAGCUGAACAUAAACACAGACACAUUGCCACCAUGAUCUGUCCCCGGUCAUUUAUUCAACCAUCUUGACCUUUUGCUUGAUCAUUUUCCACAAGCAACCGUCCACGUACCCCAAUAAUUUAAAAGGGCUGAUGAUCUUUAAUUUGGUGAAAGCUUCUAUCUACCUACCGUGCUAUAUAUGAGCUAUGCAAUCGUGACCGUGUUACAUGACGUCCCAAUGUCGUAGGGAUAAAAAAAUAAUAGUCAUGGUUUUCUUAUUAAUGUCAAUACAUUCAUAGCAAAGAGCUUGUAGCUCUAGUGGUUAAGAGCAAUUACCCAUGCACUUGAGAUAUUUUGUGUUUAAAUCCCCUCUUCCCCAAUAUUUCUUGUAUAAAAAUAAAAAUAACAAUAAUAAUGACAUUAAUGUUGUAUUCUAUAAAGUGUUGGACAUGUUUUAUACCCCUUUCUUGCAAAUUACAGUUUGCCACGUGUACAAAAAUAAUAGAUAAGUGUUGGACAUCAAGAGCACUUACAUAUAGGUUUAAUAGGUAAGUUUUGAAUAUUUCUGUAUUUAGCUUUAAAUAUUGAAAAUCAACCUAUUAGCAUAUUAAAGAUUUGUCCAUAUUCGACGUACAUUCUCUUAUUUUUCUCUCAUUGAAGUAAAUACAAAACUAAGCACAUAGUGGGAAAGUGCGUCACGAUUAGGGGUGGGUUUAGUCUAGGUUGGUUCAUUUUUGGGCUCAAUUUGAACACCGAACUGUAAGCUUCGGUUUGGCUAUUUUGGAAACCGAAACCAAACCAUAAUUGAUGAAAACCGACCACUUCGAUUACCUUCUGGUCUUCCAACCAGAAGAAAACUCAAAACUUUAACCAUACCAAGUGCAACAGAAUUACACCAGGCUGGAUUCAAGUUUAUGAUGGUUAAAGAUAAAAACUUAUUUGACAUACAAUUUGAGAAUGGAAUCCUCAAAAUUCCACACCUGCGAAUACGGGGUUUAACAGAAAUUUUCUUCCGCAAUCUUAUUGCCUAUGAGCAGUGUGAGCUUCAUGAUCAUUACAUCAACGACUAUGUCUUCAUCAUGGACCGCCUGGUCGACAGUGCCAGGGAUGUGGAAUUGCUUGUGAAGAGUGGAAUUCUUGAAUCUAUGCUACCGGACAGCGAGGCAGCAGGGGAAUUUAUUAAUUCUCUUGACUUGGGGCCUAUUUUAGGCAAGCUUGAAACAAGACUAUUUCAGUUCACCAUGGGCUGGCCUGUCUAUUAUUGUAGCCGCUAUACUAGUUGUGCUCACAUUUAUUCAAACAGUGUGCUCCGUAAUGGCGCUGUAGGUUCUUCAUUUCCUCAAUUUCAUGUUUAGUGGUUGCAGAUUUGUUGCUCAUGUACGUGUUUAUCUAAAGUUAAAUAAGAGUGAUUGACUGGAUUGACUGUUAGUCUGUUAGUUUGUUUUUCUGGGGUUUUUCCCCCCUGUUCGUCAAAAAAAAAAAUAAAAGAGUGAUGGCUUGUGCCUAUGAAAAUUACUUAGGAGUAUGCUCCACAGAGCCAAAAUAAAUAAACUAGGGAAGUGGAGGUUCUUCUGUUUGUAUAUAAAUGAGCAAUUCAAACUCUCAGUGCCAAGGGAGUUACCCUUGAUACAUUUGUUAAAAAUUAUAUAUUUGGUCUUACAUCAAACAAAUAAUUUGAAGGGCUUUUUUGACAACUGCUGACAGCGUUUGGCAGAAAAGUUUAGAAGCGCUUCUACGCUUCUAGAUCAUAAAAGUGCUUUACCAAAAAGCACUUAGAUUUCUUAUGAAAAUUUCAACAUUUUUAUAAUAAAAGCGCUUGCUAGAAGCACUUAUAAGCAGAAGUGCUUCAUAGAGAAGCAGUCCCAAACGAGCUUGAUUUUCAAAUGUGCUGCUUAAGAAGAAAUUUAAUACGUUUUGAAAACAAAAAAAAAUACGAAAUUUAAUACGUUUGUUUUACAAAUUGUAUUAAUUGUUAUCAAUAAUACUUGUGCACACCCACAACAUACUUCUUUCUUUCUUUAUUUUCCUUCAGUACAGUUCUGCCUUUCUUUAAUUAUUUUUAACGAAUGCAAAGAGUUUGUCACAAAAUCAAGGAUUGAAAAAAAAAGAGAGUAAAUUAUGUGCUAGAGAAACUUUCCUGCAGAAAUUGAAGAACAACUCUAGUUUCUCUCUUUCGCCUUGUACUCCCGCACUGAGGUUAGUAUUGUUAUAAUGUGCAGAUUAUACGGUCACUCUUGUAUAAUGGCGAGAAGGCUCUAAUUAUAUUUUUGAACCUCUUUGACAGGACCCGCCCCGAAUUUCCCGAAACCCAAGACGAAUUCUGUGGAAAUUCCCUACAUCACCCCGAUGUUGGGCCCACUUCUAAAACUAUAUCAUUUUUCCUAAAAAGGAAUAAGGGCACGAGACUUUCUACCGAAAUUUCGGCAGAGUCUCUCCUGUAAAUUGAACAUUUCCCAAAAUUUCAACCUGCAUAAAACACAUUUUAUAUUACCCAACUGGCAGCAUGCACAAAAUAAUAACAUGCAAUUCACAUAAACGGCCUCUGGCCCUCCGGUAAUUCAGAGCAAUGCAAACUAGCAACUCUAAACCUAAUAAAACAACAUAAGUAACAUUUAGCCAGCGGCUGCACCCAGGCACUACCCUAGGCUACCUACGUACCCUUACUAAGGGAUCAAGCCACACGUAGUUCUUUCAUACAAAAUUUCCAAAUCCAUCAACAUGCAAUCAAUUACAGAAUCCCAAACAAAAUCUUUCUCAAACAUCAUUAGUUCCCAACUCAGUAUAAUAAUCCUUAAUUCAUCUCUGUAAUAAUCACAAUAUCUCCCCAUACGCCGGAACUACCAACACCACGUAUGGAGCCUGCCUGUACGCCAGAUAACCAACGACACGUGGGACCUCAUCAUCAUAUCACAUAAUCUCCCCAUACGCCGAAACUACCAACACCACGUAUGGGGUCUGUCAACACGCCGGAUAACCUACGACGUGUGACCUCAACAUCAAAUCACAAUAUCUCCCCAUACACCGGAACUACCUACGCCACGUAUGGGGUCUGUCCACAUGCCGGAUAACCUACGACACGUGGGACCUCAUCAUCAUAUCACAUAAUAUAUUAACGAUCAAGAAAUAUCACUACGGUCAUUUAAUCCUCCUGGGAAGGUAAAACUAUCUCAGGAGACUCACGGUCAACCAAGGGUCAAACUACCUCAUACUUGGACAAACGAGCCCACGGAGCCCACAACCUCCGUUUUACUAUCCAAGAGUUCCUAUAGGUUCUACAAGGUUUAGGAUACACGGCUUGCAAGUUUGGUCAAGAUCAGACGGUCGGAUCGCUCACGAUAGGACGGUUACUGCAAACCUAGCCCUAGGGUUGGCAUUUUCGGAGUAUCCGAAACUCCGUUUUACGAUCUGUCGAAUCAUAGACGAUCCUAAGGAUUUGCAGACUAACUAUAAUAAAUUCAAGACCAUCCAACGGUCUAAACCUAUCGAACCCGGAUAACGCGCAAUAGGCAAUAUCCAAAUUGAAAUCCGAGCACACCUACGCACUCGUGAGGACUAGGAGAUUACAUCGGGACAUAGUGCCCUUUUUCUACAGUGCCCAUGAGCCGCCGCACGCACCAGCAACGCGUGGGUGCCCAAAGCGAUUAUGCAUCGCCAAAAAAUCUCAAAACCACGGCUCAAGACUCCUACCCUAGGUAUAACACCCUAUUUGGAACCACUUUUGUUCUUGGACCUACCCCAAAAACUGAUCAGAAGUGGCCGGAAUGGCUGAAAUGUAAUUCAAAAAUCAAGCUACCAACGCUCAAAAUCGAUGCAAUCCUACCCAACCAUCAACUAGAUUAUGAAGAAUGGAUAAAUUUCCAUACCUUGAUCGCCAACAAUGGCGGCCGGAGGAGAGAGAUCUGAUCCGGCGAAGUUCGAGUGAAAACGGCCAAAAAUCAUCUUUUUCAGGCGGCUGGAGGGCGACCGAUGUCAGGGAAGGGCAGGGUCGUGACGCUAAGGCUGAGCCUGUCCUUUUGGCACCGGUCCCUUCCGCAGCCGUGUCCGGUGGCUGGAGUUUCGAAGAGAGAGAGAGAGAGAGAGAGAGAGAGAGAGAGAGAAAUCUGAUUUUUAUCAAACCUUUUUGCCAAAAUUACGGUUAUGCCACUGAGGGUAUUUUGAUAGUAUCUCUCUCGUUACAACUUCGAUUCGAGCCCACCACGUGUGUACGGACUCAUCUAACUGUGUUGUACGCAACGGUAUAGUCGAAAUUCCCAAAUUAUUUCCUUGUCAAAAAGUCAACUUUAAACAUUAUAAAAUAUUUUAGGGAAAAAAUGGUAUUUUCUCUCAAUAAAUUAGUAACUAAUUUAUUUAGGACUGGGUCAUUAUACUCUUUUUCGCUUCAAUGGAUGGGAAAAAAUUUUAUGUAAUAUCCCACAUCGACCAACGAAGAGGGGGCGAUGUGUCUUAUAUGUACAUGCCCGCCUCCAUCUAGCAUAAGGCCUUUUGGAAGCUCACUGGCUUCAGAGUCAUGGGAACUCCGAAGUUAAGCGAGUUGGGGGCUAGAGCAAUCCCAGGAUGAGUAACCCACUGGGAAGUUGCUCGUGAGCUUCGAGAAACAAAACCGUGAGGGCAGAGAGAGGGGCCCAAAGCGGACAAUAAGGCCUCGUGCUAGAUGGAGGCGGGCAUGUACAUAUAAGGCACAUCACUCUCUCUCCGUUGGUCGAUGUGGAAUGUUAGAAUGGAAUUGUUACCUUUGGUGUGGAGGUGUUCUAUCAUUUGAGCAAGAAAUUCCCACAUAUUCUUCAACUAUUUUUCAAGCAUGCAUAUUCCUCCCUAUCAAUCUUUGGUUUCUUCCUUUACUGUGCAUAGUAAGGAUCCAGUCAGGGACGGACCGUCGCUAUGACUAUCCUGGGCUAUAGCCCAGGCAAAUUAUUUUUUUUUCUAGUCUAAAAUAGCAAUCCCACCGCUUGCUGUAGUACUUGUUCAGUUCGUCACAAACAUGAGCAUAAUAGAAGUUAUCAACAUCUAUAUAGGAACCCCAAUGAAAAGGCUGUUAACUAAUAAUGAAGUUAACCCGUCAAUUUUUCCGCAUAUCAGAUAUCUCUCAGAAUAUGCGAUUCCAUAUUCAAUAAGCCACUCCACAUGCCCUGAGGUUUUCAUCAAACCACCCAUUAAGGAAACAUACUGACUCAUGUAAUUAUCAUUACUCAUCGGGUAAUGCAAUUGUUCAAAGGCAAGGACAUUUCUCAUUAUUUAUGUAGCGAACCCCAAUGGAAAUGGUGGGAUCUUCAGAACCCCAUCGGUGCUACUGAAUUGUAUGUCAAAUAUGUUUUCACCUUGUCACGCCUCAAACUUGACUCCAGCGUGCUGUAAUUCUGUCAAGCUGGGUAUGGAUGAUGGGAGUUUGAUGCAGGAGCAUAGGGGUGGAUCAAGAUAGAUAUUUACUAUUUAAUUAGUUAUUUCAUGAUAUAUUGUUAUUUUCUUAUUUAGGUAGUUUUAUGAUAUCUUUUAUUAUUUAUGUGUGAUUUUAUAAUUAAUUAGUAUACUUUUGGACCAAGUAGCCUUGGUGCUCAAGUCUUGUAAAGCCUAUAAAUAAGGCUAAUGUAAUAGUUGUAGAAUAGAUGUCGAUGAUUAAUAAAAUCGUUUAUUUGUGGCAUGGAUUUGCUACGAUAUAUGUGAGUUUGCACUAGCCCUAGAUUUCAGUGCUCGUGUAUGUGGUUGGUGACCUGUGUCCGGAUCCCGAUCCCCAUCAAUUGGUAUCAGAGCUAUGGCUCAAGAUCUGCUAUAUCGGGGAGGUUUUUGGAUGGAGGGUCGUUUUAACAACUACAACGACAUGGAGGAAAUUAGGAGGAUGCUACGGCAACUUAUGGAACACAUUGCUCGCAUUGAAGCUCGAACCCAGAUAGGUAAGAGUUCUGACGGGGAGGGAUGUGUGAACCCUUAUCUGAACCGAGUAGCUCGCAUCGACACUCUAAGCCGUGAGAGUCUCGACGGGGAGUACGAGGGAGAUAGCCCUUUUCAUUAUUGUGCUCCGCUGUGUGAGUCAAGUGAAGAGGGGCACGGUUAUUCUCAUUGUGUCUUUGAAGGUAUAAAUGAAUUUAGUAAUUUUGGUGCAUCUUGUUAUUCAUCAAAGUUAUUAAAUUUGGAUUUACCUCCAUUAUUUGAUCCUUGCAAUUGUGAAAAUUGCAAUAAAAAUUGUUUGGGUGUUCAAAGCAAUUUUGAUAAGCAAUUUAUUGACCAGAACAGUGAAGAGAUGAGAAUUGAGAAAACUUUCGAAGAUAUUAUUGAUUUUAUGGGCAUUAAUAUUUUCACUUGGAAGGUUGCCAAAAAUCUGGUUGAUUUUGUCAAUCGGUUGAAGAUUCUAGAGAGAAACAUUUGCAUUGCUAGAGGGAGUAAGAAGUCAAGAAUAACGAAAUAUUCCAAAUAUCUUUUUAUUUGGAAAGGAAGGUUUCAAUUGGAUGCUAAAAGAUCCAAAAUUAAUAUGCAGCAAUUGAAGAUUCUACUCGGAUUUUCCUUAAUCAAAGGCUUGAAUUCGAGGACGAAUUCUUUCCAACUAUGGGAGUCUGAUGCAGGAGCAUAGGGGUGGAUCAAGAUAGAUAUUUACUAUUUAAUUUGUUAUUUCAUGAUAUAUUGUUAUUUUCUUAUUUAGGUAGUUUUAUGAUAUCUUUUAUUAUUUAUGUGUGAUUUUAUAAUUAAUUAGUUUACUUUUGGACCAAGUAGCCUUGGUGCUCAAGUCUUGUAAAGCCUAUAAAUAAGGCUAAUGUAAUAGUUGUAGAAUAGAUGUCGAUGAUUAAUAAAAUCGUUUAUUUGUGGCAUGGAUUUGCUACAAUAUAUGUGAGUUUGCACUAACCCUUGAUUUCGGUGCUCGUGUAUGUGGUUGGUGACCUGUGUCCGGAUCCCGAUCCCCAUCAGAGUUCCCCUCCAGCUUUUGAUUCCAACGGUUGAUAGAGUUUAAAUAUUUUCCUGAAAAGAUCAAUAAUAUGUGCCACUGAUCUAAAAGUCUCCAAAUUGUCUUCCAAUUUGUCAACAGGCAAUAGAUGUUCGAAGAAACUGAAAGAAAUACAAAUUAUUGAAAGCCCCUCAGUAAUGCUGUUAUUGUCAGCAUUAGCAGGGAGUGUAAUUUUCUGUGGGUCGAAAAGAUCCUCGAGAAUGAAGAAUGGCAACUGAUUUUCAAGCAACCACGUAUCUGUCCAUGCAUCUUGCAACAUACCUGGUUUGUCAAAUAUGCGGUCAUUUUCGUCCCAAAAUUUGAAGUAGUCCUUCAAUAAGGGCUCAAUAACGAAGGCGGCGCCCACUAGAAUGAUUGUUACAAAUUCAUCACUGCUAAACUUGAUGGGUUCUCCAUAACAACGUCUCAAUCUUGCUUCGUGGUCCUUUAUUUUCUUAAUAUAAUCCUCCAAACUCACAUUGGUCCGACCUAUAAAAUCUUGCAGGUAUCUCUGUUUGUUCUCUUCCAAUACGACAUUCAAGCCUUCCUUUCCAUGGUGAAGUGGACCUAUAGAGACCGACUGCCUGAGGUGUGCAGAGCUUUUCAUUCACACAUACGUAGAUAAAAUGUCUGGGGGCUCAGAGAGUGAUGAAUGUGCAACAGCUAAUGGGAGGGUUUAUAUUCCUGAAGUAAGAAAUGAGGAAACACCAGCAGUUGGGAUGAAGUUUGACUCGCUUGACCUCGUUUACAAUUUCUAUAAUAGAUAUGCAUUCUUGGCUGGCUUUGGUAUUCGACUUCAUUCUAGCUUUUGGGGGAAAAAUAAGAAAGAGAUUUUGAGGAAAGAAUUUGUAUGUUGCAAACAAGGUGCAUACAAGAAGGAUGAAACUCGGGAGAGAAAAAGACAACGGGGAAUAAGUAGAUGCAAUUGCAAAGCAAAGAUUGUGGUUGUGAAGACAAAUGGGAGCAAGAAGUAUACCAUUUCUCUUUUUGCAGAGGGACACAAUCAUAAGAUGACACCCUCAGAAAGAAUGCAUUUAUUGAGAUCACACCGUCAUAUUUCAGAUUCUACAAAAGUACUCACAAAACAGUUGGGUUCAGUUAAUAUUCCCAUUCAUCAGAAGGUAAGUAUAUUCGAGGUGCAAUCCGGAGGAAUGGAUAAAAUCGGUUUUAUCAAAAAAGAUAUCUACAAUCUUGAAUGUAGUGUGAAUGGGAAGCUGAGGAACCACGAUGUUGAACUAGUGACCGAGUAUUUUAUGGCUGAACAGAAAAAAAAUGAGGCUUUUUAUUUCAAGAUUGAGGGAGAUGGGCAUGACAGGUUUAGUCGAUGUUUUUGGGCAGAUGCAACUUCUAGACGGGCGUAUGGGUUUUAUGGAGAUGUUGUUGUAUUCGAUACCACAUUCAACACGAAUCGAUACGACUUGACAUUUGCACCAAUGUUGGGAGUUAAUAACCAUGGUCAGACAAUUGUCUUAGCAUGCGCAUUUUUGAGCAAGGAAACGACUGAGUCGUUUGUUUGGAUGUUUGAGGAGUUUAAGAAAGCCAUGCCAGGUGGGGAACCUAAAACGAUCAUUACAGAUCAAGAUGCGGCAAUGGCCAUAGCGAUUUCAAUAGCCUUCCCGAGUACAUUUCAUCGACUUUGCAUAUGGCACAUCACAUCAAAGUUCUCUGUUAAGUUACCACGUGACGCUUAUAAGGAGUAUUGGCCUGAAUUUCAGAAAGCCAUAUGGGAUACUGACAAUAAGGAUGAGUUUGAUGCAAAAUGGAAUAUUGUGGUUAUAAAGGCUGGUUUGACUGACCAUCCAUGGCUAAGUUCAAUGUUUGAUUUAAGGGAAUCUUGGGUUCCAGCCUACGCACGACAAUUUUUUGCCGCUGGAAUGUCAAGCAGCCAAAGAGCGGAAGGUUCUCAUGGUUUUUUCAAGCAAUACAUAUCAAGGAGAAAUUCGUUGAUGGAUUUCAUAAUACGAUUUGAGAGGGCAUUUUCUCAUCAACGUGAAAAAGAGUUAGUUGCUGAUCACGUAGAUGCAUUUGAAGUGGCUCAAUGUCUUCUACCGAUGCCAAUGAACAAACAAAUGGCUACCUUGUACACAAGGACAAUGUUUCAAAAGUUUGAGCAAGAACUAAUACAAAGUACAGCAUGUUUCCUAGAGCUCAAAACAGAGGAUGCAUGUAAAGUUGUGUUCAACGUGAGCGAAAGGAAAAAUUGGGAAACAAGAGUGGCAGAAGUCGUAUAUGUCAAAGAUUCUGACCACGCAUCGUGUAGCUGCAAAAGAUUUGAAUUUGUUGGAAUUAUUUGCAAGCACAUCCUAGCAUUGUUCAGAAGGGACCAGAUUGAAUAUAUGCCCGAUAAAUAUAUUUUGAAGAGGUGGAAGAAAACUGCGAAAUGUGGAUUGGUGUCAGAUGCAAAUGGCAACGAAAUUAAAGACUGUGCAGAUCCUGGCCUUCUAAUAAAGCGGAGUACAAUGUCUCGACUUGCUUCAAAUGUGGUUGAGGAUGCAUUAAUGAGUGAAGAAGGAUGUGAGCUACUGUCAGAGACUCUAAAAAGUUUGCAGGUGAAGUUGAAGUUGCUGAAGGAUGGACCAAGUAAUAACGAAGUUGGAGGGUCCAGCUCUCAAACACAAUAUAUGAAAGACCCUAAGAGAGUGAGGUGCAAAGGAAGGUCGAAAGGAAUAACGGGAGCAAAGGAAAAGGCAAUGAAGCGAGGGAUUAGACACUGUCGGGAGUGUGGACACAUUGGUCAUGAUAGAAGACAAUGCCCAGCCUUGAACACACCGUAAGAUGCUACCACUAUUUGUAAUAAUAUCUAAAAUAUGAAAAGGUAAAAUUUUUAUGUGCUUGUGUUUGAUGUUUAUGCAGGACAUCACCGUCGAACAAUGACAAAUCAACUCCAAUACAUCGUAGUGACCCAUUAUUCGACGAUUUUGACAAGAUGCACAGACCAACUGAAUGAUUGAUAUUUGUAUUAGACGAAAUGUGGUUGUUAUGAAGAUUAAUGAUCAAGUGAAGUUUUAUAGAUUCAGUUUUUGAAUGUUAUUGUGUUUUUGUUCAUGUCCACCGAUGAGCUCUUACUAUGUCCACUGGUAAUUGAAAUGAAAAUUUUCUUGGUUUCAUUCUUCCAAGACAUUUGGAGACAUGUUAAUUUUACGUCUUCUCCCUAUUUAUAAAUUUUCAUAGACAUUUGAUCAAGUUUGAAAUUUGUAGUUAUGUGAAGAAGCAAUGACUCUUACCAUGUAAAAUGGGCAGUUUAGGGUGAAAUUUGUUUUAACAGAGAUUCAUUUUUCAAUUCCUCAGGGUAAUGCAGCAAUUACAGCAGCCAGCUGUUGUUUCCAUUACCAGUAAUCAUUUCCAGCAGCAGCCACUUUUUCCGACUGGUUAUUAGGGGCACGAUUUUGUACACUUUUGUAAGUGAAGGAUACUCGAAGCACUUUGUUGGAACAGAGCAAAUAGAAACCAGCGGGUAAAAAAAAAACAUAACAUUGCAGCUAAUUACAUUUCGAUACAUAGGUGAAAAAUAUUAAAGGGUACACUAACUUACAUAAAUACUCAUAAUUCCACACACAAAAGAACAUUUGAUUGCAAAACAUAUUAUGUGCUUCCUCAUAGCAAUACCACGAUCUCCCCAACCAACUGAACAACGGUAGCCACAAUCACUGGGUCGUACUCGUCAGCUUCUUCUUAGCAGGUCUCACAUGCUUAUGGCCACUCAUAUCCCUAGUGAUAUACACGAAAUAAAUCUUCAGCAAUAUUUGGAAUUUUAUUAUAUAUAAAUAAACCAUAAACCAUUCAGUAAACAAUGUAUAGCACAUGUUAUGUAACUUAUGACUCACGUGUCAGUUUUUUUUUUAACACAUUAGUACUCCAGCUCUUUAAUGUAAAUGGACAUGAUAAGGAGCAUUUACUGAUUCCCGGCUUUCUAUGAUAUUGACUGCUUCUUGAAUAAUAUUUCCAUAUUUGCAAAAUAUAAUGUUAGACAUUAUAACACAUGAUGACUUGCAAUACAUAGUCCCAAUAAUUAUAUAUCAAGCAAAUGAAACUGAUAUUUGUGUUAUUUUAAGUUAGAUAAUGACAUUAAGGGAGUAUAUGUGCAAUACCACGGUCACCCUCAACCAACUGAACAGCGGUAGCCGCAAUCACUUAGUCGUAUCGGUCGGCUUCUUCCGAGCAGCUUUGACGUGCUUAUGCUCAUUCAUGUCACCCCCAUCGUCUAGUAUCUCUCUCACAGCAUCAGGGGACACAUAGUUCCAAUCAUAACUUGUAUGAGUAGUUGCCGCAAAUGCUCGGAAUUUGUCGAAUCCUUCGUUGAAUGCCAACUCCAGUUCAGUAUGGUGCUCUUCGCAUCGCAUAUGGUUCAUCAAACAACCUUUGAUUUCAUCAUUCAUUACUGUAUCCAACUCCUCAGCUUUCAGCUUCCUGCUAUGACUCAGCUUCAAGUACUUGUUCUUUUGGGAUAACGCUUUGUUCACCCUAAUGUUAAGAUCAGCCAAAAUUGCCUCGUCUUCAACACAUUUCUCGUGCCAUGAAUUGAUCAGUCUGGAAUUAUAAUCCAGCUUGCCACUGACUGCAUGUAUUGCCUGUAAUGGAUCAUCGGAGUCCCCCUCACUCCCAAAUGAUGUUGAAAAAGGAAGGGGUCGGCGAGUACAAUGUGGAAAUAGAACCUGCCACUCCAAUUUGUCAUCUUCGAUUGUGUUGUUGGCGCCUGAAGAGGUUGACAUGCUUGAAUAAUCCUCUUUGUUUUGGGAGGAUGAGGAUUGCAUAUGCAAUUUCGUUUGAGAAAGGGAACAUAGGUUUAUAGACCAACAUACCAAAGCUUGUGUGUAGUCAACAUAUGUACUUUUUGGCGGGAAUUUUUUAAAAAUAGGUGUUAGGUUUUGCUUUUCAAGCAUGUCAACCUCACACUCUCCUGACACCACUGCUAGUGGUUGAAACAAAGUCAAUGGAAGUGACAUCUACUUAGUUAACUCAACCAAACUAGUUAGGAUUAAACUUAGAUUGUAUCAGACCAAAAAAUAAUUUCUACUUUGUCAACCAAAUAUUUUUUGGCGGGAACCCUUUUCUUGGUAUUACUAUCACCCCUUUCAUAUAAAAUCUCCUUCCACACAAAACUCACUCCUCCACCGAAUCUGUCUCCAUCUACCGAUACUCUCUCAAGCAAACAAACUCAUUCCCCCCAAAGAAUGAGCAUAAGCACAACCAAGUUUGAUGUGAGCAUAAUAAACACCCCUCCAAACAAAGACCGGCUUCGACACGCAAGUGAGUCACCGGACAAGCAAUGUCACAUUGCUAGACAGAAUGACCAUUUUGUUGGAAGUUUUGAGUCUGAAAGAGUUGUUGCUUUUUGGAAGGAGAGGCAUCUUCAACUUGGUGAUGAAAUCCAAAGGGCAAGGGCACGUUUGGAAUUUGUGGAAGGCCAAAUUGAAGAUGACAAAAGGCAGGCCAAUCUGGAUAGGGCGAAGUUGUAGCGCAUGAAGCGUAGACACAAACGACUUCGGAGUGUAGCUGUUCAAAAAUACAAGAACUCAUCUAAUGUAGUGGAGUCAAAGAAGCGUGUGAUGCAAGCUGGAUUCGACUACUUCCGAUCCUAUGCAAAACUCGUCGUACCCGGGUUUGAUUGGUCAUCUAUUACCGUUUCCGACGUCACCAAAUAUACUCAGCAAGGGAAGUAACCAUUUUGGUUCUCGUGUUUUAGCAGAGGCAAAUAAGUGGAAUUGGAAUUUUGGUUACACUCUGCUUCAAAGCUAUUUUGAUGCUAACUACUAUGGAAGAUUUAAACCUUAAUAUUUUGAUGUCUUUAAUUACGAAAACAGAAGAUGCAAAGAGCUCAUCUACUUCAGCCAUAUGUUGCUGCCAUGUCCAUUUGUUUUUGAUCACUUAUCAGAUUUGGACAUGGUUGCAUCAUAUGCAAUGUUGCCUUUAUUUAUUAUAUGUUAGGACAAGGUUUAUGGAAAAGCUUUUGUGAGUGCGUUUGUGACAAGGUUAUGGAAUUAUUAUGUACACUUUAUAUAUUGUUUUUUGUACUGGUUCAUUUCCUACUAUUUCUUGCUUUCUUUAUAUUUUAUGUUUGUGGAAUCCCUCUCAAAGUUAACAUAUACUGUGAAAAAAAUAUUAUGCAACUGAUUAUAUAAUCACUCAUAUAGACUAGGACAAAUAUUCACUAAGGGUUUUAAACUUGCUUCACUUGUGUGAUGUUAUUGACAAAAAGUAUGGCAUUAUUUAUGUGAUUUGACAUGAUUGAAAAUAUAUUACUGAUUCCCAAUGCGGCGUCAUAUGGACAACGUAUUGAAUACCUGUGACGUGUUAAUAACUCAAGGUGCAGUUGCAUGUGGACAACUUCUUGAAUACCUCUGACGUGUUGAAAACUCUAGGUGCAGUUGCAUGUGGACAACUUAUUGAAUACGAACUGACGUCUUCAAAGCUCUAGGCGUAGUUGCAAUGAUGGCUUCAAAGCAUGUGCAAUUAUUUUUUAUGUACAUUAUUAUAACAAAACAUAUUAUUGUAUAUAGUGAAACUAAAUAUUGUAUUAUUAGAAAUUAUAUUUCGAAUAUUAUCCGAAAUAUACGUGUUAACGUGAAUUUGGGUUAAGAGGAAAGUGAGUUAUGUACAAAUAAUUUUCAUUUUCUCAUUUUCCGGGCAUUUUUUGGAUUUUCGUAGAAUUUAUUACCUAUGUCCACAGAUUGUUGCACUAAAAAAGCCAAAAUAAUAGCAAGAGGACACCUGGAGCGAUCUCAGCCCGUCACUGAUGACUACUUGCACAAGUGUACGUCAGUCAACAUGGCCACACCCUCCCAUUUUACCCUAAAUUAUUAUUUUAUUACUUUUCCUUACAAAAAUCAGAACUAAUUACACACAAAAUAAAAAAAUUAUCCGAAAAUUGCUACGAACUCAUUGACACUCCAUCUCCGUUGCUGAAUUCUCCGAUUCAUUGUUACGUAUUUGUAAAAUUAAUUCCCAACAUUAACGGGAGAUGCUUGUUGAAGUAGGUUAUUCAAGUUGAAGUUAACAAACAUCAAUACUUAGGGUUAAGAGGAAAGUGAGUUAUGUAACACAAUUUGGAUUAUUUCAUUGCGAGACGAAUGAUUUAUAGGUUCUCCUAGUUUUAUGACGUCACAAGUAGGCCGGAGUAAUUUUUGGGGCAUUUUUACGAUUUUCCUACUAUUUUUUACCUAGUUUCAAAGAUUUUUGAACAAAAGAAUCCAAAAUGUAAAAGAAGAUGACACCUGGCGCGAUCUCAGCCCGUCACUUUUCACUACUUGCACAAGUGUACGUCAGUCAACAUGGCCACAUCCUCUCAUUUUACCCUAAAUUAUUAUUUUAUUACGUUUUGUCUUGGAAAAUUCAUAACUAAAUACACAAAAAUUCAAAAUUAUUUCUGAAAAUUGCUACGAACUCAUUGACACUCCAUCUCCGUUGCUGAAUUCUCCGAUUCAUUGUUACGCAUUUUUAAAAUUAAUUCCCAACAUUAACGGGAGAUGCUUGUUGAAGUAGGUUAUUCAAGUUGAAGUUAACAAACAUCAAUACUUAGGGUUAAGAGGAAAGUGAGUUAUGUAACACAAUUUGGAUUAUUUCAUUGUGAGACGAAUGAUUUAUAGGUUCUCCUAGUUUUAUGACGUCACAAGUAGGCCGGAGUAAUUUUUGGGCCAUUUUUACGAUUUUCCUACUAUUUAUUACCUAGUUUCAAAGAUUUUUGAACAAAAGAAUCCAAAAUUAACAAGAAUAUGACACCUGGCGCGAUCUCAGCCAGUCACUUUUGACUACUUGCACAAGUGUACGUUACCGAACAUGGCCACAUCCUCCCAUUUUACCCUAAAUUAUUAUUUUAUUACCUUUUUUCUUGGAAAAUUCAUAACUAAAUACACAAAAAUUAGAAAAACGAUCCGAAAAUUUCUACGAACUUAUUGCGAUUUCAUCUUCCUACUGCAUUCCCUGUUUAAUGGUUAUGCUACAUUAGUAUUUUAUUAUUAUUUAUCCACAAUUAUUAUAAUUAUUAUGAUAUUACUUUUUAGGCUGUCCAUUUGUUAAUUAUACCACAUCCAACUUGUUGAAAACAAUUUUAUUUUCCGUGCGAAUAGGCCAUUUGUAGUGCUUAUCGGUUUCUCUGUUCUUCAAUUUGUUAAUUUUUUUAUUUUUUAGGUUGAAGGGAUGUUUUGAAACAUAAUAUGGAAAUAUACAAGUCAUCCAUUGUACUCCUUCCACACAAAAAAAUAGUCUACGUCAUUCACUGUUCAACACCCUAGGUUAAGACACGUGUAACCAAAUCCGUUCGGAUAUGCUAAGUGGGAAAAUGUCAUUCCCAAGCACUGGUGAAAAGACACUUAUUUACUCCAUGCAUGACUUUUGGUUUACCAAAUAUGAAGAUUGGGGUCGGUGAGCAAAAUAUCUGUGUCAGUAAAAUGUCAUUCCUAGCCAUCUAUGAUGUAAGUAAUAAUUCCGCUAUAUAAUAAAUAUUAUACAUUUAUAUAUAAAACGGUUUAUGACAAAAUACCAACAUUUGAACAACAUUUAAACUGAGAUAGGUAUAACGUAGCCAGCCAACCUAGAAGUGAAGAGAAGCAAGUCCACAAUGCAUCAAAACUGUAAAUUCGUACUAAAACUAAUGCAAAAAUACGUGAUUCCCUCGCACAACUUACUCACGCAGGAUUUUGCACCAAAAAAUACUCUCACGGUGCCAUUUGCAUCGGUUGCAGCAAGUCCAAAACGCAGGAUUUAUCUUGUCUUCACUAGGCCACCCUGGAAUAACAAAAUACCAUUCAUUGUUGUUACAAGCGCUGCACCGAUUGAACUUAAUCUUCCCAUAGUCAAACAUAUCUACGAUAUGUCUUGCAACAAAUGCUCCGCGACAUCUUCCUGUUAAAGCAUCCCUGGUUCCUUUCAUAUCAAUGUUGUUACGUUGAUUCAAAGAACACAAGAAUUGUAAUGCAUCCUCUUUUGACUGACCAAUUCCGGACAUACCAAGUAGUCCAACUACAUAUGCCGCUUCCAUAUGGCCUGCCGUGGCUGCAAUGCGCAUCCCAUACAACGCUUCCACCUUACCGUCUGUGAAAAAACCUUCGAAUGCUUCUCUAAAUAUGGACUCAGGGUUAUCGCAAGCCCUGCAUUGUUGCAAGAAAUGCUGGACUGCAGGUUUGGCACGGUAGCAGAUAGGAUGGUGUGGGUACUUUGCCAUUGAAAUGGUGUUCCACACUUGUGGACUGUUUGCCAAAAUGUUGAACAAUCGGCACACACAUGCCAUACGGAAGAGAUCUUCCGAUGAUUCGGUUGCCACGUAUAACAUCACUUGAAACCAAGCGGACUCCGGGAUAAAGGCUUCGGGCAUAUCGAAAUGGAGAUGCUUCCUUCUCUUUCCUCCGACUGUAGUGAAGUGUUUCGAAUUCAUUGAAAAGUUUUUGGAAUGGAACGAUUUGAGGAGUGGCAGAGGGGAUAAAUGAUAAUAUUUGGGGUACACGUUCUACUUCCGAGCCUCUGUUUAUAGUGUUUUGAAAAGGUGUUUCCAGUUGGGGUUUUUCCAAGUUGACCCUUUUGAAAGAAACUGAAUCCAAGUGAAUUAAAACUUAAGACAAAAGAAGGGAAAACGUCAUAACGGUGCAUACAGAGUCAGACAGUUAAAAAGUUAAUUAAAUGGCUAUUUGCAUAGCCAUUUUUGGGUUUAUCCCACUAUCAAAUUCAUUGAUACAAAUGUGAUGGAUUACUGACUAGUGACAGAAGGUCCCAUCAUAUACUUUUUCAUUUUCGCACACCCAACUAUCCCUAGUAAUGUUAUUAAAAUGGAACCAAUAAUGACGGAUUCUUAUCCAACUAGUUGCCUUAAUGAAAUAUAAAUAAAUUAAUAAAAUUGAAGCAGUGUCCCGUCAUUAGUCAGAAAAUAUAUUUGGUAGUGAAGUAGUUUCUAUUGCUUUUCGGGCUAAAAGAUGUCACAAUGCUGACGGUACAGGUGUCGACAUCGUGACCAACCCACCAAAUGAUCCCAAAAAAAAGUAAUAUAACUCGAUUUGGGCAGAGAUGAGAGAGAGCUGAGUGACAAGUUUAGGGUUAUGAGUGAAGGGGUAUGAAUGACAACUAUGAGUGAGAAGGUAUGAGUCCGAAGAGGUUUCAGUGAGAAGAUUUGAGUGAGAAGAGGUACAACUGAGAAGAUUCAACAUGUCUUCGUCUUCAUCUCCUGCUCAAACAAAGAGGUGUCAGUAUUGUGGAGCUACAAUGGUGCUUCGGGUUUCAAAAUCUGAAAAAAAAUCGAGGGAAGCCAUUCUGGAAGUGUCUAACCUCCUAUGUAAGUUUUAAUUUAAAGAAUAUGUAUGUGGGUGAAAAAAAACCUAUGUCUAACUCUGACAGAAUUAUAUUCCAUAUAUGAUGCCUGCAAUUAGGGAGCCACCAGUUGCAAUGGAUUCGAAUGGGUUGAUGUAACCUCCGCUGAAGCAGAACAUCAAGAUGACACGUAUGAUGUUAGAGUGCUGAACAUGCUGAAGUCCAUUAAGGACUUGGUAUUAGUUUUAUUAGUUGUAUUAAUUGUCAUUUUAUUUGUUCUUUUAAUGAUCAUUUAACUGCACGGUUUAAAAGAUUGUGAAAGUUCUCUCGCACAAGACAUAUUGCACGCACCACCAAUGAGACCCUAAACCCAUUUUGUAAUAUUUGGUAACUGCAUGUAUUUCGCAUGUUAUUGAAUGUUUAUUGAAGGUUUAUUGAUAGUUUGCUGCAUGUAUAUGGAAUAUCAUUGCCCCAAAAUUGGAUGUUUAUUGGGGCCACAAGUAUCACUCAAGUAAGAAUGAAGGGGAGAAACGGACCUUAUUCUUUCUUAUAGUAGGAAGAACAACUGUUAAGUUUAAUAUCCUAUUCAAUACGACUUCCCUAUGGUUGGUGUACUUGGGGACUGAAGUAUAUUGCAUCAUUAUUGUGGGCAAGGGCAUGUCUAUUGUGUGUGUUAAGGGAGUAUUGUGUGGGCAAGGGCAUGUCUACUGUGUGUAUAUUGCAUGUCUACUGUGUGUAUAUUGCAUAUCUAUUCUCUGUAUAUGGCAGGCCAAGUUUGUGUAUAUUGUUUGUCUGUUGUGUGUGUAUUGCUUGUCGGUGCGUUUGUGAAUUGUGGUUCAUUUUGUGUAUAUUGUCUUUGUUUCUACUUUUAUGCUACUGAGCUGCGGAAAACCUCGCAUGUUUAGACACCUAUUAUGAUGCAACACAUUGCGAUUAAUGGUGGCUUGCAUCAACAAUGACAUAUCACUUUGCAAUGAUGUAAUACACUUAAAAAGCCGUCUUCAAAUCCCAAUUCACAUAUGCAGUCUUAAAAUUCUAAUUCAAUGCAGUUUGGUUAACAAACAUGUAAAUGUCAUGAAGGAGUUAGCGGUAGAAUUCGAUAAGGACCCGUACGUCUCUAUUGUGUAUUUACAUUAGUUUGAGAAUGGACAUUCCCAAAACCUUCUCAUGUACCAUUUGUCAUCUUCAACCAAUAUCAUGGGAAGUAAGCAUCUCCCCUUGUUAUCUCCGCAGCCAAUUUCAACCGAAAAAAAGGCAUGUUGUGCGAGGUGCAAGUAGCUAACGGAAGCUUAGCGCUGAAAAGCUCAAUGUACUUUAACACAAACAUGCCACAAUCGCCUCUGAAGCAAAACAAGAACUCGAUCAAUUCAACUAAUGACAUUCUAAUGUAAUUGACAAUUGAAAGUAAUAAAAUUAAAUUGCAAGUUGUGCUUACUCAUUAGACUGUUGUGGAACAUCCACACGCUCUAUUGGCCACGGACACCACCAAUCUCGGCUGCAAUUGUUUGCAUAAACACCUUCUUCAUAAAAGUCGAUGGUGUUGAGAAGAUUUGGAAGCGUAAUUGAUAGCGGGCCGAGUUCUUCCUUUACGAUGUCAUCUGGAAUUAGUGAAACCUUUGAAUCGUACACUUUGAUUCACACAAUACCAGAUCAAACANNNNNNNNNNNNNNNNNNNNNNNNNNNNNNNNNNNNNNNNNNNNNNNNNNNNNNNNNNNNNNNNNNNNNNNNNNNNNNNNNNNNNNNNNNNNNNNNNNNNNNNNNNNNNNNNNNNNNNNNNNNNNNNNNNNNNNNNNNNNNNNNNNNNNNNNNNNNNNNNNNNNNNNNNNNNNNNNNNNNNNNNNNNNNNNNNNNNNNNNNNNNNNNNNNNNNNNNNNNNNNNNNNNNNNNNNNNNNNNNNNNNNNNNNNNNNNNNNNNNNNNNNNNNNNNNNNNNNNNNNNNNNNNNNNNNNNNNNNNNNNNNNNNNNNNNNNNNNNNNNNNNNNNNNNNNNNNNNNNNNNNNNNNNNNNNNNNNNNNNNNNNNNNNNNNNNNNNNNNNNNNNNNNNNNNNNNNNNNNNNNNNNNNNNNNNNNNNNNNNNNNNNNNNNNNNNNNNNNNNNNNNNNNNNNNNNNNNNNNNNNNNNNNNNNNNNNNNNNNNNNNNNNNNNNNNNNNNNNNNNNNNNNNNNNNNNNNNNNNNNNNNNNNNNNNNNNNNNNNNNNNNNNNNNNNNNNNNNNNNNNNNNNNNNNNNNNNNNNNNNNNNNNNNNNNNNNNNNNNNNNNNNNNNNNNNNNNNNNNNNNNNNNNNNNNNNNNNNNNNNNNNNNNNNNNNNNNNNNNNNNNNNNNNNNNNNNNNNNNNNNNNNNNNNNNNNNNNNNNNNNNNNNNNNNNNNNNNNNNNNNNNNNNNNNNNNNNNNNNNNNNNNNNNNNNNNNNNNNNNNNNNNNNNNNNNNNNNNNNNNNNNNNNNNNNNNNNNNNNNNNNNNNNNNNNNNNNNNNNNNNNNNNNNNNNNNNNNNNNNNNNNNNNNNNNNNNNNNNNNNNNNNNNNNNNNNNNNNNNNNNNNNNNNNNNNNNNNNNNNNNNNNNNNNNNNNNNNNNNNNNNNNNNNNNNNNNNNNNNNNNNNNNNNNNNNNNNNNNNNNNNNNNNNNNNNNNNNNNNNNNNNNNNNNNNNNNNNNNNNNNNNNNNNNNNNNNNNNNNNNNNNNNNNNNNNNNNNNNNNNNNNNNNNNNNNNNNNNNNNNNNNNNNNNNNNNNNNNNNNNNNNNNNNNNNNNNNNNNNNNNNNNNNNNNNNNNNNNNNNNNNNNNNNNNNNNNNNNNNNNNNNNNNNNNNNNNNNNNNNNNNNNNNNNNNNNNNNNNNNNNNNNNNNNNNNNNNNNUUUUCCUCUCCCUCAUCUCUAUUAUUUGGCCCUUCACCCCCUUCAAUCCCUUCAUCUUCUUUUUCCUCUCCCUCAUUUCUGUUACUUGGCCCUUCAUCCCAUUGAAUGUCAUCCAUUUCCCCAUAUCCCUUAAAUAGAUGUGAGACGACACAACGAUUCGUCCUCUGUUUCAGUAAAGCUAGGUCCCUCCUUACUUCCUGCUCAAACUGAGGACCUAAACAUUGGUCCAAUAGUUUUUCCAUCCGUAUGACCUUUAAGUGAAGGACGUCUUUUUCCCGCUUUUCUUGAAACAACUCGGACCUCAACAAGCUUACCACCUUGUUCAACUCAUCAAGAUCACCACAUGAAGAAGGAAUUGACUCUGCCGAGACAACAGCAGGGCGAUCCUGUGGCCAACUCCAAUAUGGCUGUCUCAUUUCCUCUUCACUUAGACAUAGCGCCCGCAACUGAACUGACUGUUUCAGAAUACAGACAAGAGUCAUAUUAAAUCAUUCUACUUCAUAAUUUCAUUCAAUCUUAUCAAUAGUUCUAAGGGCUGCAAACCAAACCUCUUUGCUCUGGAAAAAAUAAUUGUUCAACUUUCUCAUCUCUGGAACAGACGUAGUAGUUCUCCAUCGCAAAAUACGCGGGACAGCGGUCGGAUCAACAACCUUGCAGUAAUUCAGGUCCGCCAUUCUAGGAAUUAAUUCAUAUACCCAAAUCUACACAAUUCACAGGACAAAAGUCAUUAUUUAUGUUUUAAAGAAAAACAAAACAUAACUGACAUGAACAUUAUUACCAUGUACCUGGAAAGCAUACGUGAAACCUUUAAAACUCCAGCCACUCCUUUGCGCUUCACUAUGCUUAUCCUUCUUGCCCUUCUCAUUUCUCCGGCUUGUUCCCGUUACCUUACUUUUCCCCUUCCCUCUUCCCUCUUCAUUUUCCAAGCUUUUCACAUACUUUGUUGGUGCAGAAAAUAGACUGUCUUGGGUUUUGUCAAAGGACACCGAACCCCACGGAUACCUGUUGAACGCAUCCAAGUCCUCUACAAGGGUCAGGUAAUUUAGAUUGAUGUUCAAAUGUUUGUCCCUUCCCAAAACCACUAACUCAGCAAAGUAAACAAGAGGUAGCUUGAAGAUGUCAUCUUCCUCUGUGCACCUCACAAAUGCUUCUUCUAAAGCAUUGCAUGUAAUUCCUUCGUCUAUAAAAUAUCUUUUCUGAAGUCUGAUUUCAUUACUCUCUCCACUGGAAACUUCAGGCACUUCCCCAAAACGAAGCCCUGUGAUCAAACAGAAAUCCUGACGAGUGAACUGAGCAACGUCACACCCUAAUAAGAAACUCAGUCCAUCCAAGUCUUUCACACCCUGCCCCGCUACUCUACGCAACACAACCCCAUGCACAAUCUGUCCGCUAAACUGAAUCUUAUCUAUAUUCAGAAGAUGGCCAAAGCAUGAUGUCUUGAAUUGUUCUAAUUGUUCCGCACUCAACUUCGCUCGAAUUGCAGCUAGAGAUGAAUUUGCAUGUGAGCAGUUGUUCACCCGUGAUGAAUAUACCUCUGCCUCUGGCCAUACCAGCUCCACGUUGGAUCCCAUUUCCUCAAAUACAAUGUGAAAUAACGUGAACAUAUAUACUACCACGUAUUUGCACAAUCACAACUAGUCAACCAGGCACAUUACAACUUUUACAAAGUACAUGAGCAUAUGGAUUACUCAUCACAGGCUUUAACAUCAUCAAAGCAAUAUGACAAUUUUUGUGCAAAUACCUGUUAAUGCAAUGAUUAUGUGAAUUACAAACAAUUUCACGUGUUUUAUUUAUGGAUCCAUACUCGUGUGAGUGCAAUGUAGGCAAGUUCUGCACUUCACACACAUGACAAUUAUUGUCAUCUCAUACACAACCCAAAAUAAAUAAAUAAGAAAUAUAGUGGAAGGAAGCAAAGCAAAGCAUGUACUCUGCUAUCUGCUUGCUAAGCAAUUGCCACAUCCUUCUUUCUUUCUACCUUUUUCUUCAGUCACCCACAAUCGUCAUAGAUCAACCUUCAUUUCAAAUGCUUUGCACUUUUAUUCAUGAGUUUAUUAUUAUCUGUUCUCAUUUCUCAUAGGCAAAUUUAGUAACAAAUGAAAUAAUAUUUAUUUCACAAAAUAUAUAAAUUCUAGUGCCAGAGAGGUACUCUUCACUCUGCACUGCUUCAAAUGUGGAAGGUUUUGAGAUGUUAUUGACAUGUGAUUGACUUUAUUUUCAUUCGUUUUUUAACAUAUACCCAAGCAAAAAUUAACAUGCAAUUGAAGCACAAAUAAGAGAUGCCAAAUCCAACAACAUUGAUGGUACAAAUUGGGGAAAACCAUUACUCUAACCCUAAACUCAAAUUCCUUACAUUACUCAUCAAAUGCUUUGCAGUUCUAUUCAUGAGUUUAUUAUUAUCUGUUCAAAUGUUUCUCAGGCAAAUUUAGUAACAAAGGAAAUCAUAUUUACUUCAUAAAAUAUAUAUAUAUAUAUAUAUAUUCUAGCGCCUCUUCUUAAUCUGCACUAUGCACUGCUUCAAAUGUGGAAGGUUUUGAGGGCCUCCUCCAAUUCAACACCAUUAUCUUAUUCAUAUCAUUAUUGACAUGUUAUUCACUUGUUAUUGACUUCAUUUUCAUUCUUUUUUUAACAUAUACCUAAGCAAAAAUUAACAUGCAACUGAAGCACAACGAAGAGAUGCCAAAUCCAACAAAAUUUAUGGUACAAAUUGGGGAAAACCAUUACUCUAACCCUAAACUCAAAUUCCAUAAAUUACUCACCAAAUGCUGGUUAUUGCAAGGUGUCUGUGUGGGGUCUUUCUGUUUCUUUGCUCCACAAAUGGAACCUACCACUUCCAACGAAUACAGCUUUUCCCCUUCCCCUUCCACUGCUUCGCCUCUUCACUGAUUUGGAAUCCACACCUUUGCCCCUUCUACUCCAAAUAAAUACUUUCUCGGGGUCUGGAGAACGGAGUGGCGAAUCGUUGCCUUCAACUGUCGUUAGCCGUUGCCUUCAUUGGGUAUCUCAGACCUCUGUGUUUUAGAGAGAUGAGUUCUUUCUGUUCAAACUUCGAACUUGCCUCUUCUUCUUCUUUUUCGGACGUGUUUCCCUCUUCUUCUUCUUUUUGGACGUGCUGGAUAUUCAAUUCGGGUUUGGGUUCCUUACCUACCCAAUUGUGAAACUUUAACUCAAUUCUCCCCAGCCCUUGGAUUAAUCUGAUGGCUAUAAAGUGAACCCCUUAUAACUUACCCCUUAUAACUUUCCACUCAUUAUAGUCUUGGCCAGGUAUGGCGGCCAUGCUAGUAAGUGUUGGGUCUUUGACCCAACUUAAGCUAAAUGGGUCAUAAGAUGACCGAUCAUCUUAUCUCAUAAGGAUAUAUAAGUCAUGUUAUGAUUUAGGAUUUUAUAGGGUUUCCUUUGUAAGAGGUAAGAGAGAAACAAGCUCUCUCUCUCUCUACACAAGGAGGUCAGCCAUAGCAAGGGAAAGGCUCCUAGCACUCUCCUCUCUCUUAUUAUAUCAUCCUUCCAAGGACAGCUUUGGUAUGGUAAAGUUGGAGGUUGCACACUUUGUGCACUUUGGUAAGAACUCAUCCAAGGGAGCCAAGAUUAAAUUGGUUAGCUGUUGGAUUAAAUUGGUUAGCACGAUUCAACGGUUAAUAGAUAAAACUUCACAUAAAAGUCAUAUAUAAGGCCCUCACUAUAGAAUGACUCGUUAGUUUAGUCUCUUGUUACAUAUCAAAUGUUAGAGAUAUUUUUUAAUAAGGAUCUGCCAUACCACAUAGUUGGAUAAGACAUUAUACACGGCUUUUGUAAGAGCAUCUCCAGCGCUCCAAACUAGCCCAAGCAGCAGGGGGGCCUAAGUCUAGGAAGCAGCUCCAGCUCGCAAGAUUCAACCCAGGCAAGGUGUGGAACCCACGAGGAGAUCUAGCCCGUCACCUUGCCUUUGGGUUUCAGUCAAGCUGAUGUCAACGAAAGAAUUUCAAAUUUUUUUUACCGUUACAAUGUACGCGCCAACGAUAAAUUUUCUUUGGAUUUCUUGCAUUGAUCCACAGCUACCAAAAACCAACAGCUACAAGCCACGUGGCUUCUCCAGGAGCCUCCGAUCCAAAAAUCAUGUCAAAUCUAACGGCAGUCCAUUUUUUGGCUAAAAAUAUCAAAAAAUUAUGGAAACAUGUUCUAUAAAUUCCUACAAAUAUUAUUCACUUCCCACACCAAAUCUUCAUACAAAUUCAUAUCCUUUCAAUAUUUUUCACUUUCCAUACAAGAUUUUCUACUACUAAGUUUCGUUUGUGUAAAAAUACAAAUGACCUCUUCUAUCGAAGCCGGAGGCGCGUGUACAACCGUGGAAGAUAUUUUGUUGCGUGAGUGUUGGGUCAAAGUUGGUCAUUCCCUGAUCACGGGCAAUGAGAUGAAGUCCUCUCGUAGGAGUUUCUGACAUCGCAACGAAAGUAAGAUGUGAUAUGAAAAUGUAAGGAAUUUGAUGAGAGGAAUGGGAUUUGAGGAGUUUGAUGUAGGAAUUGAUGUAGGAAUUGAAUUUGGGAGGUAUGUAUAUAAGAUUUGAGGGUAUGUGUUUAGGGAUUUUGAUAAGAGGAUUUGAGGAAUUUAGAUUUGAAGGAUUUGGAUUUGGGGAAUUUAAAUAUGAGGAAUUUGAUUAGGGUUUGGGUUUGAAUAUGUGAAAUUUGAUAUGAGAGUUUAGAGACAACAGAUGAUCGAUUGCUCUGAUACCAUGCUAAAAUAUGAUAUGGUUUGAAUACUUUAGGUUGAGUUUUAUUCUUUUCCAUAAAAAGGUAUAUAUAGGAGUUUACAUGAGUGCUUUACAAAGAAAUAGAUACAAUAAUCAAUUAGGAUAAUAUCUCCUAAUUAUACAAUAAUUUGUCAACUAUAUAGAAUAGGAAAGUAAAUUCCUUAAUUAAUCAAGAAAAUAAAUCUCAUUGAUUAAUUAGGAGACUAACGUCAACAUUUAUAAGCCAUAAAAGAGCAGAAAAAGAGGUACUUAGGAGAUUUUAUACGUCGGACUAAGGUAAGCUUAAAGGACUAUAUCAAAAAAAUAAGGGACCAAGAAGCAAGACAGAGAAGUUGUUAUGCAAACCCAUUAAGUUUAGCAGUGAUGAAUUUGUAAAAAUCAUUCUAGUGGAUUCUGCCUUCACUAUUGAGUUCUUAUUGAGGUUCUAUCUGAAAGGAUCUGGACAUGAAGGAGACCGCUUAUUAAACAAACCGUGGAUGUUUACAGCCUGACAUGUGGUUGCUUGAAAAUCAGCUCCCAUUCUUUAUUCUUGAGGAUCUUUAUCACACAUACAUAAUAACCGACUCUUUUAGGAAUUAUUACAGUACUCAUGAUCAUGAGAGGCUUUCAAUAAUUAAUAUUUCUAAGAAUUUCUUCACAGCCGGAAUAUUGAAUUUGGAGGGGAAGGGAGACAAAUGGAACAGAAUAUCAUCUUCUUCUAGUGUUGGAAAUUUUAUAUUAUUUAAUAAUAUUUAAUUUCUAUUGUGAAUGAAAAAUAAGUUUCUUUAAGAAACGUGUGUCUUAGGCCAGUUUUUCUAACUGGUCGGCUUCCUUAGAUUUGUGCCUAUUGCUUUUCAAAGUAUAAUGAUGCAAUGGUUGUAUCUCGUUCAGGCAAAUGGAAGGUAUAUAGCAAUUUAUAGAACAAUACAGUAAUCCAGAAGAAAUAUUAUGAAAUGAAAAGAAUAAAAAGUAAAAAAAGAGAAAGAAAGGAAUUCCCACCUGCAAUGUAUAUGUAUGAAAGGAAGGACCAAGUUUGUUUUAAAAUGGUAAGAACAAGUUGAUUUUAAAUUGGGUUCAGAUCAACUCAUAGAUUUCUUGCCUUUUCUGUUCUCCUUCCUUGGACAUGAACUGUUUAAUCUUGGACUCUUCCCCAUCAUGUUGGGCCUGUCUUCUUCUUGAGGAUUGUAUAGGCCUAGGAAAUGCUUCGGGGUAGUUUUUGUGUUUUGGGCAUUGGGACCCAACUUCACAAAAAGAAAACAAAUUUGACCAAAACACAAAUUUGAAGGACAUUGAAAUUGUACCCGUAGGAUAGAUUAAAACACUAUAAGGGAGGUAAAUAGUACGUUUACAGAGUUUAAGUGUAAUAAAGGAAUAAAAACAUGCCCAGAGAAUUGAUAAGUGAUAUCAAUUCUUGAAUAUACGUGAAAAUUAUUUUAUGUGGUUAAACCCCACCUCUGGGGAAAAUCCACGGAACUUCUUAGUCCAACUUCUAUCACUUAUCCUAGACACAUUCUAGAUAAUGUUUGCCAACCUCUUCGUAACUCAACUUCUGUCACGAGAUGAUCUUUCAACACUUUAUGUCGAACGCAAUACUGGUCACGAUUUCUUCAAGCUCGCCGGAGUUCUUCCAAUUCUCCUUAUAUUGAAUCUGAUACUAGUCACGAUCGAUUCAAGCUCAUCGGAGAAAAAUCGCCACAACAAUCUUGGUGCCCUCAACCGUAUGAGUCACUGAACAUGCAAAUGAAUACAAUAUGAAUGAUAAAAGUGUUUGAUAAAUCACCAAGUUAUGGAACACUUGAUGAUUUAUCUCAAAUAAAAAUUCAGCUUUCCAAAGUUUAUGAAUUGAAAAUAUGACCGUUAAAGCUCUCUAAACAAAGAAGACGAAGGUCUUAUUUUAUAGACUUUUACUUUACAAGAAAGAAAACACGUUGAAAACCAAAUCUCCAAUUUCCAAGGCUUGACAGAAAAUCACAAAAUUAUCUUUCCUAUUCUAGAGAUUGGUCACAUGAAGUCCAACCAAUAGGAAAUGAGAUAUUUAAGAAAGGAAGAUUUUGAUCAAUAUCAAUAUCAAAUGAAUUCUUAUACGCCUAGUCAAUUGUUAUGGGUAUCUUGACUCCUUGAUAUUGUGAUAUGAUUGAAACAUGAUUUCCACGUUAGAAAAUUAAGGGGAUGUUAAAACAUGAAGGUAAUAGGAGAAUCAAAUUGAUUUGGGCCAAAAUUGCCUAAAAAGAAAACACUCCUUAAUAAACUUCAAUUUACUUUUAAAAAUAGUAAAACGUGAUUGAAUCGUUCUUUAAAACAAUUCCCUAAUAUACAUGCAUGAUAGUGAUAUCACUUACCUUUGAAUCAGAUGGCUUUCACGGGUCAAGCCACAAGUUUUUGUCUUGGGGAUUGCUGAGCUUCAUCAAUCCUGCCAAUGUCAAUUUUGCCCCUAAGCUCUCUCAAAGCACGUUUACAACCUAUGCUAACAUAUAUUAGAGUUUAUGUUAGUAUCAAGAAAAUGCCAACACUAAUUUCGUAACACGUAGAAAUUGUUAGAGAUUGAAGUUUUUAUCAUUUUUUCUUCCAGACUCUCCACCACUCACUAAUAUAGUUUACUCAUGUGAUGAGUUUACAAAACCUAUUUCUCUACUCUCACAAAGACUAUACUUAGGGGGGUGUAUUCAAUUAGGAUUCUAAAGCGUUUAAAAAGAUUUUGUUUAAGUGCCAGCUUUCAUAGAACUUGAUGGAACUUUAUAAUUCGUAUAGAACUUGAUAGACUUUCAGAAGACUUCUGUAUAAUUUUUUAAUAAAACUUUCUUAAGCUUUCAUAGAACUUGAUAGGCUUUCAUUCCAAACUUAUGUAGAUGGUAUAUUUCAUUUUAUCCCCAUCCUUGACAUUUAAAGAAAGAAACUUGAAUUUUUUCAAUCAAAUUUGUUUUUGUUACCAAAGCAGCAAAAACAAAAAGUACUUGUUUGCGAUGGAAGAACAUAUGCACAGUUCAAAAUGAAAAGAAUAAGAAGCAAAGUACCUAUUUGACCAAUGAAUGCUGUGUCAACUAGAGAAGCAAUUGGAUCGGCUGUCAAAGCCAAUGCUGCAGGCAAUGCAUCGAUGGUCCAAAUUGCAAUAAAAAAAUAUUUUGAAUAAUGGCUCUUGCAGACAAAGACCACAUAAAUUCUGAACUGGUCUAGCUUGAAUAAUAAGGUUAGAUUAGCCAAUUGAUGAGAUUAAAAGCAAAGCAAGUUGAUGAAUUUAUCAUCAACUAUUUAAUAACCACAGUCCUGAUCUCUUGGACCCCUGUAGUCCAAGAGAUUUAUGGUCACCCACCGUUGGAUGUAAAUUCAACGGUUGACUUGAAUCGGGUAAUAAUCAUUUAUGUCAUAUUGCAUUUAUAUAUAUCAUUUUGAACCAUUGGAUUAAUAUCCAACGGUGGGUGACCACAAUCUCUUGGACUCCUGUGGUCCAAGAGAUCGGGACUGUUAAUAACCAAUAGAGUAUUUAAACAUAAACAACAAUGUUUGAUCAACAAAACAAAUAGUCCAAAUAUCAUCCAAAAAACAAUAACAAAAAAUCAAUCAUUCCAAACAAACUAGUCAUUCUCAAAAACUCUCAAAAAACCCACUCAUUCCAAAUUGUAGGAUAUCCAAUUUGAGCACUCCUCAGGAGACAUUUUCAAAAAUGCAUCCUUUUUUGUGUUACUAUGCAACAAAGAGAGUGCUUUAUAACGAGCAUGUUCAUCCAAAUUUGGGGUCUCCUUAAUGGCAUCCCAUAUAUAACUCCGCUGCUCUCUCUCUUUUUCCCUUUUUGCCAAUAGGUUAUGGACCUCCCGGAAGUCGAUGACAAUUGAAUCAAUGCUAAGGCUAAUUCUUCCCAUAGCUUGCUGGGUGGUCACAUUUGAGAUAGCAUUCCCUUCCAAAUAUGUUCUAGUUCGUUUCCUCUAGUAACAAGCAUAAAUCCUAGUAACAAGCAUAAACCCUAACCCCAACCUAUAACCUAAUAACAAGAAGAAAACCCAACGAGGUAUUGAUCAAAGAAAAAUUAGGGAGCAUACCUUCACAGAUGGAGGAAGGAAGCUGUUCGUCUUCGCAGAGAGAAAAUCUAGGGAAAGAGAAAAACGUCUUAUGAAAUACUUGGGGGGGAGGUUGGAUUUAUUUUGGUCUUUUUUAUUUAUAACUCUCCCCUUAAAACCUACGUAAAUUUAUCACUUAAUGAAAUCCUUCCAAAUAUAUGACCUUUCGAAUACACCUAGAUUUGAUUCAACUUUUUUAUAAUCAUAAUUGAAUACACCCAUAUUUGAAUGGACUUUUUAAAAGUUCAUAUAGGUCCGAAAUGAAUAUACUCAAACUUGUAAAACCUCUUUUAAAGUUUGUAUAAAUCCAAAUUGAAUACACCUGGAUUUUUAAAAUCUUUUUAAACACUUUAUAAUCCUAAUUGAAUACACCCCCCUUAUUCUCAAAAGACUAUAUUACUUUACCUCUAUCUCUGUGAAAUGUAAAAAGUUGAAACUUUAAUGUCAAACCUCAACAAAAGAUGAACUUUCAUCAGUUACGUUGAAUUUGGAUUUGUUGAACUUAAGUGGUUUUAUUUUCUUUGUCAGUGUUUGAUGACUUAAUUUGGUAUUUAUUUCUUCUUUUUUUUCCUUGGAAAUGUGUUCCACCAACGUGAGGAAGAAAAAUAUGCACAAAUUAAUAUAUUUAAUAGAAGCCCAAGAUUUCGGAUGCAUAUAAUUUCUACAAAAAUCUACAAAGUUUUUUACUUUACAAACUUCUUAUGUCUACCAAUUUCUACUAAAAUUAAUUUCUCUGUGGUGCUCAAAUUCAUCAUAUGUGUGUCGUUAAUUUUAUUGAAAAUUGGAAGUUCCCAUCAUUUUUGUUUUUUGGGAAUUUUCUGAACCAAGGAAAAUCAAGUAAAAUUAAUAAAGCCUAAAUUGGAAAGGGAAAAUAUCUAGAGGAUGCAUUGUAGGAUUGCUCAUGCCAAUAAUUGUACCCUCUAAAUAUAUAGAGACAUAUUUUUUUUGUUUUCAUGACAUGUGGUCCUAAAAUUAUUGUGUAAAUCUUCAAUCCUGAACGAUGCACCUAAAACUCAUCCACCCAUUCUCAGGCCAAUUAUUGCACCUAGUGGGCUCUCGACCCCCUCUCAAAUUUAACCACAUAUUUUAUGGACCAUCCAGCUGUGAGGUACAUUCCCCCCACAUGCCACAAUUGUAUAUUCACAAUUACGUCUGAUACAUCACAUCAUGCCACUUGCCUCAAAUGAAUUUAAGUGAGUGAGGCAGUUGGAAGUAAUUAAGCUCUAUAUUGGUGGGUGGAGUGUUACUUCUCGGUUCCCCUCAUCAUUCGUCUAUAAAAUGGUGAAGGCAGUUGCUAUUGUUACCAUAAGAGCCAGCUCCGACUUCCUUUAAUUUCUUGCUUCAUAUCCACUAGCUACAUCUGUUACCAAGUUAAUUUCAGUUCUAAUGGGGUUUCAUCUCCCACUCAUCUUUGCUCUUCUCAGUGUAAGCUCUGCAAUUUGAUUAACUUUUCCAUUCUCUCUCAUUGUACUCUAUAUAAACGAAAGUUUUGUGUUCCUAUUGUUCUCUCCGAUUUUAUUUAGUACGUACUUAAGUGUCGUCCACUAAUUAAUUAUACUUUGUGAUUUGAUUUUAAUUUGAGUUUGAAUUAAUGUUGCAGCUAGCAGCAGUGGCACUGGCAAACCAUGCUGCUCAACCAGCACCUCAACUUUACUGGAGCUCCGUCCUGCCAAACACACAGAUGCCAAGAUCUAUCAGUGAACUUCUGCAUCCUGGUUUGUGUUGAGCUCUUUAGAAUCUUAGAUAUCUCUUCUACCUGCCAUUUUACUAAAAUAUGUUCCACCACAUAUUUAUCAGUUAACCAUUGUCAUUACAUGAGUGACACAUAUUCACAAAUCGGCUGAUCACUUAUUUUCCAUUAUGACUUGAUAUAUAAUUUGCAGACUCCACAAAUGAAGAAAAGAGCACAAAUGACGUUGGCAAACCUGAAACUUUCCCAUUGGGCAAUCAACAUUACUCCAGUCAAAAACAUUAUGGAGGCAUACCUGAAACUUCCCCAUUGGGCAAUAAACAUUACUCCAGUCAAAAACAUUAUGGAAGAGGCAAACCUGAAACUUUCCCAUUGGGCAAUCAGCAUUACUCCAGUCAAAGACAUUAUGGAAGAGGCAAACCUGAAACUUUCCCAUUGGGCAAUAAACAUUACUCCAGUCAAAAACAUUAUGGAAGAGGCAAACCUGAAACUUUCCCAUUGGGCAAUCAGCAUUACUCCAGUCAAAAAAAGUAUGGAAGAGGUGCUUCUCCAUCCGACAAUCAACAACUCCAUUAUAAAGACUUAGCUAUUUUCUUCUUGGAGAAGGACAUGCGCCCUGGCACAACAAUGAAGUUCCAAUUCCCUAUAAAUUCAAACACGGCUACUUUCUUGCCACGAGAAAGCGCUCAAUCGAUCCCCUUCUCCUCUAACAAACUGCCAGAAAUUUUCAACCAUUUUUCAGUGAAGCCAACAUCUGAGGAAGCCAAAACAAUUAAGCAAACAAUCGAAGAGUGUGAAGCUCCAGACCUUAAGGGAGAGGAAAUAUAUUGCGCCACAUCUUUAGAAUCAAUGGUUGAUUUUAGCACUUCGAAGCUUGGAACAAGAAACGUUGAAGCAAUCUCGACGGAGGUAUUGGAAAAAGGAGCCACCAUGUCCAUCCAAAACUAUACAACAAUGCCGGGACUGAAGAAGUUGGCAGGUGACAAAGUCGUUGUGUGUCAUAAGCAGAACUAUCCCUAUGCUGUGUUUUUCUGCCAUGCAAUAAAACAUACAGCAGCUUAUGCUCUCUCCCUGAAAGGCGAUGAUGGGGAGAAGGUUAAAGCAGUAACCAUCUGCCAUCUAGACACAUCAGAAUGGGACCCAGAGCAUAUGUCCUUCCAAAUCGUCAACGUUAAGCCCGGAACCAUUCCCAUCUGCCAUUUCAUUUCCACUGAUGCUAUUGCCUGGGUUCCGAACCACAAAUCUGCAUGAUCAUCACUUAGCACUAGUACUGUGCGUAUAAUAUGCCUGUAUAAUUAUCUCCCUACUUAUUUCUGCCUCUUCAUCAUGUGGUGUAAGAUAUAUGUUGAGAUGAAGUUUUUGGGAUUUGUGGUCGAAAUUAACCCGAUCAUGUUUUCUCUUGCAACCAUAUAGACUUCAACUUGUACUCAUAAUAAAGCAUGCUAUAUUUAUGAAGAGAUAUUAAUCUUCAGGCAAAUAGAUAUUAUGAAAACAUAUAUAGCAAUUUAUCCAGAAGAAACAUUAUGAAAUGAAAAGAAUAAAAAGUAGAAAAACAGAAGGAAAGGAAUUCGCACGUGCUAUGCUAUGUAUGAAAGGACCAAGAUUGUUUUCCCUUUGGUUAAUGACUAGAAAAGCUCACUUGCAGAGUGCUUUCUCCGACCAUAGAUGGAAGAGAAAUUUUCUCUUAAUAAUAGCACAAUGAUCGGGUAAUUGUAAGAACAAGUUGAUUUAAAAUUCCUUGACCCAAAAAAAAAAAAAAAGUUCUUUUCAAAUUCAGGUCAACCCAUAGAUUUCUUGCCUUCGUCUUCUUCAUCACGUUGGGCUUGUCUUCUUUUUGCGUUUUGGGCCUUGGAAGUUGGGACCCAACCCAACUUCACAAAAAGAAAACAGAUUUGCCAAAAAUCAAAUUUCAAGUCUCUCCUCCGAUCACUAAUACAGAUCAAAUUUUGGAUUUGAUGAACUAAAGUGGUUUUACUUUCUCUGUCAGUGUUUGAUGACUUAAUUUGUUAUUUACUUUUUUUUUUUUACUUGAUCUUUGUAGGGGCUUUUUUUUUUCCGGCAGCUUAAACGGGCUGGGCUGCCGUAAAGGGUAGAUUGAUGAAAUUGUCCCCUUUGUCUGAAUUCGAAAAUCAAGCCCCAAAAGCGCUUCGAAAGGGCAGUAGAGCCUUAGGAAGCGUUCUGGUUACCUUCACUAAUUAAAACAACAGCAACUUACAGAUGAUUUCUUGAGGCUUACAGAUAAAUUUUCUAGCUUGGCAUGACAUGGAAGCAAAAUCAGCAUGAGUUUAGCACCAAAGAGGAAAAUAUGGCUUCCUAGGGAGAAAUGAGAGUGUUUAAGGUGAGGAAGAAGAGGUUUGCAGGCUGAUUUGGCUGAGAAAAGAGAAAGAAAGAACAAUGUUCUUCCGGCAGCUUGACAAAGCUUCUGACAGAUGUGAAAGUCGUCCGCCAGAAGAGGAAAAUGGAGAAGAAGGAUGAAUAGUGCACGAAAUUGGUGGGUUCUUGCAGGUAAGAGAGAAAGCUUGCUCUCUGAAUCUGAGUUGGUUUUGGUUGGGUAGAAGAAGCCCCCUUUUAUAGCUGCGGGAAACCAUCUUUUUCCAAGAAACCCUAAUGGUUUCUAUCCUUUUUGGCCAAGCUUUUCCCUUCCUUUCUCUUCUCCUCCCUUGACUUUUCCUAUCUUGGUGAAAUUUCCUCUGCCUAUUUGCACAAAAUUAGAGAUUUUGAGGAGCUCAAGGCCCCUUUCCCGCAGCUGCCUUAGUGGAGAAUCCCCAUUUUCAGUCAUCUUUCUUCCUUCUUUUCUCCCAUCUUCCAAGGCUAGGUUUGAUGAGAGAAAGAAAUGGAUAUGCACACUGGUUUGAAGGGUGUUUUUCCUUGAAACUUGUUCUCUCCCAUGUGCUGGAGCUUCCCAGCAGCUUACACACAUAGAUAUUUUGGCUUUCAUCGUGGCUUUUGUUUUCAGCUAGGUGCUGGAGAUUUUGCAUAUAUUUUCUUGAGUUGCUUGGGCCUUCUAGGACAAUACGUUGGUUUAUCAAGUGAAUGGGCUAACUUCAUCAAUUGUUGGGCAAUUUUGGUUGAGUUAAUGGACUAUUUUGGUUCAAGUAAUGGACUAUUUUGGUUGAAAUAAUAGGCUAUUUUUCUCUCUUUGUGCUCACCCACAUAUUUGGGCCUAAAAAAUGGGCUUGAGUUUCGGGGCUCCCAAGCAACCCCGGGACUUCCAUUUCUCGGCCCAUCAAUGAGCCUCAUGUCAACUUAUUACCAUCCAUACCACAACCCACUCAAGCAAGCCUCAGGCAUCUUGCGUGGCUUGGGCCCACGUAAGCUCGUAGUGGCAAUGUUGCUUAUUUGCUUGACGUGGCAUGUGUGCAAGUGCAUAUGACGAACUUUCGCGUGCCCAAAUUGAGUUUCUUCUCGGUAGGGUAUCGCAUUGGGCCGAGAAUUUAAUUGGGUAGAACCGUGGAUUUUUUGGGCCUCAACAAUCUUAUAUAUAUUAGUUUUCUUUUUUUCCUUAAUAUUCACCACCUUUCUGUUGCAUAAGUAUUCCAGUCUUAGCGGGUUUCCAUCUACCACUCAUCUUUGCUCUUUUAAGUGCAAGCUUUUUUAUUUUUAUUUUUUUAUGCACAAGAUUAGAGGGGAGGGAGAUUUCUCAAUGUAAGCUUUGCAGUUUCAUAAUUAAUAUUUCCAAUAUCUCACUGUUAGUAAAAUAUGGAACGGGAAAAGUACGAAUAAAAUACACACAUGUUUUAUUUAGCAAAAUUUUGACAAGAUACAACUGAAAAGUUUGGCCACUAUAUAAUAUUUUGAUUUAAUUUUUUUUAUUUUUUUAAUAUAUAUUAUUUUUAUUCAAUAAUAUGUGAAAAAUAGGUGUACAAUAUAUGAAAUUUGUAUGUAUUAUUGAAAAAUUCGUAAAAAAAAAACAUGUUAUUAAAUGUGAAAAAUAUGUACGUAUAUGUAUAAAACAUGUAUUGUACAUUACUUUUUAACAAACUUGUAUUUUACCUAGUCUUUAAACCGUAUAUGGAAAACGGAAGUAUUAUUGAAAAAUACAUAUGUACGUAUAUGUAUAAAACAUGUAUUGUACAUUACUUUUUAACAAACUUGUAUUUUACCUAGUCUUUAAACCGUAUAUGGAAAACGGAAGUAUUAUUAAAAAAUACAUAUGUACGUGUAUAAUAUGAGUAUUAAACAAAAAAAUGUGCUAAGUACUUAUCUUUUAAUUUAAUAAUUCAUUUCAUUUUGUGAUCUCAUACGUAGUAAUGAGAGUUCAAAUUAAUGUUGCAGCUGACAAUGGUGGCUCUGGCAAGCCAUGCUUGAUGCAGGAGUAUAGGGGUGGAUCAAGAUAGAUAUUUACCAUGUAAUUAGUUAUUUCAUGAUAUAUUGUUAUUUUCUUAUUUAGGUAGUUUUAUGAUAUCUUUUAUUAUUUAUGUGGGAUUUUAUAAUUAAUUAGUUUACUUUUGGACCAAGUAGCCUUGGUGCUCAAGUCUUGUAAAGCUUAUAAAUAAGGCUAAUGUAAUAGUUGUAGGAAAAGAGAUGUCGAUGAUUAAUAAAAUCGUUUAUUUGUGGCAUGGAUUUGCUACGAUAUAUGUGAGUUUGCACUAGCCCUAGAUUUCGGUGCUCGUGUAUGUGGUUGGUGACCUGUGUCCGGAUCCCGAUCCCCAUCAAUGCUGUUCUCCCAGUACCUCAACUUUACUGGAACUCUUUCCUGCCAAACACAAAUGCCAAGAGCUAUCAGUCAACUUCUGCAUCCUGGUUUCUAUUAAGGGACUUUUCGUGAGCUUAUCAUCUACCCAAAUUUUACUCAUCCGACGUAAUUUUAAAAGUGAUUUGAUCCUUUGGCAAAGUAAUCUUGAACUACAAAAAAGGAGGGCACUCGAAUAGGCAUGCCAUUUGGUAUUACCCACCUCUAAUUUCUUUUAAAAUUUUAGUAAUUGAUUUUUAAGAUUAGAAAAUGGGAAAGUUCAAAACCGAAAAAGUUGUUUCAGUUUUGGCAAGUAUCGGAAAAGACUAAAAUUUUCCGACUUUAUUAUUACUAGAAACAAAGUCGAAGUAUUCACCAAUCAUGUGGCCUUCCAAGUGCUCAAGGUUAAGCCAGGAACCGUUCCUAUCAGCCAUUUCCUUCCCAAGUAUGAUCAUGUUGUCUGGGUUCCAACCCACAAAUCUACAUCAGUACCUGAACUAAUCAGUUCUACAUGAAUAUUCAUUCAUGGCAACCUUGGGCUAAGUAUUUGAAUUUAUGCUCAUAAAGCUUUAAUGCUUUUGAGGGCCAAUCGUUGUCUACAUAUGGUAUUGUAGCAUCUUUAGAUGGAAGAGGUCAGGGGUUCAAUUCUUGUUUUCCACUUCUUUAUUUGUUGGUUUAUCGAGUGUAGAGUGGAGUUGCACCUAUAUGUUCGUCUCUCACCCCAUCAUUUACCAUUGAUAUAUAUUUAAUAGAAGCCUAAGAUUUCGGAAGCACAUAAUUUCUACUUUACAAACUUCCUGUGUCUACCAAUUUCUACUAAAAUUAAUUUAUCUGCGGUGCUGAGAUUCAUCAUAAUUUUAAUAGAAAUUGGAAGUUUUCAUCAUUUUUGCUUUAAGUCUCUACUCCACUCACUAAUAAAGAUUACUCAUGUGAGUUUACAAAACAUUUUUUUUUUCUACUCUCUCCUGAAGACUACACUUCUUCUCAAAAAAUUAGAUCACUUCACAUCUUGUGUAUGUGAAAACUAAUGUAAAAAGUUGAAACUUUAUCGUAAAACCUCGACAAAAAUGAGCUCUACUACAAAAUGUUAAAUUUGGAUUCGUUGAUUUAAAUGGCAAUUUGACACUUGAUAGAAAUUUUUACAUACAUGUGUUAGUGUUUGAUCACUUCACAUGUCACUUACUAUAUUUAUUCCACUCAAGUUAGGUAAAUAUUAUUAUCAAACAUUUCAAUUAAUUUGUGAUUUUUUUAUUAUUUAAUCAAUUAUGAAUUAAUGGAUUCUUCUUGUUGUUUUGAAGACCAACAAAAAAAAAAAAAAGGGUAGUGAUGGCUUAUAAUUCUGGUAAAACAACAGUGACGUGGACAACAGAUGUUACGCUGUACUAAAGAUUUUUGAAGAUUCUUUAUUUGAGUUUCUUUCAAGAUAAAAACCAUAUUAUCCACAACCACAAGCACAUCCGGCAGACAAUCUUUGGCUAUUCAUCACAAUUGGGAGACAAUGAAGAAGACAGAAAAUGGAGUAAUUCAGAUGUUACCAGCCAUCCACGACAAACUGAAGUCUGCAAAGCAUUCGUAAUCUAAAAAGGAUGGGGAGGCUGCGCAAUACUUAGCCACGUGUAGGCCAGGAGGCUUUCCAAUUUUAAUAUAUAUAUAGAUUGAAAAAAUAAAAUAAAAAUCAAUCUAUUAUCAUAUAUAUUAUAAAAUAAAGAUUAUUGCUCCCAUGGGCGGUGCUAUGCACAGGACAGUGCCUGCCUAGUCCAAAUUUUUUUUAAAUAAAAAUAAAAAUCUACAUAUGUUAUAAGCUCAUCCAAAAAAAAAAAAAAAAAUAAAAGUGUUGUAAAUUAUAAGGUGGAGCCCACAUGUUGGAAGGCUUUGCCUACAAAAGGGUUCACACCCUCCCUUUGUAAUUAGACAUUGAGAAUACUAAGGAAGACAGAAAUGAAUAGAGAGAAAACAUUCCCUUCUCUCCAUCUCAAUUCCCUCUCCAAUUCCUCUAGAUUUAUAACACGUUAUCAGCAGCACGAAUCGCUUUCAAACAAUACCAGCUGAAUUUUAUGAUGAAACCCAGAUCUCUCAUCCAUCUCUGCUGCUCCACUACUUCAAAAUAAAUCCCACAGAAAAAGAAAAAGCCUCAAUGCUCUCUCUCUCUCUCUGUCUCGCUUGGGAGACUUGGACAAUUCCUCAUCCCCGUUACUGACAAUUUCAACAGCUUCAGGGGAAGCUAGUUUAUCUUCCUCUGCUCACGAAACCAUGACUCUUUCAGAGCCAAACAACAACACAAUAGACAACGCAUGGAGACCAGACUGGAGCUCGUCGGCUAAGGCACCGACGAUCCGACCCUACCCGUAUGGACCUUCCGGAUGUGGUUCCUGGGUCUUGUCUCAUGUGCCCUCCUCUCAUUUCUCAACCAAUUCUACAAGCAGCAGAGCUUCAAAUCAAACAGAUCAUGGCAUCGCUUUCACACCUCCCCAUCUUCCUCUUCCUCCUGUUCACCGCUUUCUAUUCUACAGCUUCGCAGUCCUUCAUCGGCGCAUCCAAAGGCGACAUACCGGCGCUCGCCUCAGAUCCGAACGCGGCGGCUCAGUGGGUGAACUCGAAUGUCCUCGCCUUCUACUCGGCCAGCAACAUCGACCUCAUCAACGUCGGCAACGAGGUCCUUUUUCUCCAACGACCAGGGCCUCAUCUCGCAGCUCCUCCCCGCCAUGCGAAAUGUCCAAUCUGCCCUCUCCGCCGCGUCCCUCGGCGGCAAGGUCCGUGUCUCCACGGUCCACUGCCUCGCCGGAUCGGGAUCCUUCCUUCAAGUGUUUCUCUGUCUUCGACUUGAAAAAGAAGGUCAUGGCAGGCCUAUGUAAAAAUUGCGAAAAGGAAGGCAAUCUUCAACCUUUUCUCCUGUCUCUCUCUUGAUCAAUUCAUGGAAGGCACAUUUGGGUCUUCCGGGGGCUCAUCAAAUGAGUCAGCAAUGUCAAAGGUGGAGGUGGUGGAGCAAGACUACGUGGGGAUGUCAUAUGAGGCAACCUCAUACCCAGCUGAGGCAGAGCUUGUGCUGGGCCUGGGCCUUGGCCUGAGCCUUCGUGGUGGUGGUGCAGGGAAGCAGCCAAAGCCAUGUGCAUGGGGUGAGCGUGGUAGAAUCUUGACUGCUAAAGUUAGGUGCUGAGUUACACUGUGUUCUCUGCUACUGACCCUAAGAGGAGUGCUAGAAACUUCCAUGUUCCGCCAUCAUUUCGCUUUCACUGUUACAAGGCACUGGAGUAUGUUUAAUUGAAAAGUGAGAUACACAGCAAGUUGAUCAGCCUAGUGGAAAGCAAAGGAUUAUUGCCAGGGAUAUGAACACCCACCGAAAUAAAGGGAUAAGUACUCUUUUUCCCUUCGACCAGUUUUUUUUUGUCCCACUGGGUUUUUACUGGCAAGGUUUUUCACGAAACAUAUUCCGUAUCAUUUGUGGUCUCUAAGAGGGAGUGUUGUAAAUUAUAAGGUGGAGCCCACAUGUUGGAAGGCUUUGCCUACAAAAGGGUUCACACCCUCCCUUUGUAAUUAGACAUUGAGAAUACUAAGGAAGACAGAAAUGAAUAGAGAGAAAACAUUCCCUUCUCUCCAUCUCAAUUCCCUCUCCAAUUCCUCUAGAUUUAUAACAAAAAGUAAAUUCUACACAUAUGUUGCCCAUCCAGGUGGUCCCAUAUCUUCUCUUUCCUUUUCUUUUGGCUAUUAGACUUCUUGUUUCUCUCUCUCUCUUUGCUACCCCACAUCAGCAAGUUUCUCCCUCUCUUUUUUUGGGAUCAAAUUCUUCUUCUAUUGACAAAAUCUUCUAUUAUAUUGGGUGGGCAACUUGGCAACAACAUCUUCUCCUCUCCUUUUGUCAACAGCAAGUAUUAUUCUCAUUCUCUCAUUUGCUAUAUAUCUUUAAUUAUAGUUUUAAUUUAAAAUUGAGUAUUCUAGGGUUUAAUUAGGGAUGAAUUAUAAUUUUGGGAUUUUGUUGAAAUUAAUUAGGGCUUCGAUUAGGGGUGAAUUAUUCUACUGCUUUGAUUUGGAAUUUUGUUAAAAUUGAGUAUUAUAGGUUUAAUUAUGGAUGAAUUACAAUUUUUGGUUUUGGUAUUGUUGAGAUGUUAUUAUGAGAAUUUGUUUGAUUUUUUGUUGGUAUAUUUGAUUAAAAUUCUUUCUACAUAUUAUUCAUAGGCUAUCUUUUAUUAUGUCGGAUCACAAUCGGAAUCCCAAGAAAACAAAAAAUUUGAAUAGUGUUGUUUUGUAUUGCAUUGCAUUUACUUUUGGUUUUAGUUUUGCUUUUAGUGUAAAUUACUCAAAUGGUCCUCAAAUUUGUACCCAAUUUACAUUUUGGUCCAUAAACUAAAUUAUUCAUUCAAAUGGUCCACCAACUCUUUAUUAAUCGGUGCUUUGGUCCUAUCGUUAUGUUUUCUAUUAAAUUUAGUCAUGUGAGCAGCACAUGCUACAUUUGUAUGGGUAAAUAAGACUUUUGACCAGUGGCGGAUCCACGUUGGGACAAGAGGGGUCGGACGACCCCUUGGAAGGCUGGAAAUUUGGCAAGGGAGUCCAUGAAAGCCCCCUUGGACAGCUGCUGGAAGCCCCCUUGUAUGCACACAAUGUGCUCGACGAAAUGCCCCAACGAAAUGUCCUGCGCAGCUGUGCUGCGCCUUGCGCGUAAUUUUUUUUUAAAACCAGCCUUGCCAAACGACGUCGUUUGGUCAAGGCUCAGUCAAAUUUUUUUUUAAUUAACCUGGCCUCAAAACGACGUCGUUUUGGGCCAGGUUUAAAAAAAAAAAAACAGAACAGUACACACGCACAGCAGCUCUGCACAGAUUCAUUUUCUCCAAACCUUUCAUUCCCAAUUCCACAGCCCCUCUUCCCAUCCUCUCAAACCCUAACCUCCCAACCUCCCAACCUUGGACAACCUCCAUCAACUCUUCACCGGUGGCCCAAUGCCGAUCACCACCACCUUCUACCGCCGUCCGCCGCCCAUUUUUUAAACUACAAGUAAGUAAGCAUGGAAAAUCUGAUAUUAAUAAUUAUAGUGAUAAUAUAUAUUGUUGAUAUUGAUAUUUUUUUUUUAUGUAAUGAAAUUUAUGGAUAUGAAUCAUAUUGAUUGAUUGAGUUUAUGCUUGAAAUUUAUGGAUAUGAAUCAUAUUGAUAUUUUUUUUUAUGUAAUUAAAUUUAUGGAUAUGAAUCAUAGUGAUAAUCAUAUUAAUGUAGAUUGAUUGAGUUUAUGCUUGAUUGAUAAUAUGAAUUGAUUGGGUAUAUUAAAUAUUGAUUGCUAUUUGAUAUGAUAAUUUGGUAUAUUGAAUAUUGAUUGAUAUGGGUUUAGGGAGUAUAUUGAAUAUUGAGAGUGGGUUAUUGAAAUUUUCAUAUUCAUAUGAUAAUUAGGAUAAAAAUUAAUGAUUGAUUGAAUUAAUUGAUUUGUAGAUUUAUGGAACGAUUCUUUAAAAGAAAAUUAUCUACGGAUAGUUCUUCUCUGUCUAAUCCGGGUAGUUCAAAUGCAAGACCAAUUGAAGUAGAUGAGAUCUUAGCUAAUCUUCAAGCAGACCCUGGACUAAGAACUCGAAUGGCGGAUUAUAGUCCUAAUAUUAGGGAUGAGAUCCGAAGAGCAUAUCUACAAAAGGGACCUUGUCAACCUAGAAGUUAUAAAUUCCCACAAACUAAUCAAUCAGGAAUUAAUAGACGCUUCAUUGCUCAUUGGUUUGAUGAUCAUGAUUGGUUGGAAUAUAGUAUUGCUAAAGAUGCUACGUUUUGUCUUCAUUGUUAUCUCUUCAAAUCUAAUUUUGAUCAAGUGGGUGGUGAUGCAUUCACUGGGGUAGGCUUCAAUAAUUGGAAGAAGGCGAAAGAAAGAUUUAACCUUCAUAUUGGACCGGUUGGUAGUGUUCACAACCAAGCUAGAGAAGUUGCUUACAAUUUGAUGCAUCAAACUACACACAUUGAAACAAUUGUGCUCAAGCAAACAAGCCAAGCUCGCACGGCUUAUCGCACUUGCUUGAAUGCAUCACUUAAGUGCACUAGGUAUUUGUUGCGGCAAGGGCUUUCUUUUCGUGGUCAUGAUGAAAGUGCACAAUCAAGUAAUAAAGGGAAUUAUUUAGAGCUCUUGCAAUUUCUUGCGGAUCAUGAUGAAAAAGUUAAGGCCGUUGUAUUGGAAAAUGCUCCGGGAAAUUUAAAGUUAAUAGCUCCUUCAAUUCAAAAAGAUCUUGUCAAUUCUUGUGCCAAAGAAACCAUUGAUCUUAUCUUGAGUGAUGUAAAAGAUAGAUAUUUUUCAAUAAUGGUGGAUGAAGCACGUGAUGUUUCAAUAAAGGAGCAAAUGGCAAUGGUGUUGCGUUAUGUGAAUGACAAAGGACAAAUAAUUGAAAGGUUUGUGGGGGUUCAACAUGUAACCGACACUACUUCAAGUGCACUAAAGGAAACAAUUGAUGAAUUCUUUUCUUCCGCGAAUUUGAGCUUUUCCAAGCUACGAGGACAAGGUUAUGAUGGAGCUAGCAAUAUGAGAGGUGAGUUCAAUGGCCUUAAGAGAAAGAUUUUGAGAGAACAACCUUGUGCAUUUUAUGUUCAUUGCUUUGCUCAUCAACUUCAACUAGCUCUUGUUGCGGUAGCAAAGAAAAACAUUGAUGUCAACUCUUUUUUCACAACGGCUAAUAGUUUGGUUAAUGUGGUUGGAGCAUCUUGUAAGCGUCGCGAUGCACUUAGAGCACAAUACCAAGAAGAGCUUGUGAGAGCUUUUGAAGAUGAUUGUCUUAUAACGGGGCGGGGCUUAAAUCAAGAAAGGACUCUCAAACGUGCCGGCAAUACACGAUGGAACUCACAUUAUGGUACGUUGAUUAGUAUCAUUUCUAUGUUCCCAUCUGUGGUGAAUGUGCUUCAAAUGAUUGUUGAUGAUAAUCUUAAUGAUAGUUCGGGUGAAGCCUAUAAGUUAAGGAGAGAAAUACAAUCUUUUGAGUUUGUGUUUCACUUAUUUGUAAUGAAAGCUAUAUUGGGAAUAACAAACACUUUGUCUCUAGCAUUGCAAAAGAAAGAUCAAGACAUUGUGAGUACAAUGAAUUUAGUGAAAACAUGCAAGGAAAACCUGCAGUUGAUGAGGGAUAAUGAGUUUGAAGAAUUGGUUGGGCAAGCAUCCUCGUUUUGUUACAAAUAUGAUAUUAUAGUUCCUACCAUGGAUGAGGAAUAUGUAAUUCCAGGGAGAUCAUGGCGUAAUGCUCCAAUGAAGACAAAUUAUCAUCGUUAUCGUGUGGAGAUCUUUAUUCAUGUAAUUGAUGGGCAACUUGCGGAAUUAAAUGAUCGCUUCAACGAGGUAAGUACUGAGUUACUUACUUGUUUGGCAUGCUUGAGUCCAAAAAAUAACUUUGUGACUUUUGACAAACGAAAGCUAGUUCGUCUUGCUCAAUUUUAUCCUUAUGAUUUUUCGGAUAGAGACUUAUUGAUGCUUGAAGAUCAACUUGGUGUUUAUGUUCAUCAUAUGCGUUCGAGUAGUGAUUUUUCUCAAUUGGAAGGGAUUAGUAGUCUUGCGGAAAAAAUGGUGGAGAAAGGAAUGCAUGAAAUAUUUCCUUUUGUAUUUGCUUCUUACAUUGGCUUUGGUUUUACCGGUUGCAACUGCAUCAGUGGAGAGGGCAUUUUCCGCUAUGAAUAUUAUUAAAAAUCCACUUCGCAACAGAAUGGGAGAUCAAUGGUUGAAUGAUAGCUUGCUUGUUUACAUUGAGAGAGAUGUUUUUGCUUGUAUUGAUAACGAAAUUAUAAUGCAAUGUUUUCAGAAUAUGAAAACUCGUCGUGGACAAUUGUAACUUGUAUUAUUGGUUUUGUUAUGAAUUAUGAAUGAAAGUACUAUCUUUCUAUCUUUUUAGCAUUAUUUUCUUUGUAGAAAAAUUUCAGAACUUUUACACUAAGCCCCCUUGGCUACAUAAUCCUGGAUCCGCCACUGCUUUUGACCACUUUAUCACCUAUGUAUCACCACUUUAUAACCUAUUUGGGGAACAUAGGUCAGUUAUGGACGGUUUUACCCUUACAUUUGACGGCAACAUUAACAUAAUGUAACAGUGGGAUCAAUGGAGUGAUUAAUAUAAAGUUGAUGGACCAUUUGAAUGAAUAAUUUAAUUGAGAGACCAAAAUGUAAAUCAAGUAUAAGUUUGAGGACCAUUUGAGUAAUUUACCCUUCGCUUUUAUAUUUGUUGAACUUUUAUUUAUGAUAGAUAUGCAUUUAAGGGUAAGACCCAUUAUGUUCCCCUGGCUAGGUGUAUCUUUUUAUGUUUAUUAAUGAAAUUCACUCGAACUGUUGAGUUUAGUAUGUAAGUUUUGCCUAACUGGCUUUUGAAUCCUAGAACCGCCACUGUUGCUCCAUCCUCCAUGCACUUGCAUGUGCUCUUACAAAGUGUGAAGUAGAUUUUGUGUGCUCCAAGUCAUUGACUAGAGCUGAAACAUGGUUAGCUAGAUUUAUAAGGACCCAUCUCUUUAUUUCCUAGACAUAUACCCAUCUCUCUAUAAAUCUAUAUGUAAAACCUAAUUUCAAACUUAAAUGACCAGUAGGAUAUAAAAGGUCAUAGUAUUCCUAUGUUUUUAUAUCGUUGCCACCAGACUUCUUAUUUUAUUUAUAAUUUAUUUCAAGCAUUUCAUUAACUGCCAUAAUUGUAAUUAAUACUCCAUAUUAAUAGCAUAUCAAUCACCCCAUUUCUUUUGGUUGCCAUUCCCUCUAACAUAUCGCCCCUUAAAUUUGAAAACCAAAAAAAAAAAAUGUAAAUUACAUAUCCAAUAAUGUACCUAUGAAAAAUAUAAAUAUAAAUAUAUACAUAUAAAAAUAUAGGUAUAUUAUUUACCAAAUAGAAAAUAUAAAAACCUAGGUCAGUUGCUUUGUAAUUGAAAUUUCUGUACAUUUUCCACAAAUUAAAAAUAGGUACAUAAUAAUUUAUAGAAAAUAUAUGUACAUUAUUUAUCCAUAGGUAAAAAUACCGAUAAAUGCACAUAGGUGAAUUAUUUACCAAUAUAUUAUUUUUUUGCUAAGGAUUUACCUUAGUUUUUAGUAGAUUAAUUUACCUACCUAGAGGCAUAGGUAGCUUAAAAAAAAUGUACCACCUUAGUUGGUUGCAUACUAAUUUACCUACCUAGAGGCAUAGGUUGCUAAGAAAAAAUGUAGGUAAAUUCAUGUACCUAAACACAUAGGGGUCAAAUAGAGAAUAACAUGUUAUUUCCCUUUGAACAAAUUAAUUUCAAACCAUAACAAUUAUUGAAUUUGGAAAUUGGUAUAAAUAAAAGGAAAUAAAUAAACUAUCAAUUUGAAAAUUAAAAUAAGAAAUGAUCAAGUAGUCAUAUUUGAAAAAAAAGGAAAGAAUAUAUUCUUGGUUUUUAUAGGAACAACGAGUAUAUUCAAACCAAACGGCGAUAACUACACCAAGCUUUAAUUACUUUUUUUUAAGGCCAAAAGUCACUUUUGGUCCCUGUAGUUCGGCAUUUCUACCACUUUUGAUGUUGUAGUUUCAAUUCCGUCAAUUUUGCCAUUGUAGUUUCGUAUUUGUAGCAAUUCAAGGACCUGUUAAUAUUAAUGUCAAUUUGUUUAAUGAUGCAAGAGGUAAUUUCGUCAUCCCAAAAUCCUUGAGCAUAAAAGAUUGUCUGAAAUUCUCCCCAUUUCAUAUUAGGGCUCGAAAUUCAACCACUAAUCCUAAUUUUUGAAGAACCCUAGACCCAAAUGACCAAUUUCAAGCCCUAAUAUGAAAUUACGGAAGUUUUAGAUGAGCUUUUAUGCUCAAGGAUUUUGAGUUGAAGAAACUGCCCCUUGCACUGUCAAAUAAAUUGACAGGAAUACUGACUUGUCCUUGAAUUGCUACAAAUACAAAACUACAGUGUCAAAAUUAACAGAAUUUAAACUAUAGGGUCAAAAGUAGUUGAAGUGUCAAACUAUAAGGACCAAAAGUGACUUUUAGCCUUUUUGUUUCAAUAAGGAAAAAACUGACCUAUUAAAUCCUUGGAAUCUAUACAAAAUUGAAACACAAUUAAUCAACAUUGAAUUGCAGCUAAUUUCUUAAACAAGGGUAUUAUAGGAAUUUAAAAAGUAUAACAUUUAAUCCAUUGAAUUUGAUUAGGAAACUUGAUGAAUUGAAUCCUAGUUAUAUAGUUUUUCUUAUAAAAAUCAGGUUUUAUUUAUAGACAAAUAAAACAAUGGGUUGUAGGUAAGAAAAUAUUAAUUUGAAGGGAAAGAGUCAAAUUUACUAAAUUAAUAAAGCAUAAAUUGGAAAGGGAAAAGAUCUAGAGGAUGCAUUGUAGGAUUGCUCAUGCCAAUAAUUGCACCCUCUCGAUAUUGAAAAACCUAUUGUUUAUUAUUAUCUUCAAUCCUGAAUGAUGCACCUAAAACCCAAGUGUCUCAGGCCAACCAUUGCGCUCAUACCACUUGUUGCAGUACACAUUCACCUGUUUUUAAAGAAAGAAAUUCUACCAAUCGAUAUUUUCUCAAAUUUAAUCACAUAGAUCUAUUAUGGUUAACCAUAUGUACUUUUAUCUGCCAUCCAGAGGUACCUUUUUCCAACGUGCAACAAUUGUAUUUGAUUCACAAUUAUGUCUGAUAUACAUCACAUCAUGCCACUUGCCUCAAAUGAAUUUAAUUGAGUGAGGCAAUGGGAAGUAAUUAAGCUCUAUAUUGGUGGGUGGAGUGUUACUUCUGGAACCCUCAUCAUUCGUCCAUACAGGGGAACAAUUCCCUUCCUUCUAUAAAAUGGGAGCAAUUCUCUCACUGUACUCUAUAUAAAGGAAUAAGUGUCGUCCACUAAUUAAUUACACUUUGUGAGAUUUGAUUUUAAUUAGAGUUCGAAUUAAUGUUGCAGCUAGCAGCGGUGGCACUGGCAAACCAUGCUGCUCAACCAGCACCUCCACUUUACUGGAAUUCCAUCCUGCCAAACACACAAAUGCCAAGAGCUAUCAGUGAACUUCUGCAUCCUGAUUUGUGUUGAAUAGAUAUAGUAUGUUACUGGAGUACGUAUGGCAACAUAUUCACAAAUGUGUCACGUAUUUUCCAUUAUGACGUUGAUAUAUAAUUGCAGACUCCACAAACGAAGAAAAGAGCACAAAUGUCAUGAAUGCUGUUGGGAAUGGAAAGCCAAUUGACCACAAGGGCAAACCUGAAAAUACUGUACUACCACAGCUUGCACGACGCCCAUUUUCUUACAAGAGUGAUGAUCGUCCCACUGACAAUCAACUCCAUUAUAAAAACGUAGCUAUUUUCUUCUUGGAGAAGGACAUGCGCCCUGGCACAACAAUGAGCUUCCAAUUCCCUAGAAAUUCAAACACGGCUACUUUCCUGCCACGAGAAAGAGCUCAAUCGAUCCCCUUCUCCUCUAACAAACUACCAGAAAUUUUCAACCAUUUUUCAGUGAAGCCAACAUCUGUGGAAGCCAAAACAAUUAAGCAAACAAUCGAAGAGUGUGAGGCUCCAGGCAUUAAGGGAGAGGAAAUAUAUUGCGCCACAUCUUUAGAAUCAAUGGUUGAUUUUAGCACUUCGAAGCUUCGAACAAGAAACGUUCAAGCAAUCUCGACGGAGGUAUUGGAAAAAGGUGCCACCAUGUCCAUGCACAAGCACACAACAAUGCCGGGACUGAAGAAGUUGGCAGGUGUCAAAGUCGUUUUGUGUCAUAAGCAGAACUAUCCCUAUGCUGUGUUUUACUGCCAUGUAAUAAAACCAACAGCAGCUUAUGUUCUCUCCCUGAAAGGCGAUGAUGGGGUGAAAGUUAAAGCAGUAGCCAUCUGCCAUCUAGACACAUCAGAAUGGAACCCAAAGCAUUUGGCCUUCCAAAUCCUCAAAGUUAAGCCCGGAACAAUUCCCAUCUGCCAUUUCCUUCCCACUGAUCAUAUUGUCUGGGUUCCGAACCACAAAUCUGCAUGAUCAUCACUUAGCACUGUACGUAUAAUAACCUUUACCCCUGUAUAAUUAUCUCCCUACUCUACUUAUUUCUGCCUCUUCAUGUGGUGUAAGAUAUAUGAUGAGAUGAAGUUUUUGGGAUUAGUGGUCGGGUUGCCUUAAAAACACAGAUUACAGAAACUGCUUGAACUUAACCCGAUCAUGUUUUCUCUUGUACUCGUAAAGCAUGCUGUUGUGGUUCUACUUAAUUUCGUCCUCCCCAAUGUUUGAGUGUUUAAUUGUUACGUUGGAAUAGGCUGCUAAUGCAUGUAGUUAGAGAAGCUUUCAUUUAUAUCAAAGUCCUCAAACUAUCAAGAAUUAAUGCAUCCAGAAACAUAUAUACCAAGACGCAAAACAACAUAUUUUCCAUGCUGUGUCGGUAACACCAAAGCAAACUUCCUUUAUCACAAAAGGACCAAAUUCCAAUACUAAUCUAAUCCAUCAUGUAAAGCAUACAAUCUACAACUGCCUCCCUAAAUUUGUCCAUUGGAUAUAUAUGUCACUUUUUGGUAAUUUGGUAUAGCAGCACCACGUAGUAUGCAUUUAACAGAAAAGUAAACAAAAUUGACAGUAGAACUAUUUGUCCUAACGAAACUGAAGUUGAAAGACCAUGAGAACGAUUUUGAAAAUUAAGGGACUCAAAUGAAAAUUGGGUCUAAGUUCAGGGACCAAUAAAACGAUUAACCCAUAGAUUUUGGAUCCAGUACCACAUCCCAAAGAGAAAACCACAAGUUUGCAAGCAAGUUUGUCCAUACUAACACUACGUACAGUAUGGGCAAUGUGCUAGACUCAUCUCACUUUCUCAACCUAUCCUAUACUUGUCUAAAAGAGUUUCUAAUUUAAUGUACUGAGAUUUACGAAAGAAAUAUCAGAGAAACAAUUUUCAGGCAAUAAAAAAAUGUCUUGGCAAGAAAAUGCACAAUUUGUUACAUAACUUAUUAAAUAUGAACAGUUGAAAGAAAAAAGAAUUUGGAUGAGGGAUUUGCAAAUUCCUAUGGCCCAAUUACCUUUUUUUCUUUGUUUUUUUUUGGUUCUUUUGAUCCAGUAGCAUAUUCCAAAGAAUGAAAACCACAGGCAUGCAAUGCAAGCUCUUUUCCCAUGUUUUCCUCUGUUUUUCUCCUAUCAUGGAAGUGAUUAAAACACACCUCUAAGCUUGUUUUGCGUUUGGUAGCCGAGUGUAAAAGCUCAAUGCAAGAUAGUUUGAGGUAGAAUUUUCUCCUGUUUUAUUAGGACAAUGAUGAGCUAUAUGUGACAACAAAUUGCUUUAAUAAUGAAAAUUAAAAAAGUGUGAUUCAUUGAAUAUUUGCGGGGUUUUGUUCAGAGCUGACAAAGUUCUAAGUCAACACAUCAAAUUCCUUUUUCCAACAAUCGUAUUUGAUUCACAAUUUUGUCUGAUAUACAUCACAUCAUGACACUUGCAUCAAAUGAAUUUAAUUGAGUGAGGCAAUGGGAAGUAAUUAAGCUCUAUAUUGGUGGGUGGAGUGUUACUUCUGGAAUCCUAAUCAUUCGUCCCUACAGGACUCUAGAACUCUCACACUUCUUACAAGGACUACUUAACUCUAUAGCUUAUUGCAUAUAGCAUAUAUAUGCAAACCCAAUUAGAAAUUCUACAACAGAAGCAAGAUCAAUCUCACUAUGCCUUCUAAACAAACAAACAAAUAAAACAAGCAUAUUAAUUGCUUUAAUCACUCUACUAACAUCAACACAGCACACUUAGUUUACUAACAGAUGAUAUAGAAAGGAAAAAAAAGGACCAAUAGGGAGAAAAUGGUGAACUAAGGAGAGACUAAUACUUCUGGUCCUUAGAAGGCAUAACAGAAAUAAUAGAGCACACUGCUUGAAUGCAAGUCAGUAUUAGGAGCAAAACAGCUGCAAUGAAAGAAAUAGUUGCCCAAGGUGUAUUGAAAUAAUGUUGCCUCAAAUUUGCCUUCCAUUUGUUCCAAGGCUUUCUGCAGUAGCUAUUAAGGCGCUCAGAAAGAGUAGCAAAGUAGAAGCUUUCACGAUACACUGCAAUUCCUUUUCCGAGGUUGUUAAUCAGAGUGCACACCUCAUUGUAGUCACCAAGCAUAUUUUUGACAAUCCCAUACUUCAGAAGGAACUCCACAUCCUUUUCGGUGUUCACAAACUCAUCCAUGAGUGAAACAUAAUCACUUAUGUAAUUCUUACGGCAAUGGCACUAUUCAAAGGCAAUGAGGUUAUGGAGUGUGAGCUCUGUGUAAUCGUUUAUUUUUAGUUUUGGAAUUUCUAGAAUCCCAUCGUUGAAUCGUGUUAACGCAGCUUUCCUUUCCUAGCCUACGCGGAAGUCAACUUCACAAUCUCCUCCUAGCAAUUAGCCUUUCCUACUGUAAAUCGGAUUGUAUUCAUGUCUAUAUUAUUUCCUACCUUAAAUAGAUAUCCUGUACUAGUAUACAUAGGGACUUUGUGUAAUCUGUUAAAUACAAGGAAAUAUAUACUCUACAUGGUAUCAACCUAACCUAGGGUUCUCUCUCUCCCCCUUAUUCGAUCCUCUUCUCCUUUAGGUCCACCUCAUGGCUUCGUUUGAAUCCACCAUCUCCCUCCCAAGCCCUAACUCUUCUCAUUUUAUCAAGCUUACUAACUCCAACUAUCUUCUUUGGCUCCGCCAACUCAAACCCUUUUAGUUGGCCAUGACCUCUGGAAAUUUAUCGAUGGCAUUCAUAAACAACCUUCUGCCCACACCUCCACCUCUACCACCACAACACCCACAACCACCACCACUCUUACCGAAAUCAAUCCUACCUAUGCUCAGUGGUACCAACAAGACCAACUCAUUGUUAGCUACAUCACCAGUACACUCUCUGAGUCCAUUUUCUCUCUCACUGUCGGUUGCAUCUCUGCCCGGGAUCUCUGGGAGUGUCUCCAAUGCCACUUCUCUUAAUCCAAUAUGGCCAGUGAAUCUGCUCUUCGUUUUCAACUCAUGGAUUUGCAAAAAGGCUCUCAACCCAUUGAUGCUUACCUUCGUCAUGCUAAGUCUCUUGCCGAUUCACUAGCUGCCAUCAAUUAACCUGUCUCCCCAAAAGAACUUGUCACUGCUGUGCUUCGGGGUUUAGGACCCGAUCACAAAAUGCUCAUCACAGCAAUUCUCAAUUUCUCUCCGCUUCCAGACUUUGCUGAUCUUCGUGCUCGUUUGUUAGCUUUUGAUGCACAGACUCCUCGAAUCUUUCCUGAUCAAAACACAACGCUAAUGGCCACCCAAUCUUCUCCUUACACCACCGGUCAUACUUCCUUCCCUUCUCACCGUGGUUGUGGCUCUUCCAGCAAUAGGCGCGGUGGCUGGUGCAGUAUUGGCCGUGGUGGCUGGCACAACUUCUCAUCUUCCUAGAGCAACCCGUGGAAUGGCUUCCAGCAGCCCUAAUGACCUAAUCAACUGUGGCCUCCUUUUGCUCUAAGUUUUGGAUCUCAAAGCAACUGGCCUUCCUUUCAACCUCUUUGGGCCCAAUCUGCCGCUUCUAGCAAACACUCUGCCCGACCCAACUCAGCUCCUGGUGUCUUGGGACCCGCUUGGUGCACCACAUGCAAUACCAAUCGACAUACUACUACAACAUGUCCUUAUUGCUACAAUGGCCCAGAAUUCUUCCUUUGCUGGGGCUCAAUUCAUGCAGCCACCUAACUCUACAUGGUACCCUGACACAAGUGCCACUCAUCAUAUGACUGGUAGUUCUUCUAAUCUCCAAAGGAAAUUAAAUGAAGGAGUCCUACGAAGGCUCAAGGCUCGAAAGCACACGAUCCGGCUCUGCUGCGGAGCUCACUCAACUACUGGCUGAGGGGGCGCAAAACAGAAAAUUGUGAGUGGACAAAAAUAAAAAUUCAGUUCAGUGUAAACCAACGUAAUAUAACCCCACCGUUUAGAAAACCAUGCAAGAAAUCCAAAUGCAUCUCAAAACCAUCAUAAUCAUCAAAUCAAAAUCAAAUACUGGAUGCCAAGUCCGAAAUCCAUAAAGAAAGCUUUACAAACCCACCAUCCAAAUCUUACAAUCCCACAACUAAACUCUCGAAAGCGUACCCAUUGGCAGUACCAGCAAGGAAGUAUCCUCACCGAGAAACAAGAACAAAAGAAUAGCUAUAUAUAUAAUUAUAUAAUAUAACCACACCUAGUUGUACCGGGAAAACAAUCCAACCGGGGGAUUGUUUGACUAGUCACCAUGGCAGAGUCAAAGUAAACAAAUUCCUCAAUUCACCAUGUGACUAGGGAACGAGCUGUCCAACUGGGGGACCAACUCUCAGCCAGCAUGUACCGUCGAUAGCCUCAAAACCCGUACGUCUGUGACCAGUCCUACGCGUGCAGACUACCCAAUCAAGGGUUUACAGCAACAUCCCAUCAAGGAUGCCCUAGGUUCCCACAAUUCCAAGUAUCUCAAGUUUGCGUAUCCAAGUUCCAAAUCCGGGGAGGUACAUAGGGUAGUGCUUAUAGCACUCCAAAUUGACAUUCUAUACUCAUCACUUUCCACAAUCUCAUCUCAACAACCUAAGUACCCCACACAUAGCCAAACAUAUAUAGAAAUUCUCAAAAUCCAUAUAUACAUACUCAAGAUACUCAAAUAUGUCAAAAUCCAAAAUAUAUUUCCAAUGCAUCAUAAAAAUAUCACUUUUAACAAUUGAAUAAAUAAUAUAUAUCCAAUAUACCAAUUAAAACAUCAUGCAUAAUAUUUCCCAUCAUAAAAUCAUGCAUAAGAUUUGAAAACAAAGUCCACUCACAAGUAGUCCCACACUGCUUGACCUUGAGAGGGUCCCGCCUACUGCGUAUGCGUGGUUGGAGUACCUAUUUCAGAAUACGUAUACGAGAUUAAUAAGAAGCGUUUCGAACGAGAACUUUGAAUUAAAUAUCCUAAUUUCCCAGGUUUCUAGUAAGUGUACUAGGAACGAGACGUUCUAAGGUUCCACUACCCAAUUCGAACCAUGGAAGAGCUUCGGGAGACACUCGGUCAACCGGCGGUCAAAUUCCCAAAUCGGGUCAACUGGCCCACGGGACCCACGACCUCCGUUUUUAAAAUCCGUAAGUUCCUAAAGGUUUCACAAUGUCUAAGAUACUACUAUCACAAGUUUGGUCCGAAACGGACUGUUAGAUCGCUUACGAUCGCACGAUCAGACGGUUAUUGUAAAACGUAAACUUUAAGUUAUUGAAUCAGAACAUCCGGGGCUCCGAUUCACGAUCCGCGAAUUCCUACACGAUCCUAGGAAGGUCUAGAGUAACAUAUAUUGGAAUGGAGUCGAUCCAAAGGUCCGAACAUAUCGAACCUAGACCGGAUAACUCCUAAUAUGUGAGAUUCGUUCGGGGUUCGAACAUCAACCAAAUUGGAAUCCUAAGGUACCUACGUGCUCGUGACAUUAAGGGGAUCAAUUGGGACAAAAAUGCCCCUCUGCUACAGUGCCCACGUGCCACCACACGCGGCGGUAGAGAGUGGGUGUCCAAAGCGAUUUCUCUUCGCCGGAAAAUCUCCAAAUUACAAGCCACUCUCCUGGCUACAGGUUCUACUCAACGAGUGGAACACUUUAUUCAACUACAGCCAAGUCCAAUUCGGACGGCAAGUGGCCGGAAACUCACGGUUUAACCCGGAACUUCAUGGCUUGGAUUGGGCGACCAUCGUCACCAUUGUCGUGGCACAACCUAGGAAAUAGCUAAAAGGAGAGGAGGGCUACCUAUUCCAAGCGAUGGCGCAGCUCGCGGUAGCCGAAAAUGUAGCCGAUGACGUUGGCAGUUUUGGCCGGUUUUUCACGUCGUUGCCAUCGCCGUUUGUCGAGUUUUCGAUUGGAGAAAAGGGGUGGGGUGAGUAGAGGAGGAAGAGAGGAAGCUUUUGCAAGAAAUGACACUUGUCAGGGAGGGGGGGGUUGGGGGAAGAGAGAGAGAGAGAGAGAGAGAGAGAGAGAAAAAAAAAAAAUUUCAGAUUUUCAUCCAAACCCUUUUCGAAAUAUUUACAAGUUUGCCACUAAACUACUUUUGGUUGCCAAAUCUUCGUUAUAACUCCGAUUCAAGCCUACCACGUGUCUACGGAUUCGUCUCAAUACAACCUACCCAAAAAUACCAGUCACUGCCCCAAACUCUUUUUGGGUAAGAAAAUGACCAAAAUACCCCUACCCCAAGGGUAAAUUCAUAAUUUCACUUCAAUAAUUUAAUAAAGAAUUAAAUUUGGAGUCGGGGUGUUACAUUAACUACCUGUUUAGUAGGUGUGGGGUUUUAUACAAAAAGCAUCGAUGUUAUUGGGAGUGGAACCACUUAUUAUAAGUUGUGAUUUAUUUAGUCAAGUUUCCUAUGUGGGAUUUUCUAUUCUUCAACAAGCCCCCUCAUGUGGGACCACCACAUAGUGGGCCACAUGUAAAGCUAAGUCCACAUCGGAGUCAAUCAUUCAAGCCCAAUACCUAAACACCACGUAUUGUGUGAGGGGUAGGGGUAAACAUUCAAGCCCAACAUGUGAACCACCAAAUAUUAAGUAAGGGUAAAGGCUCAAUUCAGGCCCAAUCAAUGAACCCAUUAUGAUAUCAUGUUAAAUUUCAGAUAGACGGGACUGUGGCCCACCACUAGCAACAUUGAUAUUGUCCCCAACUUAACUACAUGUUUAGUAGGUGUGGAGUUCUAUACAUAAGGUCUCGAUGUUUUUAGGAGUGGAACCACUUAUUAUAAGUUAUAAUUUAUUUAGUCAAGUUUCCAGUCAACCUGACUUUGAUACCAUGUUAAGAUUUUAAAGGGACGAACUCUUGGCACUAUUAGUAACAUCGACAUUGUCCCCAACUUAACCACCUGUUUAGCAAGUGUGGGGUUUUAUCCUAAAGGCCUCGAUCUUAUUAAGAGUUGAGUCAUUUAUUAUAUGGAACUUUCUAUUUUGUUAACUCUGUGUAUUCUUCAUCAAUGUGAACACCCCUAAACCAAUCAUACCUGAUACGAAUUGAAACACAAGUUUGUUUUUUGCCUUUGGUAGAUGAGUAGCUAGAAAAGCUCAAUGCACUUGCUCUUCUGCUACAUUUCAAUAUAAGAACAAGGUUUGGAAGUCAGGUCAACUCCUCAUAGCUUCCUUGCCUUUGCUUUGACAUGUCUAUGCACUUCUUGGGGAAGUUUGAAUAAUCCAUUGCAGGCCCCAUGACAACUAAGGAACCAACAUUUUGUAGAAGGUUUUGUCUAUACCUUUUGACUAUAAGUAAAAUCUUUUGUAUCUGCUCUUAUGUUUCGGUGAAGUUUCUAUGUGUCCUUUGUGCCGAGUUUCUAUGCGUCCUUUGUUGAACCAAAAAAUGAGGUUGUUUCUUACUAGAUUCAAAUACUUAAAAGAAAAAAAGAAAUUGUUGUUUCUUAAUGGAUUUUAUGAUGAACAAUAUCAAACUCUCCUCUUAUACGUCUGUUGGUAAAUUUUAACAACAAUAUUAAAACCUUGCAAGUGCACAAAUCAAAUGAUAGUAUAGUAAGCAAGCAAGGGUCGAUCCCACGGAGAUUGUGAUCUAAAGAGAUGUUUAUCAAUGUCACGCAAUGAAAAUCAAAACAAAGGACUUCCAAACACACGCCAACACCAAGGGGGGUUUUGAUUUGUUUUUGUGAAUCAAACAAAAUAAGGAAAAGGAAACAAAAGAGAAUUUAAAUUAGAGUUUAAGAGAAAUUGGUUUAAAAUCAAUCAAGAUCAAUAGCUAGGACUUACUAUCCACCUCCAAACAAUCAAUCAAUCCAUAAACAACAAUAGAUAAUCAAUUUCUAGUAAGCACACUACUACAAAAAAGCAAAAAGACGACGGUAAAUCACCGUCGUGUAUUCGGUUUUUCAAUGGUCGUGGAAUCCACCGUCAUCUUUUCCCUCAUAAACCACGACGCUAAAUCACCGUCGUUGUUACAAUAUACAACGUCAUCAACAAAUACAAAACGACGUCUUUGUACUGCAAAAAGAUCUAAAAAAGCAAUCGAUGAUGAGAAAAGACGACCAACUCUCUAAACAAACCGUCGUUAAAAAGAAAAAAUAUGACACAUAUUAACAGAACAUGGCCGCAAGAUAGACAUACAACGACGAAAAUUAAAAUAAGACGCCGUUAAAUAUCAUUUUCACGACAAUAAAAAAUAUGUCGUCUUUAAAUACAUUAGAAGACGACGUUAUUGAUACCUACUACGUCGCCUAUAUAAAAAUAACCGUCGUAAAAUAAAUUUUCCACUUCGAUUUUUCUAUAAAAGAUGACGUGGAAAUAGUUGUCAGUGUCAUUAUUUACGACGUAUGUAUUUAUAGAGUAGACGUUGAACAACGAAACAACGUCGGUUACAAAUAUAUGAGAGUCGUAUUACAAAAUUUAUACGUCCUAUUUUCAGAAACAAACAACGACGAUAAAUAUUAGACGUUGUUAAAUAAAACAACGUCGAAAACAAAUAAAAACAGACGUGUUUAGUCUGCUAAAGUUCUAAAAAAUAGUCGAGGAUGAGAAUAGACGACCAACUCAAACAAAUCACCGUCGUUAAAAAGGAAAAAUAUGACACAUAUUAAAAGAACAAGGCCGCAAGAUAGACAUACAACGACGACAACUAAAACACUACGCCGUCAAAUAUAAUUUUCACGACAAGAAAAAAUAUGACGUCUUUAAAUACAUGAGAAGACGACGUUAUUGAAAUAUACUACGUUUCUUAUUUACAAACAACCGUCGUGAAAUAAAUUUUCCACUUCGAUUUUUCUAAAAAAGAUGAUGUGGAAAUAGUUGUCAGUGUCAUUAUUUACGACGUAUGUAUUUAUAUAGUUGACGUUGAAAUGCGAAACAACGUCGGUGGCAUUUAUAUAGUCGACGUUGUAUUUAUAUGUAUUCAUUACUCACGACGCACUUAUUAAUAUAGACGACGUUGAACUUCUAAACAACGUCGGUUCCAAAUAAAUGAGAGCCGUAUUACAGAAAAUAUAGAUGGCGUUGAUUAUGAUGAGAGCCGUAUUACAAAUAACGUCGUUUAAUUGAUAUUAGACGGCGGUUAUAAUGAAUUACCGUCGGAAUUCAUUUCGUUCCUCUUCGUUUAUAAAAGAACUUGCGACGUGGAAAAUGUAUGAUGACGUCGUAUUUUUUAACGUUCAGAUUAUAUAUCUCGUUUUUUAGACGUCGGUAUUAUGGGAUUGGAGUCGUGUUAUUUUGAAUUACAUGGCGGUUCUUAAUCCUUCCCCGACGUGAUAUCCUGAAUAAUUGCUUCAUAAUAGCGUCGUGGUUCUUCAUUGUUACGUUGCUUUAAGACGUCGGUAAAUAUGCUGAAUAACUGGUUCACAAUAACGUCGUGUUUUAUUUGAACGUAGAAAGUGAAGAAAUCACAUUACAAUAUAUUACAAAAUUAAUGUCAUACACUGCCAAUUACAUAAGCAUCAUUCAAUCCAUAUAUCUUCACACCCAUCUCGAAUAUUUUGACCGCCUAACUCACCCACCAGUUCAUCAAAUGUGUCAACAUUUGGCAUCCCUCUAGUAAAUGGCUCACACUCAAUUAUCACAUCACCUAAGACUUCAUCACCAAUAACAUUAUUAUAUUCUCUAUUAGGCAUUGAUAACACUACCGACCAACCACGAUGCAUCGGGUCGUCAACAAAAAAUAUUUGUUUGACUUGAGAAGCCAAAACAAAUUGGUCAUUCCUAUGUCCAAUUUUACUCAAAUCUACAAGGGUAAAUCCAAGUUCGUCGACUACAAGACCAGAACUAUCUAUCCAAUCACACCUAAAGACUGGGAUUGUAAACUUUUGGUAGUCAAGGUCCCAAAUUUCUUGAAUGACACCAUAGAAACCCAUAUUUGAGAGAAUUGAGUUUUUAUCCUUGGCACUAGCAACUUGCAUGGUAUGUGCAAGUAAAUAAACUCCACUAUUUUGAGUUGUCCGCACAUCAUCUUGUGCCUUGAUAUUGAAUUUAAUACCUUUAAUAAGAUAGCUCCUAUAUAAUGGCACAGCCAUGUUUGGACCAGCUGCUAGCCACCUUAAAUUUUCUGAUACGCCAUGAUUGUCUUCCUCAAGUUCACUUUGAACCUGCAAAUUAAUCAUAUAUCUUAAUGCAAUCUAACAUAGAAAUAAGAAGAAAAUUAAAAGAGAAAUAUGUUAUUCAACAACAUAUACCUUGAAGCGUAGCCAUUGAAUGAAAGUGUUAUUGUGCUUAUCCUGCAGCCACUUUGUGAUUUAAGGUAUGACAAUCAUGUGAUUUAAGGCCAAGAAGUCUUGAAUCUUGUAAAGAUACAAGAUUUUUAAUAUUUGAAGAAUAACCUUCAGGGACCUUCAUACCAUAGAAAGAAUUGCAAACCUCUCUCUUCUCUGCUCUUGACAAAUUCCAAGGCCCAGGAGGCAAACGAGUACGUCUUUCUCCAUACUCGGGUUGCAAAUCAGUUUUGACCCCCAUGUUCAAUAAAUCUAAUCGAGCAGCAAUCCCAUCUUUAUUUUUUCCAGGGAUCUCCAGCAAUGUACCAAUGAUACUAUCGCAAACAUUCUUCUCAAUGUGCAUAACAUCUAGGGCAUGCCUCACAGGAAGGUAUUUCCAAUACUCGAGAUCAAAGAAUAUUGAUUUCUUCUUCCAACAAACUCUGUCACCAUUUUCAACCAUGUGCAGCACUUCUUCUCCGGUUAAUGGCUCGGGAGGUAUGCCAUAUUCAGGUUUCCCAUUAAAAGCUGCACGUUGCCUCCUAUAUGGAUGAUUGAUUGGUAACCAUUUUCUAUGCCCAAUGUAACAAAUUUUGUGGCCAUUUUCAACCUGUGACUAGGUGUAUCAUCGCCGCAUAUUGGACAAGCUUUAUAUCCUUUAACAACACAACCAGAUAAGUUUCCAUAGGCGGGGAAAUCAUUAAUUGUCCACAUUAAUGCAGCUCUGAGUGUAAAGUAUUCUCCAUUAUGUGCAUCAUACACUCCUCUAAUCCCAUCCCACAAAGAUUUUAAAUCAUCAAUCAAAGGCUCCAAGUAGACGUCUAUAUCAUUUUCGGGUUGUUUAGGACCGGAAAUCAAUAAGGUUAACAUCAUGAACUUUCGUUUCAUGCACAGCCAUGGAGGGAGAUUAUAUGUAACUAAGAUAACCGGCCAACAACUAUAUCUGCUACUUAGAGAACUGUGGGGAUUGAAUCCAUCAGAUGAAAGAGCCAAUCUCAAGUUUCUCGGCUCAUUACCAAACUCAGGCCAUUUAUCAUCAAGAAGUUUCCAAGACGGGGAAUCCGCCGGAUGAGACAUCUGACCGUCAAUUGAUUUUCUAGCAGCAUGCCAAGUCAAACUCUUAGCUGUCUCAUGUGAUUGAAACAUCCUUUUAAACCUUGGAAUUGGAGGAAAAUACCACACCACCUUCGCUGGCACAUCCUCUUUCAAGAUUGAAUCUUUGCCUUCCUUCCACCUUGAGAUACCACAAGUAGGACAAUUAGUUGAAUCCUCAUACUCCUUCCUAUACAAGAUGCAAUCAUUGGGGCAUGCGUGCAUUUUCUCAUAACUCAGCCCCAAUGCACACAAAGUCUUUUUUGCCUCAUACAUAGAGGUUGGUAUUGUAUUUCCUUCUGGAAGCAAAUCGCCUUGAAGUAUCAAUAAUUCUGUAAAACAGACAUCACUCAUCCCAUGUUUUGCCUUCAAAUUAUACAACUUCACUAAUGCCGAUAACUUCGUGUACUUUCUACAACCAGGGUACACUGGUUGAUCUCCAUCCCCAAUCACAUUGGCAAACUCAUACGGAUCGGAACCAAAAUCACCAAAAUCAUUAUCAUCCAUAUCAAUUUCUUCAGACACAAAACUGUACCUACUAUGGCCAUCAUCUUCUUCAACAUUUCUACUAGCAUUAGUAGUUGCUUCCCAAGGUUCUCCGUGAAAUGUCCAAUUCUUAUAGCUUUGGUCAAUUCCAUUAAAGUAUAAGUGAUCCCUUAUAAUUCCAACCCCAAACAACUUCAAAUUAACACAUUUAACACAUGGACAACGGAUAUGUGUUGUAGUUAGAAGAUUUUCUACAGCAAAGUUCAAAAAUGCUUCCACCCCAAACUCAUAUGCCUUCGAUCUUCUAUCCGAGUGCAUCCAUGACUUAUUCAUCUCCGACACUAUAACCUAUUAUCUAUAAUAAAGUGAAAAUACAGGCAAUGACCAUCACUAUAGCAGAUUAUACAAAGAUCUAAUAGCAAGUAAUACAUAACAGAGACGACGGGUUUUAAACAAAAACAGACGUAUUUGGCAUAUAUAGACGACGGAUUUUCAACAGACGUCGUCUAAUAUAAGUAAUACAAACGACGGUUUAUGAAAAAACCGUCGUGUAUAAGUAAUACAACGACGGUUUUUUCAUAAACCGUCGUGUAAUCGUCGUCGUAUGCCUAAAAAGGCGUCGUGUCUCAGUUUAUUUUCAAGAACCCAAAACCCAUUAAGAACACAACAUAUAUAUGAAACCAAGCAAGAAACCAACAUAUACAUGAAGCCAAGCAUGAAAACAAUAAAUCCAUUCCCAAUUCAACAUAACAUAGGGUGAUUAAAAGAUCCGACAAAAUUAAAACCAUUCCCAAUUCAACAUAACAGAUAAUGUAAUCCAUGAACCCAUUAAACAGAAAAUCCAUGAACCUAUACCUAUAAGCACAUUAUUAACAGAUCGCAAAGCAUAUACCUAAAACCCUUUAACAAAACAACCUAAUAUCAUUCAAUGAAUUUACAAAGGGAAGAUAGGGUUUGUACUUACAGGUUGGACGAGCUCACAGAUUCGACGAAGCCUGGAGAGUGCAACUUUUAAUUAGAGCAGAAGUGAGAGAGCGAAUGUUAUGUUGCGCGAAAUCUGAAAAUUUUAGGGUUCAGGGUUAGAAGUAUAAGAAUAAGAGCCAAAUAUAAAAAAAUUUAGGGCGCGCGAAAAUUUUUAGAGCGCGCGCUCUUUAAAACGUCGAAAGAAAAACCAUGGCGAAAGUUCUACAAGAACCGACGUAAAUGUAAUAUUCCACGACGAAAACACUUAACGUAACGCCGUUUAUUUUGACGUUCAUUUUUCGGAUUAAUUUUAAAUUUAUUUUGAAUAUUUUGAUAUAAAGACGACUGAAAAACCACGUCGAAGUUAAGAAAUUGAAAACGUUGUAAAUUAUAAUAGACGACUUACAUAUUAAAAUGACGUCGUUUAAAGUGGAAACCAUGUCGGAUAUUUUACUGCACGACGUAACAUAUGUAUUCCACGACUCAACCACCGUCGUUAACAAUUAAUACCCUAAACCCUUAAAACUAAAUUAUAUAAUUUUAAAAAUUAAGUUUAUAAAAGGGUUUAUGGUUUUACAGCCUAAUAUAUACCCUAUACUACCCAAAAAUUAUACUUUAAAAAUAAACCCCAAUAAAUAACAACCCUAAUCUCUAAACCCUAGACUCUAAACCCUAAACCAUAAAACUAGAAGUGAUUUUAUGACUCAUCAAAACAAUUUUGUUUUGGAUGGUCAUUUUAAAUUUUUUUUAUUCAAAAUGAAUUUUUUCAAGGUUUAGGGGGAAGAAAAUAUAUCAAUGACUUCAUAGGAGUUGACUUUUCAUUUUUCUGAUUUAUUUUAAAUUUAUUUUGAAUAUUUUGAUAUAAAAAUAAUAAAAUAUUCUUAUCACAAUAACAAACCACGUCGGUGUUAAUAAAUUUUAGACGUUGUAAAUUGUAAUAGACGACUAAGUUGUUAAAAUGACGUCGUUUAAAUGAGAAACCAUGGCGGAUAUUUAACUAUCCGACAUAAAAUAUAUAUUCCACGACUUAACCGCUGUCGUUACAAAGUACUACCCUGAACCCUUAAGAAAUUGAAGACGUUGUAAACCAUAAACGACUCAAUUGUUCAAAGAACGUCGUCUAAAUAUCCUUUUACGUCGGAUUUGGUUAAAACGAAACAACAAAAAACGACGGCUUUUGACUUUAUUACGUCGUUGGAAAAGUAUUACACGUCGGUUACGCAAUUUGUAUGUUUGUUUUUUUUUUUAAUUUAAGAAAACCUCAACAAAUUUUUACAUUAUAUAUUAUAGACAAAAUUUGUACAUUAUACAUAAAUAUCAAGUGUUCAAUAAUUCCCCUAUUCCAGGUGAAGGCAAACAAACUCUGACCAUUCAUUCCGGACUUCAUCAAUUGCUUCUUGGGGGUAUGGCGCUUCCUGUUUUCCCUUGGCAUACUGCAUAAACAAUGACUAUUAGGGUUUAUAAAUAAAAAGAAAUUCAAUCACAGACGACGAUAUUUUUCAUAACCGACGUACUAUAUCUAUUCAACGACGGUAAUUUUACAUGACCGUCGUUGAUAAUACAAAAAACGACGUAAAAUGUAUGAAGGUAAUUUCUUCUUACCUUCUUCUCAAACCCCAAGGAAGGAUCCAUGAUGAUGUCCCUCAUGAAGCGCAUCACAUAAUACCCGCAUUCGACAUUGCUGGGUUGCUUUGGUGUCCCUGACAGAGUUUUCCAAAUGGCUGCCUUACGGCCUGGUCUGGCUAUGUGAGAAUUAUAAAUUUUUAUAGCACUGUUCACAAUGUUUUUGGCCUCUUCAUCGACCACACGAUUUCCUGGCAGAGGAUCCAGAAAAUAGACGGUUUCUCUCUUUGCUCUUACAAUCAGCAAGAUCCAAUGACGGCUGCACAAAAUUAAUAUAAAAACGACGGUUAUUUACAAUAACGACGUAUUAUAAUGUUUCACACGACGAAAUAAAGUAGCAAUCGACGACAUUUUACAUUUAUCACGACGAUAAAUAACUACCGACGUGGUUAGUAGUUUCAAACGACUCAAUAAAAUAAAACACCGACGUGGUUAGUUUAUACGCUGUAAUUUAUUGAAAAUCAUAAAAACAAAAUCCUGUUAAGGAGACUAACCCUGGAUUGUAAGGCAUCAGGAAAAUCUGUUCACCGUCAGUCUUUUGAAGUCGAGCUGCUAGUAAGCGUGAUCUGUCAGCUAUUGUGCCAGAGUUGGCACUAACUGUAGCAAGGUCGAUAAAGCCAACCAUAUUGCACAUAUUUGCUCGUUUCAAAACAUCGUGCAAGUGCCUAAAUAUAUAAAAUAAUAUAAACAAGUCAGCACAAAAAAACACACGACGGUUAUGUAUAACAAAACGACGUAUUAUAAAAUUUCACACGACGUACUGAAAUAGACAACGACGUUAUAAUAUAUUUAUCACGACGGUAAAUACUAACGACGUGGUUAGUUAGUUAAGACGACGUAAUAAAUAAACCAACGACGUAUUAUUUUAGAAUGACAAACCUCAUAUAUACAAAAAAACACGACGGUUAUGUAUAACAAAACGACGUAUUAUAAAAUUUCACACGACAUACUGAAAUAGACAACGACGUUAUGAUAUACUAACGACGUGGUUAGUUGGUUAAGACGACGCAAUAAAUACACCAACGACGUAUUAUUUUAGAAUGACAAACCUCAUAUAUACAGCAAUGACAGUGGCUCCUAUUUCUUCCAUGCCUGCAAAUUGUGUAAUAUCUUCAGGCAGGAGGAAGGUAUCGCGCUCUAGACCAAACACCUCCUUAUCAAUUGUAAAGUGCAGGGUCUUAUCCUGAGGCACGAGUGUCGUUUCCACAUAACGACAAAGGGAGUUUAAAGAAGAUGGCGCCUCCAUAUUUGAAUAAUCAACAACUUUAAUAACCUGUUUAAAGAAAUAUAAAAAAUGACGUGGUAAUUCAAUAAAAACGACGGUUUAAGGAAUAAAACGUCGUCUGAAAAGAAUUUAAACGUCGUCUGAAGAAACCGUCGUGGUGAAUAAUUUAUUACGUCUUAAAAAAAAUUCCGCCGUCUAAGUUGUAAACAAACGACGGUUUAAAGAAAAAUAUCGACGUCUGGAAUUUUGAAAAACAAAUAAAAAAGGCAAAGUUAUGUGAACAUACCUGGUCGUCAUCUUCUUUCUCCUUUUCAUCAUGUUUUUCUUCUGUCUUCCCUUCAUCUAUUACGUCGAGAAUGACUAACUCCGUCGUCUAAAAACCACAAAGUUUUAAAAUAACGACGUUUAAUGGCGUGUAAAACAAGUAAACUAAAUACGACGUGGUAUUGAAAUACAAACGACGGUUUAUGUUUAAAAUCGUGGUGGUAUGUAUUUCAAACGACGGUUUUAUUAAUAAUAACGACAUCUAAUGGUUUUUAAAAAAACAGAGAAUUCAAAGUUCAGAUAUGUUACCUUUUCUUCCUGAUGUUUCCCAUUUUUGGCAGUAUCAUCCUCAAAAUGCUGGGAUCUCACAUCACCUCCAGAGCAGCUUGCUUUGUCAGACAUUGGAUUUUUGGGACUUUGGCUAAUUCUGGGUUUAAGCAUGCUUGGAUCAAAAUUGGGAAUUAAUUGGGAAAGCUGACUCAGGAAAUGCUCCCUCUCAGCCUCUACCAAUUGUUUCGUUCUAGCCUCCAUCCUUAAAGCCUCUUCCCUUGCCUUAGCUUCCAUCUUUUUAGUCUCUUCUUGAAGGAGAACUCUUAAACUGUCCUUCAAACGGUCGUCAAAGCUCACUCUCUGUGGUUUGGGUAAAUUGAAAUAUUGCCUUGGUGAGAUCCCAGCACCUACUCCUCUCACUCUGCCUGGAUGCUCGGGGCCCAAAGCCAUGGUCAGCACAUCAUUGCUGCCAGAAACAGUGACUUUGCCUUCCGAGACUUGUUUUUGCAAUUCAUCCUAAAACAAAGAUAUAUAAAAAAGUAAGAACAAAAACACACGACGGUUAUUUAUAUACAAACGACGUAUUAUAUAAUUUCACACGACGCAAUAACAUAUAAAUCGACGUUAUUAUAAUUUAUCACGACGGUAGUUUUUAAACCGACGUGGUUAGUUUUUAAAACGACGAAAUGAAUAAACCACCGACGUCUUAUGCUUUAUUUACAGAUAACAGAGGGAUGAUUCAAUAUUCACACCUUUAACGACCUUGUUUAAAAUAUUUCGACGUAGUAAUUCAAUACAAACGACGCGAAAAUGAACCACCGACAUCUUAUGCUAUAAUUACAGAAAACAGAGUAGUGAUUCCUGAUUUAGACCUUUAACGAUGUGGUAAUAUCAUUCACACGACGCAAAAUAUAACAUAAGACGUAAUAAGAAUUAUUCACAGUUUAAUAAAAAUUUAAAACAGAGUGAGUAGGCUUACAAUUAAUUUUGCUUUCUCUGCCACCUUUGGAUCCGGGAUGUUACCAUGUUUGUCCUGUCUAGCUCUCUUCCAUAAGGUAGAUCGAUCAAUUUCUACCCCAGGCAUGGUUUCCUCCAAUUGAUCCUCCAAACCAGCAUAUCCUUUUCGAGACAAUCGAUGAUUGUACUCAAGUUUCUCCCUAAUCUGUGCAUGUUGAGAAUGCACAGACUCAAAAUCUUUGGAUAACCUUGAAGCUACAAAGGCAUCCCAUUGUGCUUUCUCUAUGAAUUUAUAUAUUUCAGGGGGUUGGCUUAAUCUCUCCCUGUCAUUAGUGUAUGGAAGGAUAUAUUGCCUCGUUAGUGUAGACUUGAAAUCCUUCCAUUUCUUGGCAGCAGAAGCUAACACAGAGCUCUUGCCCCCUUGACCUACCACAAAAGCAAUGUCAACUGCUUCCCAAAUCUGCUCCUUUAUAUCCUUGGAGAUUUGAGCCUAUUUCAUGUCCACAAGUGGAACUCUGGAGCGUGCCAACACACCAAUGUAGGACUGCAUCUCACUAUGUGCUUGGCCAAUUCCUUUCCCCCUUUUAUUGUACUCAACAAUUGGCCUCAGUUUCUGAAGUUUUCUCUUCACAACAUGAGGCAUUGUGCUCAUACCUCGACCAGACUUUGAAUCAUCAGAGAUUGUUGUCGUGCUGGUUCGUUCUGUCUCAGCAGAUGAUGAAGCAAACUUCAUCUUCUUCGAAGGCUUCACUUGAGGAGGUACCAUUCCAAGGUCCUUACCUCCAUUUUUCUUGGAGCCAGAAUCCUUACUUUGGUCUUAGUGAGAAACCAUUUUUACAGACAAAACUGCAAGUGAAAAUAUUUCAGGAAAAGAUUAAGAACACAAACGACAGUUAUUAAUAAAAUACGACGUAUGAUAUGAUUUUAAACGACGCAAUGAAAUAAUCUCAGACGUAAUAAAUGUUUAAAACCAAGGUAAUUAAACAACGACGAAAUAAUUAACUAUAAACGACGUGAUAAUUAACUAUAAACGACGAAAUAUUUAUAUAACGUCGUGGUAUUGAUGUUCACACGACGUCAGUCGUAAUAUACCGUCGUCUAUAUAAGGAUCCAAAACCCUUCUUUCUUUCUCUGUGAAUGUUUGAUUGCAGAUUUGAUUUUUCUGAACCAUGGUUUUUGUUUUCUAAUUUGAUAAAAUACAAGGCCAAGAAAGAAAGUUUUGGAAUCUUAUAUAGACGACGGUAUUUUAAUAUGACGUCGUGGUAUUAACAUUCACACGACGUAAAACAAUAAGAUACUGUCGUCUAUAUUAGAUACCAACCCUACUUUCUUUUUCUUUAUAUUUUAUCAAAUUAGGGAAAAACAAAAACCAUUGUUCAGAGAAAUCAAACCUGCAAUUAAACAAGCAAAUAAAAAAAAGACUAUAAUUUUAAAAACAACUUUGUCAAUUUUCAGACGACGCUAGAACGACUGACGAACCGUCGUGGUCUACAUAUUUAACCACGUACAUAAGAAGCUACCGUCGUCUUAUUUAGUUGAGGUAGUUGUCUUCAAAGUUGGAAACUUUCCCUCUUUGUCUGUAUAUUUUAUUGAACUUGGAAAGAAGUAAAAUGAUUUUGGCCAGAAAAAAGGUAAAAAGAUUUUUCAAACAAAAAACGUAUGAGCAUGCAAAACAACAACCAAAAUAGUGAAAAUGAAAGCUUACCUUUUGCGUGCAAUGAAAGCAAGAGGAAGAUUAUGUUUAAGUUCAGAGACGACGAAGAAGAAGAGAGGAAGACGAUGAGAUACUCUGACAGUGCUCUGACAAGGAAAAAAGUCUAAAAGUUUUCUCUGGGAGAUUGAACUUUUUAAUCGGGUUUGAAAACGGCGCAUGUGUAUGUCAGGUAGACGAAAAGUUGCUUACAUAUAAAACCAUUUCAAAAAAAUAAUACGGCGGUUACAUAUAACUACGACGUAUAAAUUACAAAAUACGACGGUACAUUUAACUUCGGACGUGGUAAAUAAAUACGACAGUAGUGUUGUAGGUACCGUCGUAGUAAACUCAAAAAUUAAAGUACAUAAGUAAUAACUCGCGUCAUGGUAGAUUAUUUAACACGUCGUUUUUAUUAAUUUACCGACGUGGAUUUCUGUAAUAUACGUCGAUAAUACCGACGUUGAUUUUACAAUUUAAACGGCGGUUUUUUUGUAAGGACCGCCGUUGGUUUUAAAAAUUUAUUCUAUAAAUUUGUCGCUUUCAUUCAUUUUCGGUUUACAUUUAAGGUUCCAAGUUCUUCCUCUCUCAGUCUCUCACGUCUCAAAGACAAUAAUUUGGAUGUCUUUCUCAAAGAGAAAUUGAGCUUACUCGCAUCAAAUAUAUGUCCACAAGAAGAAGCUUGUCAACUAGCCUUCUCACUUCCUUGAUCAAGCCUGAUAGGACACUUAGUGCUUCUGAAUACUCCUUGCUUUCCAUCAAAAGAGAUGCAAGCCUGGCCUCCACUCGCUGUCGAAGGAAAGUUCGCUUCUCAGGGAAAUCUUCUUGAUUUUCUUGGCUAAGAAGAUCCGUCAGAUUUGUGAUAGCCUCUUCCUUUAUCCGUAGAGCUUCAGAAGAAGAAGAUGGGUUUCAAGAAUGCGAUAAAGAAUAGAAAUGGCUUCAGAUGGCCUCUAAAGCAUGAGCAAUCGAAUCAGUAGUUGUUGGGAGAUAUGAUGAAGACAUUGUCAAUGCUUUGAACUAUACAAGUCCUGCAGAAAGAUAAAGGACCAAACUGUUAAAGAAACUGAAACAAUGGCGGUUUUCUGUUCUACCGUCGUCUUUUCUCGUCGUCUAUAUUAAGGUAAGAUGGCGGUAGAUUUAUAAUUACCGACGUAGAUUAUUUUGUUAAACGUCGUUAAGUGUACUACAACCGACGUGGAUUUUAUUUUUAAAUUAUAAAUAGAGUUUUUUUUCCCCUAUUCUUUCAGUUUUAGUUUUCAAUUACAAAGCGUGAUAAAUAGAUUUUUCUUUCCCGAGGAAAUUUAAAAUGAGGGAAAUUAAUGUUCUAGAAUUUGUAAACUAACACGACGCAAUAUUUGCAAAUCUGUGUCAUCUGUUAAGAUUAUGAUGUGGAACAGAGUUCCAUCUGGUAAGAUUUCGUAACCCUUGGGAUCUCAGACAAAUCUGAUUAUGUCGGCGGUUUUCUAUAUAAAUCGUCGUGGUUAUUUCAAUUCUUGUCAUUAAGUAGAUCUACCGACGUAGGAUAAGAAAAUCAAAGAAAAAAAUUGUUAACAAAAAUUCUUAUUAAGACGACGGUUAAAAUUAAAGGUACGACGUAUAAAAUGAAUAAAUACGACGUUAAAUUUUAUUGUACGAUUUAAAGAUAACGUCGUAGAACUAUAAGAGAAUGACGUCGAUAUAUUUAUAUUUUCCGUCGUUGUACAUUAAUUUAAUACGGCGAUAUUUUGUAUUUUAAAGCCGUGGAUUUGUUUGUAAUUAUACGGCGUCUUAUACGAAAACCUCGUCGUGUUAUUUUAUGAGUAAAAACGGCAGUUUUUAUUGAAAUCGUCGUCUUUACUUUCUACGUCGGUCGAUUCAUAACUUCUGCCGUUCUUUGUUGGCAUUGAUUUUACACUGCGAAAAUCUGUUUCAAAUAGACGUCGGUUGUUUAAUUAUGUACGUUGUUGUUUUUGAACAGCCAUUUGAAUCUCCAUUUUUUAGUUGUCUAAGGUUGUAUUACACGACGGUGUUUUUAGAACCGUCGUCUUUUUAAAAACCACGACGGUUUUCACUUAGACCGUCGUUGUUUUCUGGUCGUCUUUUUCACUUUUUGUAGUAGUGGCAUAUGAUGACGACACUCACAACAAGAUCAUGGCAUUUGACUCGAGUUGUAUGAUUCUCUCUUAAGUGUAUGUAAAGUGUAUGACAUUUACAUCAAUACGUGUAUUCUUAAUUGAAAUCUACUAUGGCAUUUACUCAAAUUAACAAUCAAGAAUCCAUUAAGAUCAAAGAGAAUAUGAGUGUCACAAAAACCCUAAAACAUGGCAUUUGUUAUUAGGAAUUCAAGAAUCGAUUUCUCAUAACUAGUUCUUAACCCAAUUAUUCGUUGCAAAUAAGAACACAUUCAAUAUGGCAAUUGACCUAUGUUCUACAACAAUUUAAUUCCAAUACAUGCUUCUAAGUUAGCUACUCAAAGAAACAAAAUAUCAGAAUUCACAUAACAUAUAGAAACCGAAAACAUCACGCUUGUAGAAACUAAAAAUCCAUUAACCUUGUUUAUAAAAUUGAAAUCAUGUUUAGGGCUUCAAGAUUAAGCCCUAACUAACAAGAAAUUAGUUACUCAUGGUCUUGGAUGAACUCAAAAAUAAAUACAUAAGAACUGAAAAUUAAAGAAGGAAGGAAAAGAAAGAACUCGUUCGCAGCUUUCUCCUCUUGCGCUGUUGAUCUCUUUAGGACGUGAAUCCUUUUUAUCAGCCUUGCCUCGUCUUUUAUAUCACUUAUAUCAGAGUUCUAAACCCUAAAAUUGACUGAAAAGUCGUCCAAGAAGUCUUGGUAAACAAGGAAUCCAAAUAGGAAAGUAAAAAUCACAAUUCCUAACUCCACUGGGAAAUACAGCUCAGCCCAAUGUUCACACGAUUUUGGGAUCUUCGACCUUGUAGAAAAAUCAUUAAAAAUAUAUUUUAGAAAGAUAAAUGUCUUAUCUUUCCAACCAUAUAUAGCACGUAACUUGAAAAAUUCGGAAAGGCUUCCGUUUCUUCACAUUCACGUAGCAUGUACGAAACUGUCCUGUCUGCACGUGGGCUAACUUUACUUGUAAUACUGUACCAAUUGGCUCGGUAGAAAAUUCUAGAAAAAUCAUAGAUUGAACUUCAAGAUGUUAGCUUUCAUCUCCAAUCAGGGGCGGCCUUGGGGAGGUGCAAGUGGCGCCACCGCACAGGGCCCCCGAAAAAAAAAAUAUUUAUAUUAUAUAUAUAUAUUAAUAUUAUAUGAAUCGUAUAUAUAAUAUAGCGUCUGGAUAUUUGCACAACAGCGUGUUCAGGGGAGUUGGAUGGAGCACAUCUCUCUUUGGCAAAAGGGCCCGAGUUCGAUGCUCCUUGAUGUCGUUCUACUGGCUAGCCUUUUGUGAUAUUAUUUUUGCAUUCAAACUUUACAUAAUUAUUGAACCAUUGGAUUAAUAUGCAACGAUGGGUGACCACAAUCUCUUGGACUCCUGUGGUCCAUGAGAUCGGGACUGAUAUUACAUGACUUAUUUUAUUAAAUUAUUAUCAUGUUGAUGAUUGGUUGUAUGAGAAUAUAGUUUGUAGAAAUAUUUAUCUAUUUCUUGUUGGGGUUUUCUUCCAGGUUAUAGGGUUUUGGAAUUUUUCUUUGUAAUCUAAACAUGCCACCUACUAGAAAAUACGUUUAUGGAUAUACAAAACGGCUUAGAAAAAGAAAAUUCGAGGAAUUGACUCAAUCUCAAAGAGGAGCUCUUGAUAGAUUCAUUGUUAGAGAAUCACAUGCUACAAUUGAUGAAAAUAUUUAAAUUUUUAUGAAUUUAAUUUCUGAUUUUCAUUGCAUAUUUAUUGAUGGUGAAUUUUAGUUAUAAAAAAAAAUUGUUUAUGACAUUAAGUUAUGGCAAAUUUUUAUAGUAUUUUCGUAUUAGAUUAUGCAAGGCCCCAAUUUAAGUUUCGCACAGGGCCCUCAAAAUCUCAGGGACGGCCCUGUCUCCAAUUGGUCUUGUGCUAAAAUUCCUCCGAAAAGUUGAUUUUCCCUUAAAAACCUUCUAAGAGUGCAGAAAAGCUGAAAAUCAGAAAAAUAAAGUAAUAAGCCAUUUUUAAAUCUAAUUCUCUUACAAAACCAAAGUAAAAAGAGUACAUAAAUGAGUAUAUUUAUGGACUUAUCAACGUCUUCUUCGUUGGACUUGGGGUUGUUUUCCUUAUAUGUCCCCUAUAUAUAUAUAUGGCCUUUAGUUGAGCCCACAAAUACCUUCAGUUAGUUUUUGGGUUUAGGGGCCUACAGAACCUGCACUAAACAAUAAAAGAAAAUACCUAAUUAGUUUAGUACGAAUUUAUAAUGAAGGCUUUAUUAGGUGAAGUUUUAUUUCUUAAUCGUUAGAUCAAAUUGGUUAGCAUCUGAAGUCGCCCAAAGAUUUGAGAGGGAUUCCACAAACAUAUAAUAUAAAGAAAGAAAGCAAUAGUAGGAGAUGAACCAGUACAAAAAACAAUAUAUAAAUAGUACAUAAUAAUUCCAUAACCUUGUCACAAACGCACUCACAAAUGCUUUCCAUAAACCUUGCCCUAACAUAUAACAAAUAAAGGCAACAUUGCAUAUGAUGCAACCAUGUCCAAAUCUGAUACGUGAUAAAAAAAAAAGGACAUGGCAGCAACAUAUGACUGAAGUAGAUGGGCUCUUUGCAUCUCGUGUUAUCGUAAUUAAAGACAUCAAAAUAUUAAGGUUGAAAUCUUCUAUAGUAGCAAGCAUUAAAAUAGGUUUGAAGCAGAGUUUAAAGAAAAUUCCAAUUCCACUGAUUUGCCUCUGCUCAAAGACGAGAACCAAAAUGGUUACUUCCCUUGCUGAGUAUAUUUGUUAACGUCGGAAACGGUAAUAGAUGACCAAUCAAACCCAAGUACGACGAGUUUUGCAUAGGAUCAGAAGUAGUUGAAUCCAGCUUGCAUCACACGCUUCUUUGACUCCAUUGCAUUAGAUGAGUUUUUGUAUUUUUGAACAGCUACACUCCGAAGUCGUUUGUGUCUACGCUUCAUGCGCUGCAACUUCGCCCUAUCCAGAUUGGCCUGCCUUUUGUCAUCUUCAAUUUGGCCUUCAACAAAUUCCAAACGUGCCCUUGCCCUUUGGAUUUCAUCACCAAGUUGAAGAUGCCUCUCCUUCCAAAAAGCAAGAACUCUUUCAGACUCAAAACUUCCAACAAAAUGGUCAUUCUAUCUAGGAAUGUGACAUUGCUUGUCUGGUGACUCACCUGCGUUUCAAAGGCGGUCUUUGUUUGGAGGGGUGUUUAUUAUGCUCACAUCAAACUUGGUUAGUAAAUCCAUUCUAUGGGGGGAGUGAGUUUCUGUGGAGGAGAGAGUUUCAGUAGAUGGAGACAGAUUCGGUGGAGGAGUGAGAUUUUUGUGGAGGGAGAAUUUCUAUGAAAUGGGUGAUAGUAAUACCAAUAAAAGGGUUCCCGCCAAAAAGUAUUUGGUUGACAAUGUAUAAAUUAAUUUUUGGUCUGAUACAAUCUAAGUUUAAUCCUAACUAGUUUGGUUAGUUUGGUUGAAUUCACUAACUAGAUGUCACUUCCAUUGAGUUUCUUUCAACCACUAUCAGUGGUGUAAGGAGAGUGUGAGGUUGACAUGCUUGAAAAGCAAAACCUAACACCUCUUUUUUUUAAAAUUGAAAGAAAGUACAUAUGUUGACUACACACAAGCUUUGGUAUGUUGGUCUAUAAAGCUAUGUUCCCUUUCUCAAACGAAAUUGCAUAUGCAAUCCUCGUCCUCCCAAAACAAAUAGAAUUAUUCAAGCAUGUCAACCUCUUCAGGCGCCAACAACACAAUCAAAGAUGACAAAUUGGAGUCGCAGGUUCUAUUUCCACAUUGUACUCGCCGACCCCUUCCAUUUUCAACAUCAUUUGGGAGUGAGGGGGACUCCGAUGAUCCAUUAGAGCUAAUACAUGCAGUCAAUAGCAAGCUGGAUUAUAAUUCCAGACUGAUCAAUUCAUGGCGCGAGAAAUAUGUUGAAGACGAAGCCAUUUUGGCUGAUCUUAACAUUAGAGUGAACAAAGCGUUCUCCCAAAAGAACAAGUACUUGAAGCUGAGUCAUAAAAGGAAGCUGAAAGCUGAGGAGUUAGAUACAGUAAUGAAUGAUGAAAUUAAAGGUUGUUUGAUGAAUCAUAUGCGAUGCGAAGAGCACCACAGUGAACUGGAGUUGGCAUUCAACGAAGGAUUCGAAAAAUUACGAGCAUUUGCAGCAACUACUCAUACAAGUUAUAAUUGGGACUAUGUGUCCCCUGAUGUUGUGAGAGAGAUACUAGACGAUGGUGGUGACAUGAAUGAGCAUAAGCACGUCAAAGCUGCUUGGAAGAAGCCGACCGAUACGACUAAGUGAUUGCGGCUACAGUUGUUCAGUUGGUUGAGAGUGAUCGUGGUAUUGCACAAAUUAGAAGUAUAUUCCCAUAAUGUCAUUAUCUAAUUUAAAAUAACACAAAUAUCAGUUUCAUUUGCUUCAUAUUGUAACACCCCGACCCCAAAUUUCCCCAAAAUUUACCCUCAUUUAAUUAAUUAAUUAUUUAAGGGUAUUUUAGUCAUAUUUUUAACCGGAGAGAGUUUGGGACCAUGACUUGUAUUUUUGGAUAGGUCGUACUGAGACGAGUUCAUAGACACGUAGUGGGCUCGAAUCAGAGUUGUAACGAGAGAGAUAUGGUCAAAAGAAACCCAGUGGCACAAUCGUAAAUAUUUCAAAAUGGGAUUUUUAUAAAAAUCUGGUUUUUCUCUCUCUCUCUCUCUCUCUCUCUCUCUCUCCCGCGACUUCUCUCUCUCUCCCGUCGGCUCUCUCUCUUUCUCUCCUUGUAUCUCCGGCCACCGACCACGGCUGUGGGCGGGGCCGGUACCAAACUGACCGGGACGACGUCCCCUUCCUUCCCCGACCAUUCCCCGCCGGCAACGCGGCCGUUGCUGGCCGGAAAAUGCAGAAAACCGCCGGGAGGUCGUCGAAACUUCAACGCCGUCGAUCUCCCUCCUCCGGCCACCAUUUUCGUCGACCCAGGUAUGGAUCUUGAACCUCUCGAGCUGUUCUAGCUGUUUGUUGGUUGGGUUUUGAUCGAUUCGAUCUCUAGAUCACUCGAUUUUCGAAUUGAAAAUUGGCCGAAACUUCGGCCGCCGUGAUCGGCCAUUUUCGGCCACUUUUUGUGGUAGGUCCAAGAACAAAAGUGGCUCCAAAUAGGGUGUUAUACCUAGGGUAGAAGUUUGGAGCCGAGAUGUUGAGAUUUUCCGGCGAAGCGUUAUCGCUUUGGGCACCCACGCGUGCGGCGGCGCGUGGGCACUGUAGAAAAAGUAGAUGUGUUCCGAUGAGAUCCUUAGGUUGUCACGAGUGCGUAGGAUUUGGCGGAUCUCAAUUCGGACGUCGUUUGACUAUCGAACGGAUAAUCGCAUAUUAUGCGUUAUCCGGGUUCGAUAGGUUGAGACCGUCGGAUGGUCCCAAAUUUAAUAUAUGUUGAUCUAGGUAUUUCUAGGAUCGUGUAGGAUUUCACGGAUCGUGAAUCGGAGCCCCGGAUGUUCCGAAUAAUAAUUUAAAGUUUAUAUUUUAUAUUAACCAUCAGAUUAUGCGAUCGUGAGAAAUCCGACCGUCUGAUCUGAACCAAACUGGCAGGAAAAGUGUCCUGUACCUGGUAGAACCCAUAGGGACCUUCGGAUCGGAAAUUGGAGGUCGUGGGUUCCGCAAGUCUGUUUGACCAGGGUUAGAGUAGUUUGACCCUUGGUUGACCGUGAGUCUCCCGGAGUAAUCUCACCCUUCCAGGGGGAAUUAUCGGGAGCUAGACUAUUGUGGAGGGUUACACAAUAUUAGAAUUAUUUAUAUAAUUAUAUAUGGUUGUACAAGGGUACAACAAAGUCUAGAAUGUCAGUUUGGAGUGCUAUACGCACUACUUUAGGUACCUCCUCGGAUUUUGGAUUCGCUACAAGCACCACCAAGUGAAAGUUAGGUCCCGCGUGGCGUAGGUUAUCCGGCGUUGGGACAGACCCCAUACGUGGCGUUGGUUGUACCGGCGUAUGGGGAGAUUUGCAAUAUGAUGUUCAGGUCUCACGUGGCGUAGGUUAUCCGGCGUUGAGACAGGCCCCGUACGUGGCGUUGGUUGUACCAGCGUACGGGGAGAUUAUGUGAUAUGAUGUUGAGGUCCCGCGUGGCGUAGGUUAUCCGGCGUUGGGACAGGCCCCAUACGUGGCGUUGGUUGUACCGGCGUAUGGGGAGUUAUAUGAUAUGAUAGUAUGGCAUGGUCGCACAUGGCGUAGGUUAUCCGGCGUGUUGACAGGCCCCAUACGUGGCGUUGGUUGUAUCGGCGUAUGGGGAGAAUAUGUGAAAUGCAGAGAAAGGAAAUAAGGUAUCACCGAUGUGUGGAAUUGGGUUUUAGGGAAGAACUACGUGUGGCUUGAUCCCUCAAGGAGGGUACGUAGGCAGCCUAAGGUUAUUGGGUGCAGCCGCAGACUAAAUAUUAGUCAUAUUUGGUAUUUGAAUUGUAUGGUAGUUGUUUGAGAAUUAUUGGAAGGCCAAAGGCCAUUUAUGAGAAUUUGCAUGAAAUUAUAUUGUGCAUGCUGCUAGUUGUGGAUAUUAAAUGUGUUUUUAUGCAGGUUGAAAUUUUGGGAAAUGUCCAAUUUAUAGGGGAGACUCUGCUGAAAUUUCGGCAGGAAGUCUCGGUUUUUAGUAAGUGGGCCUGGCAUCGGGGUGAUGUCAGGAAUUCCAAAGGGUUCGUCUCGGGUUUUGAGAAAAUUCGGGGCGGGUCCUUAAACAUAUAUAAUUAUUGGGACUAUGUAUUGCAAGUCAUCAUGUGUUCCUUCUGUCUAACAUUAUAUUUUGCAAAUAUCAAAAUAUUAUUCAAUAAGCAGUCAAUAUCACAGCAAGUUGGGAAUUAGUAAAGCCCCAUUAUCAUGUCCGUUCACAUUAAAGAGCUGGCGUACUUUUUCUCAAAAAACUGACACGUGAGUCAUAAGUAACAUAACAUGUGCUAUACAUUGUUUAGUGAAUGGUUUAUGGUUUAUUUAUAUAUAAUAAAAUUCCAAAUAUUGCUGAAUAUUUGUUUUUUCUAUAUCCCUGGGAACAUGAGUGACCAUAAGCAUGUAAGACCUGUUAAGAAGAAGCUGACUAAUACGACCGAGUGAUUGUGGCUACCGUUGUUUAGUUGGUUGGGGAGAUCGUGGUAUUGCUAAGAGGGAGCACAUAAUGUGCUUUGCAAUCAAAUUUUCUUUUGUGUGUGGAAUUAUGAGUAGUUCAAAUGUUAGUGUACCCUUUAAUAUUCUUCAACCGUUUGAAAUGUGAUUAGCUGCAAUGUACUUUUUUACACGCUGCUUUCUAAUCACUCUGUUCCAACAAAGUGCUUUAAGUAUCCUUCAGUUACAAAUGUUUACAAAAUCGUGCAUCUAAUAACCAGUCGAGCUCAGAUCUUAAUAACAAGUAAAACACUAGAACAUAACAUUCGGAAAAAGUGGGUGCUGCUGGAAAUCAUUACUGGUAAUGGAAGCAAGAGCUGGCUGCUGGAAAUGCUGCAUUAGCCUGUGAUAUAAUCAAUGAAUCUCUGUUAAAACAUAAUUCACCAUAAACUACCCAUUUUACAUGGUAAAAGUCAUUGCUUCUUCACAUAACUCAAAAUUUGAUACUUUAUCAAAUGUCUAUGAAAAUUUCUAAAUAGGGGAAAGACGUAAAAUUAACAUGUGUCCAAAUUUCAUGCAAGAAUGAAACCAAGCAAAUUUUUAUUUCAAUUAUCAGUGGACAUAGUAAGAACUCAUCGGUGGACAUGAACAAAAAAAUAAUAAUAUUAAAAACUGAAUCUAGAAAACUUCACCUGAUCAUUAGUCUUCAUAACAACCGAAUUUCGUCUAAUAGAAACAUAAAUCAUUCAGUUGGUCCGUGCAUCGUGUCAAAUUCAUAGAAUAAUGGGUCACUACGAUCUAUUGGAGUUGAUUCGUCAUUGUUCGACGGUGAUGUCCUGCAUAGACAUCAAACACAAGCACAGAAAAAAUUUACCUAUUCAAAUUUUAGGUGUUAUUAUAAAUAGUGUUAGCAUCUUACGGUGUGUUCAAAUUUCUUGCGCAUUGUCUUCUAUCAUGACCAAUGUGUCCACACUCCAGACAGUGUCUAAUCCCUCGCUUCAUUGCCUUUUCUUUUGCUCCCGUUACUCGUUUCGACCUUCUUUUGCACCUCACUCUCUUAGGGUCUUUCAUAUAUUGUGUUUGAGAGCUGGACCCUCCAACUUCGUUAUUACUUGGUCCAUCCUUCAACAACUUCAACUUCACCUGCAAACUUUUUAGAGUCUCUGACAGUAGCUCACAUCCUUCUUCACUCAUUAAUGCACCCUCAACCACAUCUUAAGCAAGUCGAGACAUUGUACUCCGCCUUAUUAAAAGACCAGGAUCUGCAGAGUCUUUAAUUUCGUUGCCAUUUGCAUCUGACACCAAUUCAGAUUUUGCAGUUUUCUUCCACCUCUUUAAAAUAUAUUUAUCGGGCAUAUAUUCAAUCUGGUCCCUUCUGAACAAUGCUAGGAUGUGCUUGCAAAUAAUUCCAACAAAUUCAAAUCUUUUGCACCCACACGAUGCGUGGUCAGAAUCUUUAACAUAUACGACGUCUGCCACUCUUGUUUCCCAAUUUUUCCUUUUGCUCACGCGAAAGACAACUUUAGAAGCACCCUCUGUUUUGAGCUCUAGGAAACAUGUUGUACUUUGUAUUAGUUCUUGGUCAAACUUUUGAAACAUUGUCCUUGUGUACAAGGUAGCCAUUUGUUUGUUCAUUGGCAUCGGUAGAAUACAUUGAGCCACUUCAAAUGCAUCUACGUGAUCAGCAACUAACUCUUUUUGACGUUGAUGAGAAAGUGCCCUCUCAAAUCGUAUUAUGAAAUCCAUCAACGAAUUUCUCCUUGAUAUGUAUUGCUUGAAAAAACCAUGAGAACCUUCCACUCUUUGGCUGCUUGACAUUCCAGCGGCAAAAAAUUGUUGUGCGUAGGCUGGAACCCAAGAUUCUCUUAAAUCAAACAUUGAACUUAGCCAUGGAUGGUCAGUCAAACCAGCCUUUGUAACCACAAUAUUCCAUUUUGUAACAAACUUAUCCUUAUUGUCAGUAUCCCAUACGGCUUUCUGAAAUUCACGCCAAUACUCCUUAUAAGCAGAAUGUGGUAACUUAACAGAGAACUUUGAUGUGAUGUGCAAUAUGCAAAGUCGAUGAAAUGUAGUCGGGAAGGGUAUUGAAAUCGCUCUGGUCAUUGCCGCAUCUUGAUCUGUAAUGAUCGUUUUAGGUCCGCCACUUGGCAUGGCUUUCUUAAACUCCUCAAACAUCCAAAUAAACGACUCAGUCGUUUCCUUGCUCAAAAAUGCGCAUGCUUAGACAAUUGUCUGACCAUGGUUAUUAACUCCCAACAUUGGUGCAAAUGUCAAGUCGUAUCGAUUCGUGUUGAAUGUGGUAUCGAAUACAACAACAUCUCCAUAAAACCCGUACGCCCAUCUAGAAGUUGCAUCUGCCCAAAAACAUUGACUAAACCUGUCAUGGCCAUCUCUCUCAAUCUUGAAAUAAAAAGCCUCAUUUUUUUUUUCUGUUCAGCCAUAAAAUACUCGGUCACUAGUUCAACAUCGUGGUUCCUCAACUUCCCAUUCACACUACAUUCAAAAUUGUAGAUAUCUUUUUUGAUAAAACCGAUUUUAUCCAUUCCUCCGGAUUGCACCUCGAAAAUACUUACCUUCUGAUGAAUGAGAAUAUUAACCGAACCCAACUGUUUUGUGAGUACUUUUGUAGAAUCUGAACUAUGACGGUGUGAUCUCAAUAAAUGCAUUCUUUCUGAGGGUGUCAUCUUAUGAUUGUGUCCCUCUGCAAAAAGAGAGAUGGUAUACUUCUUGCUCCCAUUUGUCUUCACAACCACAAUCUUAGCUUUGCAAUUGCAUCUACUUAUUCCCCGCUGUCUUUUUCUCUCCCGAGUUUCAUCUCUCCUGUAUUCACCUUGUUUGCAACAUACAAAUUCUUUCCUCAAAAUCUCUUUCUUAUUUCCCCCCCAAAAGCUGGAAUGAAGUCGAAUACCAAAGCCAGCCAAGAAUGCAUAUCUAUUAUAGAAAUUGUAAACGAGGUCAAGCAAGUCGAACUUCAUCCCAACUGCUGGUGUUUCCUCAUUUCUUACUUCAAGAAUGUAAACCCUCCCAUUAGCUGUUACACAGUCAUCACUCUCUGAGCCCCCAGACAUUUUAUCCACGUAUAUUAUUGAUCCACUUCUAUAUUAUUGCAUAGCAAAUAUUAAUUCAUUAAUAAAUCAUUACUGCAUCACAACAUAUCAAUGCAUUCCACUUACACAAAACAUUGCCCAAAUUGACACAAAACACGCAUAGCCUAACUUGUUGGAUUCCGAUUACACAAAACGCAAGCAAAAUUUAAUAAUAGUUACGUCAUCUCUUGUGAAAUAAUCUAGAAAAAAUAACAUUAGAACCAACAUGUUCAACUAAGAACACAAAUGCAAUUCAAACCAGCAAUCACAUAACUUCACCCAAUAUCCUCUCCAAAUGCUUACUCCUAAUGUCAUUAAGCCUAAGUUUAGGAUCUUUUACCUACAUUUCAUAAUUUUUCACCCCCACCAAAAAUAAUCAACUAAGUAUACUGAAUAUUCAUAAGGAAAUGACGCAUUAUUGAUGCCACAAAUGACGAAUUUCCUACCCUCACAAAAAACAAAUCAAACCCAAUUAAAUCAAUCCAGCAAGAGUGAACUUACCUCUCAAAAUCAAUCGGGAGCUCCGAAGUCAGUAAGCUUGAGAGAAUGUGGUGGACAUUAGAGAAGACUCUUUGGUAUUGGAGACUCCAUCUCUACCAAAAUCGAGGAACGAACUGCUGCUACGGCGUCUAGCUACAGAAAAAGAUAUGCUACUUUACUUUCAUCUGGAAUCUUGUUUGCUGAACGAAAAAGAGAAAGGGUUUUCACUUGAGCCAUAGAAUCAAAACAAGGCAACAUCUAGGUAAGAGCCAUUAAUCGUCAUAUCGAGGAUACCAUAGAUCGCAGGCCUCCCAAGGAGCUGAUGACAAUGGAGCGACUAUAGGGUUUGGGAGCUUUGGAUCCUUCUAAUUGUGGGUUUGCGUUACAUUCAAAAAAAGAGGAGUGUGUUGUUGAGUUUUUCACAUAGAGGGAAAGAGGGAAAGAUCUUCAACUGAAGUUGGGUUUCCAACGGGUCAAAUUUCAACCCGGUUCUACAUGCACCCUCUUUUAAAAACUCACCGUUGGAUUUCAUCCAACGGCUCGUACAUACCCCUCAAAAACACCCCUUAUAACUUUCCACUCACUAUAGAAGCUCUCCCCAGGAAAUGCUUCGAGGUAGAUUUUAUGUUUUGGGCCUUGGGACCCAACUUCACAAAAAGAAAACAAAUUUGACCAAAAAACAAAGUUGAAGGACAUUGAUAUUGUACCUGUAGGAUAGGUUAAAACACUAAAAGGAAGGUAAAUAGUACGUUUACAGAGUUUAAGUGUAAUAAAGGAAUAAAAACAUGCCCAGAGAAUUGAUAAGUGAUAUCAAUUCUUGAAUAUAUAGAACGUAAAAUAAAGGAAUACGUAGAAAAUUAUUUUAUGUGGUAAAACUCAAUCUAUGGGGCCACGGGACUUCUUAGUCCAAAAAAAAUCCAUUGAACGAUGAUUACAAGAAGUACUCACACACUUAUCCUAGACACAUUCUAGAUAAUUUUUACUAACAUCUUUGUAACUCAACUUCUGUCAUAGGAUGAUUUUUUGACACUCCUUAUGUUGAACGCAAUACUGGUCACGAUUUCUUCAAGCUCGCAGGAACUCUCCUUAUAUUGAAUAUGAUACUAGUCACGAUAGAUUCAAGCUCAUCGGAGAAAAACAGCCACAACGGUCUUGGUGCCCUCAAUGGUAUGAGUCACUGAACAUGCAAAUAAAUACAAUAUGAAUGAUAAAAGUGUUUGAUAAAUCACCAAGUUAUGGAACACUUGAUGAUUUAUCUCAAAUAAAAACUCAGCUUUCCAAAGUUUAUGAAUUGAAAAUAUGAUCGUUAAAGCUCUCUAAACAAAGAAGACGAAGAUCUUAUUUUAUAGAAUUUUUCUUUAUAAGAAAGAAAACACAUUGAAAACCAAAUCUCCAAGGCUUGACAGAAAAUCACAAAAGUAUCUUUCCUAUUCUAGAGAUUGGUCACAUGUAGUCCAACCAAUAGGACAUGAGAUAUUUAAGAAAUGAAGAUUUUGAUCAAUAUCAAUAUCAAAUGAAUUCUUAUACGCCUAGUCAACUAUUAAGGGUAUCUUGACUCCUUGAUAUUGUGAUAUGAUUGAAACAUGAUUUCCACGUUAGAAAAUUAAGGGGAUGUUAAAACAUGAAAGUAAUAGGAGAAUCAAAUUGAUUUCGGCCAAAAUUGCCUAAAAAGAAAACACUCCUAAAUAAACUCAAUUCACUUUUAAAAACAGUAAAACGUGAUUGAAUUGUUCUUUAAAACAAUUCCCUAAUAUACAUGCAUGAUAAUGACAUCACUUACCUCUGAAUCAAAUGCCUUUCAUAGGUCAAGCCACAAGUCUGUGUUUUGGGGAUUGCUGAGCUGCAUCAAUCCUGCCAAUGUCAAUGCUGCCCCUAUGCUCUCUCAAAGCACGUUUACAACCUAUGCUAACAUAUACCCUAAACCCUAGUAUCAAGAAAAUGCCAACACUAAUUUCGUAACACGUAGAAAUUGUUAGAGAUUGGAAGUUUUUUUUCUUCAAGUCUCUCCACCACUCACUAAUACAGAUUGCUCAUGUGAUGAGUUUACAAAACCUAUUUCUCUACUCUCACAAAGACUAUACUUCUUCUCAAAAGACUAUAUCACUUUACCUCUAUCUCUGUGAAAUGUAAAAAGUUGAAACUUUAAUGUCAAACCUCGACAAAAGAUGAACUUCCAUAAGUUACGUUGAAUUUGGAUUUGUUGAACUUAAGUGGUUUUACUUUUCUGUCAGUGUUUGAUGACUUAAUUUGGUAUUUACUUCUUCUUUUUUUCCUUGGAAAUGUGUUCCACCAACGUGAGGAAGAAAAAUAUGCACAAAUUAAUAUAUUUAAUAGAAGCCCAAGAUUUCGGAAGCACAUAAUUUCUACAAAAUUCUACAAAGUGUUCUACUUUACAAACUUCAUAUGUCUACCAAUUUUUACUAAAAUUAAUUUAUCUGCAGUGCUCAAAUUCAUCAUAUGUGUGUCCUUAAUUUUAGUGAAAAUUGGAAGUUUCCAUUAUUUUUGUUUUACGGGAAUUUUUUGAACCAAGGAAAAUCAAGUAAAAUUAAUAAAGCAUAAAUUGGAAAGGGAAAAUAUCUAGAGGAUGCAUUGUAGGAUUGCUCAUGCCAAUAAUUGUACCCUCUAAAUAUAUAGGGACAUAUUUUUUUUGCUCAUACCACUUGUUGCAGUACACAUUCACCCGUUUUCAAAGAAAGAAAUUCUACCAAUCGAUAAUGUCUCAAAUUUAAUCACAUAUUUUAUGGACCAUCCAGCUAUGAGGUUUUAUCUCAAAAACCUUCGGUACAUUUCUCCCACAUGCCACAAUUGUAUAUUCACAAUUACGUCUGAUACAUCACAUCAUGCCACUUGCCUCAAAUGAAUUUAAGUGAGUGAGGCAGUUGGAAGUAAUUAAGCUCUAUAUUGGUGGGUGGAGUGUUAGUUCUGGGUACCCCUCAUCAUUCGUCUAUAAAAUGGUGAAGCCAGUUGCUACUGUUACCAUAAGAGCCAGCUCCGACUUUCUUUAAUUUCUUGCUUCAUAUCCACUAGCUACAUCUGUUGCUCUUCUCAGUGUAAGCUCUGCAAUUUGAUUAACUUUCCCAUUAUCUCUCACUGUACUCUAUAUAAAGGAAUAAGUGUCGUCCAUUAAUUCUCUCCGAAAGUGUCGUCCUGAUUUUAAUUAGAGUUCGAAUUAAUGUUGCAGCUAGCAGCGGUUGCACUGGCAAACCAUGCUGCUCAACCGGUACCUCAACUUUACUGGAACUCCGUCCUGCCAAACACACAGAUGCCAAGAUCUAUCAGUGAACUUCUGCAUCCUGGUUUGUGUUUGAGCACUUUAGAAUCUUAGAUAUCUCUUCUACCUGCCAUUUUACUAAAAUAUGUUCAACCACAUAUUUAUCAGUUAACUACUGUCAUUACAUGAGUGACACAUAUUCACAAAUCGGCUGAUCACUUAUUUUCCAUUAUGACGUUGAUAUAUAAUGUUGGGAAUGGAAAGCCAAUUGACCACAAGGGAAAACCUGAAAAUACUGUACUACCACAGCUAGCACGAAGCCCAUUUUCUUACAAGAGUGAUGUGGGGACCAAAUCUCAUGUAUCAUAGCUUAACCCAUAUGCCACAACUAAAAGACGUGGGAUGAUCGAACAGCAUACCCACAUGGUCAUGGAUCUCUUCAGAUAAUCAAUAUUAAACAACCCAUAAACUUCUCCCUUUGAAGAACAAAUUAAAACCAAUUUCUAGAGGAAGGUUACAAAACAUUUUAGCCCGUGAAGAACAAAUCAAGACAAUAUAACCCAUUUGAUAACAAAAUCAAAAUGAGAUUUACCAAUACUAGAUGACCACGGCGCCAGUAUAAUGGUACGACGGCGGCGUUAUUGUAACGGUGGAGAAGUGGAUGGUAUGACGACGGUGUUAGUGUGACGGUGGAGGAAACGAUAUUAUGAAGGAGGCGUUGCUAUGUUCGGUGGAGGAGUCGUGUGUUUCACAGUUCAAUAUAUCCUUUUUAGUCAUUUUAUAUUAGGGUAAAUCAGUAAUUCAAUAAAUAAUUUGAUAGUAUGGUGUACUCAGUUAAUAUUAGGGUUCAUUUAACAGCACUCAAAUUAACUAGUGUAGAGUCUAUCUAUAUUAUUAAUACUAAAAAUAAAUAUAUGACUAAAUAACUCAAAAAAAAAAUAAAUCUACAAUCUUUUUUUUAAAAAAUUUUUUUUAUAGAAUUUUAUUAGAUUAAUAGGCACUACUAAAAAAUCUCCUUAUAAACUACAAAUACACGCAUAACUUAUACUAAUGUGAGCUACUGACACCACCUGCCACAUGACAGUUGUCCAAGCAUAGUGUUGUCAUUCAUUAUUCCCCACAGCAACUAACAUCCAAUAAAGGGUUGGGGCCCACCCAUACUCCACCUCUCUGUAUGUAGCUCUUUGAGAAUACAGAAGAAAUAUUUUUUAGGGAAAUAGCUUAAAAUGAUACCCAUUUCAUAAUUUUAAUUAAAAAUACCACCCCUUUCCAAUUUUUGUACAACUAUCACCUAUAAAUAUAAAAUUAUUGUCCACUUAUUGCUGAUUUUUCACAAGUUCAGAAAUUUUGGAAAGAAGAAGCUCACACAGCUCUCUCUCUCUCUCUCUCUCUCUCUCUCUCUCUCUAGCACAACUCUCUUUCUUUGGUAUCUGUCUAUCACAGCUCUCUGUGUCUCUCUUGGCUCUCUCUAUCUUGGCUCUCUCUCUCUCUAGCACAACUCUCUGUCUCUCUCUUUGCUCUCUUUCUCAUAGCGCAGCUGUUUCUCUCUCUAGCUUCGUUAUGUCUCUUUCUCCCCUAUUCGAUCUCUUGCUUUCUGUUUGGAAUCGCGAACCCCUCCCUUUAGCUAUGUCUUCUGAAUAGCUGCUUGCAACCUUGAAGCUCUAGUGGAUUGCCGACCUCGAAAAGGUAGUGUUGAUGGUUAUUUUCUUAAUAUCAGUGGGAUUAUGUGAAAUGGGUUAUAGUUUGAUUGUUUGGGUUUGUGUUAAAUUCGUUUUGGCUUUAAUUUCUUUGGGUUAGGUUUUGUUGAAUAUUCAUACUCAUUCAUCUGGGUUUGUACCAAUUGCAUUUAGAUUGGUCUGGAUAUGUGAAUCUUGAAACUUGGGAUUUUCUAUUUGAUGUAGUAGAUCUGUAUAGUGUGAUUCUGUUGUGUUCCUCUUAUUUUACAGUCGUAUUGCUGUUAUAUUGUCAUUAUAUUGCUUAUAUAUUGCUGUUAUAUUGUGGUUAUAUUGCUAUUGUAUUGUUUGGUUAUUGUGGUUAUAUUGUGUUAAUGAAAUGUUGUUUUGUCAUGGUCAGAAAUGGAGACAAUUGUUAUUCUCGUGUGCUACAAUGGAAAAUGGGUCACCUCGAAGAAGAUGUGCAAAUACGAAGGGGGUGACUCAAAAGGCUUAAUAGUUCCACGGACCAUCAAAUUUGUUGAACUGUUGGACCGUGUGCAUUAGAUUGGUAAUACAAACAGCAGGGAAGACAAGGUUUGCUUAAAAUUCUCAGUUUUGGUGGCCUCGAAUGAGUGGAAGCACAUAAAUAUUGAGGACGAUGAUGAUAUCAAUUUUUUUAUGAAGUACAAUUCCGAGGUAACACCUUCAAAACUAGCUCCCUUACUCGUGAGUAUAGAAGAUAAAGGAUUGACAAAUGAUGUAGUUCAUAGUAUGCAUAUCACGACAGAUAGUAGUCGGAUGGGUCAUUCUUCAGUUGCCAUUGUUGAAAGCAAUGAAGUAACUUGGAAUAAUACGAAUGUCACUGAUGUGGGAGGUGAAGUAGGGACAGAUUUUGUGGAUAUGAUUGAUUUUAGCGAGGUGUAGGAGAUGCAUGGUGGUGAUAAUAGUACUGAAAGAAAUGAAGUGUCAGUGUACUCUGCCCCUCCUAAUUUGGGCUGCUUCAACAUAGCUGCCCAGUUGCCAAUAAUGCGUUUAGGAGGAGAAUCUGAACCCACUCGUCAACAUUAUUGGAGUCAAAUAGGUGAACAAAAUCGGUACAAUGCAGCCGGUGUAAAUGAUGAAGAAGCAUAUUUGGACAGCGGGUUUUCACGAAGUGAUUGGAAUCCGAAAAUUACAGUUGGGCAAAUUUUCUCUAGUAAGAAAGCAUUGUUGACGGAGUUACGGUUGACGGCAUUAAGAGGCCACUUUGAAUUUAAGGUGCAAUUCUCUUGCACUAAAAGGUUGCUUGUGGUUUGUUGUCAACGUCCAUGCCCAUGGCGGGUCCGAGCAUCGAGAAUUGGAGAAUACAGCUUCAUGAUUGUGAGGUGUACAACUGUCCAUGAAUGUGAUUUGAGGUUCGUAAGUGACAAGCAUCGUCAAGCAACCGCAGCACUUGUAGCCACUUCACUUAAAAGGAAGUGACAUUAUGAGAGAUGUGAAACACAACUUUGGUUGCACCAUCCAUUAUUCGAAAGCUUGGAAAGCAAAGGAGUUAGCUCUAUUGUCCAUUAGAGGAUCAGCGGAGGAGGCAUAUUAUAUCCUUCCAGCUUAUUGCUAUGAAUUGGAGCGUAUGAAUCCCGGCACAAAAACACACAUCCAAACUGAUGAGAACAAUCACUUUGUGUAUUUAUUUAUGGCGGUUGGCGCAUGUAUUAGAGGGUUCCGUUCUUCCAUGCGCCCAGUGAUAGCCGUGGAUGCCACUCAUUUAAAAUCCAAGUACAAGGGUGUUAUGUUUGUAGCAAAUGCAUUCGAUGGUAAUUGAAAUAUAUAUCCUCUUGCUUUUGGGAUCGGGGAUUUGGAGACGGAUGCAUCAUGGCAUUGGUUUUUCACUAAACUUCAUGAAGCCAUUGGUGAGUGUCCCAAUCUUGUUAUUAUUUCUGAUCGCAAUGUUAGCAUAGAGAAUGUGUGGAACAAAAUUUUUCCAACUGCACAACGUGGCAUAUGCUUUUAUCAUAUGAAGGGGAACAUGAAACGCACUUGCUAGUUGAAAAAGCGUGAUCACAUACUUAUGCACUUUGAGCAGGCUGCGAAAUCUUAUUCCAUUGCUGAAUUUGAUUGUCAUUUUUGCAAGAUCAAGCGAAAGGAACAUGUUGCUCAAUAUCUUGAAGAGACAGGGUUACAUAAGUGGUCUAGAGCUCACAUGGAUGGACGCCGCUACAAUGUAAUGACAACAAAUAUUGCAGAGUCAAUCAACUCAGUCCUUAGGUUUGCAAGGAUGCUGCCAGUGGUUCAUUUGAUAGGGGAAAUUGUUAAUCUCCUUGUGAAAUGGUUCACCGAACGUUGUGAGUUGGUUUUGAAUUGCACAACAACAUUGUGCCCCAAUUUUGGAGAGAAGAAGUUGAGGAACAGGUUGGAGGAUGCUGCAAGGAUGAAUGUGGUUAAAGUAAAUAAUGCACAGUUUAAUGUUUUGGACGGUGAUAUGGACGGCCUCGUAGAUUUGGCGAACAGCAGUUGUAGUUGUAGAAAGUUUCAGCUUGAGCAGCUACCUUGCAAGCAUGUAGUUGCAGUUUGCCGCUUCUUGAAAGUAAAUGUAUACGCAAAGGCUUCUCGGUAUUACACUCAGAAAACCUGGAUGAUGCUUAUUCGGAUAGCAUCUACCCGGCACAACCUCACGGAAUGUGGGAUAUUCCUGAAGAUGUUCGAAGUCGAGUUGUGCUGCCUCCCAUGGCAAGGGUCAUGCCAGGCAGACGAAAGAAGAUCAGAAUUCCCUCGCAAGGAGAGGGCACCAUUAGAAGAAAGUGCUCAAGGUGCGGUUCCGCAGGCCACAAUAAAAGCACAUGUAAAAACAAUAUUCCAUUGCGCAAUGUAUCUUAGACAAUAUGAUUUGUGUUGCUUUGGUAGGUCAUGUAAACUCUACUUUUAUUUGUGGUGGGUUUCGUGUUAUGUUGAAUGGGAAUUCUUUUAAAUUUGCAUAAUUUGGGUUGCAUUGCUACAGCAUGCUGUAUUGCUGACAGAUUGCUAUUAUAUUGGACUUUUAUUGUACUGGUAUUGCUUCCAGAUUGCUAUUAUAAUUUGAGUGCGAAAUUAAAGGGACUGGAAUGUAAUUCCAAAUGGAUCCAAAUCAUUAAAGUUCUUAGAAUUCCUAUAUUACACAGUUACUGUGAUACUCCGACUAUACCUUCUUUUAUGAUUACAAAUUCGGCCAAUGCAUAGGCCAGAUGUGGGGCAAAUACAAGGUGAAAUGUCCUAUGUGUUUGACUACAUAUACUUGUUGAAGGAGCAUUACGAAUGCUAACCUCAAUAGAUUGCUCAUGUCUUGCCAAGAACACUCUUGAAUUUAUGCAAUGUGCCCAAGCCAGUCCCAAAGCUGGACUCACCCGUCUGCCUGAUGUGUCCAGGGACUCCAAGUUUCCCAACCUCACCUCAUUCACUUUAUCAUGUGGCCCAAUAAAAUCCACCACUUGGUUGGUGACAACCACCGCCAACCCAAACUUAUUUGCUAAACCCUUCAAUGUCCCAGAUAUGUUGAAAAAUAUUUCAAACCGCCAUUUCAAAUCUGCUGGUGUUGUCUGAUACUGUGAUCGGAACAAUGCAGCAAUGGAAUCAAUGACAAUGAGUUUCACAGGUAGGUGGGUGUGAUCAAUGGCAAUAAAUGCUUCUAUGUCUCCAAGGACAUGGAUGAGUUGUUGAGCAUCAUGAACACCAUGAACAUAUAUGUCUUCCAAUGGCUCCAACCUUAUUAAGUUGGGGUAUGAUGCAUGAUAAAGGUUGCCUAGUUGUUGCAAUCGACGAAAUGGGAAGCUGAAUUCUGUGAAUAUGUAGACGGUGGAGCCCUCUAGUCCGCCAUGUGAGGGUGGGAGCUGAGCUGGUACCGUAAGUUGGAGACAAAGUUGCGUCUUCCCAGAACCACUCUCCCCUACCAAUUCUGUUAUAGAGUUGCAGGGUAUCCCACCCCCCAAGCAGUCAUCUAGUAUUGGGCAUCCAAUGGAUAAUUGAGGGGUUGAAAGAGGAAGGAGCAUGAGGUUUUAGGGUGUCAUAUUUGUGUAAUUUAGGGGGGGAUGUGAUGGUGCUACAAGGCAUGCAUUAUAUAUAUAUAUAUAUGUAGAGUUCAUUUUGAAGGUCUGUAUUGUAGGCCAUAUGUCUUUUAAGGGAUGUAUAAUCCAUCCUUUUUUCAGGUUGUAAUUAAUUUUUUGUUUAUUUAUUAGUAUUUUUUUGGACCAAAUAAUUUAAAAAACAUUAUGAUGCAGUACGUACUGUAAUAGGAUCAUAUUGUAACUCUAUCAUCACUCUAUUGUACUCUUAUUGACAUAAUAUUGCCGUUAUAUGCAUGUUUAUUAUAUAGUUAUUACUGCUAUAUCGCCACUGAACUGGACACCGAUAAACUGUAUACGCACAAAUACAAAAAGAGGCUUCAUCAUUCCAUAAAAUCCUAUUUCCAAACUUACAUAAUACAACAACAGGCCACCCCAUCGUUACAUAAUACAAAAAUACGCCACCUCAUAGUUCCAUUUCCCUACUGUUGACAAAUUCGAAGUUGCAUACUCUUCAAGUGCGGUGACCGCGACGCAUGAAAUUCAUGACCCCGGCCACAGUGAUGUUGGCCUAGUUUCCUGCCGGAUCCACUAUUUUUGCAAACUUACGAAAUAGUUCGAAUCCGCUUUCCACUUCUUCUUGCUUCAACUUGGCCGUUGCUUCUGAUUCCUUGAAUACCAUAAUUGCAGUGGUAGGGGCAAUUUCAAUUUUUGCUUUCAUUGUCUUUAUAUGUAGGAGAUGCAUGCGCGCAUGAUAACGAGAGCGAAUUGUGCGGUUUUUUAUGACACCCCAUCUAGUUUGGCCCUCCACAAUUUUGAAACUAUGUCUGCAUGAAGAUUUUUCCAAAACAUGGUAUUGCCUCGACAUUGCUGCAUGCCAUGGACCAAGUCUGCAGGGAGUGAAUUGGGUGACUUGGCUUGUGUUUCAGUCUUCUCUCCUUCAGUAAUUGAAAGUGUUGGGUGUGGUGUGAGGUUAUGGUCCAUGGUCUUCGAUAUUUAUUGUAGCCUAGUGUACAACUUAAUUGGAAAAAAAGGGGACUAAAUGCGAUGGGAGUGAAAUCAGUGGGGAAGGUAGUGGCUGUAAGCAGGAGUUAAUGUGAUGGAAGUUUUCAUUUCAAACAACUGGGUUGAUUAAUAUAGGCAAGUUUUAAUGACCUGGAGUAACUCAGAGAGUUAUUGGUGGGAGGGAUUAGAGGGAGUAAUUGGCGGGAGGGAUUGGCGGGAGUCUUAGGCGGGAUAGUAUUGGGCGGGAGUUAUUACCCAGUUGACUGUAUGCCUUUUUGUAAUAUAUUUGUAUGUUGGACGUUCCAAACUUGGUAAUUUUCCCAUUAUGUAAUUCAAAUAAGGGAUUUGCCUAUUUGCCUAAUUGACCAACUCAUUCAAAUUGACCAAUAUGGUUAUUGUCUUAUUUCUCAUUUCAGCAAUCUCAAUUCGUUUCCAUUUUUCCAUUCUUCAUAUUUUCCUAUUUUCCAUGUGUCAUCCAAUUUUCCAAUUUUCCAAUUUUUCAUUAUUUUUGCCUAUUUUUUCCUAUUCCCUAUUUUCCUAUUGUGCAAUUUCCCAAGUUUCCUUUUGUUGUAUUUCUAGUUUUCCAAUUUUUCAAUGUUCCCAUUUUCCCAUUAUGUAAUUUAAAAAAAGUUGCCUGCUUUGCCUAAUUCAGAAAGUAAUUAAAAUGGUCCAAUAUGGUAAUUGUCUUAUUUUCCAUUUCCACAAUUUCAAUUCGUUUCCAAUUUUCUUAUUUUCCAUGUGUCCCUAUUUCCUAUUUCCAUUUUUCAAAUUUUAAGUUUUUGUCCAAUUAUCCAAUUAUCUUUUUUCCAAUUGGACUAUUUUCUAAGUUUCCUUUUUUUCCUAUUUCCAAUUUUCCAAUUUUUCAAUUUGCUAACUUUCCUUUUGUUCUAUUUCCAAUUUUGCUAUUUUCCAAGUUGCCUUAUUUCCUAUUUUUCAAUUAUCCAGUUAUCCAAUAUUCCAAUUUUCCAAUUAUCCAAUUUUCAAUUUUCCAAUUUGCGAAUUUGCCUAUUUUCCAAGUGUCCUUUUUUCCUAUUUCCUAUUUCAAAUUUUCCAAUUUUCAUGUUUUCAGAGUUUCCUUUUUUUUUCCUAUUUUCCAAGUUUCCUUUUGUCCAAUUUCAAAUUUUCCAAUUUUCCAAGUUGCUUUAUUUUCCAAUUACCCAAAUUUCCUAUUUUCCAAGUGUCCUUUUUUCCUUUUUCCAAUUUUCCAAUUUUCCAAGUGUCAUGUAAUCCUAUUGCCUAGUUUCCUCUUUCCAAUUUUUCCUUUUUUCCUAUUUCCAAUUUUCAAUUUUCCAAAUUUCCCAAAUUUCCAACUUUCCAUUUUUUCGUAUUUCCGAUUUGCCAAUUUUCCUUUUGUUCUAUUUCCAAUUUUCCAAGUUUCCUUAUUUCCCAUUCUCCAAGUUUUCACUUUUCCUAUUUUUCAAUUUCGCUAUUUUCCAAUUUUCUGUUCUGAAAUUCGCAAUAAAUGCUUAGUUACACAGUCCUAUUUUGGGUUGAAAUCCACAAUUUUCAAUUUCCCAUUAAGGUUUGCUUUUUUGUCGUUUGGAAGCCAAUUUUAUUGUUGUUAAUGUAAUGUUGUACUGUUGUAAAUUACAGCCAAUGAGUUAAUGAUGUAGUUUGCAAUCCCAUCAAUUGAAUGCACCAACUAAAUACCCAAUAUACUUCAUAUAAGUUCGUACAUAUAACUCAACCUUCCUAUACAGAACUGCAACAGAGGCACCUUCUUAACGGGAAAGGUAAUUAGUCUUACUAAAACGCAAAUAUUCUCCACUACAGCUAACCAAUUGUCGUUUACAACUGGAGACUGAAUCUACCUUUAUUUGUUUUGUUGCAGGCAACAGCUGUGAAUUGUCCCCGGCAAUACUUAAAGAUGUCGGAUGUACGCCCUCCAAAUGAGCAUGUCACAGUUACCCGGGGGACCAGCCGUGGCAUGUGCCAUUCCCAUCUCCACCUCGGACUCCCAAUCAUGAUCCCACUUCAUCUGGAAGUGAGGCUGAGAGCAAUGAUCCGCUUGACAAAAUCUCUGCCGUCAAGCACCACCUCCAAUAUAUGUCAAAGGCAACGGAUUGGUGGGAGAGUAAGUGCGAUAUUCAUGGCCAAGUUAUGGGAAACUUGGCCAACAAGUUGAACAAAGCAUACGCUGGAGAGGUGAAGCAAACUCUAAAAGCAAAAAGUCGGAGCAAAGAGUUAGAGUCCUUGAAGUUGAAAUUGGAAGAGAGAAAGAAAAAUGCUGUCGAAAAAUUCACACAAUCUGAAGAAUAUAACCAUGAAAUGGUUGAAUGUUUCAACAACGGCUUUGAAAUGUUCCGAGAUUAUGCUUCGGUCAUCUCACCAGACUACAAUUGGAGUGAAAUUGAUGUAGCUGGUGUUUGGCAGGUGCUGAAUAUGGGUGCUGAGGGAAUGGCUCAUCAUAGCCUCGUGCAUGCAGCAAGGAGAAAGGACAAAGACUUGGAUCUUUUGAUGGACCUGUAGUAACAGUGAGUGCUGCUUCAGUUCAACUCACCUGAGUACAUGGAUCUUUUGUUGCCUUCAUUUUCCCUUCGCAGGCUAGUAUUGUUAAGGUUCGGUGGCGAUUUCUUUUGCAUGUGUAAAAUGUUGUCUGUAAUGUGUAUGUAUUGUAUGUAGAUUGACUUAAUAUUGUAGUUCUAUUGUAUGUAUAUUGCCUUAAUAUUGCCUUUGUAUAGCAUAGAUAGUGUAUGCAUAUUGCCACCGUAUUGGAUGUAUAUUGUAAAACUAUUGGUAUCGUAUUGCCCUUAUAUUGCUCUAAUAUUGCCUCUAUAGUGCACCUAUAUUGACCUAAUAUUGCUCUUAUAUCGUAUGUCAAUGGCAUGUGCUCUAAUAAGUCUCCAGUUCGUUGAAAGUAAUCCUGAAUUCAAAUAUGAUGGACAAGACAAUUGUUAUCCAUCCUUAUAUUACCAUGAAUUGAUUUGGACCUUUCAAAUGAUAGUUGGAGUUGCACAUGGAUUCAUAUUCAAAAGGAAAGUAAUUCUCUCCCUCAAUGAAUUGUCGUUCAAAAGAAGGCAGCUAUCAAAUUUUGGGUACAAAAAGGCAACAUCCACGGUAAAUUAAUUGGGCACAAACCACAUAUUACAAAACCAGGAUGAUUUUUGGCAUGCUUCAAAAGAGAAGGGCCAAAUACAACAGAAAAGAAAAUCCAUUCAAGCUUGUACAAUAGAAUGCACAAUAACCCUUUUACAUGUCCUUCCAACACCAGUGUUUUGCCUACUUUAGAGUCGCAGGAGGAGAGCUUAUUGCCAUUGUGCAAUUCGAGGGGGCAGUCAAUUUGGAAUGGUGGCAUAAACAUGUUUACUCCACGGAUCACCUAUAUGGGACAGAGCUUCCUUCUUCCCUUGUCGUCUGUAGGUUUCAACUUCACACUUUUUAUAUACAUGUAUGAGAACUUGUGGCUAUUUAUUUAUGGCCUUCUAACACUUGUUCUGCCAUUCCAAAGUGGGUUGGAGACUUUUUGAGUUGAAUGACUGGAAAGACUUCAGAUGACAGAAACUAGAGAGUUUGAAGAAAAAGGGUUACCAAGAACAGCAGUCAUGCCCACGACAUAAACUAAACAUGCUAUAAGCUCCACAGUAAUAUUUACUUCAUCUCCAUAAUCAGAAUAUUGGGAAAAAAAUACCACGGAGAAAUACGUGAAAUGAAAAACAACUCGGCAGUUACUGUGAGAUUGUGUACAUAAAACUUGGAACAACCAAACCAAUUAAAGCUAAGCCAUCUCAUACGUAUACCUACAUCAAAUAACAGUGUAUGGUCAUCUUGUUUAGAAUAUUGCAAUCAACACUUGGUUGAGACCGACCUGCAAAAACAACUGGGUUAAGUACAGAUGAAGCCAUUUAUGAAGGGCAGUUCCAGAAUUAAGACCUACGUUAAUUUGUAACUGCCACCGAAUCAGUUCAUAGUGCCAAAUGCAUCUACCAAGCACACAGAUAUGACCAGCCAAAAGAAAAAAAAGCAAAGUAAAAAAGAUAAAAGAGGCAUGCCAUAAAUGGGAACCUCAGCAGAAAUCAUCAGAUAUGCAUACAAGCAGAUUGAGUAACAUCUCACUAAGUAGAGGUCAUGUUGGUAAUCGCAUGUUGUGUUUGCACACAGACAUUUGGUUUUUGCAAACACAACAUGCAAUUGCAUUCCAUGAUGUGUGUGUUGUGUUUGCACACAGACAUUUGGUUUUUGCAAACACAACAUGCAAUUGCAUGAUGUGUGUGUUGUGUUUGCACACAGACAUAUGGUUUUUGCAAACACAACAUGCAAUUGCAUAUUGUGUGUGUUGUGUUUGCACACAGACAUAUGGUUUUUGCAAACACAACAUGCAAUUGCAUAUUGUGUGUGUUGUGUUUGCACACAGACAUUUGGUUUUUACACACACGAUAUGUAACAUUUAGUUUUACCCUUUUAUUCUUAUUUUCUUCGUUCAAACAUGGUGGUGAGAAAAGCACCAAACCAUCCCAUCAUAUAAAGCAAAACUCAUACAAUAUUUUAGAUGCAAAAGUUAUAUAUUUUAUAUAAAUGCAUCAUCCGCAUGGCUUGAAAUUACAAAUUCACGUUCACAUAUUACUUUUCACAAGCGCACAGACUAACAAUAAUAAUAAUCAACCAAGUAGUUGCGACAUUCAUCCUAUUACGUCCAUAUUGAUAAUGUCAGAAGUUUCAUCGAUAAGCCUCAUCAAACUACAAGUUUUUUAAUUUGAAUUAUGAAUUCAGAACUAAAAGCUCAUGAUAUGCAGAAAAUGACAUACAUUGUCCACAAUCGACUUUUCGAUAUAUUUCUGCUCUAGCAAUUUAUCGUCCAAAUUCUGGACUCUCUGUGUCAGGUGCUUCUUUGUGUUCUAUCCAGCAUAAGAAUAUUUAAUAGUGUGAUUUCAAUUGUUUAUACAAAUUCUAUAAGUAAUAUUGAUGAGUGCUGUAAAUCUAUUUGAUAUUGGGAACAAACAUGGUCCCACUAACAGAAACUCAAACAAAACAGGAAUUUUUUUUUAUUUUUUUUGGCAUAGACAGCCGAAAAGAAACUUACAGCAAUAGCCUCUGUCACGCUCUCCAGACGUUUAUGCAAUUUUGAAACAGCAGCAUUCAUACUACGCUUUGUCACAUACAGAAGAUCUGAGAAUUUUAGACCCUAACCAUUUGUGAAGAGCAAAUAUUAGAUUUGCUUAAAGAAGACAACAACUCACAGAACCAAUGGAUGAAAUAAUAUGAACAUAAAUAUAUCAUUUGGAUACCUUCCACCACAUGUAACCAUAACCCAAUGCCCCCAAGGUAGCUGUUGGCAUUAUUAGUGAUGUCAAACCUAUUAAAAAAAUCAAAAAAAAAAAUAUAACCAAGUAUAAAAUGUUUCUAUUGCAUUAUGAAAUACAUACGUGUAAGGAAUUAAUCGUUUUACAACUUAACCAAAAAGUCAAGGCAGGAGCAUGCAUUCAUUGAGUGGUUAUAAGCAAGAGGAAAAAGCACAAAGCAUGCUAAGAAUUCAUUUGAACACAGAAGAGAAAGUAAGCUACCUUGGAAUUUGGCUGUCAUUCCCCUUCAGGACGGCUCUCUGUAGUGACGAGUCUAGUUGUCGGACCUCAGCUGCCAGUCGGCGCACCUAAAACAAAGUAACACAGGAAAAUUGAUAUCCAUUACAAAAAACAAAAAUUGAACACGAGAAAGCAUCCUUCGACACUAAAUUUAUAGCAGUUUUUCCAAUACCUGUGAUGCGAUCGCAUAAAAGUCACCUUCUGAUUGUUCUCCGGUUCCAUUGAACAAAGGCUGCAAACAAAACAGAAAUAGACACAAAUCCAUCAAUUUUUUGAGCAACAAGACACAAGCUCCGAAAUAAAUAAACUAUCUAACUGAUCAAAACCCUAGUUUACCAAAUGCAUUACAAAAUUAAAAACUCAUACAAAAAUAACACCAAAUACAAAUGUUCUGCGAGUUCCACUAGCAAAGCAGAGUACAAAUCAUGAAAAUGGUACCUGAAGUUCACCGAUCAAUUCAGAUAAUUGACCAUUCUUACGCAGGAUGGUGCUCGUAUACCCUGUAGAAAGAGAACAAUCACUCAGAUCAAAUGUAGCUAAAUACACAAGGAAACUAAUCCAGUAUGCAAGAUGAAAGAGGAGUGAUUGGUACCUACUCCAGCGAAGAUCAGCAAACACAGUAUGAGGUUCCAAAUUCAAAUAACAACAUAAUGCUAAGCAGAGAAGUAGAAUUGCUGCCGAAAUUAUUUAAAACGAACUAAGUCAAAACUAAAUGGAGAAAUGUUAACAAAGUUGUAUGCUUCAGUAAGUCCAGUAACAGAUUCCCAAAACCACAGAGACAAAAUGUGAACAAUGGCUACAAAAGCAUCCAUAAAGAGCAACUAUGUUUAUAUAUGGAGGUGUACAAAAUAGUUAACCUUCAAAAUCGAAACAGUGUGUGUGCCAUGUAAGGCAAUUAGCCACUGCUUCUAGACUAUACAAUAUUACACCUCACAAUAAUAACUAAACCAACUAGCUCUAGCAAAAAGGCAGGAUGACCAUAUAAAGUACCCCCAGCAAAGCAUCUACGUCUGCAUCUUCAUAUCAAGGAGUUCCUGACAUAAGUAAUGAGCAAAGUGAAUUCCCAAGUCAUAAGUCCAGAAUGAGGUGAAUUCACGGACAUUAAAACAUUUACCUCAUAAAUAUGCCUCCCCCCUUAAACCCUCAAUUGCAAGCCUCAGCCGGUAAUAUUUGAUCUUCAAAGGGUCAACUUUAUCUACCGAAAUCCCAGCACUGAGAUGCUCGAUGAAUUUGACGGUCAUGAUUCCGCAAGACGUACUGUGAGACCAAUAAGUUGGGAAAUUAGAACUGCAGUUAUGUAAGAUUUGGAUAAACUGCACUAAAUUCACAAAGCUUACCCAUCUCGUUGUUGUGGCACAUCUGCAAUGCUGCAAACUGAGAAUGGCGUAAACGUCAACAUCUUCAGCCCCUUUUGCUUAACCUUUUCAACCUCAGAAUCUUCAUAAAAGUGCAUAUCGUACAGCACUCGUGCCAGCGUAUCGCUAAUAGGGUGCAGAAGUGUAACCAGCUUCGAACAUUUGGUAAAAGCAACAUAUGAGUCAUACACAGUUGCAGUAUGUCAGACGAAAUCAAUUUCGAUUGCAACCCAGUAAGACCCUUUAAGAUUAUAUGGAAUAUAGACCUUCCGGACUUUUGUCCAAGCUUGGCCAUACCCGUGUUGCCACGUACCGCGUACAAAGUAAUGUAUAUUCUGCAGCUUGCUGGGUGGAAGGUCAACGGUGUUUGAAGCAACUGCCUUCUUCGAUCCACGUUUCUUGGCAGUCGGUUUGAACGGAUCUAGAAAUUGCUGCAUAAAUUGAAAUGAAGGCAUAUUAGAAAAUCACAACCGAAAGCAAAUGAAGCAGCGAAUGUAACAUGGUAACAUGUUUACCUGCAAGCAACAAUCUGCUGUUGUCCAGUCAGUUCCAAAUACCAACGGAUGAGAGAGUUGCCUUUUCCAGAUAAGAAAGGUUGCCAUGUCCAGGUGCUGAAAGUUGACACACAUAAUAUCAGCACAAUUUCAUACAACUGUACACUUAAAAAAGGUGAGAAAACAAUUUAAUUAUCGCAAUAAAGUAGAGCUUUGUGUAUUCUUACCCUUGAGCUAAUCCAUUCCGUUUCAUCGAUAAGUCUGUAGAAAAAAUCAGCGCCCACUGAAAAUAAUUCCAGCUGCACCUCCGCACUACAAAAGGCAAACUUGCAAUGGUUACUUUUAUAGUCAUCUCAUAAUUCUGACUUUGUUGAUGACAAAAAUACACAUGUAUAUUAAAGCAAACUCUACGUUUUCUCAUUAGUCUAUGACUACAUACUAGAAUAGGAUGAAGAUUGGAAUUCAAAGGUAAAGAAUCCUAACCUGAUAUCGUUUUUCCAGGCAGUACAAAACUCUAUUACUGCCUUCACAUCUUCAAUGGGCACGGAUUUUGAUGGAUCAAAACAUGGCGGGGUUGCAGUCGCAGCCAACACACUCAUCGUCCUCUUCUUCCUCAAAGGAUCAGUAAAUGGGCUCAACAAUGUCUGCGCCGGGCGCUUCUGUCUGCACCCUUUACCUUCCACUUCUUUUUUUUCCACACUCGAACUACCUUCUUCAUCACCAGCCAUACUAACUGUGGGUAGACUUGGAGGAUUCAUCGGACCUCCCGAUGGCAUACUCUUAGUCACUUUCCAAUCUUCUAACAGAGACAACACUUUUUGGCAGAUUUCGUCACACCCGGCCACAUCUUCCGGGGUAGGCAGCUUCUCGGAUUGUGCCUGCUCAGCUGCUUCAUGCACUUGUAAGUGAGGAACUGAAGCGGCCAUUUCUGCCUCUUCGACUACCAUGGCUGCGGAAGGUUCGGCUCCAUCACCGGGAACUUGUGUUUCCAUUACCGCCGGUUCUGUAGGCGGACUAACAUGGUCAUGUAAUGGCGACAAGUGAUUGUCGCCUCCUUCAUUCAUAUGAGGACUACUGAGGUCCUCAUGUCCUUUCCCACCUUCAUUCACCCCACCAUUUCGUUUUUUCAGCUGCUCUAUCUCCACAUUAAAAUAAUGCUCCAUUAAAGCCAGGGUGUUGCGGAAAUCCUCCACACACUUUUUAUUUUUUUCGAACUCUCUUUCAACUUUCAAUGACUCCUUCCGUACCAUGUCUUCCAACUGAUGCACUCUGUUGCGAAGCGCUCGAUUUGAUAUGGCAACUUUGGCCAAUUCAUCCUUUGUCCUUUGAAAGUCACGCUUCAAAGUGCGUAACUCUCUGGACGCGACUGUACCCUGCAUUCAGUUAUAAUGCAAGUGUUACAAUAUUUUCAAAAUAUAUUGCAACAAUACAGCAGUUAUUUUCCUAUUGUAUUAUGACGUAUAUCUUGGAAAAAAAUGUAAUGCUUGCCUUAGAAGACGACGGAAGGCUAGCAGUUUCGUCAAUGUCCUUAUCUUUUUCUUCUACAGAGGCAGAAGUGCUGGUUUUUUGUUCAGCGUCAUCGCCAAACAACUGAACAAGUUCUUCAGUGUCGUCAACACUGUCACCCCAAGUCCAAUACGGCUGCUGCUUGUCGAUUACAGAUGGCCGGAGAAGUUGCACAUCAACCUGCAAUUUACACAUACAAUAUACAUAUCAGUAAACUUAUUAUAUUAUAUUUUCAUAUGCCUAACAUUAUCAUUAAAAACUUAACUAACCUCACGGUUCUCGAAUACUUGGCUCAUUAGCUCAUAAAAACACGGCGAACUAUUGCUCCUCCAAUGUAGUAAACGAGGGAUGUAGGCAUUAUCUUCGUGCACCACCAAAUGUAGUGCAGCCAACGCUGGAAAAACCUCAUAAGCCCAAAUCUGGUUUGAGGAAUAAAACGUGAGUCACUGUAAACAAAUGAAAUUUAACUUCAACAUGAAUGGAAAUUUGCUCACCUGAAGUGCAUAGGCAAAACCUUUGAGGUGGUACUCUCUUGGUCUACCAGUUGCCGUUGUUUUUGCUUUCUUUUCAGAUUUUUUUGUUUUUGCAGCUUUUUUGGGCACUUUCACUCGCUGGUAAUCUGUACAAAGUGCCCUCAGAAGUGACACAAUUGUCUUGGCAUAACACACAGCACCCCAUGGAUACUUCCCAAACUCUUCAAGGUCUUCCACCAACUUCAAAUAUCGCAUGUCAAUCUGGACAUGUUUUUCACUGCCCAACAGCACAAACACAGCAAAGUAUACAAAUCUGAGCUUCAAUACAUCGUCCGCAUCAACGCAUUUGAGGAAGGCCUUUUCUAAUUCCAAAACAUUGACAGUUUUAUAGUUGCCAAAGUACUUCCUUUUCAAUGAGCAGUUCUCAUUAGUGGGAAUCGGAAUAAAGGGAAGGUUUCCAAACCUUAGCCCUGUCACGAUGCAAAAUUGCUGCGCCGUGAAUUGGAUCACCUUAUUGCCAACGAUGAAUUUGAUCCCGUUGAGUUGGGAAACUGUCUUUGGAUCAGCUUUCCUCAGCAGCAAGCCGUGGACAAUUGGCGAAGUCCACUUGAGGUCCUCAAUCAGUAGGAGAUGCCCAAAACAACUCUCUUCAAACCUUUGUAGCUGUUGUUCACUGAAUUUCUCCUUUAUCGUGCUGAUUGCAGUCUUCGUAUGGGAUAGGGACAAUGCUUUUCCUUGGAACUUUUCUUCCUCUGCAAUCAUCAACUUCAUUUGAGCAACCAUCUUUCCCUGCAUGCCAAUAUUAUAAAAAAAAAUUCAGUCCGUUGCAAUCUAGACAAUAACAAGCAAUAAACAAUCAGCACUUAUCUACAGCCUAUUAUAGGAUAUUAAGUGAAAACAAAAAAACAAAAAAUACAGGGCAUAAACAAAACCCCAGCUAUUUACAACUGACCUACUAAUUCAAUAGCUCAAAGCCACAUCCCAAGACACCCAGUACUCUACCACUCUUGCAUAAUAUAAUAUCUAAAGACACAUCUCAACACACCAGAUAAUCAUGACACAGCUUCAGCUAGAAUGGGAAUGUGCGGUAGCACAAGCCUAAUUGAGAACAAUUCAAGACUAACGAUAGAAAUCUAUCUGACUAGAAAGAGUUUUAAAAAAACAAGAAGACAUCGGGAAAGAAUUGAUUGACUUCAAGGUAUAAUGUAAUGGAACAUCCUAUGAAUUAGUGGCAACCAUAAUAAUGACUCCACUAUGGCCCUCCUUUCAAAUGUAAGAAAAUGAAUGAAAUUGGCACCAUCCCUUCAGUUUUUUCUUAACAAAAUAAGAGAUUUGUAUGUAUUCUCUGCUUUAUCGAUAUCAAAGAUAAAUUAAUAAAUAAACCAUCAAAACUGUAUAAAAUGUUUGUUAGACAUGUACAAUUACAAAAUUAUAAGUUCUCCUCAGAAACAAAGUUCUCUAAGUACGCAAACAAGAAAAGCAAAAGCUUAAAGAGUUAGCUUAUAGCAAAAUCAAUGUCCCCAUUUCUCUAAACCACACCUGCUGGUGGUAGGUUCCCAUCUUCACUCAUUUCCCGCUUUCUUUUAAACAGACAAUGAUCAAGCACAAAAGAGCAAACUUUUAAAUAACUCAUAUUACACCACAAAUAGUUCUAAAGAAAACUUAUUCAUAUCCAAUAUGCAACCCCUAAAGUUAGUAAACAGAGUUAUAAAAAAAUAUGUCAAAUUAACAAGCAUUAUUCUCAAACAAAAAGUAUGAUAUGGUUGGGAGUUUACAAGUUCAAAAUGAUAUACACAGGUUAAUUGUCUUAGACUUUAGAUAUCAUCUUCAACAAAGAAAAUAGAUACCGAUUAGACUUGUAAGAAGGUUAAAUGCAAUGGUCAUAAAGACCCAUAGUAAGCCACCAAAUACCAAUCAAUAACUGCUAUAAAAACCAUAAUAAAACCAUAAUAAACUAAAAAUACAACAGCACUAAAAUGCCAACACAACAUCACUACAUUAGCAAUAUAGUAGCAACAAAACCACAAUACGACAUCAAUAGCAACAGCAAAACAACAGCAGUGCAAGCAUCAGUCCACAAAGAACAAACCCAUUCACUGUUUCAAACAAGGAAUCAUCAUACUAAGAUCAUUUCAGAGAAACCCCAAAACCAAUUUCAGUGAAACCCCUAAACCAAUUUCAGAGAAACCCCUAAACCAAUUUCAGAGAAACCCCUAAACCUUCAACCAAUUUCGAACAAAUCCCUGAACCAAUUUCAUAGAAAUGCAUAAACCCUAAACCAACUUCAAAGAAACCCUAAACUGUAAGAAAAUGACGAUGAACAGUACCUGUUCAAGGUGAACGAUGGAGUUGAGCUUCGAUGAACAAAUUUCGCUCGGAGAGGAAGAGAGAAGAGAGAGUCAGAGCUGAGCGACGAGAGAUUAAGGGCUGAGCGACGAGAGAGUGAGAGCUGAUCGACGAGAGAUGAGAGAGUGAGAGCAAAGUGACGACAGAGUGAAGAGAAAUUGAGAGAAGGAGCCAAGAGAGAGAGCUGAGAGAGAACUUCAGCAAAACUGAUAGAGAACUUCAGCAAAAGUGAUAUGUGUACAAUAAGGGGACAAUAAAUAUAUAUUUAUAGGUUAUAGUUCCAAAUUUUUUUAAAAAGAGUGGUAUUUUCAGUUACAAUUAUAAAAAUGGUGGCAUUUUGAGCUAUUUCCUUAUUUUUUAUUCAACAUGGACGCAGAAACUGUUGCUAAACUGCAAACUUCUUAAAAUAUUUGUCUCACUUUCUCAACCCUAUAUUUGUCUAACUUUCUAGAUCCAUGUACUGAGAUUUAUUAGGGAAAUAUUGUAGAAACUGAUUAUUUUGAAAUAUUAAAUGUGAAAAACUGAACAAAAAUUUGAUGGGUUACAUAUUUCAACUCAUUUCAGCAGCUUAGAUUUUGAAGACCUCGGAAGAGGCCAUGCAGUGAGCCUAGCUAGUGCACUGUUGAUCACUUCAGUGUCUACCGAUCUGUAAUUUUUCCAGAUUGGUUAUAUUUUCCUUUACAUAUUCUUAUAUUAUUCCCAGCUGUAAGUGUUUUACACACUUGUCUAUUAGAAAAGGGGAGACUUAUAAAUAAAUCCAAAAUGGGUACAGUAUUUAUAAAGAAUGACAAAAUUAAAGUGUUUGGGCAAUAAUGCCCUUAUUCAUUUUGAGAUUGCCUAAGGAAUAUUUUUUCUGAUUUUCAGAAGAUGCCAAAGGACCGUUGUUUGAUGAUUGCCGUAAGGAGCUAAGAAAACUUGCUUUGAUAGUUUUGGACAGAUGCAUGCUACUGUUGCUGGGAUGAUCUCUUCACGUGAAAUGAGGAUGAUGAUGCUUCUACACUACACAAUCCAACGAAUUCACAUGUCUAUUUCAGAUACAAGUAUAAACUAACAAGGCUUUAAAAUAUGGGCUGAUGCACUGUUGUUGAUGUUGCUGACACUGUUACUGUGUUGUUGAUACUGUCACUGCGUUGCUGUUGGAAAAAGCACAAGGACUUCACAUGUUGCUUUCGUCUUUUGUGGAGGAGAGAGACCUAGGACUUGCAUGUCUUAGAUAUUUAAGAUAAGGGGCUUUCGUUCCAUUUUGAAAAUACUUUGGGUGUUUUUGAAAGGUGAUUGUUUCUUUUGGGUUUCUCACUAAAUUUCGCUUUAGAAGGGAAAAUAAUAAUAAUAAUGUCAAACAAAGUAGGGUAAAUAUUCAGAUAUGCUCAUAUUAUUAUUCUUCUCCAAUAUUGAGGUAUUUAUACAAGUACAAAGAUGUGUUAACCCUAAAUAAAAUAGGAAAUAUAUCUAAAUUAUAAUAGGCAGUAAAUCUCUAUUACAAUAGGACUAAAUAAUAAUUGGUAAGUAACCAAAAUUCUAAUGAAAUAAGGAAUCAAAAUCCUAACUAAGUAAGGACUCGCCAACACUCCCCCUCAAGUUAGGGCAAACAUAUUUCGCAUGCCUAACUUGACAAGCGAGUCAUAGAACACCAUACUUGAGAAGCACCAAUUGUAGAGAAGGUCUUUUCGUCAACCACGAGUGAAACAAGUGACAAACUAAAGCAAAGUUCGCAGCGGAAACACAAGAGCGAAUCCUAAAAAAUAGGGCACAUAGCAGAACACAAAAAUCCUGGAGCACGACAGUAGAUAAGGCAGAACACAGAAACCCUGUUAGCACGGCAAUAGGUAAGGCAGAAAAAGUCAAGAGCAAAGGCAAGGUCAACAGGCGUGACCACAACGAAAACACACCAGCAAAGACAUGAGCAACAAUAUUAGCACCAUAAUAGACAUGAGCAACAAUACUGGUACCAACAACAGCAAUACAAGGCACUGGCACCAGCAAGAGCAACAAGGCAUGGACAUAACAUGCAUAAUCAAUAGUAAUCAACAUUGUCCCCAACAAGAGUCAUAAUAGGCAUGAGCAAUAACAUUGUCCCCACUAAGAGACUUAACAGGUAUGAGUAACAGUACUGGCACCAGCAAAGGGCAUAGUAGUCAGCAGCAAUAACAAUGACAAAUACUUCUAUUAUUGCAGAGACAACUUCUCUUCACUCCCCAUCUCCCCUUGAAGAGAAGGGGUCAUCGGAACCAUAAGAAAAGUGGCACUUAAGAAACAGAAGUUGACUGACGCUCAAAUGUAGAAGAAUCAGCCAUGGCAAAUAGGUAGCUGAAUUGCAGCGGAAUAGAUGAGCAGCGGUGUCACUCCCCCUCAUAUCUGAUAAUGUAUGAGAGUCGAGAUUUGGAGAAAGCAAUAUCGAAAAAUAAAGUUGCAGAACCCAAAUAAAGUUGCAUCUAUCUCCCCAUCAAAUCCGACACUGGUAAAGGGUCGAGAUUUGAAAGAGGAGAAAUUGAAAUAAUAGUAAAGAGACUCAAACAUGCAGUCUCAUGGCAGAAACAAAUGCAAGAGGGGAAGAUGGUAGCAUACGGUUGUCCCAUGAAGAAAAAACUUCAGAAAAGGAGAAUAGUAAGGGAGGAAACCUAGCAAAUCAUGAACAGAGACAAAGACAAAGAUGCUCAAACUGAGAAGCGGAAAGGCAACUCAAGAGAGCAACCGAAGAAGACAGAGGCCCGCAGAACAGUCAAAGUUAAGGCUCGGCGAGUGGUGACGAUGCUCGCGGAGGAAAGCAACGGCUCGGUGAGCGGUGAUGAGGCUCACGGAGUAAAGAGACUUGUUAUGAAGUUUCAAAGAUAGAGAAGCUGAGACAUCAAGAAAGACCAUCUGGCAUACAAAGAUGAAAAAUAAAAAUUUUGGAACAGUAGCAAAGAAGCAUGUGAAGGCUGGUGCGGUGAAAACACAUAUGAAAGGAUGAACAAAAGAAGAUGACUAUACAAGAUGAAGACCCAUGAUGGGUUAGGAAUGAGGAGUGCCAACGACUCUCAAUUUGGCAGAGGUUAUCGCAGGUUAGGAACCUGGCUCUGAUACCAUGUCAAACAAAGUAGGGUAAAUAUUCAGUUAUGCUCAGAUAUGCUCAUAUUAUUAUUUUUCUCCAAUAUGGAGAUAAUUAUACAAGUACAAAGAUGUGUUAACCCUAAAUAAAAUAGAAAAUAUAUCUAAAUUACAAUUGGAAGUAAAUCUAUAUUACAAUAGGACUAAAUAAUAAUUGGUAAGUAACUAAAAUUCUAAUGAAAUAAGGAACCAAAAUCCUAACUAAGUUAGGACUCGCCAACAAAUAAUAGUACAACUCUUAUUAGCAACAGGUUACAAACUUCUUCUACAACACACCAACAUGAAUCUAGCCCUGAUCCACUCUUUUACAUACUUGAAAACAAAACAAAACACGAAAAACAAAAAACAAGAAACAAGAUAGGGAGAAAAUGGCUACGGAGAGACUUCCUGCUAAUCAGGGGCGGCCCUGGGGUGGUGCAAGUGGCGUCACCGCACAGGGCCCCCGAUUCUUAAGGGCCCCCAAAAAAUAAUUCUUUAUAUUAUAUAUAUAUAUAUUAAUAUUAUAUGAAUCGUAUAUAAAGUAUAGCGUCUGGAUGAUAAAGAGACUCAUUAUCAUUAUCUUAGUCAUAAGAUUCAAAAUGAAUUGAUACUUUUGUUAGCUUCUGAGCUCAAAAGUGCAAUCAUUAAAAAGAUUGAAGAAGCUAAAUAUUUUUCUGUGAUUCUUGAUUGUACUCCAGAUGCUAGAAACCAAGAACAAAUGAGUUUGAUAGUAAGAUGUGUGGAUGUCUCUACUAAUUCAAUAAAGGUUGAAGAAUUCUUUUUGGAAUUUUUGAUUGUGAAUGAUACAACAGGACAAGGACUUUUUGAAGAGUUGCAAACGGUGUUGCAAAAACUUAAGCUUGAUAUUGAUAAUGUGAGAGGACAAGGCUAUGACAAUGGAUCAAAUAUGAGUGGGAAAUAUCAAGGUGUCCAAAGAAAAUUUUUGGAUGUAAAUCCUAGAGCAUUGUACACACCUUGUGGUUGUCAUAGUCUUAAUUUAACACUUUGCGAUAUUGCAAACUCUUGUGGAAAAGCAAAAGAUUUUUUUGGAAUCAUACAACGUAUUUAUACAUUGUUUGCUAAUUCUACAAAGCGGUGGAAGAUAUUGAAAGAUAAUGUUAAACACUUAACUCUGAAAUCAUUGUCAGUUACACGUUGGGAAAGUCGUAUUGAAAGUGUGAGAGCAAUAAGAUUCCAAGCUGCAGAUUUAAGAGAAGCUUUACUUCAGUUAGCAGAAAGUGACGGUGACUCCAAAAUAACAAGUGAAGCUAAUUCUUUGGCAACAUAUGAACUUGGAAAUUUUGAGUUCUUAUUGGGCAUGGUUAUUUGGUAUGAUAUAUUAGGUGGUGUCAAUGUAGUGAGCAAAAACUUACAAUCUGAAGACAUGCUUAUUGAUGUUGCUAUUGAUAAAGUGAAAGGGUUGAUUACUUUUUUUUUGAAAAGUAUAGAGAAAAUGGGUUUACAGAAGCUAUGUGUACUGCUAAAAAAAUUGCUACUGACAUGGGAAUUGACCCGGUGUUUCCUGAGAAGCGAAAAAUUCGUAGAAAAAAACAUUUUGAUGAGAAUACUUGUGAGCUAUCCCAAUCAGUUCCUGAAUCAACUGAAGAAAAGUUUAGAAUUGAUUAUUUCUUGUAUUUAGUGGACCAAGCUAUUGGUUCUUUACGAAGAAGGUUUCGACAAUAUCAAGAGUAUGAGAAUUUUUGGGUUUUUGUUUACUUCAGAGAAGUUAAAUUCAUUGGAUGAUUGCGAUUUGAAGAAUAGUUGCAGUCAUCUGGAAAGCAUUUUGAAAAAUGACAAGUUUUCUGAUGUCGAUGGGGAGGAUUUAUUUGUUGAGUUGAAAGUUUUACAAGAGCUUUUACCAAAAGUAAAUACCACAGCUACUGCAAUAUUAAAUUUCUUGAAAAGAUUAAAUUGUUUUCCAAAUGCAUUCAUUGCAUAUAGAAUCCUAUUGACUAUUCCUGUUACUGUUGCAUCUGCGGAAAGAAGUUUUUCAAAAUUAAAAUUGUUAAAAUCAUACUUGAGAUCAACUAUGUCGCAAGAAAGAUUAAAUGGACUAGCUUUGAUUUCAAUUGAAAGUGAACUUCUUGAAAAACUUGAUUAUGAACAUUUGAUUGAUGAUUUCUCUUCUAAAAAUUCAAGAAGAUCAAUUUUCAGACAUUAGUAUUGUACUAGCUGUGUUUUUUUUUUUCUUCUAGGGUAAAAGCUCUCAUAAUAAUUUUAAUUCUUCAAAUAAGACAGCAAAUACAAUGUGAUGAAUUUUGGAUAAUCAGGUAUGUUUUUGUUGUUGCUUUUGUGUUUAAUGCAAUAUAAUCUAAUUUUUUUAAUGACAUUUGUGUGCAACUACUCUUUGAUUUGUGAUUGCCAAUUUUUUUUUCUUUCUAUUAAACACAGAUUGCUUAUUGGAGGCAGCAAGAGACCUUAUAGGGGCACAAGGAGCUUAUUUUUGUACAAAACAUUUAACUUUAUCAAAUGGAAACAUUUAAAUUUUUAUGAAUUUGAUUUCUGAUUGUCAUUGCAUAUUUAUUGAUGGUGAAUUUUAGUUAUAAAAAAAAAAUUGUUUAUGACAUUAAGUUAUGGCAAAUUUUUAUAGUAUUUUCGUAUUAGAUUAUGCGAGGUCCCAAUUUAAGUUUCGCACAGGGCCCUCAAAAUCUCAGGAACGGCCCUGCUGCUAAUACUUGAUCAAUAACAGAGAUAAUAGAGCACACUGUUUGUAUGACAAUGAGUAUCAGAAGAAUAAUAGCUGCAAAGAGAGAAAUAGCUGCCCAAGGUGUGUUGAAAUACUUUUGUCUCAAAUUUGCCUUCCGUCUGUUCGUGGUCUUCUUGCAGUACUCGUUUAGUUUGCCAGCAAGAUCACCAAAAUAGUAGUUUCCGUGGUUCGGAGCAACUUUACUGCAAAGCUUGUUAAUCAUAAUGGAAACCUUAUUGUUGUCACCUAGCGUGUUUACAACAAUUCCAUUGUCAACAAGCAACUCUACAUCCUUUGGGGUGUUUACAAAUUUAUCCAGGAUGAAAACAUAAUCGCUUAUGUAUUUAUCCACGCAAUGGCCUUGUUCAAAGGCAAUGAGAUUUCUAUGUGUAAGCUGUGUAAUCAUGUAUUUCAAUUUUUGGAAUUUCCAAGGUGUUUUUCUUGAACUGUAUAUCGAAUAAGUUCUUGCUUGAUCCCACGUUAAACUUAACUCCGGCCUGGUGUAGUUUUGUCAUGCUGGGUGUACUUUGGAGCCCUCCAUUUUUUUUUCUUUUGGCAGAUGUAAAGUUCUAAUAAAAUCAACAAAAUGUAAAGGUUUUUUAGGAUCAGGAGGCAUAAAAGACUUACGGAAGGCUGGUGAGUUCUCCAAGUUUUCUAAACGCAGUGCCUGUUGGAAGAACUUGUAAGAGAGUUCAAUUAUUGAAGGCUCCCCAGUCUGAGCACCUGUGAGAUUGUAAAGAUCCUCGAGAAUGAAAAAUGGCAGCUGAUUUACGAGCAUAAGCAUGUCAGGCAAUAUAUUUUGUAGCACCCAUGGUUUUUUAAAUAUCCAAGCAUCAUCAUCCUGCAAUUUUUCUUCCUGAAAUUUUUCUUCGGAUUUAUUCCUCAACAAUAGCUCAAUGACAAAGGCGGCAUCAACUAGAAUGAUAUUCACAAAAGUAGCAAUGUUAAACUUCUUAGGGCUAGUUUGGCGGCGUUGUGCUUUUAAAAAAAUAUGCUUCUGCUGUGCUGUGAAAAUAAUUAGCUGUGAAAAAAAGCUACUAGGCGUUUGGUAAACUGUUUUUGAAAAACUGCUGUGAGUAGUCAAAGUGUUUGGUAAAUUUUUAUCAGAAGUACUUUUAGUGUGUAUAAUGACCAAAAAGGACAUGAUGAUGAAAUUGUUUGUUAUUUUCUUCAUUCUUUUUCUACUUUAAAAAAAAAAAAAACCCAAUUUCACUACAUAAAUUUUUAUUCUUUUUUAAUUCACACCUUUUUAUCAAAAAAUUUAAUCUACAAUUAACAUACAUAUUUUACCAUAAAUUAUAAAUUACUAUUAUAACAAAAGUAAUUCUAAAUAUUGUUAUAUUAAUAUGGGCUUCGGACAUGACAAAAAUACAAAAAUUGUUCAAUUUUAAAAUGCCCCAAUAGAUCACUACAAUAUAAAAGAAGCUAAUUAGAUGCAUUCAUUAAACUUGUAGCGAUGCUAUUUCUUAAUGCAUUCAUUAGCUUCUUUUUUUGGUUUCCAAUGGUUCUCUAACAAUUUUAACUAAAAAAACAACCAUAAUGCUUUGUGAACAAUAAAUUCAAGUCCAAAUCUGCUAUUGCCCACACCAUACAUAUAUACAUAAUUGUUCCUUUCAUAAAACUUGAAGAUUCAAUAGUAAUUACACAGUUUACCAAUCUUGAUUCCAACUAUAUCCAUAAAAUUAAACUAUAAUUAGAAAUAGAGGAGCUACAUGUGAUUACUCAUAAAUGCUUCCCACUCUCAUCAUCAUCAUCAUCAUCAUCUUCCUCCUCUGUACUUUGCCUUUCACAAAUGGACAAGACCAGAUGGUAACGUACACGACAUGGUCCACAUAUAGAUAAAUUUUGGGUUCACUGGAGAACAUAAAAGAGUUUUUACACGAAUACAAAGUUAGUUAAGUAGUGAAUAAAGUAAAACUAUUCUGUACAAUUCUAGCUGAUGCAGUCCAAAAAGAAUAUAUGUCUAAUAACUUAAAUAACAAUAAAGAGAAACAAAAGCCUCAUGAAAAAUGCUAGAGUAAAAGUUACAUAACUGAAUCGAUGGACAGAGAACUCCACAGGCAGAGAAACAGCAACAAAAAUUGUCAAAACAGUAGCAAGACCAUGUUGGAGUCAAGGCCAAAGAUCAUAUUUCCUGUGUAUCUUCUUCCAUUCUGAAUUAUUCUCGUAUUCAAAUACUGUAACUCUAUUUCAAGUGCACCCCAAAAUACUUAUCUAAGGCCAGUACAUAGGACUUCAUAAAGGGUGCGAUAAAAAAUAUUGCCCCUUAAUUGAUAAACAGAACCAAGAUCCCAACAGCACACCAAAACUAUACCAACCACACCUACAUAAUAUGGACAGAAAAUCCUGUUGUUCCGAUCUCUAACCACACCAAUGACAUUCAUUAGGAAAAUACAAAAGAUGGGUACCCUGCAUUUCUAACAUUUAAGAUAAAAUUCACUGCCAGCUAAUCACAAAUUUGAAAAGAUGGCAAGAAAAUUGGCUAAGCUUUAACAAAAACCAGAGCAGUCCUUGCAUAGACCUGACUUUUUGCUCCAAGCUUUAGCAGAUCACUUACUGGUAGAGAGCAGAGAACAUGUAUGUGAAUAUCUGAAGUUGGAAGGGUAAGCCAUCACAAACACCAAGAGAUCUGAUUCUCAUCUCUUGUUACAACAACAAAUCACAAACACCAAUACAUCUGAUUCAGAAUCUCAUAAACAAUGGAGGAACAAACACAUAUUCACACACAUAUAAAUCCCUAAACAGAAAAAAUAAAAAAUAAAAAAAAAACCAUGAAAGUCAUAGGAGAAUCAAAUUGAUUUGGGCCAAAAUUGCCUAAAAAGAAAACACUCCUAAAUAAACUUCAAUUCACUUUUAAAAACAGUAAAACAUGAUUGAAUCAUUCUUUAAAACAAUUCCCUAAUAUACAUGCAUGAUAAUGACAUCAUUUACCCCUGAAUCAAAUGCCUUUCACUGGUCAAGCCACAAGUCUGUGUUUUGGGAAUUGCUGAGCUGCAUCAAUCCUGCCAAUGUAAAUUCUGCCCCUAGGCUCUCUCAAAGUGCGUUUACAACCUAUGCUAACAUAUACUAGAGUUUGUUUUAGUAUCUAGAAAAUGCCAACACUAAUUUCGUAACACGUAGAAAUUGUUACAUAUUGGAAGUUUUUAUCAUUUUUUCUUCCAGUCUCUCCACCACUCACUAAUACAGAUUACUCAUGUGAUGAGUUUACAAAACAUAUUUCUCUACUCCCACAAAGACCAUACUUUUUCUCAAAAGACUAUAUCACUUUAUCUCUAUCUUUGUGAAAUGUAAAAAGUUGAAACUUUAAUGUCAAACCUCGACAAAAGAUGAACAUCCAUCAUCAAUUACAUUGAAUUUGAAUUUGUUGAACUUAAGUAGUUUUACUUCUCUGUCAGCGUUUGAUGACUUGAUUUGUUAUUUACUUCUUCUUUUUUCCUUGGAAAUGUGUUCCAUCAACGUGAGGAAGAAAAAUAUGCACAAAUUAAUAUAUUUAAUAGAAGCAAAAAUUAAUAUUUACAAAAAUAUGCACAAAUCAAGUAAAAUUAAUAAAGCAUAAAUUGGAAAGGGAAAAUAUGUAGAGGAUGCAUUGUAGGAUUGCUCAUGCCAAUAAUUGUACCCUCUAAAUAUAUAGGGACAUAUUUUUUUUUGUUUUCAUGACAUGUGGUCCUAAAAUUAUUGUUCUUAGCGGGCUCUCCACCCCUCUCGACUGAAAACCUAUUGUGUAAAUCUUCAAUCCUGAAUGAUGCACCUAAAACUCAUGUUGCAAUACACAUCCACCCAUUCUCAGGCCAAUUAUUACUCCUAGUGGGCUCUCCACCCCCUCUCAAAUUUAAGUGGUCCAUUAUUAUUAACCGUAUAUUUUAUGGACCAGCCAGCUGUGAGGUUUUAUCUCAAAAACCUUUCUCCCACAUGCCACAAUUUAUGUCUGAUACAUCACAUCAUGCCAGUUGUCUCAAAUGAAUUUAAGUGAGUGAGGCAGUGUUACUUCUGGGUACCCCUCAUUAUUCGUCUAUAAAUUGGUGAAGCCAGUUGCUACUGUUACCAUAAGAGCCAGCUCCGACUUUCAAAAUAAAAAUUCCAACAACGGUCUUAGUGCCUUCAAUUGUAUGAGUCAUUGAACAUGCAAAUGAAUAAAAUAUGAAUGAUAAAAGUGUUUGAUAAAUCACCAAGUUAUAGAACACUUGAUGAUUUAUCUCAAAUAAAAAUUCAGCUUUCUAAAGUUUGUGAAUUGAAAAUAUAAUCGUUAAAGCUCUCUAAACAAAGAAGACGAAAGUCUUAUUUUAUAGAAUUUUUCUUUACAAGAAAGAAAACAUGUUGAAAACCAAAUCUCCAAUUUCCAAGGCUUGACAGAAAAUCAAAAAAAUAUCUUUCCUAUUCUAGAGAUUGGUCACAUGUAGUUCAACCAAUAGGAAAUGAGAUAUUUAAGAAAGCAAGAUUUUGAUCAAUACCAAUAUCAAAUGAAUUCUUAUACGCCUAGUCAACUAUUAAGGGUAUCUUGACUCCUUGAUAUUGUGAUAUGAUUGAAACAUGAUUUCCAUGUUAGAAAAUUAAGGGGAUGUUAAAACAUGAAAGUAAUAGGAGAAUCAAAUUGAUUUGGACUAAAAUUGCCUAAAAAGAAAACACUCUUAAAUAAACUUCAAUUCACUUUUAAAAACAGUAAAACAUGAUUGAAUCAUUUUUUAAAACAAUUCCCUAAUAUACAUGCAUGAUAAUGACAUCACUUACCCCUAAAUCAAAUUGUCACGCCCCGGACCUGGGGGUCAGUGGAAACCCCACGUUCGGUGCGUGAGAAAAUAAAAAGUAAAAUAAAAUAAAAAGAAUGCCGAAACAAGGGUUUAAAAUAAACUUCUCUUAUAAAAAUAACUCCAAAAUCUUACAACUUUACAAGAAAUAAAUAAAGCCCUAUCAUUCUUAUCUAAUUCAGCCUCAACUGGUUUAGUCCUUGUCUUGCCCACUAAUUCAUCUAAAAAAUGAAGAGUGUUGCUAAACGAACCCUAAAAUUAAUUGAGUACACCCUACUACCAAACGAUUUAUUGAAUUUGUCACAUCUCGGGAUCAACUCCGCCGUAGCACGAUAUUGUUCGCUUUGGGCCCUCCCUCUCUGGCUCGCAUGGUUUUGUUUCUGGGAACUCACGAGUAACUUCCCAGUGGGUCACCAAUCCUGGGAUUGCUCUAGCCCACAACUCGCUUAACUUCGGAGUUCCUACGACUCCGAAGCCUGUGAGCUCCCAAAAGGUCUCGUGCUAGAUGGAUGCGGGUGUGCACAUAUAAGGCACAUCACCCCCUCUCCGUUGGUUGAUGUGGGAUCUUAUAGAAUUACUAAUUUAUCCUAAUAUAAAAUGACCAAAGAAGAUAAAAUAAUAUUGGUAUCUAUUGCUUUGAAUCCAUGCCUUCAAACAAAUUGACUUAAUUUUUAACAAACAACACGGAGUCCAGGAGAAGUGUAUUGAUCCAAGUUGAUUUUUGUAUGCGUAAAACUUAAACAAUCAAUAACACAAAGCAGUUCAUGCUGAAAUAUUGGAAACCCACACCCAAAGAGUUCUCCGCUGCGAGGUUGAAGGCAGGAGAGAUGGGUGACAGAUUUUACUUCCACUGCGAAGUUGGAGGCUAGGAGAGUCUGUGACUGCCAUGGUUGAGGGAGAAGAUGCGUUCAAAAUGCCUAUUGAUAUUUUACAUUAUUGGCUUUUUUCAAAAGUGAAAGUUUUUUUAUGGGUAAAACCUAAAUUUACUUUUUCUAUACAAGUUAACAGUGUUUGUGUAUUGUGAAAAGGUGGAGAGACGUGUCAAAAUUUUAGACAAAGGACAGGAGGAGAUAGGGAAUUUGGGGACAGCAGAUCUCAACUCCCUUGAGACCCUAUUCUCUACGCCACCCCUCCCCCUCAACAACCCUAGUCACCAUUUCUCCUUCAACUCCAACGGCAACUCAUUAAAACCCAAUUCUCAAAUGCAACAAUCUAAUCCCAAUCCCAAUUCAGAUGUUUCUAAAAAACCCAUUGUCGUGGUGGAGAACUGCAAUUCCAGGUGGUGGUGGUGGUACCACAUGGGAGAGAGAAAAAAGAAGAAGAAGAAGCAGGAGAGAGAGAGUUUUUUAUUUUAUUAUUAUUUUACUGUAAUUUUUUAAUUUAAAUAAUUAAAAAAAUUAAAAGUUAAAGAGGAUGUACCAUGGGUAUUUUUGGUAGUUAAAUAAGGUGUACUUAGGGUCAGUUUGGCAUUGCUGUGCUGUGAAAAUAAUAGCUGUCAGAUUUGCUGUGAGAGAAAUCAGCUGUGAGAGAAAUCAGUUUGGCGUUUGAUAAAAUUUUUGUUAAAAGUGUGUUGAUAUUGAUUUUAUGCUUAAUCCGAAAAUGAUUGCUGCAUAAUCAUUAAACCCAGCGCCUCUUCGAAACUGAUUCCUAUAUAAUCAGAAAAUGAAAGCACCUCAUUAGCUGCUUUCCUUUAUAGCUUUCUCUCACAGCAAUUUUUAACAAUAAGUGAUUUUCUCACAGUUUACCAAACGGGUUGGGCUUCUCAAAAUUUUUUAAAAAUCACUUAUUACCCCAAAUAAGCAAUACCAAACGGGCACUUAGUUAAUUUUACAUUUUAAUUUAAACAUUAGGGUGUACUCAGUUAAUUUUAGGGUUCGUUCAGCAGCACUCAAAAUUAAACAAGGUGAGGGAUGAGCAAGUAGGGACAUGAGACAUUGCCACAGUAGAUUGAUAUAACUAAAUAUUAUUAUAAACAUAGAAAUAUAUAAGUAUUAUUAUAAUAGGAUUCAUAAUAAUUAAUAUAAAAGUAUAACAACAAUAUUUACAUUUAUGUACCAAGAUAAUUACACAUAUAAAUAUAACCAAUAUAUAUUUUUAUAUAUUUUAAAAUAUAAGUCUUUACGUAAAUGCCUUUCACGGGUCAAGCCACAAGUCUGUGUUUUGGGGAUUGCUGAGCUGCAUCAAUCCUGCCAAUGUCAAUUCUGCCCCUGAGCUCUCUCAAAGCACGUUUAAAACCUAUGCUAACAUAUACUAGAGUUUAUGCUGUAUCUAGAAAAUGCCAACACUAAUUUCGUAACACGUAGAAAUUGUUAGAGAUUGGAAGUUUUUAUCAUUUUUUCUUCCAGUCUCUCCACUACUUAUUAAUACAGAUUACUCAUGUGAUGAGUUUACAAAACCUAUUUCUCUACUCUCGCAAAGACUAAACUUCUUCUCAAAAGACUAGAUCACUUUACCUCUAUCUCUGUGAAAUGUAAAAAGUUGAAACUUUAAUGUCAAACCUCGACAAAGUGUUCUACUUUACAAACUUCUUGUGUCUACCAAUUUGUACUAAAAUUAAUUUCUCUACAGUGCUCAGAUUCAUCAUAUGUGUGUCCUUAAUUUUAGUGGAAAUUGGAAGUUUCCAUAAUUUUUGCUUUAAGUCACUCUUCUGAAGGAAGUUGAGGUUCCACUUCAUAAUCCAAAAUGUCAGGUUGACUUAUGGCAAACAAUGUAAAUAUGUAGGAGUACUAUGACCUUUUAUAGCAUUUUUAGUUUGAAUUUGGGUUUUAUACAUAGAUUUCAAAAUUAAUAGGUUGAUGCCUAGGAAAUAGAAAUUGUAAGGGCCUAUAUUAGAGUAGCCCUCUUAAAAAUAAUAUUAAUUAAUGAAUAUUUGUUCUUCUUGUUGUUUUGAAGUAGUGGUGGGAGGCAGACCAACAAAAAAAAAAUAUAGUGAAGGCUUAUAAGAGCAUUUACAAUCAUGCUCCCUAUUUUUUAGUUAAAAUUUAGCUAAAAAUAGAAAAAAAGUUAUUAUAGGAGCUCUUUAUAAAGCUCCUUUAUAAAAUUUGAACUCCAAUCAUACUCCCUAGUUUAGGGAGUCAAAAAUACUAUAGUUAUUUUUUAAUUCAAUUUGAUUUUGGUUAAUCUCUAUAAAUAUGAAAAAAUAGUUAGCAUUAAUUAAAAGUUUAAACUAUGCAUAAAACAAAGAAACAUUAAAUUAUAGGGAGCCACUAUGAGUCAUUACUCUCUCCUCAGAUUUAGGAGCUCCUAAAGGUCUCCCUAUUUUAUGAGGUGGAUAAGGAGCAUGGUUGGAGUUGUAUUUCUUCAAUUUCCUCCCUAAAAUUUGUCUAAGGAUGUGGUUUAGGGAGCCCAUUGUGAAUGCUCUAACUCUGGUAAAACACGAGUGACAUGGACAACAUAUGUUACGUCGUACUGAAGAUUUUUGGGUUUCUUUAAUUGGUUAAGUAGCAUCCACACAGCUUCCUAAAUCAUCUCCUUAGACAAAUUUUAGGGAGGAAUUGGAAAAGUACAACUCCAACUAUGCUCCCUAUCCACCAACUAAAAUAGGGAGACUUCUAGGAGCUCCUAAAUCUGAUGAGAGAGAAAGGACUCUUAAUGACUCCCUAUAAUUUAAUGUUGCUUUAUAUUAUUUUGUAUACAGACGGGUCAAUUAUAUUAAAUUAAAAAAUAAUUAAAGUAUUUAUGACUCUCUAAACUAGUGAGCAUAAUUGUAGAUCAUCUUAUAUACCUUAAUUUGAAGAUUCUUUAUUUGGGUUUCUUUCAAGACUUAUCACCUUAGCCACGCCACCUACACGUCUGCAAGCUUUCCUAACAAGGAAGGGGAGGCUGCGCAAUACUUAUCACCUUAGCCACACUACACCAAAUUGACGUCUGCAAGCUUUCGUAAUCUAACAAGGAAGGGGAGGCUGCGCAAUACUUAUCACCUUAGCCACACCAACACCACAAGACCAAUAUGUGUAGUCCAGGAGGCUUUCCCAUUUUAAUAUAUAUUAUCAAAUAAAAUAAAAAUCAAUCUAUUAUCAUAUAUAUUAUAAAAUAAAGAUUAUUGCUCCAUCCUCCAUGCACUUGCAUGCCUCUUACAAAGUGUGAAGUAGAUUUUGUGUGCUCCAAGUCAUUGACGAGAGCUGUAACAUGGUUAGCUGGAUUUAUAAGAUCUUUUCUUUUCUGGGAAUUUUCUGAAUCAAGAAAAAUUAAGUAAAAUUAAUAAAGCAUAAAUUAGAAAGGAAAAAUAUCUAGAGGAUGCAUUGUAGGAUUGCACAUGCCAAUAAUUGUAUCCUCUAAAUAUAUAGGGACAUAUUUUUUUGUUUUCAUGACAUGUGGCCCUAAAAUUAUUGUUCCUAGCGGGCUCUCCACCCCCUCUCGAUUGAAAACUAAUUGUGUAAAUCUUCAAUCUUGAAUGAUGCACCUAAAACUCAAGUGUCCCAGGCCAAUUAUUGCUCUCAUACCACUUGUUGUAAUAAACAUCCAUCCAUUCUAAAGGAAAGAUAACCAUCGAUAUUAUCUCAAAUUUAACCACUUAAGUUCAUUAUGAUUAACUAUGUAUCUUAUGGACCAAUCCAAUCAUGAGGUUUUAUACCCAAUUAGAUCGACUAAUACAAAGUUCACACGUGGAUUGAAAAGCGCUAUCAGUAGGGGAGUGUUCGGCACCCUUUACUGCCGAACGCAACACAAGACCCCUUGCAUGCCUUCACUAAGUUGAGCCUAUCUAUUUUUUAGCAUUAACAAUAUAUAUAGAUUGAAAAAAUAAAAUAAAAAUCAAUCUAUUAUCAUAUAAAAUAAAUAUUAUUGCUCCAUCCUCCAUACACUUGCAUGCCCUCUUACAAAGUGUGAAGUAGAUUUUUUGUGCUCCAACUCAUUGACUAGGGCUGAAACAUGGUUAGUUGGAUUUAUAAGAUCUUUUCUUUUCUGGGAAUUUUCUGAAGCACGGAAAAUCAAAUAAAAUUAAUAAAGCAGAAACUGUACCCUUUAAUUAUAUAUGGACGUAUGUUUUUUUGUUUUCAAGUCUUAGAUGACAUGGGGACCUAAAAUUAUUGCUCCUAGUGGACUCUCGACCCCUCUCAAAUUUAAGUGGUCCAUUAUUAUUAACCACAUAUUUUAUGGACCAUGCAGCUGUGAGGUUUUAUCUCAAAAACCUUCGGUACAUUUCUCCCACAUGCCACAAUUGUAUAUUCACAAUUACGGCUGUUACGUCACAUCAUGCCACUUGCCUCACAUGCAACAAGUCUGUGUUUUGGGGAUUGCCGAGCUGCAUCAAUUCUGCCAAUGUCAAUUCUGCCCCUGGACUCUCUCAAAGCACAUUUAAAACCUAUGCGAACAUAUAUUAGAGUUUAUGAUGUAUGUAUCUAGAAAAUGCCAACACUAAUUUCGUAACAUGUAAAAAUUAUUAGAGAUUGGAAGUUUUUAUCAUUUUUUCUUCCAGUCUCUCCACCACUUAUUAAUACAGAUUACUCAUGUGAUGAGUUUACAAAACCUAUUUCUCUACUCUCGCAAAGACUAAACUUCUUCUCAAAAGACUAGAUCACUUUACCUCUAUCUCUGUGAAAUGUAAAAAGUUGAAACUUUAAUGUCAAACCUCGACAAAGUGUUCUACUUUACAAACUUCUUGUGUCUACCAAUUUGUACUAAAAUUAAUUUAUCUACGGUGCUCAGCUUCAUCGUAUGUGUGUCCUUAAUUUUAGUGGAAAUUGGAAGUUUCCAUAAUUUUUGCUUUAAGUCACUCUUCUGAAGGAAGUUGAGGUUCCACUCCAUAAUCCCAAAUGUCAGGUUGACUUAUGGCAAACAAUGUAAAUAUGUAGGAGUACUAUGACCUUUUAUAGCAUUUUUAGUUUGAAUUUGGGUUUUAUACAUAGAUUUCAAAAUUAAUAGGUUGAUGCCUAGGAAAUAGAAAUUGUAAGGGCCUAUAUUAGAGUAGCCCUCUUAAAAAUAAUAUUAAUUAAUGAAUAUUUGUUCUUCUUGUUGUUUUGAAGUAGUGGUGGGAGGCAGACCAACAAAAAAAAUAUAGUGAAGGCUUAUAAGAGCAUUUACAAUCAUGCUCCCUAUUUUUUAGUUAAAAUUUAGCUAAAAAUAGAAAAAAGUUAUUAUAGGAGCUCUUUAUAAAAUUUGAAUUCCAAUCGUACUCCCUAAUUUAGGGAGUCAUAAAUAUUAUAGUUAUUUUUUAAUUCAAUUUGAUUUUGGUUAAUCUCUAUAAAUAAAUAAAAAUAUGAAAAAAUAGUUAGCAUUAAUUAAAAGUUUAAACUAUGCAUAAAACAAAGAAACAUUAAAUUAUAGGGAGCCACUAUGCCAAUAAUUGUAUCCUCUAAAUAUAUAGGGACAUAUUUUUUUUGUUUUCAUGACAUGUGGCCCUAAAAUUAUUGUUCCUAGCGGGCUCUCCAACCCCUCUCGAUUGAAAACCAAUUGUGUAAAUCUUCAAUCUUGAAUGAUGCACCUAAAACUCAAGUGUCCCAGGCCAAUUAUUGCUCUCAUACCACGUGUUGUAAUAAACAUCCAUCCAUUCUAAAGGAAAGAUAACCAUCGAUAUUAUCUCAAAUUUAACCACUUAAGUUCAUUAUGAUUAACUAUGUAUCUUAUGAACCAAUCCAAUCGUGAGGUUUUAUACCCAAUUAGAUCGACCAAUACAAAGUUCACACGUGGAUUGAAAAGCACUAUCAAUAGGGGAGUGUUCGGCACCCUUUACUGCCGAGCGCAACACAAGAUCCCUUGCAUGCCCUCACUAAGUUGAGCCCAACUAUUUUUUAGCAUUAACAAUAUAUAUAGAUUGAAAAAAUAAAAUAAAAAUCAAUCUAUUAUCAUAUAUUUUAUAAAAUACAUAUUAUUGCUCCAUCCUCCAUACACUUGCAUGCCCUCUUACAAAGUGUGAAGUAGAUUUUUUGUGCUCCAACUCAUUGACUAGGGCUGAAACAUGGUUAGUUAGAUUUAUAAGAUCUUUUGUUUUUUGGGAAUUUUCUGAAGCAAGGAAAAUCAAAUAAAAUUAAUAAAGCAGAAACUGUACCCUUUAAUUAUAUAUGGACAUAUGUUUUUUUGUUUUUUUGCUCUCGACCCCUCUCAAAUUUAAGUGGUCCAUUAUUGUUAACCACAUAUUUUAUGGACCAUCCAGCUUCGGUACAUUUCAAAAAGCUUCGGUACAUUUCUCCCACAUGACACAAUUGUAUAUUCACAAUUACUUCUGGGUACCCCUCAUCAGUCGUCUAUAAAAUGGUGAAGCCAGUUGCUACUGUUACCAUAAGAGCCAGCUCCGACUUUCUUUAAUUUCUUGCUACAUCUGUUGCUAAGUUAAUUUCAGUCCUAAUGGGGUUUCAUCUCCCACUCAUCUUUGCUAUUCUCAGUGUAAGCUCUGCAAUUUGAUUAACUUUUCCAUUCUCUCUCAUUGUACUCUAUAUAUAUAAAUGAAAGUUUUGUGUUCCUAUAAUUCUCUCCGAUUUUAUUUAGUACGUACUUAAGUGUCGUCCACUAAUUAAUUACACUUUGUGAGAUUUGAUUUUAAUUAGAGUUCGAAUUAAUGUUGCAGCUAGCAGCGGUUGCACUGGCAAACAAUGCUGCUCAACCAGCACCUCAACUUUACUGGAACUCCGUCCUGCCAAACACACAGAUGCCAAGAUCUAUCAGUGAACUUCUGCAUCCUGGUUUGUGUUCAGCUCUUUAUAAUCUUAGAUAUCUCUUCUACCUGCCAUUUUACUAAAAUAUGUUCGACCACAUAUUUAUCAGCUAACUACUGUGAUUACAAGAAUGACACUUAUUUUCCAAUAUAAUUUGCAGACUCCACAAAUGAAGAAAAGAGCAAACCUGAAAUUUUCCCAUUGCAGGGCAAUAGAGUUUACACUCAAAGCCAUUAUAAAAAACGUCCUCCUCCUCCAUCUGACGAGGGCAAACCUGAAACUUUCCCAUUGGGCAAUAGCCAUUACACUCAAACCCGUUAUAAAAAACGUCCUCCUCCUCCAUCUGACGAGGGCAAACCUGAAAAUUUCCCAUUGGGCAAUAGCCAUUACACUCAAACCCGUUAUAAAAAACGUCCUCCUCCUCCAUCCGACGAGGGCAAACCUGAAAAUUUCCCAUUGGCCAAUAGCUUUUACACUCAAACCCGUUAUAAAAAACGUCCUCCUCCUCCAUCUGACGAGGGCAAACCUGAAAAUUUCCCAUUGGCCAAUAGCUUUUACACUCAAAGCCAUUAUAAAAAACGUCCUCCUCCUCCAUCUGACGAGGGCAAACCUGAAAAUUUCCCAUUGGCACGUUCUCCUCCAUCUGACAGUCAACUAAAGCAUUACAAAGACUUAGCUAUUUUCUUCUUCGAGAAGGACAUGCGCCCGGGCACAACUAUGAAGUUCCAAUUCCCUAGAAAUUCAAACACGGCUACUUUCCUGCCACGCGAAAGUGCUCAAUCGAUCCCCUUCUCCUCUAAGAAACUACCAGAAAUUUUCAACCAUUUUUCAGUGAAGCCAACAUCUGAGGAAGCCAAAACAAUUAAGCAAACAAUCGAAGAGUGUGAAGCUCCAGGCCUUAAGGGAGAGGAAAAAUAUUGCGCCACAUCUUUAGAAUCAAUGGUUGAUUUUAGCACUUCGAAGCUUGGAACAAGAAACGUUGAAGCAAUCUCAACGGAGGUAUUGGAAGAAGGAGCCACCAAGUACAUGCACAACUAUACAACAAUGCCGGGACUGAAGAAGUUGGAAGGUGACAAAGUCGUUGUGUGUCAUAAGGAGAACUAUCCCUAUGCUGUGUUUCUCUGCCAUGCAAUAAAACAAACAGAAGCUUAUGUUCUCUCCCUGAAAGCCGAUGAUGGGAUGAAGGUGAAAGCAGUAACCAUCUGCCAUCUAGACACAUCAGAAUGGGACCCAGAGCAUUUGUCCUUCCAAAUCCUCAACGUUAAGCCCGGAACCACUCCCAUCUGCCAUUUCCUUACCACUGAUGCUAUUGCCUGGGUUCCAAAACACAAAUCUGCAUGAUCAUCACUUAGCACUGUACGUGUAAUAAGCUUGGUCGGGUUGCACCCUAGGCCUGCAUAAUUAUCUCCCUACUUAUUUCUGCCUCUUCAUCAUGCGGUGUAAGAUAUAUGAUGAGAUGAAGUUUUCUCUUGUAACUAUGUAGACUACUUCAACUUGUACUCAUAAUAAAGCACGCUGUUGGGGGGUUCUACUUAAUUUCGUUCUCUCCAAUGUUUGAGUGUUGAAUUGUUACGUUGGAAUAGGCUGCUAAUGCAUGUAGUUAGAGAAGCCUUCAUUUAUAUCAAAGUCCUCAAACUAUCAAGAAUUAAUGUAUCCAGAAACAUAUACCAAGACGCAAAACAACAUAUUUUCCAUUCUCUGUCUGUAACACCAAAGCAAACUUCCUUUAUCACAUCAUUUAAAGGAUCAAAUUCCAGUACUAAUCUAAUCCAUCAUGUAAAGCAUACAAGUGCCUACCUAAAUUUGUCCAUUGGAUAUAUAUGUCACUUUUUAUUUUUUGAUAGAGAUAUAAAUGUUGAAAAAAUUAGAGUACACAACUCUUAUAGACACUACUACGAUUUACUAUUUGCGCGACGGAAGUUUGCGCGACGAACAUUGUUUCGUCGCGCAAAAAGCACUAUUGCGACGAAAAAAAAAUACCGUAGCGCAAACAACAUAACACAAGCGCGACAAACAGUUUCGUCGCGCAAACAAUCUAUGCGCGACCAAUAUUAAUUUCGUCGCGCAAAGGUAGGGGAAAAAAACCCGGUUUUUUUUUUUUGGCGCCAUAAUCUUGCGCGACAACAACAAUCGUCGCGCAUGACAAUAUUGCGCGACAAUUCAAAGAAUUCGUCAGGUAAAGAUGGACAGAAAAUUGUCUCAUUUUUUUGGCGGUAAAAAACUUUGCGCGACGAAAUUUUUCGUCUCAAAAGACAACUUAGCGCGACGGAAAUAUGUACCGUCGCGUAAAAAAACGAGGGAUACUUAUUUUUGGCGCCAAAAUGCAGGGUGGAUAAAAAAAAUUUUGCGCGACGGAAUUACCUUCGUCGCGUAAAGUGUAAUGCCGGUGCUUUCUUGCGCGACGAAAUAAAUAAUUUGCGCGACGUAAUUUAAACCUUGCGCGACGAAAAGUAUUAUUUGCGCGACGAAAUUUUGUGCGACGAAUAAUAUGUUUCGUCGCACAAAAAAGCAGAUGUCGACAGGUAAUUGCGCGACGGAAAUGUUGUUUUGUGCGAUGGAAAAGUGGGUUUUCGCGACGGCAUUUUGCGCGACGGAUAUUGGUGUUCGUCGCGCAAAGUCCUUCUUCUUCAUAUUAGUAUCUGCCAUUGCAGAGGCAGAAUGCAGAAAUUGCAUUCUGCCUCUCUCUCACUCUCCCUGCCGCUGCUCUGCUGUGAAUUCAAUACGUUCAUUGGGUAUGUAUUUUUUGUCGUUAGUUUAAAUGUAUUAAUGUAAAUUCGUAGUAACGCUAUUAAUUUUGUUAUCGUUAGGGAUAUUUGUGAUUAGUGAUUGGUGGAGAACGAUUGAGAAGGUAUGUUAUUGUAAAAGUUUGUUUGUUAUGUUUGUAAUUUUUUUGUGAAGUUAUAUGUAUAUAAUGUUGUGAAAUUGUGCGUGACAUAGCACAAUGUGUUGUGAUGUACGAAGUUAAUUGAAAUUAACUUCGUACUUUUAUUUUUAUGUUUAGUAACACGUAGUUUCCCGUUCGAGAUUAGUUGGAUUUCGUGCAUGGAUGAGUAAUGCAUGACUGCGGUCCAAUUAAUUCUUGAAUUGUCCCAUUAUUUGGACAGUUUGGUAAUGCAUAGUGUUGUCACAUAAUCUUCGGCUACAGGAUUAGGUUUCGAUUGUGGAGAUUUCGGUGUCAUCUCGGUACGUUCUUCGAGUGGUACGUAGGUAUUUAUACCUAUGCCCACUUCAAGAACUGUGUCGAGAUGCUGCCGAAAUUAAUCCACGUCGAAAUCUAAUCUCAUGUAGCCGUAGGUUACGUGACAGGACUAUGCAUUCCCGAAUGGGAUAGGGCCCUUACCGGAGGCAUAAGGUGACAUUAUAACUUCGUAUGAAGUUGUUGUGAUUGUUGUGUCGUGAUUGUGGUUUCAUGAAUUAUGAGCAGAAGGUGGAUACAUAACCCGAAUAGAUGCGCAGACGAAUACUUGGAUGGAAUCGAGGAUUUUAUUGAGUUUGCACAUAGACACAACCCGGGUGCAAGUAGAAUCCGUUGUCCUUGUAGGAGGUGUAACAACACGUUGUGGGAGACAAUUGAAAAUGUUGGAUUUCAUUUAGUAAGGAAUGGAAUGAUUGAAACAUAUAGCAUUUGGAACCUUCACGGCGAACAUGUAGGCCAUGCUUCGUCUUCAAAUGCCCCAAGAGUGGACAAUGUUGAACCUAUUGUGGAUCCUAAUGAUCAAGUCAUGGGUAUUAUACAGGAUGCUUUUCCAUUCGCAUCGACCAACAUCAAUCAGGAAGGGGAAGAUAACGUGCCUACACCAAUAGACAGUGCGGAGUUUGAACAGUAUGAAAAACUGUUAAAAAAUGCCAACCAAGAGUUAUACCCGGGGUACGAGAGCUUUUCCGUUCUCACUUCUAUUGUGGAGCUAAUGCACGGAAAAAUAAAGUAUCGUAUGUCGAACUUGUGUUUCGAUUACUUUUUGGGGGUUUUCAAGAGAAUGCUUCCGACGGAUAAUUAUUUGCCGAAAGACCAGAAACAUGCACAGAAGGUGUUGCAUGGUCUUGGAUUGGGUUAUGAAAAAAUCCACGCUUGCAAAAACAAUUGCAUGUUAUUCUACAAAGAGCAUGAAACGUUGGAUACAUGCCCUAUAUGCAAUGAGUCGAGGUUCAAAAUGACAUCCCAGAAUAGAACGACUAAGAUACCACAAAAAGUCAUGCGUUAUCUGCCCCUUAAACCUGGGUUGCAGCGAUUGUAUAUGUCGACGCAUACUGCCACAGACAUGAGAUGGCAUAAGGAAAAACGGGUAGACGAUGAUGUGAUGCGGCAUCCUGCAGAUGGGGAGGCAUGGAAAGAGUUCGAUCGAACGUUCCCCGAGUUUGCUGCUGAUCCCCGAAAUGUAAGAUUGGGACUUGCCACUGACGGAUUCAAUCCGUAUGGGGUUCUAAACCAACACCACAGCACUUGGCCGAUUUUCGCAUUCCCAUAUAAUUUGCCGCCUUGGAAAUGCAUGAAAAAAGAAUACAUGAUGAUGACUGUUUUGAUAACUGAGGAUCCUGGCAGGUCAAUUGAUGUGUACUUAAGGCCUCUGGUUGAUGAGCUGAAAGAUUUAUGGACAAACGGUGUUCGCACGUACGAUAAAUCAACUGGGAGGAUGUUCACUUUGCGAGCAGCAAUUAUGUGGACUGUGAAUGAUUUUCCAGCAUAUGCAAUGGUUUCUGGGUGGAGCACAAAAGGUUAUAUGGCAUGUCAUGUAUGCAAGGAAGAUGUAACUUCUGGUUGGCACGCGGGAAAAGUUUGUUACCUUGGUCAUCGGAGAUGGUUGCCAUGGGACCACGAGUGGCGAGAAAAAGAUAAAGAGUUCAACGGGAACACAGAGCGUCGCCUCAGACCUGGAGAAUGGUCCGGUGAUGAGAUCUUGGAACAGCUGAACCGUUUGGAUUUUGGUCCGUUCGGAAAAACAAUUAGUCGGACCAGACCUUCUACACAUUUGAACUGGACGCACAAGCCUAUGUUUUUUGAGCUCCCAUAUUGGUCGAAACUGAAAUUGAGGCACAAUCUAGAUGUGAUGCAUGUUGAGAAAAAUGUAUUCGACACAUUGGUGGGCACGAUUCUAGAUAUCGAGGGGAAGACGAAGGACACGAUCAAAGCUCGUCUUGAUUUGGAAAGAAUGGGCAUACGAAGGGGUUUAUGGAUGAAUAGGGACAGUGAUAAAGCUAGAAGGGAUCUUGCAUUCUUUUCUAUGAAACCGAAUGACAAAAAGGAGUUUCUAAAGUUUGUAUCGUCUGUCAAAUUUCCCGAUGGGUAUGCUUCUAAUAUCGCACGUUGCGUGAAUGUCGAUGGGGGUAAAUUUACUGGACUUAAGAGCCAUGACUGCCAUGUUCCUGUGGGUAUUCGACACCUACUGCCGGAAGAUGUGGUGAAGCCAAUCAUGUUGUUAUCCAGAUUUUUUUCCCAACUGACGGCAAAAACAUUGCGAAGGACAGACAUGUUUCAGUUGCGCCAUGACAUUGUCCAAGUCCUAUGCAAGUUUGAGAUGAUAUUUCCUCCGGCUUUCUUUACAAGUAUGAUGCACGUAAUGGUUCACUUGCCAG